CCUUUUUUGAGUUUUUCUUUGUUUAAGAGUCAAAUUUAUAUACAAGGACCCUAGACUUUUUUUUUGUCGGUCGAUCUUCAUAUUUAUUCAUUUUCACUAUCAUCCAAAAAUGUCUUAUACAUGUACAACAACCAUCUAGAGAGAUGUGAUCGCGAUACGUAAUAUUUUUUUUUUUUGGAUAUAUUACAAUUAGAUAUUUUGAGUUUGAAUUCUUAAUAAUAAUAUUUUUCUUAAUAUCAAUUAUUAUUGUAUACUAAUUUAAAAUCCUCGUAUAAAUUUAAGUAUAGAUGUCUCGAAAUAAUCGGAUACCACAUAAUAAACUUUUAUGUAGAUAAAUGACUAAAGUCGUCCCAAUGCAUUAAAUUUCCUUUUAUUUCACCUUGCGUAACGUCUUUCUUCAAGUUUGAAAAAACUUGUUCAUUUUCCUAUCGAAAAAAAUGGUCCCAGAAGAUAAAGUAUUUCUUCCUUUUUAUUCAAUAAAAAAAAAUGUGAUACUGAAUCUUUUAGAAGAAAAAAAAAGUGUCAAAUAAAAACAAGAAAUGGUCCAAAUAUAAUCUCUCUAGCUAUAUCCUAUAGUAGUAUUGUUUGUGAAAUAAAUUGAUCCUAGUCUAGUAAGUAGUAACACUAACAAAACUCAAUCAUAAUAGACAAAUUCCUUAGAAAGACGGAUUUCAAAUUUAAAAUUUGUAUAUUUAAUUUAAUGUUCAUGAGUCGUGAAAUUUUGUUAUACGUGUUGUAUUUAGUGAUUUUUUUUCAAUAAAUAUAUAAGAUUUGAAAUAAAGUUAUAAAAUCUUUUGCGUAUGAUUCAAAAUAACGAGAGACAGAUGAUUUUGUAGUCGUUUAGUUGGUUAUUAAAAGAUAAAGCUUGUAUUUAGAAACAGAUGUAAUGUUGUAACAUCAAAUUCAUUUUGAACUCAGUAUUUUCAACACGAAGUAUAAAUAUAUUUAAAGAAGUUUAUUAAAAUUGUAAUGUAUAAUCGGUUCAAUGCUAACAUUUUAAACUCGUAAAACUUAAAUCUUGAAUUCAAAACUUGCAUUUGCUUUUCCUAUUAUAAAAUUGAUCCCAUAUCUCUCUCUAUGUCCCAAUAAUUAGUGAAAUGUAAAGGUAGUCGGGUGUGUAAACAAAGUCCUAUAUUAACGGCCGAUAAAAUUAAUAAGAUACGAUAUAAGAUGUAAGACUUGUUAAUGAUGUGAGAAAAUCGCGAAGACAGACAAUCUAUAGUACUUUAGCUUCUUCUUCCUCUUUUUUUUUUUUCCCUUGAAAGUUCAAAUAAUUAUAAAGACCCCAAUGAUAUCUUAAUAUACAAUCCAAAAGGUCAUCACCAAAUUUGCGUAAAAGCCACUUAAUUGCCUCACCUAGCUUCUCUUCUCUCUAGCUCUUUAACCUUAAAUUCCAUCUUUUUUCUUCACUCCACUCCACACUUGUUGAAAUUAUAUAUAUUUCUUGGUGAAAGUAAUAACCUUUGUAAUUAGCCUGAAUAUGAUCUACUACUAUUAUUUCUUGUUAGAUCAUUAAUUUUUUUGAAAACCCCUAGUCCAAUGGGGCGUCACUCUGUUUUUGUUAAAGAAAAAACAAGGAAAGGAUUGUGGUCACCAGAAGAAGAUGAAAAAUUGUACAAUUAUAUCACUAGAUUUGGUGUUGGAUGUUGGAGUUCAGUCCCUAAACUAGCUGGUAUUAUAUUCUUACCAUUUCAUUAAUUUCAUUUAGGUCACAGGUUCGAGUCGUAGAAGCAGUGAGCCACUAAUGUUUGUAUUAGGAUGGACCGUACGGGGUGCAACCCUUCAUUGGACCUUGCUAAUGCGGGAUGCUUAGUGUAUUACACUGACUUCUUUGUUGGUAUAUAUAUAGUAAUGGAAUUGGAAUGAUGACAUUUUGAUAGUGUGAGAGAUCCUUGUAGGUUUACAAAGAUGUGGAAAGAGUUGCAGAUUGAGAUGGAUAAAUUACUUGAGGCCUGAUCUAAAAAGAGGAAUGUUUUCACAGGAAGAAGAGGAUAUGAUCAUUACUCUACACAAAGUUCUUGGGAACAGGUCAUUAAUACUUGUUUCUUAUUAGAUAAAUGUAACUUACUCAUAUGCUAUCUUUUCAUAUGAAUUCAUUAUGCUUUACUUGAACCGCUGGUCUAUUAGAUCCAUGAUCUCGUAAUGGUAAUGGUAAGAUUGCAUACAUACCACCUUCCUCAUACCCUUACAUUGUUGUUGUUGUUUGUAUAAAGACCAAAGAAGAAUUUUGAACUAAAGAUGAGGUUCUUUCACUUGUUUAAUUUCCUCACCCUUUUGGGUUGUUUUGACAAGUGUUUAUUUGUUAAUUCUUUUGUUUCCAGAUGGGCACAAAUUGCAGCAAAAUUACCGGGAAGAACAGAUAACGAGAUAAAGAAUUUCUGGAAUUCAAAUUUGAAGAGGAAGCUAAUAAAGCAAGGCAUAGAUCCAAAUACCCACAAGCCACUAAGUGAAAAUCAUCAAGUAAGAAAUGAGCCGAAUUGUACAGAUAAGACCUCAAGUUUGCUGAUGCCCAAGCUCCCAAAUAUGUCAGAUUCAGCUGAAAUACAGCAACCAUUUCAUUUUUUCAAUAGUAAAAGAAAUUUCAACAGCCAAGCAGUUACUAGAGAGUUAACAGAAGUUUCAAAAAACCAACUUGUGAGUAAACAGGUCUUUGAUCCUCUGUUUCUGUAUGAGUUCCAAGCAAGUGUGAAUCCAAUUGGACCUUAUGCUCAUCAUCACAACCAAAUUGAAGGGAAUCAAGAUUUUGGGUUUUGCUCAAAUUUUCAACAUGUACACAUGACAACAGAGAGCGAUAUUUCUGAUAGCUCAACUUCAAGAAUGAGUACAAGUAACAGUUCAAAUACUAUGAUUAGCCAUUACAAUUCUGUUGGAAUUCAGAUGAAUGAAAUGUUGGAAUGGGAUGCUGACAACAAAAUUGAUUCUCUUAUUCAGUAUCCUUAUGUUGGUAUCAAGAAUGAAGAAAAUUACAGUAAUAAUAAUAAUACAUUGAGUGGGGAAAAUCUUGAUGUGUUCCACCAUAUCUAAAAUUUUGUAAAAUUUCAUCUUCUUAUAUAUACCUAGAAAUGUACAAAACUUGCAUCUUCUUUGAGAUGUUUUGGCCAGAAGUGCAGUUCCUUAUUAAAAAUGGAUUUGUUGUUGCAUUUUUGUUUAGUGAUUAAUAUGUUUAUUUGGUCAAAUAUUACUGCAUGCUAUCUGUCAAACAGAACAUAGUGUCCUUAACAUACUUUUUAACUAAGUUGUCAGUAGAAGCUACUAAGGCUUUUGCAUUUUUCAAAGUUCAGUUAGUCUGACUUUGAUAUCUCUUGUAUUCACAUACAAUCAAAAGUUAAAAACACACCAAAUUCAACAGCUAUUAUCAACACGCGUGUAGAAAAGUUGGUUGUGCAUUGAAUACGUAGAAAUAUUAGUUUUCCGAAAUAAGAAUGAGCAAGGUCAAUGAACAGUACAUGCUUUGCUAAAACAUGUCAUUUACAGUAGCAAUAUCCAUGUGGAAGCACCAAUUCUCAGGACUCUAUUGAAAGAAAACAGAAAUUGAAGUUUACGUUUUCUGUGUAUGCGCAGCAGAUAAUACGGAAGGACUACUUUAUGAACCAAAAAUCCUUCAAAGCUUGGCAGUCAAACCAGUGGUAGUGGGCUUUGAUUCACCAUUUUCUGAAGCAUCGCUGUCUUUGCUUUCUGAGUCACAUCCCCGUGGUGGAGGUACAUCUACAGCUGGAGAGCAGUUAAAGAAUCCAUGCGGCUGCACCAAACAGAAUUAAGCAUUACUUAAACUAGAGAGGAGUCAUAAAUCCAUAUUUCCAGCAUUUUAUUUGAUUCAUCAAUCAGACAUGUUUCAGUCCAGAAUUAAUUAGGGAGAUCGGUCCGUCAAUUUUCACAACUCUUUUAGAUUUAACACAAUACAUAACCAGAAGCUAGAUGAUGACAAAGAUACAAACAUAAGCACAUAACAUCUGACACCGGAAUACCUGAAGCAUAAAGCCGAUAUGUUCAACGGGCAUAACAGGCCAGUCCUCCAAUCUAGGAACAUGCGUGAUUCCAAAAACAUACCUGUGAUAAACUAUGUAUAGAUCAGAACAUCAAGGAAUAGGUAACUUCCCAAACACAUAUUUAAACAAAGGAUUAUCCUAGGAACAUGAAGUUCCAGAUCUGGAGUGUUACAAAAAUUAAGCGUGGAUAAUUUUCAAAACAAUUGAAGCCUGCACCUCCAAUGUAAUAAGAUAAUUUGAGGGUUGCCAAGAAACUAACCAGAGAACAAUAUCACUUUCUUCCAGAGAGCGAUCUUCCUUGACCCAAGAAGCUAGUCCCUCGCCAACACGUGGAUUUUGAUUAGGGAACUCUCCCCCUGGAAAAUCUUCUCCGGGUGCAUAUUGUGUAACCCACAGAUUGUGCUUCAGAAAUGCCGCUCUUCUCAAGAACUUAGCCUCAGGACCAGCCAAUGGCAAACAGUUCUGACCAGGUACCAGCUUGUACCCUGUUAGCUGACCUGUUCUGUUGGAUGUUCUUGUGUUCCUAACCUACAAAUCAAAUGUUCACAGUCAAAUUGAUGGCUCCAGCUCUAGGGAGAGGGAAUGCUCGUAAUAGAAUUUUUCCAUCCUAAAAAGGACACAACGAUUGGUCAUAUGACCAUGACAAAGGACUUUAGCUCUCUCAACAAUCAGUAGUCAUUUUUAAGGAUCACAUUCUACUAUGAACAUAAUGUCUCAGCAGACUGUGCUAGGAAAGCAACAUGAAAUGAUGUUUCUGUCAAAAGAAAGGAGGAUACAGGUGAGGCUUCUUACAAUCCAAUGACGAGCAGAUAAAGGAUCACAGUCUCGCAUUGCUUGCAAUUCAGACCUAAGUUGUGUUUCUUCGGCAUAGAAUGCGUUAUUGUGAACAUUUUCCUUCCCAGGUUCUUCAACUUUGAGAUUUACUUCAACAACCUGGAGAAAUACUCAGAAUAAAGAAGUUAAGAACUGGAAACUGGAGGUGAAAUUACUUGGACAUUUUUUGUUUGAAGACAGAAAUUGCUUAACUUUCAGAUGCACAAGAAAACUCGUUAAAAAUACCUGAUUGUGUGCUUCUCCUGGCUUACAAUCAACUGCCAUAUUCAUACGAGCAACAAAGAAGUGCUGAUGAACAGGUGCAUACAAUCCUGGUGAUAUUGUGGUGCCAUAUUUUCGAGACUCUCCAGGUUGCAAUGCUCCCAAACUGAGAAUUCCUGUGAGUUUGACUUCUGCUUCAAUUUUCCCAUCCUGCAGCCACAAAGAGUAUGUAUCAUUUCAAAAUGGUCAGUAGAGCUAAACAUAAUAGAUGAGAACAAAUCAAGAAAGUUCUGGUGGAUGGAUGAAAACUUCUGCCACUCAUCAUUGUCUCUGGCUAAGCCCUCCAACUCUCCCCCACCCCCCACUCCCAUAAAAGAAAUAAAGAUAUAAAAGCACAAGCAAGUAGCCCAAAUAACAGUGCCAUUAUUUGAAUCUAGAUUAAUCAAGCAAAUUGGAUAAAUAGAUUCUCUUAGAAAGCAUAAGAGAAUCAUACUUCUACUUGCUUUCUAUUCUUUGAAAUGGUCUAAAUAAAAUGUGAUAACAUUUAAAUGUCACCUGAUUUCUUUAGAACAUGUAAACAAAUGAACAUUUCCUGAUAAAUGAUUUUCUUAUUCUUGCCUGGUAAAAGUGCCAGUAGAAUCCAUAUUCAUAAUUGGCCACAGUGCAAAUAAAAGAAACAGUCAGUCGUCUAGACCGUCUAACUUCAGCAAGGCCAGUUCUCCAAUCCUGAUGCUUCCAAAGCAUCCCGUGAUCUUCCUCAUGCAAACAUACACAAUUUUUGAUGGUUUCUACUCCUCCAGUAAAAUUUGUAAAAUUGGCAUCAAAGUACUUUAUGUAUCCUAAACAAUCGCAUCCCUGCAGUGGUGUUUUAGUUAUAUUAGAUUUACAGUUAAGAAGUCGAAUGCACAACUAAACCAUAGAAUUGUCAAUUACCCUCUUAAGUGAAUGGGCAUUCUUUCCAAGGCCAUCUUCUCCUGCAUCAAAUGCAUUUUUUCUGUAAUGUGGAUCAUUUGGAUCCCCAUAGGGGACAACCAUCUCCACAAAACUCAACCUAUGGGCUAUGGAUCUUCGUCCCCUGCUACCAUCAAGAUAUGCCACAGAGUGUAUAACCAAACCCUCCCUAGGGGUGAAACCUACUCGGAAAUUCCACUGUCAUACAUAAAGUGAAAGAACGGCCACAUUAGUAUACAGGCAGAAUCCUUCAUUGCAUAUGAGACUGGAAAAAGAAUUUACCUUUUGCCAUUGAACAUAGUUCCCAUCGACGCGAAAGCUUGGACCCUCUGGCUGAAUAAUUUGUAGGGGUUUCACAUCACUUCGGUCAACCCCUCCUCUUGUCUCACCCGCAGUGUAAUUCCUCAGUGGAUCAGCUGGAAGUAAAGGUACAAGUUUGCGGUCUUCGAACUCUAUCACCUGCAUGAUUUGCACAUCAACAAGCACAUGUAUACCUUCAACUGGUCUUGCAUAUCCAUUUUCCAUUGGGCAGUAGCUCUCUGUUCUGCAGAAUAUUAGUGGUUUGGCAAGCCUGCGGCUAGGAGCAUCAGCUUCACUGUGAUAACCAACGCACCUGUAGAAAACAUAUUCAGGUAAAAAUGCAAUUAUAUUAAAAAAACAGUUCUUAAAGAAGAAGGAAUGGGAAAAUUCAAGAACAUUUCAACUAACCAGGGGUCAACCAUUACAAGGUCCAUGUCAUCAAUACCCCUUCUCUUCAUUGCUUCAAUAAAUGGAGGAUAAUUUUUAACCACAGAUUCACAGUCAGCAUACUCUUGUGCAUCCUACAAUCAGAAUAAAGUUGAGAUAAUUUGUAAAAACGGAUUACUGAAAUCUACAUAGAUUACAUAUAUACAACAUAGAAUUUGUAAAUUUUAACAUUCUUUUGGGUUAACUAAAGCAGAACAUUUUAUGCAAAUUUUGUUCUCCUUUUGGUUAAGCUCUAUGUUCCAUAUGACGGGAAAGAAAGCACAGUACAUUAAGAAGAGAGAAUAUGUGAAUUAAUAUAUGAAAAUAAAAAUAUACAUAGGAUAGGCAAAUACAGGAAUAGGUAAAUGCAUUACGAAUAAAAUAUGAUUAGCUCCCGUUAUAUAUUGAUUGAAUCAAUUGCUCAACUUGCAUGUAUAGACGCACUUGAUUAGCUUCUGGAAUCAGAAUAGAAUGUUCAAUUGGCUCAUAUGGUCUCUCCCAAUUGCCUAAAAUCCUUUAGGCCAAUACAAGAAAAGACAAAUUCUACAGUUCUACUGACUAUUUUGUUUUCAUGUGCUGUUUAGAAUCUCUAGGACAUCAGUAUCACAAGGCCACUUGAUAGUACCACAACAACAUAUCCAAUGUACUUGAUAUAAACUAAAGAAACAAAAAUUAACACAAGGAAAUUCAAUUAAAUGUUCCAUUUGGAUGGUGGAGGUAUUCACUACAUCAUUUUUUUCUUAAAUUACUUGGUGGAUCUUGCCAACUGAACAUUCUAAAGAAUACCAAAAGAUGACAUCACAAAUAUGCUUGAAAUUCAUGUGUAAUUAUUAGAGCUUAGGGUGAAAGCAUUUAGCUUGAAACAUAAAUAAGAACUUUGUAUUGCUCUUACUUUGAGUCCCGCAUCAUUUCUUUGGUAACCUAAUUGCAUCUUCUGUUCAUGUACUUCUAAUCUUUUGAAGUUCUAAGCAUGAGAAGUGCAUACCAUAGGUGGCUGAACAUCUGGAAUAACUUUUGAUGAGAUCACUUUUCCCCUGUGUUGUCCACCUCGAACAGCAGCAUGUACUUCAGUUAGCCGAACAAUCCAUACGCUUGUCUCAUUUGUUUUCUUAUUGUAAACAAUAAGUCUAGCAUGCCUUGGAGGUAGUUUAGAAGGAACAAGAAGUCCUCCUUUGGUUCUGGGCAUCAAUGAUGAUUGGAAAGGUGGGUAGAAAUAGGCAUCUGCCAGUGCAACAAAAGUUUUAUCUGGUUCCAACAGAACCACCUCAACAAACCGCAUGCCAUCUCUGACCUAAAAUGUUUUUGCAAAAAGUUAGAAAGACACAAAAAGAGUUGGUGGAAAUUUAGAGCAAAAGAUGUCCUGUUGUUCAACUGAUGGAUUUUUUGGUUGUUCUACACAACAAAUGGAUGUAAAAGAGAUGGUGAUUAUUUAAAAACCUCAGGCGUAUCACCGGCAGCUCUAACGGUUGCCACAGCCACAGAGAUCUCAGCAGCAGUUAAAGGGUCCAAAGGAUGACAAGUAUGAGCUCUAUGCAUGAUUUGAAUCCCUGCAUAAACAUGGAAUCAUCAAGCAUUCAACAUCUUACUAACUACUCCAAUAACAAUAACAAGAUCCUUCCAUUAGCAUUUUCUUCUUAUCUGUUCAUGAUAUUUUCUGAAGUUACUUCAUCUAUAUAUGCGUUUUGCAACAAAAAUAAGAAAAUCGGUCACAUCUGCACAAAACAGAGGACGGACAUCGUAGAUUGACAGUCCAUAUAUAUAUAGUUCAAUAAAUGCACUAAAGUGGAACAAAUGGAUAUACAAAAUAGGUCUCAUAUAAUUUGAAAUUUAGGCAUAGUUGAUUGAUUCAUUUUCAAUUUGAUAGAAUAACACUCUACGUCAAUAAUCUCAGGGUAAAAUACAAUACAUAUAAAUACAUAAAUACAUACAUAUAUAUACAUAAAUAUAUACAUAAAUACAUACAUAUAUAUAUAUAUAUAUAUAUAUAUAUAUAUAUAUAUAUAUUGGACCAUGCAAUUGUACACUUAAACUGGCUAAGUUUCAAAAGUAGACCCAACUAUUGACUAAACAAAACUUACUUCUCCAAUACCAAAAUCAACCCCGUGAGCACAAAAAUCACAUGAAAUUUCUCGAUAGCUAUGAUAAAUAAUUGAAUAUAAAUGCAACGCAACCAACUCAGUGAAUCGGUUACCGAGAAAAUCAUAAAUCAUAAACAGAAAAAGAAACUAAUACAUCUGAAUGGUCAUUUGCAUUCGUAAACCUCACGGAAAAUGCAGGGCAAUCAACUCAGUGAUGUGAAGCCGUUAUCGAGAAAUCAUAAAUCACAAACAGAAAAGAAACUAAUGUAUCUGAAUCGCCAUUUCCAUCCGUAAACCUCAAGAAAAAUGAAGCUCAAUCAACUCUUUAAAUCAGUUACCGAGAAAAUCAUAAAUCAAAAACAGAAAAGAAGCUAAUGCAUCUGAAUCGCCAUUUCCAUCUGUAAACCUCACAAAAAAUGAAGCACAAUCAACUUAAUGAAGCGGUUAUGCAGAAUAUCAUAAAUCACAAACAGAGAAAGCAUCUGAAUCGCCAUUUCCAUCCUAAAACCUCACGAAAUUCAUACAUGCAAAUAGUCAAACAACAAACAGAUACAAUACAAUGCUAUAUACUCCGAAUUCCUAUCGUCAAAAUUCAAAUUACACACAAAACACUCGCAUUAAUGAUUCAUUACCUUUGCUAGACGCAGUUGCCGGUGUUUGUUCCUUCUGAUUGUCGACGACAACGGAGUCAACAGCGGAAUCGGAAACGGACACGGCAGUAUUCUCACGACGGACAACAGAAACAGAGGUCGGAGGGAUGAAAGAAGCAGCAGCAGCAGCAGUAGUAUUAGUAGGAGUAGGAAUCACGUUUUGUGAGGUUUCAGCCAUUGCGACUACUACUUAUACUGUGAUGAUCACGGUGUACUGAAGGUUUAAUUAUUCACGCGCUUCGACACUCAAAAUCAGUGACUGAUCGAUCAGCAAAUACUCUGUUGUGCUUUUUCUCGCCACUCUGCUUCUGCGAAUAGUUUGUUACGUCUGUGCUAUGGCACUAUGCUCAGAGCUUAAAGUUUGUGACAGUUUAUUUUGUUUAGAUUUCCAAAUUAUUUAGGAGUGCUAAUAAUCUGAGAAAACAGUUAUUUAAGCCUAUCUAUUCUCUAUUUUUAUGUAUUAUUUGACUUGGUAUCAUAUUUUUAAAAUAUAUAAAUAUAGAAUUUGAUAUUUUUAUAAUAUUAUUUGACUUAGUAUGAUAUAAUUUAGAUAAUUAUGAUAACUUCAUCGAUUCUCCAGUAACUAAAUAUAUGAUUAAUUAAUAAGAUUGUAAAUUAUUUAUUUACUUUAAAAUAAAAUAUUUUUAAUUAAGUUUAUUUGUUUGAAUGGAGUAGAGAGAUAAAUAUGUCUCACAUGCAUGUUAUGUCAUAUUUCUUUGUUUGACUAGUGAAAUUAAGGAGUUAUAAUCCCCACUUUAAUUUUCUAAUUUUCAAGUACCCAAUUUUCAACUAAAGAUUUAUUUUUUAAAAAAAUAUUUGAUCUUUAUAAUCAAACAUCUAUUAUAGGUUUACAUAUGAAUUGAGAGAAUUUUUUUUUGUGUAUACAACAAUGUGCCUCUCAUUAUUUAUUUUUUUGGAUUGAUAAGUUGAAUUAAUGAGUUGAUCACAUGUUAUCAUGAGGUAGAAAAUGAUUGAGUCAAAUGUUAAGGGGAGAAAAAUAAGAGAAAUAUGGCAAAGUCAAAUAUAUAUAAAUCAAAUAAAUAUAACAUGGCAAAGUCAAAUGUGAAACACAUUUUUGUUACAUAAUUUCAACGAAAAAGGGUUUUGAUAUAUUCUCUCAAUUUUGUCACUUGGAGUUAAUAUACUCUUUAUUAUGAAAGUAUCUUAUAUAUGUCCUUAUCGUUAUAUAAACGGCUCACAUAUACCCCUAUUGUUACAAAAUAGCUCACAUAUACCCUUCAUUUAAAGAAGUUAAAAAAAUUAGUUUAAAUUAUAUUUAAUACUUUUAAUUUGUGUAAAAAAUUGUUUAGGGGUAUAAAUGAUUAUUCGAUCAAAGUUUAAGGUAUAUUUUAAUUUUUUUUCAUACAUAAAUUAUUUUUUGACUUCUUUUAUUAUAAUUAUUUGAGUUUCUUAUUUUUAUUUUAUUUUUUUCUUUCAUUCCUUAGUUUAAAGGAAAAAAAUUAAACUAUUUUUUUUGUCUAUAUUGUAAUUUGAUUUUUGUACUAGAGGAAAAAAAUUUGGUCAUCUACAAUAAGUUUUACAAGUAUAUUAGUGAAACAUAAAUAAAUUUGAUUAUCAAAAUAAUAAUUCUAAAUUAGUCAUUGAAAUACAAAAAAGUCAAAAUAAAAUAAAAUAUGUUUGACGAGGAUUAAAUUUACUCAUAAAGAAUUAUGAUUUUUAGAAAAAAAUAAUAAAAAGUUAGAUUAUUUUUUUUUUUCAUUUCCGUUAGAGGAAAAGGAUAUAUGUAAGUCAUUUGUUUAUAAGUAGGGAUAUAUAUGAGUCAUUUUCAUAACAAGGGAUAUAUCAACUCUAAAUGACAAAGUUGAGGAGUAUAUGAUGUCCUUUUUCCUAAUUUCUAUUUUGAUUAGCUUUUUGGGAAGUUUUUUUUGUUUUGUUUUUUUGACCUAGCACCGAUUUCACCAAGUUAGGCACAUUAGGUGUACAGACAAAUUGGUUAUUUAUCUUGUUUUAGAGCUAACUAAAAUGUUUUUAAUAUUGAUUUUUGUCUAAAGUUGUAACUUUGAUAAGGCCAAAAGUAUAUUGUAUAUAUCCCCUAUUCUUUUUACUCUCUUCAUUUAUAUUUACUUAUAUUCAGUAUAUAUACUAAGAAUAAUUAUUCAAAGUUUAUUUAUUCAGCUUAGUUAACUAGUAUAGUUUCGAACUAUAUCAUUACACAAUUAUAACAUUGUAUAUAUAGGUUCGUGUGAGAUACAACCACCAUAUUUAUUUAUUUACUAGAUAUCAGAUGUCCGCGCUAAUGCAGAUUCAACGUAUGUUAGUUUCUUUUUUAAUUUAUAUGACAUAAAUGAUAUUUAAAAAAGUGAAUUAAAUUUUUUAUAUGUAUUUUUUUAAAAAAUAUUUUAAAUUAUUAAUUUAUGUACGUUUUGUGUCAUUUUUAAAUAAUAUACGUUAUUGUAUUUAUUUUAUUUUAUAUGAUACUGAUUUUAGGAAAGUCAAUAAAAUUUCUAAUAUGAUACCCACAUAUUAAAAAUAUAUAUAUGAGAGCCCAUUUUAAUAAUAAUAAUAAUAAUAAUAUAUAUAUAUAUAUAUAUAUAUAUAUAUAUAUAUAUAUAUAUAUAUUAUUUUUUCAUUUUAAAAAUAUUUUGAAUCCAUCCUUUUCGAUUUAUAUAAAUUUACUUUUUUAUUUUGUUUCAAAAAAGAAAAUGACUUCUGAAUUUUAAUUUUUUUUAUAAAGCAUAUUUAAGAUCACAAAAUUAAAAAAUAUUUCAAUACACAAAAGUUAAAUAUAAAUAUAAAUUUUAAUUUUAAUUUUGAUUGAUUCCACCUAAUAUUAUAUUUGAUAUAUUAUUAUUAAGAGCUAAGCAUAAUCAUUAUUUAUUUACUUUCAUAUAAUAAAUAGAUAUCGCAAUAACUCUUUAAAAAAUAAAGAAAUAACAAAAAUAAGGUAAUAGUAAUAAUAAUCACUAAAGAUGUUUCUAGAACGAGUCUGGAGCCUAACUUUUGUUAACAUUUUUCAUCCUUUAGGCUCCGAAUUCUUUUUAGAACUAUUCAAUUUUCUUGUUAUCAUUCAUGGUAGAAUUUUUGCUUGCAUUAAAUUACAUUUUUACCUUCGAUCUUCAUUCACUUUAUAUAUAAAAAGAUGUUUCUCCAAUUAUUUAUUUUUGAUAGAUUUUUGUUAAAAUGAAACUAUAUUUUAUUCUAAGUCGACUUUAAUAUAAAAUAUCAUCCUAUUCAUUUUUAUUUGUCAAGUUACUUUUUAACAUAUUUUUCUUUAAUUCCAAUCUAAUAUAUAUUAUCCACUUUAUCACACUUAUUUAUUUUCAAGUAUAUUAUUAGAGUUAAAAUUAAGAUGAAAAUUUAAUUCAUGAUAAAUUUUUAUACAAAAAAUAGGCAUUUUUUAUAAGCAUAAUGAAUAGAAAAAAAUAUCAAGAAUGAAUUUAAAAAUAGUAAAAUAAAGUAGUAAUAAAAUAGAUAUCACAAUAACUCAAAAAGAAAAGAAAGUGAAGCAAUAACAAAAUAAGUUAAUGAUAAUAACAAUAACUUAAGAUAUUUCUAAAACUAUUUAAUUUUUUUAUUAUCAUUUUUAAUAUAUUUUUAUAAACGUAAAAUUACAUUUUAUCCUUAAUCAUUGUUCACUUUAUAUAUAAAAAAUAUUUCUAGAAUUAUUAAUUAUCUUUCUUAAUAAAUUUUUGUUAAUAUAAAUUUACCCUUAAUAGUGCUCCCACUUCACACUUUAUAUAAUAGAAAUUAUUAAAAAAAAAGUGAUAUACGUAGUGGACAAAUUGCUGGAUAUAAUUGCCAGCUGUUUUUGUUUGCUUAUUUGAUUAUAAAGAAUUUACAUUUAUUUAGUGUUUUAGUAAUGGUCACUAUAAAAAAAAUAAUUUUAACGGUAUUAAAUAUUAAUAUUAAUAAAGAGUGUUAAAGUCUUUAUUGGCAUUAGUUAAAUGUCAUUAGAAUUAAUGUCAUAUAAAGACUUUAGGGACAUAUACAAAAAGUGUUAGUUAUUUAACAAUAAUUAAAAAUUAAUUACCGUUAAUAAUCAUUUUUGAUGUAGUAGGUGAACAACUAGAUCAAUUCAUAGGCUAAGAAUAAUGAGAAAUAAUAUGAUCUCAAUACAGUUCUCAAUUCAUAGGCUAAGAAUAAUGAGAAAUUGAGAAUUGUAUUGAGAUCAUAUUAUUAUUAUUAUUAUAGUUAUUAUCACUGACUUAACUCCUUAAGAAACUACUUAAAUUAAUUUAACCAUAACUAACUAUAAUUAACUAUGUUACAAGAUAUAACUAACUUUUUUAUUUCAUUAUUCACCGUAACCAACUCUAAACUCCUACGGGUCAUAACAACAUUAUAAUUGUUGAUGUUGCAUUUUUAAUUUUAGAGAAAUUACUAAUUAGUUGUCAUUAAUAAAUUAAAACUUAGGAGAAAAUUUCAGAUAAUUUUCAAAUUAUUCCGAAUUAGUUCUACACAACAUUAGAUAAAUUAAAAGGCACCGAACGAACAUUUUCUUCAAAAUUAUCUAAAAUUGUGAUGGACAUAGCAUGGUUACCACUAGCUAGCAAUAUCCAUGCCUUUGAAUGUAAAUAAAGUUUAAUAUUUGUAUUAAUCAUAAACAAAUGCUAGUUUCACAUUCAAAUAUUAAUUUUAAAAUAAUAAUUUAAUAUGAUUAUAAUUUUUUUUAUGUUUUAGAAUAGUAAGACAUCAAUUUAUUUAAAAUAAUGCUUCAUAUCCAUUUCAUUUGGCUCAUAUUUUAUAGUAUAGAGUGGUUGAUUCUCGGCUUAACUACUCAUAUUUUAACGUGAACCCAUUUUUGUUCACUCCUUUUAUAUUAUACAAUUAUAUUAUUAUGAUAUUCUAAUUAUUAUUUUUGUCCUCACAUGUUUAAUCCUAUUCGUUUUAUUCUAUUUAUUAAUAAUCACUUCAUACUUAAAUACUUUAUAUCAUUCUCAAUGUCUAAUUAAUUAAUUAAUACUACCAACAUUCUUACAUCACCAAUAUAUAUAGUAAUGAUAAUUAAUAUAAUAUAAAUGAAUCACCUGGUGCCAAUAGUCCAUGACACACCAAGAUUCCCUUGUCUUUACAAAUUGAGAUUAUUUAGCAAUAUUCUUGUCAUUUACUUGAUAAAUUUAUUAAGAAAAUAAUUAUUCAUAUGAAUAUUUAUCUUAUUAUUCCUACUAAUAAAUGUUUAGUACUGAAUCUUGAAAAAUGAUAGGUAGAAUAUUAUAUAAUGCAAGGAUAAAAUAUAAAGAAUUUUUUUUUUAUCUCUUCUUAUUAUGUUAAAGGAGACGAGUAAAUGAAAAAGUAUCUGACUGACGCUUUAAUUUGAAAGUUAAUAUAAUAUCGUCUAAAAGUGUGGUUUAGUAAUUAAUAACACACAUUGAGGAUAAUGAGGUCUCAGAGUUUAAUUUUCAGCAAACGCAAAAAUACAUAAGUGAUUUUUUUUAAAUAUGCGUCUAAGUUUAUCCUCUACCAAAUCGCUCUUCCUUUUUUAAGUGCAAGGACAAUGGAGGAUUACGUGCUUUAAUCUGUCUGAUUAAUCUUUUGUUUAAUUUUUUUUCCAUGCAGUAUAUUCUUGAAUCAUUCUGAUUAUUAUACAAAAUGUUAAGAAUUUUAAUUAUAAUUUGUUCAACAACCAUAGAUUAGCACCAUAUCUUAUUGAUCCACCUCCCUUGAUUAAUGAAAUAAUUAGAGUGACCAUUAUGGGAUAUCUAUGACACGAUCGAAUGUCACCAAAUCCAAUAAUUAAAAGAUACUUAAUAUAUAUAAUCACAUUUCUUGUUUAUUUCUUUGUUCUUUUUGGUAUUUGUUUUAGGAAAGCUACUAGCUAGGUUAACUGGUUAAGUACUAAUUGUGUUGCUAAAAGAUUUAGGAGGUGUGUGGUAUAGAUUAACUAAAUUUUUUUUAGAAGAUAGGUUUCACUUUUCUUAUAUAUAGUUGGUUAAUUUUUUUUUAAAAUAUUUUUUUAUUAAAAAAUAUUUUUUUUAAAUAAUAAAAAAAAUGACCUUUUAUUGAAAAAAAAAAUAUAUUGUAACAUUUCACUCUUCUCCAUCCUCGCACCCCACUUUCAUAGCCUCCAUGUCCACAUUCACAUACAUCUCCAAACAUAUAUGUAAAUUGAAUAUGUUAUUUUUGAGUUCGUUUUCGCAUUCAUUUAGUAAUGCUACUGUUAAAGAAUGACAAAAGUCUCACAUCGGUAAUUAAUGAGAUGAGUGGACUAUUUAUAAGGCUUGGGCAAUCCUCCUCCCUUUGAGCUAGCUUUUGAGAUUUGAGUUAGGCCUAAGACCUAAUUUCACACCUACUUUCACUUUUACUUGUAUAUCUACUAAAAUAUAAAUAUUUAUUUUUAUUUAUUCAGUUUAAAAAAUUAAAAAAUAGUUCAUCGCUUAGUUCAUAAGUUACCUUUAUUAUCAACUAUAAUCUUUUUCAAAUAUUUCCUAAGCCAUUGAAUCUAUUAUAUUCAAAAAUAAUAAUAUAGUAAAAAAUUAUCAUUUUAUUUAUUACUCCUCCUGAUUAAGAGACGUAUCUGUUAAAUAAAAAGAUAUUUUCCAUUAAUUAGUUAGUUGUAUCUUGUUAGUUAUAUUGUUAGAGAGGUAGUUAGAGUUUGUUAGAGUUGUUAAUGAAAUGUAUAAAUAUAAUAUGUACAGAUUGUUGAAUACAAGUUGAAUAUACACAAACAUUAUAUUUCCUCUCUUCUCUUCUCUUCUCUCAUCUUGAAGGUCCUCACAUGGUGAAGAUCAAGGAUCUUAACAUGGUAUCAGAGCUUGAGUAAUUGAUCUCAUAUUCUUUCGAUCUUCUCUGCUUCUGGUUCACGUUUCAUCUCUUUUCUUUACUGUUUCUGUUUUCUCCUGUUCGACACCUCAACAAUGGUGAAUGCUAGCUCACCUGCAGAUCUGGAAAUUGGAGUUGGAGUUGUACCUACUAUGGUAACAAUCGAUCAACAUCAUCCUUUGUUUCUUAAGCCCAAUGAUACGCCAGGUAGUUCCUUAAUUUCGAUUAAACUAACAGGCCCUGAGAAUUAUGCAUUAUGGAGUAGUUCAAUGCGAAUUAAUCUGUUAGGUAAAAGCAAGUUAGGAUUUGUGGAUGGUCGAUAUCCUAAGGAGAAAUAUUAUGCUUCUCUUCAUGAUUUGUUGGGAAAAUGUAAUGCUAUAGUCCUUUCAUUGAUUAUGAACUCUGUAUGUACUGAAUUACUUAGUGGAAUUGUAUAUGCUACAAGUGCAUAUAAGGUGUGGACUGAUCUACAAGAACGAUUUGACAAGGUUAAUGGAUCUCGAGUCUUCUUCCUUCAUUCACAAAUUUCUACUCUUAACCAAGGAAUUUCUUCUGUUUCAACCUAUUUCUCAAAACUAAGGGAACUAUGGGCAGAAUUUGAUGCAUUGAUGCCAUGUCCUGGAUGUAAUUGUGCUGAGUCUAGGAAAUAUGUGGAACACUUUGAGUAUCAACGCCUUCUUCAAUUUCUUAUGGGUUUAAAUGAGUCUUACUCACAGUCUAUAAAUCACAUCAUGAUGAUGCUUCCUACUCCAUCGAUUAAUAAGGCAUAUGCCAUGAUCAUUUCUGAGGAAAGUAGAAGAUCUCUGGGUUCUUCUUCUUACAGCUCUGAAAUUGCUGAAGGGACAACCUUGUUUAGUAGUAAAAGCAACUCCAGUGUACGCACUAAUCAUCAGGGGAAUAAUUCCUCUUACAAGGGCAGAAGCAGAAGGAGUGAUCUCUACUGUGAUCAUUGUCAUCUCACAGGUCAUACAAAAGCAGUUUGUUACAAGUUAAUUGGAUAUCCUCCAGAUUAUAAAUUCAAGAAGAAAACAGGGUCAUAUAUCAAAGACGAUGAAACUAGUAAGGGCAAUCCUAAUCCUAGUGAUAUUGGAAAUCAGUUUGGGGGUCAAUCUGCCAAUUUUGCAGGAUCUUCUCACAUGUCUAAAGGUUCUACUGAUGCAUUUGGUGUUAUUCCUCAAUUUACUGAGCAACAAUACAAACAGAUCUUAACCAUGCUUGAUUCAGAAAAGUCUGAAGCUGAUCAUGUAGCCUCGACAACAGGUAUGAUCCCUCAUAGGCUCAUACUACUAUCACUUCAGAUGAUGUUAAGUGGAUAGUGGAUUCUGGUGCUUGUAGUCAUAUGGUUAGUUCUGUUGAGCUGUUAUCCCACACUACAACAGUAAACAAGAAUGGUCUAGGCAAAGUUUAUUUGCCUACUAGUAAUGUAGUCAAUGUAACUCACACAGGAUCAUCUUGUCUCUUUCCUGGUCAAGAGAUAACCAAUGUCAUGCAUAUUCCUGAGUUCAAAUACAAUUUGUUGUCUGUUUCUCAACUGACAAAGGAGCUUCAGUGUGCUGUAUUAUUCUAUCCUGAUUUUCGUAUUCUUCAGGAUCUCUCAAGUGGCAAGGUGAAGGGGAUUGGUAAAGAAGAAAAUGGCUUGUAUGUGUUCCAAUCAGGUCAUAAGAAAGCAUUUACAGCAAAUGUUGCUGCUGCAGCUACUAAUGUUUGUUCUUCAUCACUUGGAGUGUCUUCUGAUAGCUAUAGUAUGAGUAUGAAUCUUUGGCACAAGAGGUUGGGUUACACCUCUUCUGUUACUAUAAGCCAGUUGUUUGGUCCUACUUCUACACAUUGGGACAAAUGUAUCAAGAGUUGUAAUGUGUGUCCUUUAGCAAAACAAACUAGACUGUCUUUUCCAUUAAGCACUACUACAUCUGAGUGUUGUUUUCAAUUUGUUCAUGGUGAUGUAUGGGGUCCUUAUAGAGUUCCUACUCAUAAUGGAAAAAAAUACUUUCUUACACUUGUUGAUGACUAUUCUCGAUAUACUUGGUUGUUUCUACUACCUUCUAAAGCUGAUGUUGUUGUUGUGAUUAAGGAAUUUCUGCUUAUGGUUCAGACUAUUUAUUCUUCUGUAGUGAAGUGUCUUAGGACUGAUAAUGGGUGUGAGUUCUUUAACUCACAAAUGAAUGGAUUGCUAAAGUCUUUUGGUACUGUUCAUCAAAGUUCUUGCUCUUACAGUCCACAACAAAAUGGAGUGGCAGAGAGGAAAUAUAGACACAUUUUAGAAGUAGCAAGAACUAUCAGAUUUCAGGUUGGUGUACCAUUGAAAUUUUGGGGUUAUUAUGUGACCACUGCAGUAUAUAUAAUUAAUAGACUGCCUUCUGCAAUCAUUCAAGAUAAAUCUCCUUUUGCGAGACUUCAUAGACACUCACCUUCUCUAGCUCACAUGAAAGUAUUUGGCUGUUUGGGGUAUGUAACUCAGGUGAGAAAGGUGGACAAAUUUUCUCCAAGGGCUAUUCCUGCAGUAUUUCUUGGUUACUCGGUGUCAAAAAAGGGCUAUACUAUGUAUGAUUUGGAGUCCAAAGUAUUUUUGACAAGUAGCGAUGUCUUAUUUCAGGAAGAUUCUUUUCCUUUCAAGACAACUUCCAUUUCUCCUUCUCAUUUGUUUUCCCCGAAGGAAGAUGAACUGCAGCCAUCCUAUAUAGAGAAUAAUGCUUAGUCAUCCUUCAAUGUUCCUGCUCCUUCCUCUUCUGCAUAUGUUCCUUCUAUGGAUAUUACUUCAAUAGGUGAUGCUUCUGUUUCUGAAUCUUCAGCACUACAAUCUCCAGCAGUACCUGUUAGUAGAAAAUCUUCUAGGACUACUAAGCCUCCUAUUUGGAUGCAUGACUAUGUCCCACAAGCAAAGGAAGUGUAAAUUGUUGUUAUCCAGUAUCUGAUGUGGUUAGUUUUGAUCACUUAUCACCUGUGUUUAGGGCUGCUUUAGCAUCUUAUUCUGUCAUCAAAGAACCUACUUCUUAUACUGAGGCUAUUAAAGAUCCAAAUUGGGUUGCUGCUAUGCAAUUUGAAAUUCAAGCAUUACAAGAUAAUAACACUUGGAGUUUAGUUGAACUACCAGCUGGAAAGAAACCUAUUGGGUGUAAAUGGGUGUUCAAAGUUAAAUACACAUCUUCUGGAGCUGUGGAAAGGUACAAGGCUCGACUUGUAGCAAAGAGUUAUUGCCAACAAGAGGGGUUAGAUUACACUGAGACCUUCUCUCCAAUUGCUAAGAUGGUUACUGUCAGGUCAGUUGUGGCUGUGGCAGCAGCUAAAUAUUGGUCUAUUUUUCAAAUGGAUGUUCAUAAUGCUUUUCUUCAAGGAGAUUUAGUGGAGGAAGUGUAUUUGGAGGUUUCUUCUGGUUUUGGUAGCCAGGAGGGGAAGCAUGUUAUCUGCAAAUUACAUAAGUCUCUUUAUGGACUCAAACAGGCACCUAGGCAAUGGAAUAAGCUUUCUUGGAAUUGAAUUUGUGAGAUCACAAAAGGGAAUAGUGAUGAGCCAAAGGAAGUAUGUAUUGGAACUAAUUAGUGAGUUGGGAUUGAGUGGCACUAAACCAGUUAACACACCUUUGGAGACGAAUCUAAAACUUACAUCAGUUGACUAUGAUGAUUUUAUAACUAAGGAAGCAGGUUCUACAAAUGAAGAUAUAUUACUUGUUGAUCCUACUCAAUAUCAACGGCUAGUAGGAAAGUUAUUAUAUCUUACUAUGACUAGAGUUGACAUUGCACAUGUAGUGCAAGUGCUAAGUCAAUUCAUGCACAGUCCCAAACAAUCUCACAUGAAUGUUGCCUUAAGAGUAGUGAAAUAUAUAAAAAAUGCUCCAGGUCUUGGUCUUCUAAUGCCCUCAGAUAGUUCUGGAAAAUUUGUAGCAUAUUGUGACUCUGACUGGGGUGGUUGUUUACAGACUAGGAGGUCUGUCACAGGAUACUUAGUGAAGUUUGGCAAUGCUAUAGUGUCUUGGAAGUCAAAGAAACAAGAAACAGUAGCUAGAAGCUCUGCUGAAGCAGAGUUUAGAAGCAUGGCUUCUGUUGUGGCUGAAGUAACUUGAUUGAUUGGUUUGUAUAAAGAGUUGGGAAUCAGUAUUGAGGUUCCAAUUUGUCUCUAUUGUGAUAGCAAAGCUGCUAUUCAGAUUGCAGCAAAUCCCAUUUUUCAUGAAAGAACUAAGCACAUUGACAUUGAUUGUCAUUUUGUGAGAGACAAGAUUAUACAAGGUAUUAUCAAAACUCAUUAUGUUUCUACUAAGGAACAGCAGGCUGAUCUAUUAACCAAGAGUCUUGGCAGGCAACAACAUGAACACUUAAUGACCAAACUGUGCUUGAAGGAUUUAUUCAAAUCAUCAAUUUGAGGGAGGAUGUUAAAUAAAAAGAUAUUUUCCAUUAAUUAGUUAGUUGUAUCUUGUUAGUUAUAUUGUUAGAGAGGUAGUUAGAGUUUGUUAGAGUUGUUAAUGAAAUGUAUAAAUACAAUAUGUACAGAUUGUUGAAUACAAGUUGAAUAUACACAAACAUUAUAUUUCCUCUCUUCUCUUCUCUUCUCUUCUCUUCUCUCAUCUUGAAGGUCCUCACAUGGUGAAGAUCAAGGAUCUUAACAGUGUCAAGUUAAUAUUAUUGACGAAAUAAAAAAUAGUAAAUAGUCAGGGGGUAUAUAAGCUAUAUGGAUCUUUUAUAGGUAAGUGCUCAUUCAUUUCAAUCUUUGGUGAUAGGUGAUCGCCCAAUAUUGAUAUCAUAUAUGAUUAGGACAACCACAUUUACAACCUAUAUCACCAACUCUCCCACUAAAUAGGCCAUUAUAUUUUGGCUUAACAUAGUAGUAAUUAUAUUAAGUUUGUCUAGUCUAAUAGUUAUGAUUAAGACCUUGAAUUUUAUUAUUGUUUUCCUCAUUUUGUUUAAUUUGUGGAAAUUUUUGUAUUCAAGAAUUGUUUUAAAUACAAUUAACUUAAAAGUUUAGACGUAAUUUAUUUAUUCUUCCUAUAAAAUGUAAAAGUAUGUAUCUGUUUUGUCACUACAUGGACGUCCAUAAGCCAUGAGAGAGUAAAAGUGGUUGAACACAAGUCUUUCUGGUUAAGUUAAAUUUUAAAUUUUAAACAUCACAAUUUUAAAUUCGUUACCCUCCACCGAAUGAAGAGUUAUAAACUAAUAAAAUCAAUUAUGGAUCAAUCCGUUUAACGAGGGAUAAAUUUGAUAAAAUUAAUAAAAGAAAGAUUAUAACUUCAUUUUAACGACAAAGAUAAAAUUUAAAUAAUAGAUCAAAGUUGAAGGAUAUUUUUGACCCUCUUUCCCUUUAUUUCUUCUUCCUAUAAAAUAAAGGCGUUAUCAGUUUUCCUUUAAUGAGUAUCCGGUUUGUCACUUCAUGGACGUCCAUAAGCCAUGAGACAAUGAGUGGUUGAACGCAGUGUCUCUCUAGUUAAGUUAGAUUUUAGUCUUUUCGACUUAACACAUAUGUCAUUUAAUUUGAUCUAAAUAAAAUCAAAUAAAUAAAAAAACAUGCAUCCUCCUAAGCUACUUACUCAAAUCAUUGAUGAUACAGAAAUGGGGCUGCAUUUGGAAAAUUAAUAUUAAAUUAAGUCGAUACAAGAAUAUAUCGUAAUGGUAUCAUAUAGAAAAUUAAUAAAUAAUAAAGUUUUGUUUAAUUGUUUUUCUUUUUGCAUCUUUAACAUAUUAAUUCUGUUAACAUGACUUUCUUAUUUGUAGCACACUUUUUAUAUAUUUUACUCAUGUCAAGAACCUCUUUUGCGUACCAUACACACAGUGCACUUGAAAUGGUGCUAUUUCUUUUAUAUUAUUAUCCUCUCCAAAAAAAAUGUCACUUGCUUGGCUCAGGAAGAAGAAUAGAAUGUGUAUAGUUAAAUAAUAAAAGUAUACUCUUAGAUAAAAUGGUCACACACCUCAAUCAAAAGUUUCUCAAAUGAAGAGUUAUAAACUAAUACAACACCAUAAAUAACCACUAGCAAAAAAAAAAAGGAGGGGAAAGUCAAAUAUUUGAGAGAAUGGGUAAAUGCAUUAAGGUUAUUUGGGAGAAUGGAGUCGGGUUAUUGAGGUUUAAAUAAGGAAUAUAAUUUAUUUUUUUUUUUUAAAAUGAGAUCAAUUUGGGUCAAUCCAUCUAAUGAGGGGUAAAUUUGGUGAAAUUAAUAAAAGAAAGGAUAAAAUUAACUUCAUUUUAAUGAUGAGGGUAAAAUUUAAAAAAAUAAAUCAAAGUUAGAAGGAUAUUUUUGUCCCUCUUUCCCUUUAUUUGUUCUUCCUAUAAUAUAAAGGCGUCAUCAGUUUUCCUUUAAUGAGUAUCCGGUUUGUCACUUCAUGGACGUCCAUAAGCCAUGAGACAACGAGUGGUUGAACACAAUGUCACUGUAGUUAAGUUAGAUUUUAGACCUUCCCACUUUAACACAUAAAUAUGUUAUUUAGUUUGAUCUGAAUAAAAUCGAAUAAAUAAAUAUAUGCACUUACUCAAAUCAUAGAUGAUACAGAAAUGGGGCUGCAUUUGGAAAAUUAAUAUAAAAUUAAGUCGAUACCUUCAACUCGGUGCACAAGAAUAUAUCGUAAUGGUAUCAUAUAAAAAAUUAAUAAAUAAUCAAGUUUUGUUUAAUUGUUUUACUUUUUGCAUCUUUAACAUAUUAAUUCUGUUAACAUGACUUCCUUAUUUGUUGCACACUUUUUUAUAUAUUUUACUCAUGUCGAGAACCUCUUUUGCUUACCCCACACACAUUGCACUUGAAAUGGUGCUAUUUCUUUCCUUAUCACAAAAUAAGUCAUCCUUUUCGACUUACAGCCAUGAGCUAACACUUUUAAAAUGGCAAUCCAAACAGGCUCUUGCCAGUCAACAACGACGAAUUGGUCGAUGAAAGUUAGAAACAUGGCAAGUUAAAUUCACCAAUAUACAUAAUUCACGCAAGUAAAACGUCACUGAUAUAGAAAUCCCCGAUAGACGAAACAUACGAGAGAUCAAAGGGAGUAUAGUACAGAGGUAGAAGAAAUGUAACAAUAAGUAAACAAGCACAUCCAAGUCCUCCCAUUGCUAAACUUCAUUCAUGUAUAGAGGAUUUUGCAGAAGAACAGAGAUCCAAGGUGAACAACAGAUCAAACUAUGAGAGGAAAAAGUCUGGGGGAAAACGAGAAGACCAAAAUCCAUAUAUAAGAUCAUGAAAACCUGAAAGUUUCGACCCAAUCCAAAAGUAAACAAACUGAAGGGGACGGGCAGACGCUUUACGUUGCACACAAUCCUCAUCGAUUUUCGCAUCAAAUGAACAACAUUCUUUUGCUAAUCAACUGGAAAACAAGUAAUCCACUACAUCCUUCUCUUAUCUUCUUCAUGGCCAAACUCUCUUUCCUUUCACUCUCAAAACAUCCUAGAAACUUCACACACAACCAUUACAGAUAUGGCUUGGACACAACAUCCUAGUUUUAAACUUUCUACAACCUCUAUGUUUUACAGCAAUAGAUGCAAAACUCAUUCUUAUCAAAACAAAGAACCACAAAAAAAAGGAAUCCCACUCAACCCAACACUACUCGCUCUAGUUGAUUCUAUCCCCAUAACUUGUCACUCCAUAAAAGAUAACUAGUUCCAAUUACUACUACAAAUGGGGAGCAAGAAAUGUCUAUACAAUGUCUAUUUGAUUUUAGUUGCAAAUACUAAACUAAAUAAUUACUCAAUUCAGACAUCAUAAUAAUAUAUGAUACCAAAAGUUCUAUACAACAAAUUACUUGUGAAUGUCUAAUUGACAAAAGACAAUGCAAGAGAAUCACAUUUGAAUAGGCUAGUCUAAUUAGUUCAUAACAAUCGAAUCUAUAUCAGAACGACAACCAAGAGGAUAAUCUGUUAGAACAUCAAUUCUAUUUGACAUAGAAUCACCUAACAUCUGUUGAACUUAAGCAGCAGGCGCAUAAUUGACACAAACUCUGAUAAUAAUGUCAAAACAUUAUCAAUCAUUUGAAAAUGUCGAAGGCAGAGAGUCAAGGAUCCAGAAAAAAUUAUACGCCAAUUUGUUGUAAAAAGUAUUUCAAACAAUUCCAAGUUCAAAUCUCCAUUAACUAAUCCAAAAACAGUAACUUUAACACAAAAAAAAGUAACUAACAACUCAAAUCAAAUCUAGGCGGUAAGAACAACAGCACCACCAUUUUCCUUGAUCUUCUUCUCUGCAUUCUUUGAGACCAACUUAGCCUUAACAACAACAGGCUGUCCCGUAGGCAAAACACCUUUACCCAAAACCUUGAAAUACCCAAAUUGGGUAACAUCAAUCAACGGGGCAGUACCCUUAUUGGCAGCAGCCUUGUCUUUCACCUCUUGAGGAAGGAGAGACCAUAGAGUGUCGAUGUUGACAGUAGGGCAAUAGAAUUUGUUACGAAGCUUGUGGAAAUAACGCAUACCUACUUUACCGAAGUAACCAGGAUGGUACUUGUCGAAAAGGAUCCUGUGAUGGUGCAUACCUCCGGCGUUACCUCUUCCUCCUGGAUGCUUCCUGUGCUUUCCGAUACGACCAUGUCCGGCGCUGACGUGACCACGCUUCUUCCUGUUCUUCUUGAAUCUGGUAGUCAUUUUCUCCUCGGCUGCGGCGGCAAAAUGGGGAAAAGGGAAAGUGCGGCAGUGAGAGAAUGGUAAGUCUAGGGUUUUCAGACAUUUAUAGAUGGAAGAUCGAUGGAUUGGGCCCAAUAGCAAUUUUUGCCAUUAGGGUUUUGACAGGGCUGUUAGUAGUUAGAUAUGGGCUUGGGUGAAAUUUGGAUAAUUGUAGCGAGAAUAUGAAGGAGAGAGCGACUGACAAACAGUUUGCUAUAGAAUACAAAUAAAUUAAGCGGUAGCUAUUUAUUUAUUUUAUAUUGUUAGUCUGUGAUUGUAUACAAUUAUCCCAAUUUUUGUAUUUGGUGGUAAAUAUAAGGGAAACUUUUACAUAUAGCCAGUUAAAAAUAAUUAAUUACUCUCCAUAGCUAUAGUUUAAUAAUUACAAUUCGUAAUUACAUGUUAUAUGGAGGAGAGAGGUGAGCGAGACUGGAAGAGAGAGGAGAGAGGCGAGAGGGGGGGGGGGAAGAGUGGGAGAAAGGUGAAUAUAUUGGUUAGAUAAUUGUAUAUUAUACAUAGGUAUUUGUAUAUAUGGAAACAGAGAUUGAGAGAGGGAGGAGAGAGGCAAGCGAGACUGGAAGAGAGAGGGUGGAGAGAGGCGAGCGAGAUUGAUAGAGGGGGAGAAUAGCGAGCGAGAGAAGGCAGAGAGUGGGAGAGAGGUGAAUUGUAUAUGUAUAUAAUUGUAUAUUAUACAUAUACAUUUGUAUAAAUGGCAAGCGAGAUUCGGAGAGGGAGGAGAGAGGUGAGCGAAAUUGAGAUAGGGAGGAGAGAGACGAGUGAGAUUGAGAGUGGGAAAAGAGAAGCGAGCGAGAGAGGGCAGAGAUGGGGAGAGGUGAAUUAUAUAUGUAUAUUGGUUUAAAAAUUGUAUAUGAUACAUAUUUAUUUGUAUACCCUGGCGAAUUAUACAUAUACAAACAUGAUUAAUUAUAUAAACUCGAAGUUAUCGCACGUAAUGAAUGUAUAAUGUUAGUCGCGAGUGAUAAUUAUAGCAAAUUAUAGCUAUGAUGAGUAAUUAAAUAGUAUAAGUUUGUUUAGCCGCGUAAUUUCCCCUGAAUAUAAGUGAAAAGAAAAAAUAAUUUUUUCGUGUUUUUCAAAUUUCUUAAAAAUAAUUCGAUGAAAGUUUUUCACUAGACUGCGAAAAACACAUUUAGCCAUAAAAUUCUAAAAAUUAACUUCAAGUUAAAUUUCUUAAUUUUUCAAAAAUUUAAAAAAGCAACAAAAAAAUAUUUCUACUUCUAUUUUUCACUCCAUUUAACUUACAAAAAAAAUUAAAAUAACUCCAAUUUAUAUUCGUGAUCGAACACAAUUGCAUGCAAAUUUUAACUAUCAUUUUUUCACUUUGAAGAUAAUCAAUCACCAAUUAAUAAUUGAUUUUAUUUCAGAUGAAAUAGCAUAUAAGGGACAACAAACAAACAACACAUCAAAUUGGUGAUGAAGUUGAGGUUGCAAGUCAAGAGUUGUUAGGCUUUAUAGGUUCUUACUUGCGUGCAACUAUUCUUUACCCCGUUGGCGCUUUACAUUACAAAGUCCAAUACAAGACUCUUGUGAUUGAUGAUGAAAUCGCGCCACUAGAAGAGACUGUAUGUGUCUCUGAGGUCCGUCCUGUUCCACCUACUCUUGCAUCUGAAACAAGGUAAAUGGUAAAAUAUGAUAUUGUAGAUUUGAAGAAAUUUUUUUGUUAUUGUAGUCUCUACAUGUUUAAGAACUUUGUUACAUUCUUUUUUUCCCAAUAUUUUGAUUGAAUUUGCCUGUUAAUAUGCAUUUUGCAUUUUCAUGUUGCCUUUGAUUAAAACUCUGUUUUGGCUGCCAACCACUCUACACACUUAUAAUUCUAUAUCUAUUUAGUACCUGGUGUAGGUAUGUACUUAAUGGUAAGAAAAAUAUGCACGAGGCAGACGCGAAAUCCAGGGGAAAUAGGAGAUCAUAAAUGCUUAAAGAAUUAGCAAAUUAUAAUGGUUGUUACUAUCAAAGACACCAAUUUGUCAAGAUCUACAGGGUUCUUGGACAUGUCACAUUCUAAGUAAAAACUAUACCUUUAAUGUAAAAGAAACUUUGUAUUUCUCUUUGGACAUGAACCUUUUUCUCACAUGGAAAGUUUUGGACCAUAUCAUAAUGUUCUGAUAUUACAAUUCAAUUUGAAGGAUCAAAAUGUAUGGUGUAUUCAACAUGUUGGAAUACCAGUGUUUAUCAUGUAGAACUGAGUGUUAAACACGCAUGAAAAUUGACUUUUUAGUGAAAAGUGCUAGUUAAGUUCAGUCAAGUGUAAACCAUUCAUUUUGCCUUUAGACUCAUUUAGGAUUCUUAAGAAGCAAAUACUGUUGUCUGUGUUGCAGUAGAAAUGAUUCCUUUAUGAAGUAAACAUCGUCGAGUUAUAUGCAAGAGAACUUAAUAACAGAAACUUAAUAUUUACUAUUAUAGUAAGCUAAAGUACUGGGAAGAAAACUUGUUACAUUGUUUUCUCAAUCGAAUUUUCUGGAAAAGCAUAUGCAUUCAAGGAAAUUCCUUGUAAUCUCAGGCUGCCUUAGAUUACAACUCUGUUUUGGCUGCUGCACUUGGCUAACCACUUUAACCUCUCAGAACUCUGGUGCAUUUUUUUGAACAUAUUCUCCUAUAUCUUGUCCAUUCUUUACUAGCCUGAAAUGGACAAAUAAUAGCAUUAUAGCAUGCUUGAACUUUGAUAAUUUCAUGUUGUGGUGGAGAACUAUGUUUACCUCGUGGAACGCGGUGGCCUGUUUCCAAUAAUAAGGCUUGUAAUGUUGACAACAGGUAUAAGGUCAAGUAAUGCUUUAGCUGGUGAAUUGCUUUCCACAAGCAUAGUAUCAACUGGUACCUAGCAGCCAAAGUAAAAUCAAGAACUGUCCUGUAACAAUGUUUUCGAAUAUUGGAUGUGAAGAUUCUGAUUGAUAUAGACUUGAACCUACUUUGGCAUCGUUGCAUAGGCGAAUGUAUUUCACCAAGAGACUCUUCCUCCUAUUAUUCUCUUCAUUGAUGUAGACUUGCACUUGCUCUUUGCUCAAUUGGCUUCUUGAUAAGUUCCCAACUAUCAUACAAAAUUCAACUUAGCUGUCAAAUUUUCCUCAGUUUCUAUAUAAAAAAAUAGCUUGGUGCUCAAAGCAUCUCGCGUUUCACGCAGGAGCAAGGUAAACAUCGCGCCCAUAGGGGUGUGUAAUGUAAGCAAUCUAUCCUAAUGCAAGUAUCGGUGCAAGGCAUCCUGCAUUCAUGUAAGGUACGUGGAAGGGCUUCACCCUGAGGGGGUUUAAUAUAAGCACCCUGCCCUGAUGCACUUGUUAGUGGCUGAUUAUCCACGUCAUGAACCUAUAAUCUAUAUGUCACAAGUUCGAGUCAAUUUUACCAGUGAUCCAAGCAGUCGUGUAGCCACAUUGGACACCCUUCGUCGGAAUAUUAUAUCGUAUAUACAAGUAAAAUGACACAACAAUAUGAUGUAGCCUAGUGGUUUCAGGCACCUUGAAAUAGUAAAGAUACAAAAAAUUAAAGUGUUUGUGUGUUUAGAUUUCACUACUAGCAAAAAAAAUUCACUUUUUAAGAAGAGCAGAUUCACUUUAGCAUUUCGACACCCUUCGUGAAAAUCCUGGAUCGAAGGCUCCACAUCCCUUUGUUCCUAGAAAGUAUUCACCUAUUAACUAACUUUUAUCUGACUUAAGACAAGAUAUAUGAUGAAAAAUCCUAGGAUUCUUGUCACUAUUGAGAUAGCAGCAGCAACAAGAAAAUUGAACCAUUAUAUUCAAUAUACUCUUGAAUUUCCUGAUUAUUGAAUGAAUCGCUGACGUGAUAUAUCGAAUAUAGAGAUAUGUAUGUACAAGAACAAUAGUUACCUGGUGUUGGAAUGUACUUGAUAGUAGGAAAAAUAUGCACGAGGCAGACGCGAAAUCCAGGGGAAACAGCAUGAUCAAGUGCCCAUUGAACAACAUACAAGUCAUUUUUUCCAACAACUACAUAAACAUCAUUAGUUUCUGCAUCUUUUAUUGUACUACUCUUGCUAUCUUCUCCAAUCUCUUCGAUUUCCCUAGACAUCUCUUUCGACAAAUCUUGAAUAUAGCCGAUAACAACGAUGCUAGUUGUGGUGCUCAAUUCUGGUCCCUCAUUUGAUGGUGGUUUCUAGCGAAGACACCAACAAUGUAAUUUUUUUGUCAAGUUGUGGAGUGUUUCUUGGAUAUGUCACAGUCUAUGUAACAACUGUUCCUUUGAUGUAAAAAGAAACUUUUUUUAAUGCUUAUAGAAAAGAAUGAUGGUGGUUGCUAACAAAGACACCAAUAAAAUGAAAAAAAAAAGGAGAGUUUUAUGUGAAUUUUUUUUUCAUGUCUAACAUCUGUAGCCUGUAGGGUUCUUGGACAUGCCAUAUUCUAAGUAAAAAUUGUUCCUUUUUUAUGUAAAAGAAACAUUUUUUUUUUCACAUGGGCAAGUUUUAUUGGACCAUAUCACAAUUUUAUGAUAGUGCAAGUCAAUUUCUAAUGCUUUGAUUUUUCUCUUUUUCCUUUACUUGUGAUCUGUUUUUUCCAGAAUUGUCUCUUUCCAUGCUUAAAGGAUCAAAAUGUUAUAGUCUAUGCAACAAAUCUAACUAUUAUUAUAACCAUACAACAUUAAAGUAUCCGAUUGAGUCAGACAUUUUAUUAAGGAGUGUUAAAAUGUAAGUAUGUAAACAUAUCCUAACAAAAAAGAUCAAAAUGUAUAGUCUAUGCAACACAUCUAACUAUUACUAUGACAAUAAAAGAUUAAAGUAUGUGAUAGAGUCAGAUAUUUUAUUAAGGAGUCUUAAAACGUAAGUAUGACAUACCUGAAGAAAAAAGAAAAAAGAAGAUCCGAUGAAGUCAGACAUUUUAUUAAGGAAUGUUAAAAUGUAAGUAUGUAAACAUACCCCAACAAAAAAGAACAAAAUGUAUAGUCUAUGCAACACAUCUAACCAUUACUAUAACAACAAAAGAUUAAAGUAUCAUACCCCAACAAAAAAGAUCAAAAUGUGUAGUCUAUGCGCGAAGACAAAAGAAAAAGAAGGGAGUCUGUCAGACAGCCAUGAGACCAUCUUAGUAUGCCCGAUGACAAAAGAAAAAGAAGGGAGUGUGUCAGACAGCCAUGAGACCAUCUUAGUAUGCCCGAAGAAAAAAGAAAAAAAAGGAAGUCUGUCAGACAGCCAUGAGACCAUCUUAGUAUGCCCGAAGAAAAAAGAAAAAGAAGAGAGUCUGUCAGACAGCCAUGAGACCAUCUUAGACCCGAGAUCUCCGGUCUAAGAACGAUCAUCUACUGCAUCCACAGCUCGAGGAGCUAUGGAAGGCUGUUAAUCACGCUCUAGUCACCAUUACUAUAACAACAAAAGAUUAAAGUAUCAUACCCCAACAAAAAAGAUCAAAAUGUGUAGUCUAUGCGCGAAGACAAAAGAAAAAGAAGGGAGUCUGUCAGACAGCCAUGAGACCAUCUUAGUAUGCCCGAAGAUAAAAGAAAAAGAAGGGAGUGUGUCAGACAGCCAUGAGACCAUCUUAGUAUGCCCGAAGAAAAAAGAAAAAGAAGAGAGUCUGUCAGACAGCCAUGAGACCAUCUUAGACCCGAGAUCUCAGGUCUAAGAACGAUCAUCUACUGCAUCCACAGCUCGAGGAGCUAUGGAAGGCUGUUAAUCACGCUCUAGUCACCAUUACUAUAACAACAAAAGAUUAAAGUAUCAUACCCCAACAAAAAAGAUCAAAAUGUGUAGUCUAUGCGCGAAGACAAAAGAAAAAGAAGGGAGUCUGUCAGACAGCCAUGAGACCAUCUUAGUAUGCCCGAAGAUAAAAGAAAAAGAAGGGAGUGUGUCAGACAGCCAUGAGACCAUCUUAGUAUGCCCGAAGAAAAAAAAAAAAGUCUGUCAGACAGCCAUGAGACCAUCUUAGACCCGAGAUCUCAGGUCUAAGAACGAUCAUCUACUGCAUCCACAGCUCGAGGAGCUAUGGAAGGCUGUUAAUCACGCUCUAGUCACCAUUACUAUAACAACAAAAGAUUAAAGUAUCAUACCCCAACAAAAAAGAUCAAAAUGUGUAGUCUAUGCGCGAAGACAAAAGAAAAAGAAGGGAGUGUGUCAGACAGCCAUGAGACCAUCUUAGUAUGCCCGAAGACAAAAGAAAAAGAAGGGAGUGUGUCAGACAGCCAUGAGACCAUCUUAGACCCGAGAUCUCCGGUCUAAGAACGAUCAUCUACUGCAUCCACAGCUCGAGGAGCUAUGGAAGGCUGUUAAUCACGCUCUAGUCACCAUUACUAUAACAACAAAAGAUUAAAGUAUCAUACCCCAACAAAAAAGAUCAAAAUGUGUAGUCUAUGCGCGAAGACAAAAGAAAAAGAAGGGAGUCUGUCAGACAGCCAUGAGACCAUCUUAGUAUGCCCGAAGACAAAAGAAAAAGAAGGGAGUGUGUCAGACAGCCAUAAGACCAUCUUAGUAUGCCCGAAGAAAAAAGAAAAAAAGGGAGUCUGUCAGACAGCCAUGAGACCAUCUUAGUAUGCCCGAAGACAAAAGAAAAAGAAGGGAGUCUAUGCGCGAAGACAAAAGAAAAAGAAGGGAGUGUGUCAGACAGCCAUGAGACCAUCUUAGUAUGCCCGAAGACAAAAGAAAAAGAAGGGAGUGUGUCAGACAGCCAUGAGACCAUCUUAGUAUGCCCGAAGAAAAAAAAAAAGUCUGUCAGACAGCCAUGAGACCAUCUUAGACCCGAGAUCUCAGGUCUAAGAACGAUCAUCUACUGCAUCCACAGCUCGAGGAGCUAUGGAAGGCUGUUAAUCACGCUCUAGUCACCAUUACUAUAACAACAAAAGAUUAAAGUAUCAUACCCCAACAAAAAAGAUCAAAAUGUGUAGUCUAUGCGCGAAGACAAAAGAAAAAGAAGGGAGUCUGUCAGACAGCCAUGAGACCAUCUUAGUAUGCCCGAAGACAAAAGAAAAAGAAGGGAGUGUGUCAGACAGCCAUAAGACCAUCUUAGUAUGCCCGAAGAAAAAAGAAAAAAAGGGAGUCUGUCAGACAGCCAUGAGACCAUCUUAGUAUGCCCGAAGACAAAAGAAAAAGAAGGGAGUCUAUGCGCGAAGACAAAAGAAAAAGAAGGGAGUGUGUCAGACAGCCAUGAGACCAUCUUAGUAUGCCCGAAGACAAAAGAAAAAGAAGGGAGUGUGUCAGACAGCCAUGAGACCAUCUUAGUAUGCCCGAAGAAAAAAAAAAAAAGUCUGUCAGACAGCCAUGAGACCAUCUUAGACCCGAGAUCUCAGGUCUAAGAACGAUCAUCUACUGCAUCCACAGCUCGAGGAGCUAUGGAAGGCUGUUAAUCACGCUCUAGUCACCAUUACUAUAACAACAAAAGAUUAAAGUAUCAUACCCCAACAAAAAAGAUCAAAAUGUGUAGUCUAUGCGCGAAGACAAAAGAAAAAGAAGGGAGUGUGUCAGACAGCCAUGAGACCAUCUUAGUAUGCCCGAAGACAAAAGAAAAAGAAGGGAGUGUGUCAGACAGCCAUGAGACCAUCUUAGACCCGAGAUCUCCGGUCUAAGAACGAUCAUCUACUGCAUCCACAGCUCGAGGAGCUAUGGAAGGCUGUUAAUCACGCUCUAGUCACCAUUACUAUAACAACAAAAGAUUAAAGUAUCAUACCCCAACAAAAAAGAUCAAAAUGUGUAGUCUAUGCGCGAAGACAAAAGAAAAAGAAGGGAGUCUGUCAGACAGCCAUGAGACCAUCUUAGUAUGCCCGAAGACAAAAGAAAAAGAAGGGAGUGUGUCAGUCAGCCAUAAGACCAUCUUAGUAUGCCCGAAGAAAAAAGAAAAAAAGGGAGUCUGUCAGACAGCCAUGAGACCAACUUAGACCCAAGAUCUCCAGGUCUAAGAACGAUCAUCUACGGCAUCCACAUCAAGGAGCUAUGGAAGGCUGUUAAUCACGCUCUAGUCACAUGGCCAUGCUUCAUCAACCAGACUUGGAUUCCUGUCUUCUUAGAAUUUAAGAAUACGGUGGUACGAGCCUAUAGAACAGAUCCUGUUCAAGUAAGGUCGUGACAUAGGCUGUUGGAAUGGAGAAUAUAAUGCUGUAGCUUUUGUGUUCCGCUUCCGAUGUGGGAGUAGUAUAUCGGCCCGUCUCGCAGUCAACUGAAAUACAAAUUAAUAAAUAGACCUUACUCUUUUUUUUAAUUAUUGUUUUAUAGAAAAAAUAAUUAAGUACUAAUAAUUUUAUUGUAAGGUCAUCAAUCUUGUAAAAAUUAUCAUUCCUAAAACUCUCUGUUCUCUAAAGAAUCAUAAAUCAGUUAUUAUAGAUGAACUUGUGUUCACCAUAUGCAAUAUUAUAUAAAAUAAGAUUAUAUAUGACAAGGCUCGUGAGAUGGGUUGGGUUGGCAACAAAAGAGAUAAACAAAGAGAAUAUAUUUGUCGAUUUCAAAAGCUAUAAGAAAAGUUAAAUAUUAUCGACUCAUCUACGUCUCAUAUUAACAGAGGAGAAAACUUUAAUUUUACAGAUAGUUAUAUUGAAAUGGUAUUGCAAAAAUUUUGUUUAACCGUUCGGGCGAUAUAUGGGUGGCAAAAUUAAGUCCAAACCCACCCAACUUUACUCAAUCCAUUAAGGUUUGGGUUGGUUAUUAACUCUACAAUCUCAAUCCGACCCAUUAAAAAUUGAAUUGAUAUUUCAUCCAAAUUAUUUUUUGAGAAAUCUUAUCAAAAUAUUGUUAAAAAACUAUUUUUUGAUUUAUAUGUUAUAUAUAGUUAUAAUAAUGAAAAGAAUAAUUUUAUUUGAUACUAAAAGCUUGCAAAAUAACAAAUAAAGUUAUUCAAUUUAGUAAAAAUUGGGAUUUGAUUAUUGACCCGUUACUAAUUCGUUCUGAUCCAAUCCAUUUUGGCCCAAACAAAUUUAAUUGGAUUGAAUCUUAACCCAUUUUGAUCCAUUCAAAUUUAACAGAUGGAGUCCAAUUACCACCCUUACGGAGAUAUAAGUUAAAUGUUAAACCAACCAUAUAAUUUUAUGUUAGUAUUGUGCUCUCCAGAUGUGCUUGUUUCACCCUUUUUUUCUUAACUUAGACAAGAUUUUUUUUAAAACAACUCUGACCAAAAGAAAGAAAAAAGAGAAUAGCUCAAAUGGCGCGAUCUAAAUCUCAAUGUUAUUAAAAAUAGGCAUGAUAUUGGUCAAAUUUUUGUCUUUUUAACUCUAAAAAAAGUUAUGACAAUUAAAAAUAAAAGAAAAAAUUAUUAUAUAGUUCCAUAAUAAAAUCAUUUUAAUGAUUUAAAAUGUAUUUAUUGGUCUAUUCAUGUAAAAUCGUCUAAUAUAUGAAGUGCAAGUAUACAUUCCCCAAUUUUUUAAGCUUCCUUUCUGUUCACUAAAUUGUCUAUGGGGGGUUCAUUCACACACAAACAUCCAAAUAAAGCCAAAAAAAGAGUUACGUAUUCGAUUUGUUUUUAAGCAAAAUAAAACAAAUACGUGCAUUUUAAUGGUUGAUUAUUAUAUAUUUUAUUUUAGUAAGAAAAUUUAAUAUAUUUAAAUUUUAAUUGAAUUGCUAUAAUUAUUUUAAAUUUUGAGCAGGAUUUAUUAUCCUUGUAUUAUUUACUAGUGGGCAUAGUAUAUAUAUUGAAUUCUAAGAUUAGCUUCAAAUUUUAAUUUGACCUUCAACUUUUAUAGUGCACAAACAAAUACUUUAACUAUUCGACUUUUAAAUAAAUAACCAUGGGAUUUUUGGAGCCAGAGAGAGUGAAAUGUAAACGCUCUCACGUGUAUUAGUGAGUCACUCAAUAACUGUCAACUAAUUAAAUAUUUUACACGUCCAUCUUAGAAUUAAAAAUAAAUAAAUUAAAAUGAGAUUUUGAUUUGGAAAUAUAAAAAUAUAUAUAUAAGGGAUUCAUUAAGGGUAGAGUUGUCAUUUCAACAUUUUUUUACUGUUGUGGGCUUCAAAAAUUACUCCUAACUCGCGCGAAAUACGUGCACAUCACGCGUUUUGUCAGGUAGAAUUCGUGUGCUUAUUUAUUAAAAGGUUGGAUAGUUAAAGUCCAUAUUUGUGCACUAUAAAAGUUGGAGAUUGAAAUUAAAAUUUAAAACUAAUUUUAGUAUUUAAUAUAUGUAUUUUAUCUUUAGUGCAUUCGAGAUUGUUAUAACAUUUUUUAGCUCUAAAAAUUUCAAACAUAUUUACGACAUUUUUUCCCUAAUACUUUUGUCCAUCAACACUCCUUUAAAGAUAUCUUUUAUUUGAAUAAGACGCAAGAAUCUUUGAUAUUAUGGUAAAAUUAUGUAUAUGAAUUAUCAUAGAUUUUACCAAACAAACUUCAUAAAUAAUAUUUGAAACUCUAAAUUCUACUAUUGGUACUUCAUAUAUCUAUUUAAUUCUUCCUUGAUUUAAAAAACUAACUUAAAUCAAUUUAAAAGUAAUAGUUUACUUCUUUUCUUGAUAAUAUUAUUAUAUCAAUUUUCUAAUUGAUAUGACUGAUAUGUUUAAGGCUAAAAAAGGAUAAAAUUUAUUUGGGGGUUUACAUUAAAAUCAGAUCAAUAUAUGCAUAUUAUUUUUUAAAUUAGUAGUUUAUUUUACUUUAUUAGAUCACGUUAUAAUACAUUUUGUAUUGAUUUGAUGUAAACACUCAAUGUAUAUAAUUUUUUUUCGCUAGAAAAUUAAAGAGCAUUCUAAUAUAUUCGCUAUAAUUUAAAUUUAAAAUCAUAAAAUUGAUUAUUUUUUUAAAAUUCUGUGUUAAAUAAAAUGAAAUUAUUAUUUUUGAAACGGAAAAGGGUCAAAAUUGUCACUGAACUACCCUCCAUUAAAUUUUGGGAUCAAAAACACCCCAUGUUAUCCUAGGAGACCAUAAAUACCCUCAAGAGUUAACAUCCCAACUUUUUAGGGGUCGUUUGGUAUAAAAAAAUAAAAUAACGCGUGAAUUAGUAAUGCAGUGAUUAGUAAUGCAUGGAUUAGUAGUGCAGGGGUUAGUAAUGCAUGGUUUAUUUUUAUUUAGUGUUUGGUUCAUUGUUUCCAAUCCCAAUUUGUAUUUGAAAUUAAAUUCUUUAAAAAUCUCUUUUUCAAUUGUACCCUUAUAAUAUUAUGUAAGUGGGUCAAGGUAGAUAGUUAUCGGAAAAUAUUUCUUUUAUGACAUUCUAACUAGCUAUGAGAAGAAUAAUUUUGUUGUCAUGUUUUUAAUUUUCUACUUGAAUUAUUUGAGGAUAAAUAGCUUUCAUCUUAAUAAAUUGAUCACUAAUAAAAUGUUAAUUUUAAAUUUUAAAAAGAUAAACCAACUACUUUUAAAAUUAUAAAAGACGGUCAAUAAUUGGAAAAUUGAAUAAACCAUGUACAUUCACACAUAAAAAUUUUGCAAGUUAUAAUUUUAAAAUGUAUGUAAUUUUUUUAAAUAGUUCAAAAUACGAAUAAUUAGUGAUAUAUUUGUCUUUUAAUUAGUAAAUGUUAAAUAACUCACUUAUUAAAUUUGUAUUGAUUUGAAUUAGGUAUAUUUAGUUACAAAUAAGUCUCUCUAAAUAAUUUGUAAACUAAUUUAUUUAAAUAAUUUUAUUAGUACAAAUAUAAAACAUAAAAUUAAGAAAUUAAAAUAAAAAUUAAAAUGAUUUGAGGGAUAUUUUUUUCUUUAUGUGCUUAUCCCAUGGUAUUAUAUCCUAUGUAUUACUAAUACCUCCAAAUGGAAGGUAUUAGUAAAACAUCACAUAAUAUCAUGUAGGAUGUAUUAACUAAUCCAUGGAUUAGUUAUACAUAGGCUUACAUUCUCACCAAACACAGUAUUAAAUUAUACCACAUCUAAUACAUGGAUUAUUUCUUUUAAUACAGCCUACCAAACGCCCCCUUAGUGACAUGCCAUGCCAUGUGAGACUUAUCCCUCCAUCUAAAGGUUAUGAGUGACUUUUUGUGACGAUAAAAUCUAUUUUUUCAACAAAAAAAUAUGAUAAUUUAUUUUCGAUUGCAACCUAAUUUUCUAAAAUAAAUAACUUACAAUAUUAAUAUUAAAAACACCCAAUAUUAUUACGAAAAAUCAUGAAAUUCUUUCUCGAUUCAUAUCUCCUACUAGAUAAUGUAUCAUUGUACAUUUUAUAGAUUAACAUAUAACAUAAAAAUAAAACAUGCAAUGUCUUCAAAUUUCUACUUAAUCAAUAUCAUUUUUGUUUUUUUUUUUAAAUAAUAAAGAAAAAAACACAAAUCAAAAUUUAAUGUUAAAAACUUUUAGUGACAAUUUUUUGAGUUUUUGUGGCAACUAUUUUCGCCACUAAAAGUGUAGUUCUUUUGUAAUGAAUCCUAGUUGGCAAUGUUUAAGUGGAAGGAAUAGUCCACAUAGCUUUCCUAGUCAAUAAAAAUAUGAGGUGUUAACUCUUAAGGGUAUAUAUGGUCUCUUAGGUUAAUAGUAAGAGCAUUUCUGAUUUCAAAAUGUAACGAAGGGUAUAAGUUGUCUAUGUCACAUAGUUCAAAGACAAUUUUGAUCUUUUUUCGUUUUUGAAAAGAAGAAUAUCAAAUUACCAGCAGGCCCUUUCUUCUUCCACCAGGUGGUAUAUGCUGAGCCUAACACCUCAUCGACUCAGUCACUCGUCACACCUUAAGUGGACCCACCUUUAAUUUCCCAAAACGCCCUCGUCAGUCGUCGCGUUUUCCUCCCCCUAUAUAUAAGCUUUUCCCUCGGUCCCAAUUCAAAACCCUCGAAAUUUCAGAUUUCUCUAGAAGCUUCUUUUCAUUCUUCCGACCACAAUUUCCGAUUUCAAUUGCUCUUUUCGCACGAGCAUGAGUCAGUCUACACAAAUCGUCAAAUUCCUCUACAGUUACGGCGGUAGAAUCCUUCCUCGUCCCUCCGACGGCACACUCCGUUACAUCGGCGGUUUUACUAGAGUCCUUUCCGUUGAUAGAUCUAUUUCAUUUGCAGGUUUGUUUAUACAUUCAUCACUUCGAUUUUGUUUAGUUAGAAACUGAUUGAAAUUUGACUGAUGCAGAGUUGAUGGUGAAGUUUGGAGAAUUGUAUGGAUCGUCUAUGCGUUUAAAAUGUAAGAUGCCGACAGAGGAUUUGGAUGUUUUGGUAUCGAUUACCUGUGACGAAGACCUGGCUAAUGUGAUUGAAGAGUACGAUCGAGUUUCAGCAAUGACGAAUACAGAGAUGAAGAUUAGGGCGUUAUUAUCUCCAAUAAAUUUGCCGAAAAAGGACUCUCGUCCGUCUUCGCCAAUGUCUUGCUUUGAUUUUGCUGCGUCGAGCUUGAAGCCCGGAAAAUUCGUCCAGUUCAAUUCGCCUCCGUCGUAUGCGGCGGCGCGUAGACUGUUCUCACCAGUUGUGGGUUACCCGACCGGGAGACGAACAGACGGCGAGGAGCUUUACUAUCCGUACUGUGGACAGGCAGGCGUCAAGCCUCUGUAUAACGUUGUUCCUAUCCAUUGCCAAUAGAAAAAAGAUACCCGAGAGGUAGAGGUAGUUACAGUAUUGCCGGAGAGUUGUUUACAUAGAUGAAACGAAUCUCCUUCCCACCCACAAAAAAGGGUCAGAUAAACAAAAUAUUCAUCAUCACAUCAAAUAACAAAAAGACUCAUUCAAUAUAAUAUUUUGAUGCUUGAUUCAAAUUGUAUAUUGCUUGAGAUUAUUGCUUAUUCAAUUGUGAGCUCGAUUUAGGAUUCGAGCUGAUAUAUUGUUAUCUAAAUUCUAUGAUUGGCGUUUUGUUGCUCUGGGUUGUCUAUAUGGCACAAUCCCUCCAUCGUUGAGCUUUACCCAUGGUGAGCAAGUGGUAAGAUCUGAGUACAUCUAUUAUAGUUAUUCACUUGUUCUUGUUUUCUUGAGUGUUAAAACUUAGAACGAAGGGUGAAGAUAUAUACUUCAUUUAUGUGAGGGCUUGAAAUAGAUUAUGGGGUUGUAAUCCAUAUUAUAAAUAUAUCUUCACCUCUCAUUAGAUGAUUUGAAUGCACGUUUUAUGUAUGAAAUUUAUUUUGUCGAGAAAUCAUCUUUCGAUGCAUAUUUUAGGGUAUAAAUUGAUUUAAUUAAAUUUCAAUAUGAAUAACGAUAGUGAAAAACAAAAAAAUAAACGGGAUUUUGAAAAUCAAGAAUUCAUGAGCCAUUUGUUUUUAUUGGGACAAAUUUGGUUUAUAAGUGCUAUAAAUUAUUUGUUUUUGAUUUAUAUGGCAUAUCUUGAUUUAAAAACAAGCUUUAAGAAGUGAUAUUUUUUAUAAUUAUGAUAUUAAUAUAAUUACAAAAGCAUGUGAUGGGAUAUAUUAUGAAAAAUUUGCAACUAUCAUUUACACGAAGAUGCAUGUCUGCUUAUUUUCUAAGUAGUCCGCAGUGAGUAUAGUAUAUACUAAUGACUUGAUGGAGUGGCUGUGUUACGAUACAUAGAACCUUGGGAAUAUAAAUAACGUAUGGAGAGGAUGAAUCUAACAAAAUGACAAAGUGAAUUUUAUUUCACCGCAAUUCAAGUGUUAAAAGUGUGGGUUUUUCUUUUUGGGGGAAAGAGAGGGAUACACAUGCUUCUUAAUUAUUUCAUAUUUUCAAUCAAUCAAAUUUACCCAUCCUUUGUGUUUUUUACUCACUUUACCAACUCUUGAUAUAAAAUAAGAAAAAAAAAUUAGUUAAGCUAAUUUAAUUUUAAAAAUUAAUUAAAUUAAUAUUGAAGAAAUGAAUUCUUUUUUGACUAAUAACUUUAUAAGAUAGAAAAAAUUGUUAAGUCGCACGUCCAUGAAUAAAAUAAUUAUAUUUUUUAUAUGGAUUUAAUCAAUCUUCUUAUUACCAGAAUUUUGAGGUGAACGUGAGAUGAAGUGUUACGAUGAACAUACACAAUACUUUUAUUACAAAUUAAUUUUUAGAUUGAAUUUGACUUAACGAUUAAUUUUUUACAAACAUAAAUUAUAAACUUACACAAUGUUUUCAUAUGAAUUAAUUUUUAGAUUGAGUUUGACUUACUAAUUCAUUUCUUUUACGAACAUCAUCAAUAGUAAAUAGUAAAAAAGUAAGUAAUUAGCCAACCCAGCCAUGUGCAGCCACAUGCCCUACGCUUCCCUAAUUCCACAAACUCCACAUCUUUCAUGAUUAAAUUCAGUAAAUACAGCCAUACACAGCUUCACUCUUCUUCUUCUUCUUCAAAAAAAAAAAUCAAACAUUUUCAUAAUCUCUCCAUCAAAUUAAGUCAAAUCUCAAGUAAAACAAAAGAUGAAGGUCACAAUAACCACAAAAUCUUUCUUAAUUUUGAUCCUAAUAUUGAUAUCUUUCUUAGAUUCAAUUCCAUUUCUUGUUAUUAGCACUGUCGUUCUAGUGGGAACAACAGUACUAAUUGUUCUAGCAGUACGAACCACCAUAAUAACAUGGAUUAUGGUGCUCGUACUGCUAGCAUUCACUCGUAAACGCCGUAGGGGCGUAGUGAAGGAUGGUAAGUCGAUCACGUCUGAGGUGGCAAUGUAUGCGGCCAACGUUGUGUUUAAAGAGAGGGGAUUAUUUGCUAUCACCGGUACUGCUAUCAUUCUCGGUUUCACUUCUAUGGCAUUAUAUUGUUAACAACAAUUAUUAAAUCUUCGUUUCAUUUUAAGAGACACUUUUAUCUUAGUUUAUCUUUCAAAAAAAAAAGUGAUUGAAAUAUCACAGUUGCUGUAAAAUCUAACAUCCACAAUUUGUAAAUAUUUGGAUACAAUGAGUACUCACUUUCAACACAUUUUGAACUUAAAAAGCACAAAAUUUUAUGGUUCAUUUUUGUCAUUUUCUCCACGAAAAUAUUAAUGUCGUAUUUUGUAUUUAAAUUUCAUGUUUAAAUAUAUAUGAUCAUCGUAUAAAAUGAGACGAAGAAAGCAUAUAUCAACGCUUUUAUUGUUUUCUCUUUUGGUCCUGGCUGACUGCACGCAGUGGCAUGGUAUGGUUUAUAUUAAUCCUACGUCUUGUGCGGUGAAAUUAUUUUAUUUUUAAUUUAAAUUUAAAUUCGAACUUUAUAUAUAAAGUAAGUUUUAUUUGAAGUACGAUCCCAAAAUAAACCAAACAGUGUACUAUAUAAAUUUAGUCUGGCUUUACUAUGAAAUUCGAACUGUAAAUUUGAUAUUUUUCAGUUCUCUUUUUUUGCUAAUGAAGUAAACUGGACUGUAAAUUUAAAUAUAUGACAUAUAUGUAUUGACUUGACGUAAACCGUACGAAUAAUUAUUAUCAAUAUAUUUCCUUACUCGUCUCAUUUCUCACUUUAUGAACCUCUUUUUUCCUUUUUAUUAUAGUAGCUAAAACUCGAAGUACAUUAUUAAUUUAUUAUACUAAUAAAUUAUAGUUUAAAAAAUUAAAUUUAUAUGUCUAAUUUUAACUUGAUAAAAUGUUUAAGAAAUUAGAGUAAUUUUUUGAAUUAUUGAAUUUUAAACAUGCUAGGUUGAAAAUUAAUUUUAAAAUAGAAUAUUAUAUAAAAAAUAUUAAUAUCUUUUAACUGGCUAAAAAGAAAAUAAGUGAAAUAAAUUGAAGUAUUAUAUAGAGUAUUAAAUAAGGCUAUUAAAUAACAAUAGUUGAGUGUAAGAGGAUUAAGCAAAAGUAUAGGUUACUCCUCUCGUUUCAAAUGAUCUAUUGUGAAUUUCAUAAUUAGUUGUCCCAGAAUAAAAACUCUUGAAUAUAGUAAAUAUAUUUGAUAUUUGAUAGAUAUAGAUUAUAUUUUAAGACAAAAAUGAGGUCGAAUAGUUUUUAUAUUUUAUUUUAUAUUUUUUGAAAAAGAAAUGCACAAAAAAGAACACAAUAAAUAAUUUGAGAAUAUAGCAGUAUGCAUUUAAAAUAAGUUGAUGCCAUAAAAUAUUUAAAAUAAGGUGGUAUUUUUAAAUUUUGAAUAAUGAAAUUUAAAUAAAAUUCUUUUAUCAUAAUUUUUAAAUAUAUUUUAAAUUACCAAUUAUUUUGAGUGUAACCUAAUAUGAGUUUAGUGCAAAACUGCAAAUAGUAGAUGGAGUAUUUUUUGUGGGAAAAUGUUAGCAUUAUAAUGUUUGUCUUUGAGAAAAAACUUACCUCGAAUUAUAACUUGAUACCCAAAGACAUUUAAAUUAAGGUGGUAUCUUUUGAAUUUCAAAUUAUGAAAUUUAAAUAAGAUUCUUUUAUCAUAAUUUUCAAUAAAUUUUGAAUUACAAAUUAUUGUGAGUGUAACUUAUAAUAUUCUUAUAAAAUUUUUAUAUAUGUAAAUUUUAUUUUAAAAUACUUCAAGAUUACAUAUUUAAUUUUUUUUUAAUAAAUUAAAUUAUUGACUUUUAACGUUAGAACUAUACCAUACUAAUUAUGAUAGAAAUUAAAUAUCUUUUUGAUAUUUUAAAUUUACUAAUUCGAUGGACUAACUAAGAAAAAGAAAAAGAAAAGAUGGAAUAUAUCUCUACAUUUGCUUUAAAGAAAAUCAUAAAAGACCGUUUCAACUUUGUAUUUUUGUAGUGUCAAAUUAGCAAUAUACUAUUAAAUAAUUUUAUUAGUUAGCAAAAUUAUUUAACAUACAAAUUAACAUAAAGUUUAUAGUUAAUUUCAAUUGUUUCUAAGGUGGCCAUUGAGGGUUAUUAGCAACAAGAACUGUUAAUUAAUAUAAAGUAAUAUACUUAGUUAUAUCUUUUUCACCUUUCAACAUAUUUUAUUUUCAUUCCCACUUUUGUUGCACCCUCACCUAAUAAUAUUUGUUUAGAAAAUUUAUAUAUAAAUAAAAUAAUUUUUUACUUAUACACAAAAUAUAUGUAUAGUUUAUUUUCUUGAAAAACUAUUUCGUAUCUCACCCAAAAAAUGACUUUUUGGUUUCCUUAGGCCUGUAGUUUUCUUCAAAACCAAAAAAUAAAAUAAAUUAAAAUAGAGCCCACAAUAUUUUAUUUUUAUUUUUAUAUAUAUGCCGAAUUAUACAAUAAAAAUAAUAAAAUGCGAUAUACAUGACAACCGAAUAGACACCCUUCGCUUAAGGAGUCUCUUCCUCUACUGCUAUUUCAUCGCUAAAUUUUUCUCUACAAAUUCUAUUUCUAGGGUUAGGGUUUUCAAAUUCUUAGCAAAUUCAUAGUACAAUCGCUACUGUUUUUUGUGCUUUACCUGGAACGCUACCCUCAUGGAAUCUUCUAUUGUGAUCAAGGUUUGAUCUUUUACUCUUUCAAAAAAAGUCUGUUUUUUUUUGGUUUUGUUCAAUUGGAUUGCAUGUUGUUUUUCUACUUUGAAAUGUUGAAUAAUAUCGUGGUUUGAGGGAUUUUGUUGUUUCUGUACUCUGAGAUACGAUCAAAUUGUGAAAUAAAUUCGUAAGGAUAGCACCGACCACGUAUCUAGCUAGCUUUGUUAAUCAUCAUGCAUGUAAGAAUUGGGUGUUUUUUUCCCUUUGCUUAAUCUGUGUUGAGAUGUGGUAAUACCAAAAUCAAGCAAAUGUUGGACCGUAAAGAUGUUUGCUUUACUGUAAGAUGUACAAUAACAGAGUUUGCAAUGUGAUGAUGCUUCCUAGUGUUUUGGUUUUUCGAAUUUAUUUCCCUUCGUUUGAUGGAUUUUCUUGUUUUCGUACUCUUGAGAUAUGAUUGAAUUGCGAAAUAAAUUUGUAAGGAUAGCACUGACCACAUAUCUAGCUAGCUUUGUUAAUCAUCAUGAUUGUAAGAAUUGGGUGUUUGUUUUUCAUUUUUGCUUAGUUGGUGUUGUUAUGUGGUAAUAACAAAAUCAAGCAAAUGUUUUACACUGUAAAGAUGUUGUCAUUACUGCAAGAUGUACAAUAGCAGAGUUCCGAUGCGAUCUAAUUUAAACUAUAGAUGCUUCCUAGUUCUGGUUUGUGGAUUUUUUUCCCGUAUAUUUGAAAAUAAUGUAUGUUUUUAUGUUCCAGUGAUAUGUUUUUUUAAAGAGUGUUUUGUGGAAUUCCACUUUUAGAAUUUGUUUGCCCUUAACGGGAAGUUGUUUUCCUCAUGUCUAAGCAACUUAAUUUUUCUUCAUACUGAACAUACCCUAGGAGUACGGGAUUUGUGAGCUGAUUGGGGCAUACUUGAUUACUUGAUUGUUAUAAUUGCUCUGAUGUUUUCUCUCACCAGAUAAUCUUAACUUUCUUAUGAUCCUUGUUUGCAACAUGUGCUAUCUGCUAUGCAAUCUUGUCAAUAUGCAGUUUUCUGUUUCCAUGAUAACAUAAACUCAUGGACUCUUGAAAAGAAUUAUCUGUUGAGCCAGUAAAGGUUCCGUUUCUUAUUUUGGUUAGUUUUCUUAUGACCAUGGAUAUAUGUUGGGACUAACUUAUGUACCCUCUGAUGGAUGAUUUUGUCUGUAUUUAUGGGAUGUCUGCUUCCACUGUAUACUGUGUAGGUCAAGUAUGGAGAGACACUUAGACGAUUCAAUGCCCGUGUUGCUGAUGAUAAACUUGGUCUUAACAUAGAUGGAUUAAAAGACAAGAUCUUUAAACUUUUCAACUUUCCUCCCGACAGUGAACUUACACUGACAUACAUUGAUGAGGAUGGUGAUGUUGUAACACUUGUUGAUGACGAUGAUCUGCAGGAUAUCACGAGGCAGGACCUGGAUCCCCUGCGAAUAUCUGUGACAUUAAACUCUGAAAAACUUAGUAUAUCUUCAGGUACAUCAAGUGGAAAUUCUACUUCCGUCAGGGCCCCACCUACAUUUCCGAACAUAAAUUCGAGUGUUUCGGAUCUUCUCAAGUCAUUGCCAAAGUCAAAAAGCAAAAAAAUCCUAAAGCACUCUGCAGAUAUGGCGUCUAAAGCCUCAUCAGCUGCCCGAGAAAUUGCUGAGCUUUCCAAAGCUCUCUCUGUGACUAGCUUAUCCUACUUAAAGCAGGCUUGUCCAGUAUCGGGAGUCCCUAUGGGUAGUGUUAAAAGUGGAGAGCCAUCUCAAGCAGCGAAUCCUGAGGAGCUGACCGUUAAAACUGCAGGACGACCCAAAAGUCAUACUGUAUCCAUAAAUGCAUCAGAAUUGAAAUCCUCCCAACCAGAUCAAAACGGAAUUCAGUGUGAACCAUUAUCAAAAAGUCCUAAGCGUAACUCAUCUCUGGUAGACGGUAAGAAGGAAGAGGGUAACAAAUUUGGUGAUUCCCAUCUUGUUGGGAAGGCUCUUGGUAAUUCAGAUCCUAGUGCCUCAACCACUGGCCCAAAAAAGACAGCUGAUAAACAGCAAACUGAGAAUCACCCUGGUGCUGAGCCUGUUGGUGUUGUUGGUUUAUCUGGGAAGCUUUCUGGUGGUUUUAGAUCCCCAAUUUCAUAUUGGAUGCCUAUGGUGCCCGUGUCAAAUGACACUAUCCAACCUCAAUACUCUACUUUCCGGAUCCCAGUUAAAAGGAGCCAUAAUCACAGUGAUGGGACUGGCUCUAUUUUCCACAGAGGCGUUCGCUGUGAUGGUUGUGGGGUUCAUCCAAUAACUGGACCUAGGUUCAAAUCUAAAGUGUAAGAAACGUGAACCUUUUGUAUAAUUGGUAUUUGACUAAUCAAUGUUAAGGACUGAUCCUCAUAUUCUCAUGCAGAAAGGAGGACUAUGAUCUCUGCAGCAUAUGCUUUGCACAAAUGGGAAUUGAUGCUGAUUACGUCAGAAUGGAUCGUCCUGUUUCUUACCAUCAUCCCAUAGCUUUCAAGGCUUUACAUGAACCUGUAUAAGGAGUUAACUUUUUUCUUUCAAUUUUCUGCAAGUACUCUCUGUGUUGAUAAACUCUUGUCAACUUGUUGUGUAUGUAGCAUGACAUCUUUCGAGGCUGCGGUGUAAAAUCGCCUAAGCUGGACAGCCGCUUCAAACAUGAUGUCAAUGUACUUGAUGGUACUAUGAUGGCUCCAUCGACUCCAUUUACCAAGGUCUGGAGGAUGAGGAACAAUGGUAAUAUUUUCUGGCCACAAGGAACACAACUUGUUUGGAUUGGGGGAGAUCGAUUAGGUGAUGCUGUUUCUGUUGAAUUACAGGUCAGAGUUAUGGGCAUGUACUUUUUUUUUUUUGCUGAACAUCCAUGCCUACAGUCCUGUGAUGUGAUGAUACAUCGUCCCUAUCUGCAGAUUCCUUCGUUUGGCUUGGCUGUAGACCAUGAAUUUGAUGUGGCAGUUGAUUUUAGAGCUCCUAAGCUUCCUGGCAGGUACAUCUCCUUCUGGAGGAUGGCCUUGCCUUCAGGGGAGAAGUUUGGGCAGCGUGUAUGGGUGCUUAUCCAGGUCAGGAUUGUUCGCAUGCAAAAUUAUUUCUCGUCUUGAUAAUAAGAGGUAGCUUCGAUGCUGAUUUGAAUAUUUGUAACUCAUUUUUUCAGGUUGAUUUUUCAAUGAUCCCGAAAAAGGAGUUCUCUUAUGAAGCCUCUCAGGUCCUGGACUUGAAUCUUCCUCCAGCCGGCUAUGAUAUAGCUGGUUCUGAAUAUAUUAAUGUGAAUGCAGACAUGACAAUAGAGGAUAUCAUUGCUGACCCUAAAAUUUCAAACCCUGCCACUGGAUCAGUUGAGCCGGUGGUUGAUGGAAACCGUAACAAUGAGGAGUUCAAGUCGUGCAUUUCUCCUUCUGCAGCUGGUUCGUCAAUUUCAUACCCCAUUGAUUUAUCCGAGGCAGCACCAGAAGUUACUUCUGUUGCACCACCAUCUGUUGUAGAGGUGCAAGCAUCUCCACAGGAAGAUGUCGAGAUGUCCCUCCUCAAGGAACUGGAUGACAUGGGUUUCACUCAGGUUAACUUAAACAAAGAAGUCUUGAGGAUGAACGAGUAUAACCUGGAACAAUCAGUAGCUGAUCUUUGUGGUGUUUCUGAGUGGGAUCCUAUCCUUGAAGAGCUGGAGGAGAUGGUAGGUUGUUACUGUUGUGGUCAUUAAAAUUAGUGUAGUUAGUGUUUGACAUUUAUACCUUCCUUUUCUGCAUGUUGAGCAAAACAAUAACUUCUAGCUUUUGACCAUUUUAUAUUUCGUCUCUGCAGGGUUUCCACAACAAAGAGAUUAACAAGACGUUGCUCAAGAAGAACAAUGGCAGCAUUAAGCGUGUUGUGAUGGAUCUUAUUGCCGGAGAGAAUUAGAAUCUAGUUAUCAGUAUUUCUUGCAAUAUAUUAUGCUUUCAGUAGAUUAUGCUAUCUAUAACUUGCUAGACUGAGUUUGAUGUUUUGGUGACUGUGUCUUAUGUGGUUUUGCACAAUUGAUAGAUGCACUGUAACUUGGAUGUUUUGUUGACUUUGUGUCCUUGUGUGGUUUUGCACAAUUGAUAGAUGCACUGAAACUUCUUUAAGUGUCAUACUGAGCUUGCAGUGUUUUAUGAUAACGAUGGCUCCCAAAGUUUUUGCAUGCACCCAAAUUUUCUAGGUACUGUGAUGCACCUUUCUCAUAGCUUCAAGCUCUUGAAUCUUAAUGGUUCUGAUUGUGAGUGUCGAAUUCAAUUUUGAUUCUUUGGUUUGCACUGUUUUGAUCCCUUUUAUUACUAGUUAGUUGGAUUAUUUUGAGUUGAAUCCGUUAAAUCACGUUAUAAACAGUAUACACAGUAAAGCAAAUACUGUAACAAUAUUAACUUCUUUUGGCACCAUAUUAUUAAGUUGCUCUAAAGAAUCAACCCACAAAGCAACUUGCAAGAAAGAAUAUUAAUAGGUUAUCAAUUAAGGUUGUCACAAAUUACUUCUUCAUUCUUAAUAGAUGAGAUGUUUCGUUCGAGUCUUUCUGGGCAUGAGUCACCUUUUUUGUUACUUCCAACUAUGUCAUCUCCAAUGAAGUUCGGGUCACUUUGGAUAUAGAGUUCGUUUAGUUAAGGAGCGCUUGACUCGAUGUGAAUUCAGCAUUUUAUCUCACAUUAAUCUGAGAUUUUUUGACGUGAAUUCAAAGUUAAGUCGAACUUUAAUAUGAAUAUCGAACAUCAGGUGAAAAGCUAAAAAAAUCUAAAAAAAUGAAAUAUAUCAAGGCUAAAAAAGUUUGUUAGGUUAAUGAAUAAAUUGCUAGAUAAUCUAACCAAGUCGAACUCCAUUAAAAAAUAUCUGACAUCGGGUAAAAAAUUAAAAAAAAUUGAAUUUAAUCCAGCUCAAAUAUGAAUAUCAGGGCCAAAAAAGUUUGUUAGGUUGAUGAAUAAAUUGCUAGAUAAUCUGACCAGCUUUUCCUAUUUUAUAGAUUAGGAAAAUCUAACCACAUAGAAAUAAUUAAAUACUUGACUUAAUUGGAGAGGAAAGUGUCAUUGGUGAAGAAAUUUGUCAGUGAAAAGAAGCCAGUCUAUUUUACCAUUUGUAAAGGGGUCACAUGUCAAUAGCUCUAUUAUUCUGCUUUUGUGCGUAAGAAAAGCUUUCCACAAUAUUUUUUUAACAAAAAAAACAAAUAUACUCUCAAACUAUUAUAAAUGAUACAUAGGUAUAUUUUGUCAUACUUUUGAAAUGUUGGUACUUCUGUCGUUUAAAAAUUAGAACGUAUGUGUCCUUCACUCUAACAUAAGACUAAGUAGGGACACGUGACACAAUCUCAUCCAUCGACAUGGAUAAGAUUAUGACACGUGUAUUUCCGUUAGUAUAAAAGGUAUAAAUAUUUUAAUUUUUAAAUUGCAGGAAUACCAAUAUUCCAAAAAUAUGACGAAGGAUAUUUGCAAAAUAUUUAUGAUAAUUUGAGAGUAUAUUUAUCUUUUUCCCCUUUUUUUUAUACUACUAUAAAUAAAACUUUCUACCCACUAAAAUACAAAUGAGUACAACACAACAUCCCAUCAGACUUGAAUAAAGUAUCGAUACUAUUUUUUUCCUAAAGAAUAUGUUACUUAUAAAAAUUCAAAACAAGUUUAAUUUUUAUUCGUGAUCAAAUAUAACUUUAAUUUUUUUUUAAAAUCCUGUACUUUACUUUUUGAAAAUAAAAUAAUUUUUUAAAUAUUUCAUUAUAAAACAUGAUCAAACGUCCGGUUUACGUAGAAGCUAGAAUGAAACAUCAUCAGCAAGCACUCACUACUUUCUUUGAUCCUCUUGUUAUAAAAACCUCACUCUCACUAUUUUGUUUUCAUAGGUUUAUGUAUUUACUCAAAAUAAAGAAAACCAAAUUUUUCUUUCUUUGUCCAAAAAUAAUAAUUAGAAGAUGGAUGUGGAAUUUUGGACUACAAGAGAAAACUCAGCCAAUAAUCUUUCUACCUUUCAAUGUACCAAUUUAAGCAAUUCUGGUAAAUAUCAAUUGCAGCACAUGCAUUUGUCUAGUCUAACUUUUCUAGCACUGUUUCUGCUUCUUUUUCUUCAUCUUUUUUUUUUAUAUAUAUAAAUUAAAUAUAAAUUUUAUGGUAGGCAAUUUAGGUCUCUGUCUCAGGGGAGUUUUAAAUGGUGAAUGAAGCUUUUGUUUUUGACAUAGAUAUUGAUAAUUUUGGCCAUGGCUUUUCCACUAAUUGGUAAUUUUAUCUACUCUAGUUCCUCCCUUUUUUUAGGCUAUGUUGGUCGGAUUUUUCAAAAAUGUUGUUUCACUCGUGUUAGAUUCUUAAAAAAUGCAUCACUUUUGGACGGAUCCGAUACUCACUUGAAUAUAUUUUUGAAGAGUUUGAGCAACAUAGUUCUCGAGUUUUGGAGUUUCAUCUUCAUUUUCUAUUAUAUUUUAAUUGUUUACUUUCUUGGAUGAUAUGAGUUUUUCAUUAUUUGUGUAUUGUGCUUCUUCCAGUUUUAUGCAGUUACCUAUUUAACUAGUAUUUCAUUUGGACAAGAAAUUCAAUCUAAGAUUGAUAGAUUUGUGUAGUGGUGUCAAAUGAUCGUGUUGGGCUGAAUUUGGACGGGUCAAAUAGGCCGAAUCAAUAAAUGAUUGGGUCAUUUUUUUCAUAGUAUGGCUCAAAAUUCUGUAUUUACUUUAAAAAUUCACUUAAUAUGUAUAAAUAAUUUAUUCAGAACCGAAAGUUGUAUUUUCUACCACCUGUAACACAUAAAGAUGUGAUCAGAGACUUUUUUUGGACAAGAAAAAGAAAGAGAACACCUCUAAAUGAAACCUUAUGUUUGCUUAUUUUGGAAAUCAAACAGAUUCUUUCUUGAAUGAAGCUGAAGAAGCCAUUAGAGCUUGGUUCCCUUGCCCUUUCUGUUAUGGCGAAAUAGAAGUGCCAAUGCUUUGCAGCCAUUUGCAAGAAGAACAUUGUUUUGACUUAAAAAACGCGGUAAUUUCCCACUCAUGAUGCUUCCUUAUAUCACAUUCUUAUAUGCAAAAAAUGACUACAGUAACAUACUGGAAACUUUUCAAUCUUUGUAUUUGUACUGAAGAAAUUGUAUGAGUUGAUCAAUCUACUCGACGUUUCUAUUACAGGUCUGUCCCAUAUGUGCUGCAACUCUGGGCAAAGAUCCUACUGGACAUUUUUCUGUGCAACAUGCACACUCAGUAAAGGUAGACAUAUCCGCGUCAAAAAUAUUAAUUUUGAGUAUAUAGGAUGAUUUAUAAGUGAUCAGCUGAACCUCACACGCCUACUCCUUUUACAGAGGAGAAGAAAUUACCUAAAACCAGGCUUCUGGAAUAAUGCAACAGCUAUGAUCGGAAAGGAUCCUCGAGAAAUAGCUUCAUUUUUUGGCACAGAUUCAGUAUUUGGUCGAUAUAAGGUUCAAGAAUCUGCUCCUGAUCCACUUUUAUUGCCAUUUCUCUGCAAUUUUCCUCCUUCUGAUCUGAAAUGCAGGCAGCAAGAUAAGUCCUCUGUUUGUGAUACUGCUAUUCCUGAAAUAGAAAGGUAAGUUUAUUCAUUCGUUCUCUUUGUUUUCGUGAAAUUUUCUGAUAAAACAAACUGAACUAAAUACUAAACCUGACAGUUAAGCAUCAGUGUUUAAGUUUGUACCUUUCUGUAUUUGUCCUUCCGUUGCCAAUAUAACCAGCAAAAAGUGUCCACCUAGAGUGUAGUUUCACCAAUUCCCAACCCAAAACCUACCCACGUUUAGAGGCAGAUUCAGGAUUUAGAGUUAUAGAUUCAAUCUUCAAUAUUGUUAAACUUACUGUUCUAUUAAAAUUAUGAGUUCAGAUGAAGCCAUAGCCAAGAGGCUACAUCCGCCUAUCCUAUUUAGAGUUUAUUCCUCAACACUUUAUGUGGUGUAUGUAUUACUUUCAGUAAUCGGUUAUCUAAAGAACUCGAGCUUCUAGACAUGUCUUGAAGUUCUUGACGGAACUGGUGCAAUACGAGCUGUUACCAUACUGAACAUGUGGUAAAGCUGUAGAUAUGAUAAACUGACUAAGACGUUACAAUGUGUUACUACGCUGAAGGAAUGAUAUUUAUCAUAGAUCAUAUAGAUAAACUGUCUAAGAGUUCGAUAUUUUUCAUCAGCACAUACCAGGAAUGAGUCUAUUGUUGCAGCAAUGGACGACCUAGGAGUUGGUCAUGAAACUCGAUGUUUAUUACAGAACACAAUUCUGCUUCAAAAAUUUCAAUAUGAUAACAAUAUUAGGUGUCUUAACAGACCUGAUAACCUCCAGUUUGUUGAGUUUGAAAUGUUUAGCUGAUCCUUGUAGAGGAACUUUUAGUUCAUGGGUUGAAACACGAUCUGUUUCGUUCAGUAGGUUAUGUAUAGAUUGUUCAUACAUUUUAAAUAAAUGUAUGCGCCAAAACUAUUGGGUUGUACCAAACUUGUAAGUCUAUAAUGGUGGCUCCUAAUAAGCAUUGAUUGGUAAACUAGAAUACAUGACAAGUGACCUGCUAUAAUAGGUUAGAAUUAUAUGUAUAACAAUUUAUAUACUGUCAGUAUAUACCGAAUCGGCGUAGGAUGACAGAAAUCUACUGUUGUCUCUUGUGCAGCAGCAAGCUAGCUGUAUCUGAUCCAGAACUAGAAGAGGAUUUUGAAGAGAAAAGGCAGAGAGCUACAUUUCUUCAAGAGCUGGUUGCUUCAACUAUCUUAUAGAAAAUCAACCAACUUUUGCUUUCAUAAAUUAAGCAAGAGACAAUCGUUCCAAAUUACUAGCAAAAGUCAUGUAACACAAGAAAGCAUCUCAAAAACUUCUAAUAUCUAUACAUCAAUGUUACAAUUUCAAGUAUAUUAAUGUAAUCUCAUUUAUCCUUGACGACCAACAUGUUACUGUUUGCUAGUUUUCUUCUUUUCUAUCAUGUCUUGACAAGAUUGUUAAACAAUUCCCAGCGUAUGAUGGAGUCCAAAGGUUGAUUAGUAAAAUGCUGUGCACGCCAUAAGUCACAAGGUUGGUUUCUCUAUAUAUCAGAUUUGUGAUUCAUACUCGGGCUUAAGAUAUCACUGGCAAACAGCGUUGCAGUUUAGACUUAAGAUAUAACAGGCCAAAGGCGUUGAAGCCUGAAAAGCCUGUAGACUAAUGUAACUAAAGUUGUUGAUUUGAGUAGAGAGUUUAUGGUAAUGAUAAUUGGCAGUUACCUAAUUGAAGUACCCAGCAACUUCACAAGUUCCAUACAUCAAAAAAGCUAAAUCAGACACGUUCAUGAAGAACAGUACAGAGAAAAGAAUCAUAGUGACACUUCACAACAGUGAUCCUUUGCCAAUUUAGUAACAAAAGGUCUCUCAUUGACAUAUAUUUCUUGCUCAAAUACUUCUAUUAAACAGAAUGAUCGUAUUUUCUCCUCUUUUAUUUGACUCAGGCAGUAUCAUUUCAUUGUAAACUUAAUACCAUCCAAGCAAGGUAAAUAAAAGGAUAACAAGGUUACAGAUACAUUCGAACUAAUCAGAGCCUGUGGAAAGAUGAAGGUCUUGUGUUCUUUUCCCCACUUUUAAUCGGCACAUUGCAAUAACAUUCUGAAUGUCAUUGCAAAGAACUGCUCUGAGGUUUAGAGAAGAACAGGUGACAGUCAUGACUAACAUGUCACCUUGACAAUGAGCUCACAUUAAAAGUAACAUUUCCGAUAGGGAUCCCAACUUUUACUUAGCCAAGCACAAGGAAUAGAUAGAUAUACUCUUGAAAAUGCACAUUCACUACUCACUAGUGACAUACAAAAGGUGCAGUUGGGAACCAGAGGUAGUUGGACUUGAGAAGAUCUAUGGAAAAGUAAACUCAGACUUAACAAGACUUAUUAUCAUAAAUGAUCGUCAAUAAAAGUGUAUUCAAGUAAACUUGCUCUAUCAUUGGUAGCAACCAGUGCUUUGGUUAAUUCAGCACAAGGGGAUUACAAAGUGUCCAGUUCAAGGCAAACUCACUUCACAAUUCACAGAACUGGACUUAUAAUGAUCUAUAUAGCAACUUUUUUUUCAUUUUUCAUGAGAAUGAACCAGCGAUUUAAAACCACAUUGCUGGUUGAAACAAAGCUCCAAUAAUGGUAAAGAAAGGUAAAACCAGUUUCAAAGCAUCGAAUCCAGAAAGAUCAAACAUAUUCUCAAUAAUCUUAGCUUAGGACGACUUACUUCCUAAACAAAGAAAUCAAAAGCGACCAGUUGGCUACCUAUGCCACAUUAGCUCGAGAAUAAAGACAAACACCGAGGUCAAAGAGUGAUAGGGUGAACAAGACUGAAAGAUGAGAAAAUGGACCAUUCAAUUCUGAAUAUACCAAUGAAAAGUGUAUGUGAUAUCCAAGAUAUUUGUGUUAGUCAAUGAAGAAAAACAUUCCUCAUCAUGUCAACAUGACAUACAACAUAUUUUUCACUGCUUUUGUAUUCUAACGCCAGUGAGUCCUUUUCCUAUCCAAGAUGAACCCGUCAGUAUUCUGCUCAAAGAUGCUAAACUAAAUGAUUCUGAAUAUCAAUUAUAAGCAAUGCAAAUAUACUCAAAUCUGUCUCUCGUACUAUAUUUCACCUAUACGGGCAUAAAGAAGUUCAGAUGUCUUACUUGUAGUUAUCCAACAGAAUACAGUGGUUAAGAAAGCAUAUUACUUUUUCUUUUGUGUUCUUCUAUCAACAAUCAAUUUGUUGAAAAAUGAUGGUCCAACCCGUGAAUCUCAAAUAUUAGCAAUCUGGGCUUUUGUUUCAAAAGAAAGUGUGCAUUUAUCUAGAGGAAAAUAAAGUGCAUGAGAGCAAAUGAUAUCAUUUCUUUCAAGCAAAUGAUAAGUGAAACAAGAGACGGGAAAAAUUAUCAAAAGUUCAGUAGAAUUGGGCGAUAAAACAGGAUACUUCAACUAAAGUAAGAUUCUAAGACAUAACAAAAGUAACCAAAAAGUCGCAUAUAUGACAAUGGAUUAAUAAACUUCAAUGGAAAAAUCCGACCAUAUGUGAAAAGGGAUGCUCAGCUGCAAGUUCAUCAUUCUAAGAUUUUCUGAAUAACACCAGCUCCGACAGUCUUUCCUCCUUCCCUAAUAGCGAACCUCAUACCCUGCUCACAAGCCACUGGCAUAAUGAGCUCGACCACCAUGUUUACGCGAUCACCAGGCAUGACCAUCUUAGAUUCUUCUCCCUUGUCAGUCAUAAUAGCAGUAACCUUUCCGGUCACAUCAGUUGUUCUCAUGUAAAACUGUGGCCUAUAACCAGCAAAGAAAGGGGAAUGCCUGCCACCCUCUUCCUUCUUCAACACAUACACCAAAGCUUCAAACUUGGUGUGUGGAGUAAUUGAUCCAGGUUUUGCCAACACCAUUCCUCUUUGAAUAUCGAUCUUUUGAAUACCUCUCAACAACAACCCCACAUUAUCUCCUGCCAUUGCUUCAUCCAAUAUCUUCUGAAACAUCUCAACUCCUGUUACUGUAGUGUUCCUAGUGUCCUUCAAUCCAACUAUAUCAACAAUUUCCCCUGUCUUAACAGUCCCUCUUUCCACUCUCCCUGUAGCCACUGUACCUCUACCAGUAAUAGAAAACACAUCUUCAAUAGCCAUCAAGAAAGGUAAUUCAGUUUGUCUUUGUGGAAUAGGAAUAUAUUCAUCAACAGAGUCCAUCAAUUUAUAAAUCUUAUCAACCCAUUGAUCAUCACCCCUUUUAAUAGUAGGAUUAGCCAUUAAAGCCUCUAAAGCCAAAAGGGCAGACCCACAAUGAAUAGGAAUAUCAUCACCAGGAAACUCAUAACUUGACAAUAACUCUCUUACCUCCAGCUCAACAAGCUCAAGCAACUCUUCAUCAUCAACUUGGUCCUCUUUGUUCAAGAAAACAACCAUAUUAGGGACACCCACUUGCUUAGCAAGCAAAAUAUGUUCCUUAGUCUGCGGCAUUGGACCAUCAGCUCCUGAAACAACAAGUAUAGCUCCAUCCAUUUGAGCAGCACCAGUAAUCAUAUUCUUCACAUAAUCAGCGUGACCAGGGCAAUCCACAUGAGCGUAAUGCCGAUUUUCAGUUUCAUACUCCACUGUGGCAGUAUUAAUCGUAAUACCACGAGCCCUUUCUUCAGGGGCAGCAUCAAUUUCAUCAUACUUCUUCGGGGCGGAGUUACCCAGAGAAGCAAGCGCCAUUGUCAAAGCAGCUGUAAGUGUGGUUUUCCCAUGGUCAACAUGGCCAAUUGUACCAAUAUUGACAUGGGGUUUCUUCCUUUCGAAUUUACCACGCGCAGCUCGGACAGUAAACCGGCGGUGGCGGGAGGAAGAAGAAGAAGGUGCAGUAGUGGCGGGUGAAUGGAGGAAAAGGGUUGAUGGGUUUGGUGUAAAAGAAGAUGAAAGGAUAAGCUUAGAGGAUUUUGAAGGAAGAACAGUACCACUGGUAUUAAUCUUUGUAGAAGCAGCAGCAGCAGCAGUUGCAGAAGCUGCUGAAAUUGAAGCCAUGGAAGAAGCUUUUGCUGAGGAUUGAAGAUUUUGGAGAAAGAGAGUGAAAUGAAUUGUGGUAGAAGGAAGAGAGGAUAAUGAAGUUAUCUUUUUUUGGUAGGGAGAAAGAGAGCCUCUCAUAUAUUAGCCAUUUGGGCACCUCUCUUGUAUGACAUACUGACACAGCAGUGGGCUGCAACUUGCAACUAUGGGAAUUAAGAGUAUGGGAUAUACGUAAAACUAAUUACUCCAAAAAUAAUGGUCACGUUUCCUUAGUCAAUUUAACUCAUUUUUAGUGAUCAUAUUAUAAAAUGACACGAGAGUUUUUUUAUUGUAAUUUGACGGCAGGACAGAUGACAUACAUGCUAAAUCUGUGAAUCGGUAACAACAGUUACAUUUUGCGUGGUAUGCUUUAGAAAAAUAGUGGAGCUUGUUAUUGAGCUGUUUACUGAUAUUAUGUUAAUUGAUGAAAAUUAUUGAAAGAACAAGAAGUUGGAACCAUAGAGAAACACUAUAGAGAGUCGAGCUUUAGGAUAAGAUGAGAUUACACAAAAUUGUGGCAUCUAAAUUGUAGUGACAAGUUAGAUACUUAAAGACUCAGACAACAGCAAGCAGUAGAAUAGAAUUCAUUUUAAAAAAAUAAAAAUUUCUUUACAGAUUCAAGGAACACCAACGACAAAAAGAAGUAUAAAAAAAAAACCUGCAUAUUUUCAACCAAGUGACAUUUCGAAUAGCUAAGUACUCAGGUAAAUAUGUACAAGUAUACAAUUCAAUGAAAUUGAAGGUCCUGUUUUAAGCUGCAACAUGACUUGCAAGACGCAUUAUACAUAAGCGUGCAAGCAAGCAAAUGCGAAUAACUAACAUAGCAAAUGGAGUCGCCAACAAUCUCAGAAGCAUCGCUUCCUCUGUCUCCUCUUUCAGAUUUACCUCAAUUCCUGACCCUGAACUGAUUUUAAACUUGAUAGAAAUGAAUCUGUAUCUAAACAUACGGUCCAUGAUUAUCCCCUCGAACUUUUGAAUUUUGGAUGUGAAAAUUGUCAGCAACAGCGAAUAAUUUCGGCAUACCGGGACAACUCUGGGACUUUUCAGGGACAGUCAGGUCAUUGGGACAAUCAAAGAAUGGCUCAACAGUUGAGUAGCAAAAGACAAAACAGCAACUUACAUCUUUACAGAGGAACUUGAGUUUUCAGGACAUCAGCAAUGCAAAUUAUCGGAAGAUACUUUGUGACCAUAAAUGCCACGGAUCUCAGGAGGAAGCUUGCUUAGAAGAUCUGAGAUAGCGGAGUCAUGUUUCUUCUUCAGAUCAUUUAGCUCCUUUUGCUGCAAUCCGCGCAGUUUCUCCAGUUCCUUGGUGAUUUGUCUGAUAUCAGCUGAGUAGUUGUUGCUGAUCAUGUUAUUUCUUUCCUCUGAUGAAUGAGGCCUGCUUGCAUAACUAAAAUCCGCAGAAUGAGCAUUGUCACCAAAGUCAAAAUCACGGUGAACACUGGCAUCAUCAUCCACGUGAGUCUCAGAUUUAUAAUCUUCGUGUCCGAGUAAGGCAGCAACAUGUGAACUCCCUCCCUCUCUCAGGAUAACAGGUGAUUCUUCAAAUUCUUCCGUCCAACUGUCUUCAUGAGUUGGUGAAUCGGUCAGCGACGUGUAUGAAGGCCCCUGUCUGCGUGGAGAGCUGCCAUUACUGGUUGUUUUCGGUGAAACAGACCAGUACUUUCGACCUGAAGGAAGUCUUUCCAACACAAGACUACCCGAAUAAGCAGGAUCAAUUGUAAAGGGAGGAGCAUCAUCUCCGACUCCAGAAGUAAAGUUAUCAGAAGCAACUUCAUUGGUGAUGUGAUUGCUAGAGUUUUCUCUUGGUGCCCAAUCUGGGAUAUAUGACCGAAUUUCUGAAUCGAUCAUUUCUGCUAUUGCUGAAACAUCCUGAUCUGUCAGGUCCAGCUCUGCAACCAUUUCACUAGCAACAGCAUUCGCCGUAUCAACUUCAAUAUCAAAGGGGAAGUGAAUGUUUCUAAUAUGACCUGAUACCACAGUGCAAAUGUUAUACAACUAAUUAAUAGAUGCAUCUUAAGCUUGACAAAAGAAACAAGGAGCAAGCAGUAACCUGUUGAAUCAGUAAUUCGAAGUUUAAGAAAUAUUGUAUUUAGGUCCUUCCUUUGGCCCUGCACUGUGAAAUCUCUGCUUCCUUCAGGCAAUGGGUCCUUUGUACUCCUUUCACUAUCAGACUGAUCAUCACUCAUAUCUGUAAAGAUCCCACAAAAGUCAAUAAUAAAGGGACAUUUCAAAAGGCGUGAUCACAUAAUUACCUGCAUGUCUGGAAUUGAUGCUCAAAGAUCGACCUACGUUUCCAGAAUCCUCAUCAGAAAGGAGAAAGGGAUCAACCAAUAGUUUCUUAGCAGGCAACCGCUCAGAAGCUUUUGCAAUACAUUUUUCUAUAAAGGCUUUGACUCUUGGAUCCUUCACUUUUGCCAAUGAGGCAGGCUUGAUUCCCUUCAUAGAUGAAAUUGGCAAAAUCAGAAUAUUAGCAAAGUAGUAUUGUUGUUGUAAGAUGAAAUUAAAAUACCAAGAAAUACAAAGUCAACUAUCUCAUCAGAUUAAUCUGCUAAAAGGAAAAAAAAGUUGCAGAAAACUAAAGUUUGUAAUUUAUAGCUAUCAAAAACUGAAAACUGAUUGUAUAGGACUCGUGGAUUUGUUUGAGUAAGAAUUUAAAGUUGUAAAAUAAAGCACUCCUACAAUCACUCCCUCAAUCCCACUAAAUAGUGUCAUCACGACCUGGCACAACGUUGGUAGAAGAGUUAAAAAUUAAAGAGUAUUUCAACUAAAAAGUAAGCCCCACAAGUAGAGAUAAAUGUUUGCUGAUGAUAAGUUUUGAGAUUAGACAAGGAUCUAAGUUGGUCUCUUAUUACAUGAUAUAAUAGUCCUCAAAAUGCAACAAGUAGUGAAGGGAAGAUAUUUCCCCUUCAAAGCAAGUGGACAACAUAUCAUGACGCAAAAACAACACAUUUGGAAUGGAUGCAACUAAUGUGCUAACUGCUAACUACUUUGAGUACCCCAUGUUCCCCUGAAAGAGAAGACAGCGGUACAUUACCAAAAAUUAGCCAUUUUGGUAUGCUUACCUUUUCUAGUAAAUCUCCAGCACCAGUACCCUCUAAAUCUGAACACAACCUUUUCUUCCCUCUUUUCACUACCACCUUUAUGACUUUCACAUUAAUCUGUCAACAAGAAAAUUACUCCUUACAAUACUGCCUUAAGUGUUAAAGUUAUUUAGCACCUUCAACAGUGAAGAACGCAUUUUACUGUCAUAGUUACCAACUACCACCUACACUACACCCCUCAUGAUCCUACUUGCGCAUUUCCAUUGUUAUUUCUUCAGCCAAACAACCACUACUCUAAUUACCUCUUAAAAUAGUGUGUGUUGGUGAAACUCCUUUUAACACUUCAAUGUCAUGCAAGCCAGUGGAUCUAGAUUAAGAUCUCCAUUACGUCGUUCGAACAACUGAUCAAGAAAAGUAUCCUUCAGUUUAAGUUGUCAAUUCUGCUAAAACCUAAAGAGAUGCUAGGCUUCUCCGCAGUGGUUCGCUUGACCACAUCAUUAGCAUGGUUUAAGUUAACUGCACGCCAAACAAUUAAGCCCUCAUUUGAUCAGCCGUACUCCUUCCACUUUAGCUAUGAGUCAUUUCAUAUAUAUUUCUUGUCAAUGUCACAUGAUCCCGAUAAAUGAACAAUAGGAACCAUGUACCCAAGAGAGCAAGUCCACAGAAGAUUGGACUCAGUUAUCUUGUUCAUCUUAACUAAACUAACCUAAAAAUAUAACACCUUAGAAAUACAUCAAGAUACAUACCACAUUGUUCGAAACAGAAGUCUGGAUUAGCUACAGUCUGAAUUAGCACUUAUAAGAGAAUAAGAAGGAUUAACUUAUUGGAGAGGGAGGGAGAGAGAGAGAGAAUGUGUGUACAAAAAAUUAUUUCAGUUGGAGUAAGGUCUAAAUGAAGUGGUUGAUGCUGCUAACUGAAGCAAUGCAAAACAGAAAAGAAAAAAAGAAGAAGAAAGAUUCACAUUCAGACACAAACUCCCCAAGGUGAGGAUGGUACAUGGAAGUAAACUGAUGAUUGGAAAUCCUAUGAAAAUUGCCUCCUGUGGUUCUUACUCAACGUUGACAAAGCACUCUUGACAAAUAAACCAAGAUGGUAUUAGGCAUUUACCUGAUAUUUUGAAUUUUAAUUGAUCAACUGGAAUGCAUUCCAUCAGGGAUAGAAAUCAUGUUUCUUAAUACCUAUAAUACAAUGACAAUGAACACGUCCAAUUAUGCAAGCAGGUAAGGACAAUAUCUUUUGGGUAGUUUGCUAGAACAAUUGAAUGACCAAUGAAAACAAACACGACAAACUGCAGGCAAUUGGAUGUAAAGUAGUUACUCAAGGAAUGCAUAAGUUCACAGGACCCUUUUUAGUUUUAUGAUAAAGAGCUUGACAACAUCAUAUGAAAUGAACUGUGAAUCCAAUAAUUCAGUAGGCUCACUUGGAUAAAAAAGUUAAGGACCAUAGAACAAAGGAUACAAGACUAAGAAAAUAAAGCCUAAGUCCCUACAAUCAGCACUUGGUUCAUGCAUGGUCACACUGUUUUUAAAAUGGUCAACAACAUCUCAUUCUAUGGUAAACCAUCAUGAGCUACUGAUUCCACCAAGUCAAGGACACUCAUUCAACAGAAGUCGUAAACAAUGUUGAUUUCUUAGGACUACUAAUGUUUGUUUCUUGGAAUAUCAUGUUAUUGUUCACUUCCUUAGCAAAUUGAACAUCUAUUGAAGUGAGGCCGAACACCCUUAUUGAUAAAGGAAAAGGUAUUGGGACUAAACUUACUUUUAUACUCAAGGAUAGAGAGAGAGAGGACACAGAAUUCGGUCUUAAGAACUCCUGAAUGGGCCCUACCCUUGCAAUAUCUAUUUUAUGCUGAAAAACUCAAGAAAAACGAAUAUAGAAAACUCCGAGCGAAAGUACGUUUAUCUUUGACAGUGCAAAAUAGAAAAAGCGGGUGUGGAAAUCAGAUUUCAGGCUAUGCAAAACUAAUACCCCUCCAGAGUGCACUGUUUUAACAGGAUAGCACUGAUGGAGCUUGCCUCACACAAGAUAACGUAUUGUAUCUCUAACAGAAUCUACCUGUGUGUGAAAAGGUCUUGGAGUCAGUAAACCACUCUUUCAUGCACUGUUCAGUAGCCUGGAUGGAGUUAAUUCUUACAUAAAAGCAACAUUAAAUGGGUGUUUCCAGGGGAUAUUAUACAAGUGUUUUGCAUCUGGAGGGAUUGGAAGGCACAAAAAACUACCAGAAAGAUAUGGAACUCGAUUCCUUUAACUAUAUUUUGGGUGUUAUGGAAUGAAAGAAACAAGAGAUGAGUUGAAGAAGAAAAAAGCUCCCUGCAGCAGCUGAAAAUAAAUUGCUUAUUUCUUUUAUUUGUUUGGUCCAAACUUGAAGUAUUAGAGUAUACCUACCAGUUGAUAAACUUCAGCAGUUCCCUAUCAAGUUAAGGAAAUACAGCCUUUUGUAAAUAACUUUUGUAACUAUGCACCUCCAGGGUGCUUUGUUAACUAAAUAGCUUUACUUUUUUCUCAUAAAGAAACGAGCAGAAUCAGUACGGUACAAAUGGAGUAUUCCUUUUCCUUUUUCUAACAGUAAAUUUAGGUCGGCGAAAUAAAGAUAACAGAAGGGGGAAACCUUAGUGGUUUACUGUGAACUCUUGCUAUAAAGUGCUGUUAAAAUCUGUGGAUUUUGUCCAUGGAAGUCAUUGCAGAAAAUAAAUGCCCCAACCGAAGUUGCUUGUUUUUAGUGGAUUACUGCUUAUGGUGCCUGUUUGACUCAGGACAACCUACAAAAAAAAAGUCUUAAGCUUGUGAAACAGAUAUUUCCUCUGUCAAAAUGCUACUGAAACAGUAAAAUCAUCUUCUGAUUCAUUGCAAAGACACAGUUAAUAUGGUCCUUUUUCUGAAUAUUUUUGUUGUUCAAUGGGUGAUACCACAAAGAAUUAAGGAUCUACUUGUGUGCUGGCAAGGUUAGAGAAUGAAGAGAAAGAGAAUGCUGAAGACAUGGCAAAUAAUUCCAUUAUGAAUUAGCUGGACAAUAUGGCUUGAGAGGAAGAGCAGAUGCUUUGAUGGAAGCAAGGAGUUGAUUGCUGUUUUAAAGUUUAGAUGUCUUCAGAAUUUGUUUUGUUGCCUCAAAGGAGAUGCUUAAUCAGAAUUUAUGAUUUUCUGGACUUCAUAGAUUCUCUCUUUGUGAAUGCCCGAGCAUACAACAGACUUGUUGAGUUGUUGGAUAAGAAGAGGGGGCAGCAAGAGCCAAAAGGCAUGGUGGAGGAUAAUUCCACAUUGCAUUUGGUAGACAGUACGGAAAGAAAGAAAUAGAAGAAACUUUGAAGAUAGGUCCAAUUCCAUUCAGAAGGUUAGAUGGGAUUGUAUUGCAUCCUUUUAUUUUUGGUGUAAAGAGGAAGGUUUAGAGGAAACAGAACAGAUUGUAGAAUUAUUAGGAUCCUUGUAGUAUUUUUUUUUCCUUCUAUUCUUUUAUUCCCCUCUGUUUGCAGGUCACCGGCAUAUCCUUAAUGCUGAAGAAUACAACAUUACCAUUUUAAAAAAUAAAUUAAAAAAUAGAUUCUCUCUUUCUGUAGCUUCUAUCCAAGGCCUCUCUUUUAUAAGCUUAUCAGGUACCUUUCUAGUACUAAUUUAACACUCUCCUUAUACAAAGAGGUUGGUGAAAUAAAGAGGAAAAUGCUUCAUACAGUUUCCAGUGUAGAAACAGCUUCGAACUGCAGCACAGUUGGUCCCUAAGAAAUGCCUUAAGCUUGAAGUUUUGUCACUUUAAGCAGGCCGAUGAACUUGAUACUAACAUAAAACCCCAACAAAUUACAAAAAACUGACUUUUUGUAUUUGUUCUGAUAACCAGCUUAAGUGCAUUAAAAUGUCGAAAUGCAAAUGCAACAUCACCUAUAGUUGUUAUUUUAUCAAAUUUAUUAUGAGGGUGGUGCACCCUGAGAAUACAAACUGAAGGAUGAGAUUCCAUCCUCCUCAUUAAUAGGGAAAAGGAGAGAGACAUAAGUCAACAAUCCCAGUAGAGAACAUCCUCCAAAGCAAGAUAACCCGUUUUGCUGCAUACAAGCCUUAAACUAGACUACAUGAAUCCUACAUGGAAAAAAUUCAAGUAUAUGACUAGGGAGCUAAUUAUUUAAACUAAAACCUAGAUGCUUAUUAACUAAAGUCACAUAAUUUAACUAUCAUUUAAGUUAUCAGUGUUUGAGUAUAAUUAUUGAAAUAGAAAUGGAGCAGUAUUCUUCUAUUAGAUACGGAAAUAAACUUAAAACUUAUUGGCUUUUAUUUCUCUAAAAUGCUUACAAUUUUUAUAUUUCUUUGUGAUCCCAAUUUGUAUGACACUCUUUGCACAUGAAGAUACCAAUGGAAAAUUAUGGAAUUACCUAAAGCUUAGUUAAUGAACAGUCAUGUAAAACCAUAAAUGUCAUAGUUCCUCGAGGGUUGAAGGCUUGAAGCCUAAGCUAUGCAAUGCAAGGAUAUUUACAAUUUUUAACCAAGAGUUGCACUCUCAAUAAAAAGAUUUUCCAUCACUCGUGCUGCUGCACAACCUUGAUCCCAAGAAAUGUAUCUCUAUGACUCUAUCAACAAUCGUGAACAUACAAUAACUUGAUAUGUAGAGCAUGAAGAGAGACAUAAAUUCUUACUGCUGUCACUUUCUUAUAUAUUUGAGCAGCGUUGGAACACUCAAUAUAAGGAUAUUCAAAUGUCACGAGCUCCAGCAGGCACAUGCCAAAGGCAUAGAUAUCUACUAGCUCAUCGUAUUCCUCUUCAUAAAGUUCUGGUGCCAUGAAUUCUGGUGUACCUGAGAUCAAAUAUAGAAGUGCACUUUUCAGAACCAUCUAAACUGCCAAUGAACAGCCAAUUACAACCUUUAGUACAGUUGCAAAACUGAGAAAAUCUGAGUAGGACCUUACCAAUGACACUAUGAGCAGCACGAGCCUUGCAAAGAAUUGCAGCGAGUCCCAAGUCACCAAUCUUAACCUCCCCUUGGUUACCAUUGAUAAAAAUGUUAUCACACUUGAGGUCCCGAUGAAUAAUUGGAGGGUCAUGACCAUGUAGAUAUGAGAGACCCUCUAAUAUCUGCCUAGACCAAUUCUUAAGUGCUCUGAUAUCAACCCUCUUAUGUUUUUUGCGGUACCUUCACGAGCAUACAGAAAAAGUAGUCCAUAAUCCAAUAUUUGAAAAAUAUGGGUAGUGGGGUUAAAGAAUUGAGCAAAGAAAAGCAAAAAAAAAAACAGAAGAAAAAAAAACGAAUAGCCAUACUGUCUUAAAGUCCCAGAAGUGAAAAUUUCAGUAAUGAUGUUGAUAUUCUCAUUCUUUGAGUCAACCCACGAGUUAUAGAAUUUGAUUAUAUUCUUGUGCUUGAGGGUUUUAAGCAAAUGAACUUCGGAAUAAAGACGCUCCAAGUCCACAGCAUUCCUCAAGAGAUCAGCCAAUUUAACCUGGUUCCAAGCUACUUCAAUCCCCUCCAAUUCAUCAAAUGCUCGGUAACUAUAUUACCGAUGGUAAGUCAAGAAUGGACAAUAGUUUCACUUGGCAACAUUCAUUAAUGAGGGGAAAGGCAGUAACGCAAUAGUUCAUCUCGGGUUAUAUGUCAAUCAUACAACUUUCACAAAUAUUAAGAAUUAAAACAUAUAAAUAUUCAAAUUUAAUACCUUUAUGUAAUGUCCUCUUAAUCAAUCUAAACUUUUUAACUAUCACUAUAAUAUUUUCUUCCCUUACUACAAAUAUAAUAUAUCCCCUCUGUUUCAUUUAUGUGACACUAAUUCCUUAACAGUGUGUUCCAGAAAAAAUGGCACAUAUUCUCACACUUGGAAACAAUUUAACGUGAACUUCUCAUUCCUCUCUUUUAUAGCCCAAAUUAAACUAACGACAUGGUUAAGACCAUAAGUUCAAAAGUCAUUUUUUCCUCAAAACCCAUGCACGACCAGCACAUAAAUUGGAACAAAGAGAGUACCAUUCAAAUUAACAUCUUAUAUUCCUUAUCCUGUCAAACACAUCAAUGAAAUAAACGGGCAUUAUGCACGUGAAGACAUUCAAAAUAGGAUACACUUUCUUGAAAGCUCCUUUUCCCAGAACCUCUUUGUACUGCAUAUAACAAGACAAUCAAUUCCUUAAUUACAAUGAAGAAUCAAAUAUAUGUAAUGACUAAUUUAAUAUACACCAACCUGAAAAAUAUUAGCCAGAAAUGUAACAACAGUAAUAGAAAAGCAGUCAGAAAGAAUAGAAUCCCAGGAAAAGUAAAAUACAAAAAGAAAUAUUACCCCCAUAGUCCCAAUUUAAAUGAUUCUCUUUCCAUUUUGAGAUUCCCGAAAUCUUUACACUAUUCAACUUGUUUGGGUGGUUGCAAUCGAUUGUAUUGUGUUGUUAGUUUAAAUACUGUGUUUGUUAUAAUUGUUACUCAUUUUAUUGAGCGUAUCCUUAAACUUAUUGUUAGAGGUAAUGACGAAAAUUCCCAUUUUGUGUAACAACAUUUGGUGUGAUCAAGUCGUUAACUUUUUUCCCUCAUUUUUUAUUUACUUAAAAUUAAAUAUACUUAUUUUAUCUUUUACCCAACCUUUUUAUAGCAACUCUAUCCCGUACCCUACUUCUUUUACAAGCUCAUCCUUCUUUUAUAAAUUUAUCCUUUAAAUUAUUGAUGUGUAACAUUAUGUUACGAUGAAAAACGACACAAGCUAUCUAGACGUUGUAUUCAUUAAAGACUACUGUACAUUACAAUACAAUACAGAAACAAUACCUAACAACCAUCCAACCAGUUCAAGCUUUCUCCUUCAUUAAAUUUUUAAUUUGAUAUGAUGAACUUUUCCCUACUCAAACUAACUUUUCAAAUGUUACUUCAACAAAUUUCACCUUAUGCAUUUCAGUCCGACCAUAUAAAAAUAAGCAGAAUAAAGUCAGUAGGCAGUUUCAAAAAUGUACUUCAAAACACUACUUAAGCGGUACAACAAGCCAAAAAAUAAGUUUUCAAAUGCAGAAGCGAGUGAGCGAGAAACUAACCCGGCCGUAUCGACCAGAAGGAUCGAGCUCAACGAACUCCGGUUCCGAUUCAGAAUCGUCCGGUUCCUGUUCAGACGUAGAUUCCUGCUGCAUUCUCUUUGUUCCAAUGAAUUGAGUAUCGAGUAGAAAAAGAAAAAAAAAUCCAAAACCUAGCUUUUUGACAAAACAAUAAACUCAAUUCAGAUCAAUAUGAAACAGCGUAAUUAAGUAUUUUGCCAAAAUAACAAUCAUACAAUUCGUCUGCGGAGAUUGUAAUUGGAAAGAAGACUCAGUUACACCAAACGAACAAGUAUGUAAGCGUAUUAAGGAUCAGUGAAAGAAGAGAAGAAUGAGAAACGUAAAAGGCAAAUGAAGGCGUAGAAAGGGCAAAAAGUUAAAAAAGAGUUGCGGUGGGUUGUGGGUACCGUUGGGUCAAUUGGCAGGUGUUUAUUGGGUGUUUACGCUGCGCAUGCGAACGGGAGCAGACUCAACCCUGACGCCAAAAUUUGGAGCGUCAUUUGCACGGAUGCCUCGUUUAGGUUUGAGGGUUUGAAAAGACUUAAAACUUAAACCUAAUCUAUUCAAGUUUAGUUUGUCAAGUAGAGAUAUAUUUUUAAGUUUGUUAAUAUUUUAUUUGAUAAAUCUAAUAGUUCACGUUAAGCUUAGAAUAGGAUAUUUAUUUUCUUAAAAAGAAGAUUGAAAAAAUGAAAAUGAAGCUAUAAUUAUAUGACAAAUCAAAUCUUUACCAAUAAGAUAAGAGUUGAAAUAAUCAAUCAAUAAGUUGAAUUUUAUUGUACUUUAUGAAUUGAUUUUAAUUUACUUUUACUAAAACUUUUAGUUAUAAAAGGUCUAACACCAUAAAUUCUUGCAUUGUUAUAUUUUUUCUCAUUUAAAUAAGAUUAUAGAAACGCAAUAGCAUAUUUGUUAAAGCUUUUUUUAUUUUUUCUUGUUUAAUUAGAAAGUGAUUGAAAAGUCAACCAUGGAUAAAUUUGAAAGUCAACGGGUUUGGCACAGGGCAACCAAACGUCAAGCUAGUUGAGAAUUUUUUAUUGUAUCUUUUUUUUCAAUCAUGACAACUCUUUGUUCUUUUUACUUUUUUUUUUAUAUCCUCACUUAAAUUAUUGUGGCAUUCGAUACUUCAUUUGAGAUUUUUAAAUUUUAAAUUUAGUAAUUGAUGGUCAAAAGUAGAUAUUAAAUAUCAAGUUUUAAAAUUUCGAUUCAAUACUUUAAUAAUUGAUAAAUGAAACUUCGGUCCGAUAUGAUAUUCAAUGAUACAAUAUUGAAUAUGCAGUCGAUUGUAUUACUAAUUUAACAUUACUGUUUUAAUUAUUUCUAUUCUUUAUGUGGAUGCAUAAGUAAUAGAAGAUCAAUAUGCAAGAAGACGAAAAGAUAUAUGUAUUUGAGUUGUUUAUGUUUAGUAAUACUCCACAUUUAACUUUCUGUUUGAACUUGUAUUAAUGAGUUAUGAAAUGUUUGAUAUAUGACAUUUAUUAACUAAUAAAUAUGGAAUAUCAAAUGAUUCUAAUGUCUCAUGCCAACCCAAAUCUAAAUAUCGUUAUUCUAAAAUUUUACUCUUAUAUAUAUACCUUACCAAAUAUCAAAUUACCAAAAAAAAUUAAUUCACUUCAAUAAUUCAAUUUUUGAUAUUUUACGUCCAAUUCUACUCUAAGUAUUUAUCUAAGUAACACUCCAUAUAAUUAUAAAUGGUAAGGAUAAAAUAAUACUUUUAAUGUUUUAAUUUUAUCUUGUAUUUGUCCUUUAUUCUAUUGAGUCAUAAGUACACCUCGCGAUAUCUUUUGUUAGUAUAUGUUCGUGUUGUGUAAUUUUCUCUUGUUUUUUUAAAGAAUUUUUAUAACUCAGUUGGUUGGCAACCCACCUUGUUGAUGAGAGUUUGACUCUCCACAGUAAUUCCCUCCCCAUUUCCCCCUUCCCUUACCCUCAAUUUUAUUUUAUUUCAUUUUUAAAGAAUCUACUUUUUCAAGUUUGAUUUGAUUUCUAUAUCUUACAAAAUUGAGUAAAUUUUAGGUUUGGUAAACAUAAAAGUCAUAUUUGUAUGCUAUAAUUAUAGUUUGCAUUAUUGCGCUUCAAAAUAAAUUUUAUGUUUGCUAUAUAUGGAACAUCAUAUCUGUAUAAAAAUUACAGGCAUCUAAUUUGUAUAAACGCAAUAAUUUAUAUAAAUCGGACGUCUGUAUCUAUGAAAAUUGUGUUCUAUAUGUAUAUGUUCUUUUAUGUUUGUAAAUCUGCAUAAAAUUUGAAAUUAUAUACAAUUGAAUCAAAAUAAAACAUUUGUAUAUCAAAUCUCUCUUUCACACUCCCUUUAUACAACACAAAUUAUAAAUUGUAAUUUGUAUAAUUUAUAUUUGUAUAAAGAGAAAAUUGCAUAAGAGAACUGGUAGCGCAAUAUAUGUUUUUGUAUAAUUAUAAGUGUAUAGGAUGAAUAUAUAUAUAUUUUUUAUUUGUAUAUAUAAUUUUCUCUCGCUUUAUACAAACAAAAAUACAAUUUAUACAUUUGUGUUGUAUAAAUUGAGAGAGGUGAAGGAGAGUGACAAGCGAGAUUUUUGCAGAGAGAGGCGAUGGUUAAAUAUUUGCUACGAGCUAGAAUGAAAUGAAACUAUAAUUAUAAUAUUUAUUUUGAAUUAAUAAUUUGUUAUUUUAUACCAUUAUUCCUAUAAAUUCCUUUCAACUUUGAACAAUAACCAGUAGCAGCCCAAAAGACAUCGCAUGGGCUUGGGUUGGAUAAAAAUAUGGGAAAUUUUUCAAAAUGUCAAUAUUUUAGCAUUUAAGAGGAUUCAUUAGCUACAACUUUAAUAUUUAGUAAAAAAGUCAUUUUAGUUUGUUAUGUAUGUUUUUAUUAUUUAUUUUUAUUUAAAGAAUAUAAUAUUCUAUUUAUAUUUAUUAUAGUUUUUUAUUAGUUUUUAUUCAUUCCAAUAGGUAUGCCGAAUUUAUCUAUACAGUCAUUUAAGAAAUAUAUUUGUAUUUUCAUAUAUUUUUUCCCUAUAUAGUUAUUUUUUUCUUCAAAAUCCUGUAUGUAUUCAUUUCAAUAUGUAUUUUAUUUGUAUUUCUAUUUAUUCUAGUUUUUAUUUAGGAUUUUGUAUAAUAAUAUAUAAAAUACAAAAAAUUAGUAUGAUGAAAAAGUGAAUGAAAUAUAAAAUUGAAAAAAAAAUUGAAUAUUUGGUGUACUCAUUCUUAAAUAAAACACAUAACUAGUUGACAUACCUUUAGAAUAAAUACAAAUUAUAAAAAAAUGUCAAAUUCAGUUGACAUACCUUUAUUAAUUUAUAUUCAUUCCAAUAUGUAUGUCAAAUAAAAUGUAGCUAUUUAAGAAAUACAUUUGUAUUCGUAUAUAUUUUUCACUGUGUAUUUAUUUUUCUUUUAAAAAUCUUGUUUCCUUUUCUAAGUCGUAUUCAUUCCAAUAUGUCUAUUAUUUGUAUUUGUAUUCGAAUACAAAUAAACUAAUAGAAAGUUCUUCUUAUAAAUAAAAUACAUAAAUAUUUGACAUACAUUUGGAUGAAUACAAAUUAGGGACAAAUACAAGAUUCAUAAACCAUACAACAUGAAAUUUUUAAUAAAUACAAAUAUUGAUAGUAUACAUAGUGAUUUGAAUACAAAUUAAGAAAGCAUGCCAAAUUCUAAAAAAGAAUUAUAAAUACAAAACAAACUAAUAGAAAAUUGUUCGCGAUCUUCGUCGUCUUUUUCAAGAUCCUCACGAGUAGACAAAGAUUCUACAUUUGCGUUUUGAAUUUGAGGAAGGUUUUGCACACCAAUGAGUCUUGUAAAUGUUCUUACCCUCUUUUUUCCCUCAUUUUAGCAGCGGAUCAUACAUUAUACACUAUUUGUUAAGUAAUAAAUAAAUUAAAGGAUGAAAAAUCACCAGAAAUUGGUUGAUUAAGAUGAAUACCUCUAGUAAGCCUCUUGGAUUCGGCCAUUGGAGAGUAAAUCAUAACGGAAAUUGAAAAAUACAAACAACAUUUUUUAAGAUUUAAACAAAAAUAAAAUUAGAAAAGAAAUCUGAAAAUAGGAUAAAGAUUAGAGAUACCUUAAUCAAAGGGAUUCUUAUUGAUUCAAUUUUGGAUUAAAAAAACAACCAAAAUAUAUGGCAAAAAAAUAUUUGCAACUUGAAUGUUGGAGGAAAAUCAGAAAAGAUAACCAUGAGAGAGAAAAAAAAUUAAAUGGGAGAGAAAAUUAACAAUUUGAAAAGAUAAAUAUGAGAGACUAUAAUUUUUUUUUUAAAAAAAAGAUAUAUAGAAUUAAUUGAAAAAGAGAGAUAAAAUAGGAAGAAAUUGGGACACAUACAUUUUUUAAAAUAAUGACAUUUUUGCUAAUAUUUAUAAAGUAUGAAUAUUUUUACUAAAUAUGUUAUUUAUUUUGACUAGUUUACUAAUUUUUCCUAAAAAUAUUUUGGGCCUAAGUUUGCUAUUUGUGACAGAGGCCUGCUAUGUUAUGUAAUAAAAGGUGGGAAAAUUGUAUAUAAUAGCAAACUAAUAACCUAAAUUAAAUGGAAUAGUUAGGGUUUGAUUUAAUUGUGCUCCAUAGCAAAUAUUAGCUAAAAUUUGCCAGCUUCUCUCUCCCAAAAAUCUCGCUCGCCUCCUCCAUUCUCGCUCGCCUCUCUAGCUUUAUACACAGAAGUAUAUAAUUCUGUUUCUGUUUUGUAGAAAGCGAGAGAAAAUUGUAUAUACACAUUCAAAAAUGUAUAUCUUCGUGUUAUACACUUAAUUAUACAAUUUACAAACAUUUUACUUCAAGUAUUGCAGAGAAAAAGGCCAACAAAUUAUACAAGUGCAGUGAGAUACAAUUUUCUCUAGUUUUAUACAACAGAAGUGUAUAUAUUGUGUUUCUGUUUUUGUAUAAAGCGAGAAAAACAUAUAUCUUCUUGCUAUACACUUAUAAUUAUGCAAUAUACAUACAUUUUAAUUCGAUUCAACUGUAUGCAAAACAAAUUAUACAAUUGCAGCGAAAUAGGCCAGCGAAUUUUUUAUUACGUAUCCCCCCCCCCAAAAAAAAAGAUUUUAUUCUCUUAAGAGACAUCUGGAAAGUUGAACCUGUUAAAUAGUAGUAUCAUAUUUGGCAAACAGCCAACUAAGGACUAAAUUAAUUAGUGAAUUAAUCAGAACAUAUUUAAUUAUAAUAAACUCCGACAUCUUCACAGAAAAUGUUUGAUACCCAGCAGAUUAGUGGACUGACCAUUACGUAUUUUAUUACUAAUAAUAUACAUGAAUCUUUUGACUUAACUAGCAAAAAUUGCGAUACAAUGAUAAAUAUAUUUUUUGUUCUUAAUAAAAAAUUUUGAAUUUGAAUCCCUCUUGCGAACAUCUUUGUUAGGAAGACCAAAAGAAAAAAUGUUUUGGAUGCACCAUUGAAAAAGUGUACCACUAAAGAUGCAAUAAGUAUUAACUAUGUAAGCUAAUUUAGUGGUAUGUUUGGUGAAGCUUUUGGAAAGCCAAAAUUAUCACAAUUUUAAUAAAAAGUACUUAUUUAGAAAGUAAAGAGUUAUGUCAUUUUAUUUAAAAAUCAAAUAGAGGGAGCUUUUAUAUAUAUAUAUAUAUAUAACAAAACGGAAAAUCACUAAUACUUUUGAAACUUUGAUCUUUUUUUCAUUAACUCAUACAUUUUAGACUUUUAGUUACAAUAACAUGCUAACUCUCCAUAUCAAAAAAAAAUUCCAUCACUAUCCAAAGCCAUCAACACUUUCAUCAUAUGGUAGCUAAUUAGAAUUAUAUAGAUAAUAGUUACAAGAAAUUUAUAUAUAUUAUCUAAUUAUAUAGGAAAUAAUUUAUUUACGUAUUAGUUAUUUAAUUUUUUAUUUUGUAUCAAUUAAUACGUAAAUAUCCUCAUAAGUAAUUGUAAUACAUGUAUUAAUUAGUAGAUUUCUAAAUUACAAACCACAUUAUAUCAAUAUUAUGAGAAAAGACAUAAAGUCAGCAUUGAAGUUGUGUCGAAUUUUCAAAAAGACACCUUAACUUUGUGGGUGUCCUAUUUCCUCAUUGAACAAUUUAAGAGUGUUAUAAAUAUCUCACUUUUUACUCAACCUCAAUUGUAAAAAAAGAUGUGCAAUUACGCAUCAAUAAUUGUUUGACACGUAUUAAAUUCUUUUAAUUUUUAAUUUUUAGUUUCAUUUUCAUUUUUAUUUUUAUUUUUCUAUUUUUAUUAACUUUAUUUAAAUUUUUCUCUCUUUCUUCUUAAAUCUUCAUUACUCAAAUCUUUUAUUCUUUGUUGUAAAUUCUCCAAAAGUAGCAGUCAUUGUCGCAUUCAACGUAGCCUCCAUGAUGCUUUCUUGUUACAACACUAUUUUUGUUACUAAAACAUCACUAAAUAAGAUCAAUUCAACUCUCAAGUUACUAAAGCAAGGUAAUAGGAUAAAAAAAAAAUAGAGUUUCCUAGUACUCUAUAAUCAAUGGAGUUCACAUUUCUUGUUUUAAAAGAAAAGGAUAAAAGAAGAAAAAGAAACAAAGAAAAGCAAGAGACAAGAAAAAAAGUGAUAAAAAUUGAUGAAGAAGAAAAAGUAAUUAAAUUUUUGAAUUUGGGUGAAAGAUAAUGGGAAGAUGAUAUAAAUUAAUUAAUAAUUAAUAACAAAGAAAUAAAAUGACACGUGACACUUUAUAGCUGGUUAUGACAGUGAAAAGACUGGGUCACACGCCUCAUUGGCGUGGUAACAACCCAGACGAGAAAAUGGGUCAAAAUGGCCCAUUUACAAAGAUAUUAAAUAGUUUCGUGGGAUGAUAGGAUACUUUCAAAGUUAAGAUGCUUUUAUGCAAAUACCGGACAACUUUACUGAUAAGUUUAUGUCUUUUCUCUAAUAUUAUAUAUACAUAGUAAAAGAAUUUUGUUUAUGUAGAAUUUGAUACAUAAAUAACUUACCUCCUAACCAGCUAUUAAACAACUAUUAUAAUAAUAUAUGAACCAACAAUUUAAUCGAGGACAACGUUAUUGUUAUACUUUUUCAAUAAUAUAAGGGCAAAUAUAACUACUACUACUUCUUAGAGGACGACCAUAAUAAUUGAUAACGUAUAUUAAGAAUUAUCACAAAUUAAGGCACAUUGGAGAAUAUUCUUCCUUGGCUAACAAAUAAACAUAAGGAAUAUAUAUAAUUUUGUAAACGUGUUAGAUUAAAUCAAUAUACCCUACUAGGGUUGUUUAAAUGUUGAAUUUGAACAUGCAAAAUUCUUAUACAAGACUUAGUCAAUUAUAAUCCAUCGCAUAACGAAGUAAUUAAUUAAGUAAAUGUUUUCUCACUCGUAAGAGACUUGUAUUUACUCCUUCCAAUUUUAGUAAAAAUGGUAAAAUCUUUCAUUUUUUGAAAAUAAGUAGUCAAGUCAAACUGGAAAACAAUGAUCUAAUUUUCUGUAGUUAUUUUGGGUAAUAUGUUACCUGUCAUUAUUUUAUAAAAAAAAUUCUGUAGUUAUUUUGGUAAUAUGUUACCUGUCAUUAUUUUAUAAAAAAUUAUCUUAAAUACAUAUCUUAUUUUAUCAUAAUCUCUAAAUUUUGCUGUUAUUUCUUUUAAAAAAAUAAAAAACCCUCUCUUAGAUAGAUCACUUCUCUCUUGCUGAUACUUCUAUAUUCCUCUCGGAUACAUCCCUCUCUUAUAUAUUCAGAUCCUAUUCCGUCUCUGAUACAUUAUUUGUUCUACGUAUUUGGAUGUCCUAUCCUCGAUAUGAUACAUCACUCUCCUCUUGAAUACCUCCCUCAUUUAUGUGAGGAAGUCAAAUAAUGUAUUCAAAAUUUAUAUUUUUUAAAGGAUUUUGGUAAUUUUAAAAAAAUAGAGAAAUUAUGUAAAUAAAUCUUAACACUAUGAAAUUUACAUAAAUUAUACUUUAUUUUAUUCGUCCAUUUGUCACAGUAGUCGGUCAAUAUAUAUUUUGAUUUGGAUGGGGUUGUUUUGUACUAAAAUAGAUACAAAUUUUUAAAGUUUGAAAUGUCUAAUAUGAGAAAAGUUUGCAUUUCUAUUUUGUGCCAAUUUUUAAUUUUGUGAAAAAGGCUUAAUAUACUAUUUAACUCUGUCAUUUAGAGAUGAUAUAACUUCAUUAUGAAAAUGACUCACAUGUACCUAUAUCAUGCAUUAUUAAGUAGAACUCUUUAUGAGAUGCAACAUGUACUAAUGGUUAUGUACUGACUACUCUACACUUAAUCAGACGUCUCGAAUUCGAGUUUUGGAUAUAAAAAAUGCCACUCAUGAAUGGAUCCUAUAGAGUGCAUCCAAAUUUAAUCGGGACUCUAAUGUAGACUUUGAACACCGAGUGAUGAAAAAAAUAAUUAAGUACUUACACCAUUUUCCUCUUUUUCUUAACCAAGUGGAUGUGGUGUGGGGCAGGUCGGGAAGAAAGAAACAAGCAAAUAGCAACAAGAGGAAGAAAAAAAAAAGAGUAGCUUUCAAUCAAUUAAGAUGAUGUGAAAAGAUAAUAUAUAGUAGAAUUAGUUUGUGACAAUUGACUGGUUCAAACGUCCUAGUUUAAUUAGAUGAAUUGACUAAAUAAUUCCAGAGAAAGAAUAGUUUAAUGUAUUAGGAAGAUAAAUACGAAUUAUUAUUUGCAAGUUUGAAUGGCUACGUGGUCCUGCUAAUAGUUUUAAAAAUAAAGUGUUCACACUCGAUAUUUUUAUUAAAUAAAAAAAAUUAAUUAAAUAAUCAUAAAUAAAAUGAAAAUUCAGAUAGUCAACCAAUCAAACAGUAAUUCAAAAUUUGCAGGUGCUAAUUCGUUUACAUAGGUGGUAUUCAAGUAAGAAAAUGCUACUUUAACAUUAUAUAACAUGUUACGUUACUAUAUUAAAAAUAAUUCACAUGUGUUUGUGUUAUUCAUGUGUAAGUAAGAAAGUUCCAUGUAUUACCUACCAUAUUAUUAUUAUUAUUAAAAUAAUGCACACGCAUUUGUGUUAUUCAUGUGUAACAGUGUAAGUAAGAAGUUCCAUCCAUUAUAAACCAAAUUUGGAAAAAUAAAAUGUUUUGACUAUUUUAACAGCACGGGACAGUAGGCUAUUAGAAUAUAAUGAUGAAUUUAGUCUUUGAUAUAAAUAAAUAUAAAAUGCUUGUGAUAAAUAUGAUUAGUUUAAUUGUGUUAAAGAAUGACAAAAGUCCCACAUAGGUGGUUAAUGAGAUGGUUGGACUCCUUAUAAAACUUGAAAAAAUCCUCCUUCAUUUGAGCUAGCUUAUGGGGUGUGAGUUAGGCCUAAGACUUAAUUUCACAUGGUAUCAGAGCAGGGCCCGUCUCACCCGAUGUUGUGAUCCCCAAAAUCAAAAUUGUCCACGCACCAUAUGAUAAGCACUGAGCGUGAGGUGGGGUGUUGAAGAAUGACAAAAGUUUUACAUCGGUGGUUAAUGAGAUAGAUAGAUUCGUUAUAAGGCUUGGGGCAAUCCUCCUCUCUUUGAGCUAACUUUUGGAAUUUGAGAUAGGCCGAAGACCUAAUUUUACACAUUGUUCAAACCAAUAACUUUUGGGAUUUGAGUUAGGCGUAAAAUCUAAUUUCACACAUUGUUCAAACCAAUAAAUGAUAUUAUACCCUACCAUCUCAAUUUAUUUGUCAUAAUUUGACUGAAUACAAAAUUUAAGAAAGUAAAAAAGAUUGUUAGGAAUUGUUUGUUAUGAGUGACAAAGAAUAAUAAUUUCAUAUUAAAAUGUAGAAUUAUUUUAUCUUAAUUUUGGUCAAGACUCAAGGGUAUUAGCUAAAUUGUCCCAAGAUUUGUUUGUUAUGAGUGACAAAGAAUAAUAAUUUCAUAUUAAAAUGUAGAAUUAUUUUAUCCUAAUUUUGGUCAAGAGGGUAUUAGCUAGAUUGUCCCGAGAUUAUUUAUCUCACCCUUUGUAGCAUAUUGAGAUAAGUUAUCUCAUAUAUAUGAUAGAAUAACUAAUCUUAUGAGGUAACUCCGUCGAUACCAUCACAUACCAAAUGACCCUUAAAUCUUGUGGUUGUAAGUUGUAACUAAAUGUGUAUAUAAUAUAUCAAAAUGUUCUUUAAUCUUAAGAUGUUAAACAUGUCACGUAAAAUAUUAAAAAUAACAAUAUUCCAAAUUAUGAAAAAGACAUUAUUUUCUAUAUCUUAAGUCUAAGAAUAAAGUUACCCUUAUUAUUAGCUAUAUCAUUUUUUUCAUGAUGAUAAGUGAUAAACUCUAACACCAACAAAAACAUGAUAACAUAUCGAUUUUGCAACUCGAAAGUUUGUAAAUCUUCAAUUUAAACCUUAAACCAUAAAUGUAAUCUGAUAAAAUGAAAGAGAAAAAAAAACCUUAUUAGACUCUACAAAAUAUGCUAUUAUAAAUUACUAAACUACUUAGAAUUUCAUAUCGAUAGAGAGAUGGAAAAUUAAUCAUUGAUCUUCCAAUAAAUUGUUUAUCGAUGCUGACCCCAUUUAUCAUUUAUUAUUGGUGUGUACAAAUUUCAAUAGUCCAUACAUGGAAAUAUUUAAAAAUAAUUUAUUUAAUACAAAAACAAUGUGGGACAUAAGGCAUUGGCAAGUUUUUUCCACACGGUCUCAACUUGACUUGUAAAGCUUAAGUCUACGCUCGUUUUUCUUACAAUGCAGCCAACCAUUUCUGAUUCAUAAAAACCGCCAAUACACGCUUAGAAAAAAAAAAAAUCCAUCAACCACCACAGUUUCCCUCGUUCACCUCUCUCCUCCCUCUCUGUCCGGUUUACCGGAAAAACAAGAAUCUCAAAUGACUUCGAAUAUCCACUUUUUUCUUUUAUACGUUGUGAGCCUUUUCCUUUUUGUUCAAGCAAGAUUGAAUCUUUAUCCACCAGAUCAUGCUGCACUCUUGCUUGUACAAAAGGACUUAGGCAUCAUUUCUGUUAACAACCCGUGUACGCUCGCAGGAAUAUCGUGCGAGCGUAGACCGGGUAACACAACACAAGUUGUGAGAGUUACCCGUAUUGUAUUCAGAUCCAACGGAUUAAAGGGAACUUUGUCUUCUGCUAUUGGCAAACUCACUGAGCUCAAAGAGCUUUCUCUUUCCGACAAUCAACUAUCUGAACAAAUCCCCGUUCAGAUUAUUGAUUGUCGGAAGUUAGAGAUUCUUCAACUUCAAAGGAACAGAUUUUCUGGGAAGAUUCCAUCCGAAUUGUCAGCUUUAAACCGUUUAAGGAUAGUUGACUUUUCAUCGAAUGAGUUUUCGGGGAAUCUUGAUUUCUUGAAGUACUUUCCUAAUCUGGAAAAACUGUCUCUGGCUGAUAAUAUGUUCACUGGAAAAAUACCAUUUUCAUUGAAAUCUUUCCGAAAUCUUCGUUUUCUCAACAUUUCAGGGAAUAGUUUCCUUGAAGGUCCAGUACCUGUCAUGAGCCAAAUUGAGCAUUUAUCAGCAGAUUUGAAUCGAAAAAAUGGCGUUCCUAAACGUUACAUUCUAGCUGAGAAUUCAACAAGGAUAUCUGCAAUGGGACCUGCUUCGGUUCCAGCUCCAGCUCCAGCACCUGUCAAUCGUGUUGUACCGGCGAUGCAUAAACGUAAGAACAAGAAAAGGAAGUUACGAUCUUGGUUUCUUGGUUUCCUAGCUGGAACUUUUGCUGGGGGUAUAUCUGCUGUGCUCUGUUCCUUGCUAUUCAAGAUGGUAAUGUUCUUCGUAAGAAGAGGGAAUAACGAUUCAAGUUUAACGAUAUACAGUCCACUGAUCAAGAAAGCCGAGGACUUGGCUUUCUUAGAGAAGGAAGAUGGAGUGGCAUCGCUUGAAAUGAUUGGAAAAGGUGGCUGUGGAGAAGUUUAUAGAGCAGAGCUACCGGGGAGUAAUGGGAAGAUUAUAGCUAUAAAGAAGAUUAUCCAAUCCCCAAUGGAUGCUGCAGAGAUCACGGAGGAAGAUACUAAGGCGUUGAACAAGAAAAUGCGUCAAGUUAAAUCAGAAAUUCAAAUUGUAGGUCAAAUCAGACACCGGAAUCUGCUUCCAUUACUCGCGCAUAUGCCAAGGCCAGACUGUCAUUACUUGGUCUACGAAUACAUGAAAAAUGGGAGUUUACAGGAUAUCCUGCAGCAAGUCACAGAAGGCACAAGGGAAUUAGAUUGGUUGGGACGACACAGAAUUGCAGCGGGGGUAGCUGCUGGUCUCGAGUAUCUCCAUAUAAACCAUACUCAACGCAUAAUUCACAGAGAUUUAAAGCCAGCAAAUAUCCUACUUGAUGAUGACAUGGAAGCUCGAGUUGCUGAUUUUGGCCUUGCAAAGGCAGUUCCAGAUGCUCAUACACAUAUCACCACUUCAAAUGUUGCAGGAACUGUUGGAUUUAUUGCACCAGAAUAUUAUCAGACACUGAAGUUUACAGAUAAGUGUGAUAUAUACAGCUUUGGUGUGGUGCUAGCUGUGUUGGUUAUCGGUAAGGGUCCAUCGGAUGAUUUUUUCCAACAUACUUCUGAGAUGAGUUUAGUUAAGUGGCUGAGGAAUGUAAUGACUUCUGACGAUCCUAAAAUAGCAAUUGAUCCUAAGCUUAUAGGAAAUGGAUACGACGAACAAAUGCUUUUGGUUCUCAAGAUAGCUUGCUUUUGUACUCUCGACAAUCCAAAGGAGAGGCCUAACAGUAAGGAUGUUAGGUGCAUGUUAACUCAGAUCAAGCAUUAGAUAACCAAUACACUGGUUAUGUAACUAAGAAUCUGUUCUGUAUUUUCAGUUUCGCAAGUUGAUAUUUUGUUGUAAUUGUGUUAUACAUGUCAAAUCAAUAUUCAUUCCACCUUGCUACUUAAAUAACUAAAACUCCAAAUGCAAUUAUCAUUUGCUUCUUUUCAAACUAGACAUAUCCCAAUGUGUUAUGUGUAUGAUCAAGUUUUUAACAUUAGUAUUGGAGUCUAGAUGAGUUAGCUUUUAUCAAGAUGACUCAUGUUUUGGAAUUUAGAAUACCUCUUUGGGCUGAUGAGGUCAUUACUCCAGUUUCAAAGGAGCAUCGAAUCAAUAGUUCAAUACUAAUCUCCCCAGUCAACUGACCUUUGAUUUCGGAGAUUAGUGCAAGAGUAACAACAAAGAGGGGUUGAAAUUCAUUUGAUUGUAAAGAGAGGGAUUUCGCUUCAAAUCUAAAUGAUUUAUCUUCUUCUCUUAAAGACAUUUCUAUUUAGGACUUGAUUGAGGGAUCAAUUUUCUCCAAAACAUAAAGUAGCACGAUCAUAACCCGUGUCCCCGCCCCUUUAAAGGUAUGGAAGUUCAUUGAUGAAUAUGUAUAACCAUAUGCUUAUAAUUAAAUCACAAGUUGGCUUACAAAUUUGAGAACUUACAGAGCAAGCUAAUUGCUGACUCAAUUGAAUCAAUAGAACGUUCCAAACAUUUGGUAGGAAGAAAAAAAAUGCAUAAAAUGUGAAAUAUCAUUGAGCCUAUCUCAUGUUGGGGUGGGUUUGGGCCAACCCAAAAUUCAAAUCAAAAUCCUGUAUACUUGGAUUAUGAAUUUAACUUUUAAAAAUUUAUGAAUUUUGGAAUUUAAUUCUAUGAAUCCAAUUUUUAGUCCAAUAUACAAUUACAUGAUAUGGCGGCUUGGAGUCUCAAUCUCGAUUAACUAUAGAAAGUUACUAUUAUAUUUGACCGAGAAAACUAUUAGAUGAAGUGAGGUUGUAUAUUAGAGCUUUUAAUAUGAGUUAGUCCAUCCGAUUCAGACUAAUUCAUACAGAUUUUGACAUCUUACCGGUCCGAUCGAGUUAGUCAAUUUUUGAUGUGGGCCAGAAAAUGAUAAAUCCAAUCCAUAAGUACGUAGGUUGCAGGUUUGCUGGGCUCGCCACUUUUUUAAAAAUGAUAUUUUUUUAUAAUUAUUAAAUUAAAUUAUAAAUUAUAAUUUAAAAAUAUUAUCAUGAAUAUCGACAAAAUCAUAUUACAUGAUAUAAUCAUAAAUAUCGAUAAAAUCAUAUUACAUGAUAUAAUCAUAAAUAUCGACAAAACCUUCAAUCCAAUUUAGAUAAAAUGCCAAAUAGUAGAAAAUUAAAGUGAAAUAAAUAAAGAGUAGGCAAUAUGAACAUAAGCCCUUAUAGCUCAGUGGUAGAGCGUCAGUCUUGUAAACUGAAGGUCCGUAGUUCGAUCCUGCGUGAGGGCAUUUUCUUAGUUUUGUACACAUUAAACAUUUCUGUUUUAUUACUCUAAUGUUUGUGUAUACAUAUUUAUAAUAUACAAUUAUCUAACUAAUAUACAUAUACAAAAAGUUUCCCUACUUUUAACUCUUGAAAUUAAGUUUUUGUAAGAAUACGUCUAUUUUUUUUUCCCGAAAACUUUGACAAAUAAGUGACAAUUCAUUCAAAUUAGGCUCAAAGUUUGAAAAUUAAUAAAAUUUAAUUUAGUUAAAUAGUUCUAUAAUUUUUCAACAAAGUUAUGUCAACUGAUACCCUUUACAUCAGGUGGCUCUCAUUUUUUACUCUGUAUAAAUUAAACACUUCUAUUUCAUUUUUUCCAAAAAAGAAACAAAAAAAAACAAACUAAAUCAAAUACUUUUGACUCUUGAAAGUAAGUUUUUGUACGAGUACAUUCUAAUUUUUCCCAAAAACUUUGACAAAUAAGUCACAAUUCAUUCAAAUUAGGUUUAAAGUUUGAAAAUUAAUAAAAUUUAAUUCAGUUAAAUAGUAUUAUAAUUUUUCAAUAAAUUAAAUUUAAUAGCCUUUACCUGAGGUGGCUCUGCCACAUACUACACCAAUCUUGAGUUAAAAAACACACACCAAGGAAUCUUCUUUUUGUACAAGUCUUCUAGAUCUAAGAUCCAAAUUCCAUGUACUAUGAAAAAGUUUUGGAACUUUUCCCUUCAAAACUUUACUCGUAUAUUCUUUUAUCUCAAUUUAUGUGUUAAAUUAUUUGUAAUCCAUGUUAAAAAGGAUGUUUUAUCUUCUUAUUUCGAUAUGAUUUUAAUUUUAAUAGAAUGCUUUAUAUCAUAUAAAUCUUAUCGUUCUUAAUUUAAUUCAAGGAUGAAUUUCUUCCCAAAUAACUUUUCUAAAAUUUAGAAGCUAUUUUAAAUGGACUAUUGGAGGAAAAUGUAAGUGAAAGAAGGUUAUUUUUGGGUUUUAGUAUUUGGUUGUCAUUAAAUUUGUUCGUGGAAUUAUAUUGCGUAUGUUAUUAUUAUUAUUGUUAUGAUAGUAUUUGGUUGCCAAAAAUGACUUUGAAAUAUCUUUUUGGUUAAAGUGAGAUGGUGGUAGAUGUAGAAAACAAAUUGAUAACAAUAAAAUAAAAUGUGUGUAUAGAAAUGAAGGGAAGAAUUAGUGUACCACUAGUGCACUCAAGUUGAGUAAUGAGUACCAAGUGUCCCACUUAGGAGUUCGAAUUUGAUUAGAUAGAAGAAAAAUAUCAAAAUAUUGUCCAUUUAAAUCACCAUGCCAUCAUUUCAAUUUUCACGAUAGAGAAAGUAAAAUUGGAUGUGUUCAAAGAUAUGAAUGGUGCAAAUCAAAUGAUCUUAAUUCGCCCUACUGUUUUUUGAAUUUAGGUUAUCGCAUUACUCUAUUAUCGUUAUUAUUUUCGUACAAGUUGAUUUACUUCUUUAUUUUUAUUUUCUCUUUUAAUAUUUAUUUUGAUAUUUGAGUCGAGAAUUCACUGAAAAUGUAUAUUUUAUCCUCUUUAUACUCACUCAUAAAAUUUUAAUAAAUAUGUUAUGGUUUGUACUAACGAACAUAAAUACAUAAAACUAUAUGUGUCCUCCACAAAAGGGUAAAAAACUAUUUUAGUUUCAAGUUCUCCAAUCCUAUUUAUGAGCAUUAAAUUAAAGGAACACUUGGACGAAAGAUGAUAAUCAAAGUAGGGUCAUUGGGAGUUUGCUGCUUUUGGGCCUUCUCUGCAGCUUAUCUGAUCUUUUUUUGGAAAUAUCAGUGUCUUUUCUCAAAUAAAUUGCGAUAAGGUUUUGGAGACAUCCAAAAAUCUCUCGACUCUUAUCACGCUCCAAUUUUCUUCAUUAGUUAAGCAGUUGGACGAUUCUUACUGUAAUACUAAAAUUUGUUUUUUCGUCGUCUCAUAAUAUCACACAUUAGCAAUUUAAAAAAUAAAAGCAACUUGCAAAUUUUAGGGAUCGACCACAUUUUUUUUUCUGUUUCUCCAGAGUAUUACAAAGCACAAUAAACAGUAGAAAGGCGCACAAAACAAGUAUAUGAAGCAUAUAGUUGGCUAAUUUUAUUACACAAAAUGAAGAUAUAUAUACAGAGACUACCACACAGUAGUUGUAGAAUUACUCUUUUUGUAUACAACUCUUUUGCUGAUACAACACUCUUCAUCUACUAAAAGACUGACUCAGAAAUAAUAAAUAAACAUAUAGAAUAGGUCUCUACAGUAGGAAAUAUGAAAUGGUAAAAACUAAAUUACAUUCUAUUGAUGGUCUAUUUACAAAGAUCGAGUUCGCCUUACGAUAUGAAACACACACUUUUGACACUAAGCUGCCAAUCUGAAGUUCAUCACUUGAUGAUGGUUAAAGUCCAUUUUCGGUUCCUCUUCUCUCUUUCUUUUGGGCAGAGAUAAAGAAGACAUUGCCCUGGCUGACACUACCUUUCUAACAAGUGAUUUCCACAGCUCGUCAUCACCCUUUUGUUGCACCUUCAAUUUGAAUUGUCUGAAAUGUAAAAUAUGGGGCUGUAAGAUACUCGAGAGUCGAUAUUGACCAAGAACAGAAAAAAAGAAAAAGAGGACGAUUAGUUACUGUUUCAAAUUGACCCCUACUGAUAAAGAAGGCAAACAUGUUCUUUUUAAGCUUGAUAGUUAUGAAGCGAUUUUGACCUUAACCAACCCAACGUGUUAAAAAGUUAUUCGAAAUCAUGGGAGAUAUUUUCUUGAGGAACUGGACAAAUGGAGAAAAUCCUGUCGCUGUCUACAUUUUGAUACCGUCUACGACAGGUGCAUCUGGGUAUUAGUCGAAAUGGGACCACGGAUCAAUUAUUACUACUUGGAUGGUUGUGUUUCACAUCAACAACAAUCUCAACCAUGCCGGCAUACAGUGAAAUUUGGAGAAAAUAUCUUCAUGAUUAGACUAAUCAUCACACAAAAUUGAACAAAAUCACAUCCCAGCUGACAAUAAUUUUGUGUAAGCCGUAACUAAGUGUUGAUUUAUCUUCACUAGCUUAUAAGACAGUUCAGGAUUGAUAGCCUCCUUGUAACUGUCUACAUCACAAAUUUAAAGAGAAACAUCCAACAAAGUGAUAGUAAAUGGCUCAAUCAUGAAUCGGAGAAAAACAUGACAAAUCAAUAAGACAGCUGAUUUGUUGGCUUCUUCUAUCGAGACAAAUCACCUAUAAUAACAUCUGAGCUCUGACAUGCCACCUAAGAAGUUUUCAAGAUUGAACAUGACAGACCAUAAUGGGUAUAUGGAUCAGGACCCAUCAUUCAAAUUAAGCAAGAUAGACAUGCCUCAACCAAUGACACCUCUAAGAUGAUGUACAUAUUCUAAUUAGUGCGAUCAAUGUGAUUCACUCUUGCGCGAUCAACAAUACAUGAAUUGAUUAAAAAAUUAGUUACUCAGUAGUCAGUUGGUGGUUACCUGCAAAGGGGAACCUGGCAAUCGUUUGGUUGGUCACAAAUGGAUGCGUGUAAUCUUAGGAUCUGCCACAUGCGCUUGCAUCGCAAACAACCUCCAUUGGUCCUUCUCUUACAAGUAGCAAAAUGUCGAAUCAGAAACUGAAGCCCUUGGCAGGUAUCAAACUUGCUACAUGGCUGCCUCUUGAUGGAAGGUUCUUUAUCUAAUGGCCCCACACUAGUACAUCCUUCAGUGCAAAUGUGCUCCAAACAAUCCAUCGCUUCGCUUAGCUGUAAAUACAAGCUCCGCUCUAGUUUGUGUCUCCUUGUCCUCUUCUUCCGCUAUAAUGAGAAAUUUACAAUGUAAAAUCACUAACCACAGCCAUUUGACUGAUAAAGGAGAUGCAAACAAAUGCCAUGUAAUGAUUUCAUGGCAAGCUUAUUAUCUGUCAUGAUCAAUUUGACAACAAUAAAAAUUAUAACAUGAAUUCCAAGAGAAAUUCUUUUAUUAAAUAAGGGAUGUAUGAUAUAUGUCAAUUACGUUAUAAUUACGUACCAACUCAGCCUCAUCCAUGAACUGUAGAAUUUCAAGUUCAAGCCAGGGAUCAUGAUGUUGAAGGAAUUUCCAGCCCUCAGUCUCCUCAACUUUCUUGAAAUUACUAGACAAAAAUUUCAUACUCUUAAGAUAUAGAUCUGGUGCAUCACAUAGUCUCGCAAGUUGAAGCAAAUCCACAGCAUUCUCAAUCGUCAAUCGCUCGGCCAACCCCUUUGUGCAUCUCUGUUUCAGCUGCGGUACCAAGUACACAUGAGAAAGUGCUAGCAGAUGGAUCCCAUGUCUCUUCAUCUGCUCUUCAGUGCACCUAAAUACAAUGACAAUUUGGUCACUCUAAGCAUUCUUUCUAGCAAGGAUUUAACUGAUUAAAAGUUUCUUAUAUUUUAAUUAGCUUUUAGACCAUAUGAGAGUAAGUAACAUGCUACAAAUGAGUCAACAAUAUUGGUUGUUUAACGAUCAUAAAUAACCUAAAUCCUUUUGUAAUUCAUUUCAAUGACAACGAAGAUGUCGGUCGAGGCAUCUAGCAGGCGGCCAACACAAUAUGAAGCAAUCAAAACAUCAAAUAGUAUAUGAUUAAAGAAUUUACAAGUCAAUGAAUGAACCACACGUAAGCAAUUAAGUAAUAGGCAUGCAGAUUAGUUUUUGAAUAUCAACCACCUAUUCUCUGAUCAACGAAGGAACCGAGACUUCACCCUAAAAUAAUCUACUUAUUGUGGUCAAAUUCCAGCUUGGAUGGAACCAAUUAGAUUCGAGUUUCAAAACAAUUUACAAAUUAAGAAAAAUCAAAUAAUGAGUCUUUGAAUACCAACUACCUAUUUUCUAAUCAACGAAGCAACCGAGACUUAAUCCUAAAAUAAUCUACUUUAAAAUAAUUACUUCUCGCGGUCAAAUUCCAGCUUGAUGGAGCCAAUUAGAUUCGAAGUUUGAACACGGUUACCAAAUUAAUUAAAAAAUAAUAAUAAUUAAAAAAAACUAAACGGAUUUGCGUGUAUCUCGUGUACUCACUUGAAAGAAUAGAGAAACCGGAUAAACACGGAAACGGCGUCGCACGGCACGCCAAGAAUCCGAAUCGUUCUCUCGGAGCUCCGCCGCUUUCCCGGCCGAGCUAGUAUGUUCUCCAGAACCGUCGAAGCAGCAGCCUACAAAUACGUUUCUCAUAAAUCAGUACUUUUUUCUCAAAAUCAUUCGCAACUAAUAUCAAUUUUUCGAACAGCCAACACGGAGUUUUCACAGCGUGAAUUGAUUAUAAAUCAUUAAUACACUAGACUAACAUUAGAUUAACAUGCAAUUAAUAGAUUUAACGAGUAUUUAAGACUUCAUGUGGUUAGUUUUAGGUCUUCGUACCAGAACGGCGGAAUGUGCCGGAAUGCGGAGGCCGCCGGAGGUGACGAUUUGGAUAUCAACCUCAGACAUUUCGCCGGAAAAUUUAUCGAUACCGUCUGAAAAGUUAAGGGAUGACAUAGUGAUUACAGUUGCUUUUGGGAAUUUUCAGAGAGUUUAGUUUUUGAAGAAGGCAUUAACCCAACCCUCUCUAUUUAUAAGCAGCGCAGAGUUGCCAUUUGCCAACUCCAGAAAUGAAAGGGCGGCACGUGGAAGAUUCUUUUUUAGUACUCCAGAAAACAAUUAUUUGGGCAGGACAGGAAAUAAUAAAUAUUAAUAAUUUAAAUCGUUAAAUUAAUUGAGUUAUUAAAUUUUAUAAUAUGAAAGAGAACUUAGCGUCCAAAAAAGAAAUUACAAUGUAAAUUAUCUUGCGGAUUAAUAUUUUUCUAGAAUUUUUUAUAUAGUGAAAGUUUAAUGUUUUUGAUAUCCUUUUAUUUGAAAAUAGUAUAAAUCAAUCAUUAAUUUUUUAUUUGAUUUCUUUAAAUGAUUAAAUGUACUUAUAUAUUAUGUAAAUUGGACAAAAGGAAGUACUAAUGAAUGAUUAAAUUGACCCACGGAUGGCUCUACAAUGUUUAAAAAAAGAUAAAUGUCUUAGUCCCCAAAUCUAAGGGGCCUCAUUUUAUAUAAAAAUAGAUUAUAAGUAAUUAGUAUUUUUUUUAACAAAUAUUGAAUAUUAUUAUAGAAAAAGUGAACAUUUCAUGAAAAAUGAAGGGAUUGUUAGAAGAAAUUUGAAGUAUUAUAUCUUAUGAAAAAUAAUUAAAAAUAAAAAUGAUCAUAUGAAAACUAAAAGAAAUAAAUAUAUGCAUUGCAUGCCAUGAUGCAAUUUUUUUUUAUUUUUUUUUUUGUGUUCAUUAAGACCAAAUGCAUAAUAUUAUAAUAUUCUUACUUGAGGGAGAAAAUUCUAAUUAGAGCAAAGACUAAGGAAUAUUAUUCAAAGAAGAUGAAAUUCAUACGUUUUUUUGAUGGUUCCAGAAACUAAAAUAAAAAUUAAAUUAUACUAAUUACGUUUAAUAUAUCAUAUUAAUAAAAGUUGUACAUCACCAAGCGUCACAGCGGACGAUGUUGGUAGCCGCGUACGGCGUAGCCUGAUCAUACUAAUAUGCCAUUAAGUAAGUAUUUAAAAUUCAAAUUUAAAAAUUUCGAAUGAAUAUAAUUUUCUUAUUAUAAUUUAAAUUUACUAUUUAUAUUUACUAAUUUGCGGUAUGUUUGCACGUGUAUGUUGUGUUAGUGUGAAAAAUUGUAUUUAAAAAAAAUGACGUAUAUAAUAAUACGAAGGCAGGAAGAGUAAGGUACAAAUUUAAAUUUUAAUCAAUUCCUAAUAUUAAUAAUAUGAUAUAAUAUAACGAAUAGAAAAUUAAAUUAAAAAGAAAAUAAGAAAAAGGCAGGAAAAAAACAGACGGUUGUUGGCUACAUAAAUGUUGCUGGUCAUAAAUGUCCUCCCUAAUAAAAAGGCUGCUAUGAAGAUUGUUUAUAGUAUCCUAAAGCAGUGGCUGAGCUAAUAGGGACGAAGAAUUCAUUUAAAUCUCUUCGUCGAAAAAUUAUGUUAUUUUUAUAAAAUUAUAAUUAUAAUAUUAUUUUAAUAUUUUUAUAUAUCAAAUGUUAAAUUUUUUUAAGUUUAUUAUAUUUUACUUUUUUAUAUUUUAAAUCACUUAAAAAUAUCUCGACUACGACAAGAGGACAAAGGAUAAAAUAUCAGGCAAAGUUGUUACCUCUGAUGAUGGAAAUUAAACAACUUGUGGUUGAAAGUUGUUGAGCAUACCUAGACAAUAUUGUUGUUAUCUGAGGCAGUUCAUAUUCAGUCCUACUGUGCAAAUUUUAUUUUUAUAAUACACUUCUAACUGUUCUAUUAAAAUGUUCCAAAAGGCUAUCACUUUUUACGUAAUGGCUGCACUAUCCAAACCAUGAAGAUUAAUCAGACACCAAUUCAAAUAACAAUUUUUAAUAAUAAUAAAAAGUAGUAUGUCGGAGGAAACUAAUUUGGAUGUUUACUUUGCGGUAAAAGAUGUGAUUUAUACCUAAUUAAUUUACUACAUCAAAAAUAUUUUUAGUGGCUUUUAUGUUAGAGGUUUCAAGUUUGAAAUCUCGUACCAAUAAAAGUAAGGAAUUUAUCUUCUGUGUCGAGCUUGUCGCACCAGUCUUACCUAGUGUGAGUUACCUCUUCUAUGUGAUUUGAAAGCUAUUGCAUAGAAACAGACUUUUUUACCCGGUACGCAUUCAAAGAUUGUGAAUUUCCCUUGUUAUUAAAAAAAAAUAUAUAUAUUUGUACUCAUAAAAUCGAAUUAAUUGGACUAUAGAACGUAUCUUAGACGUUAGAUGGGAAUCGGUAAACCAAAACAAUCAACCGUCGAGAUUAAGCUUGGUUCCCUUCCUUUUUAGAUUAAUGAAAUCAAAAUACGUACUACUAAUUUUGAUCUUCAUUUUCAUUGUUAAUAUAAAAGCUCUGGAAAGUUGUAAACACUAUACAAAUUUCUUUUUGAUUAAUUAAAUUAUCUCCUUUUAGUAUUUAUAUGAUAGUUGAAAAAAUAAUAACAAAAGAAGAUGUAGUUCACCAGAAAAAAAAAACAUCUCACAAGAUGAGCAUUUCUUAAUUAUUACAAAAACAUUAAAGCACAACAAAUUGAUUACAGCAGGACUUAUGAAAGAUUGAUUCUGCCUAAUCGACAAUUUUCUUUUGGCUUCAUUUCUUUUUAGUUGUUAUAUCAUUUAAUUCUGAAAAAGGAAAGUAUAACAAAUAACUACUAACAUUGAAUUUUUUUAAUCUAAAAAUCGUCUUAUUUGAUGAUCCCUCAAGUUUAAUCUUGAUUCUUCUUCUUCUCUCUUUCUUUUAGGCAUAGAUAAAAAAGUCAUGGCCCUGGCUGACACCACCUUUCUAACAAGUGAUUUCCAUAGCUCAUCAUCUCCCCCUUUUUCCAAUUUCUGUUUCAAUUCUCUGUAAUAUAAAUAAAUUUUUUAAGAUACUCGUGAAUCGUAAUCAAUGAUAAACUACAACAAUAACAUACUCAAUGUUUAAUCGAAUCACAAGAGCAAGAAACUACUAGAACCGUGCUACUAUCAUAUAGACAAAAUAAUUGUGUUGGUUGGUACAAGAAAUUGACCAUACUGAUAGAAAAGGCAAACAACAUUAUACAAGCUUAGAUAUUUCUGUGACCCUAUCACUUUAUUCAAUCCAACGUGUUAAAAGAUUAUUAGGACAGUUUGAAGAUAUUUUCACUAGGAACAGGGGGAAAACAGAGAUUUUUCAACUAGAAAUAAAUGAUCCAAAUGAAUAUUUCAGAAAAAGGUUACACUAUUUUCUACGAUCUAGUCGAUAUAGAACCAACCGUGUGUCAAGUCAACUAUCACUACUUAGAUCAUGAUUGGGUCGCGCUCACAUCAAGAACUAUCUUGACUGUAAGUGGGCAAGAGAUCUUAAUUCCUCGUGAUAAUGUUUCAGCCACAUCACAAAUGUAUGUGCAUUGUAUAUAACCUUCCUACGUACUGACUAAAUCACAACUGCAAUGGCGGAAAAUGACAUAUAGGUACAAGUAAAUAUAGUGGUGGCCAUACCUGCAAAGAGGAACUCGACAAUCAUCAGGUUGGUCACAAAUCGAUGCGUGUAACCUUAGGAGCUGCCACAUUCGCUUGCAUUGUGAACAACUUCCCUUUACUCUUUUCUUACAAGUAGAGAAAUGUGUAAUCAAAAGCUGGAGACCUUGGCAUGUAUCAAACUUGCUACAUGGCAACUUCUUUUGGCAAGAGUACUCUUCGUCAUAUGGCCCUACGCUCGUACACCCUUCCCUGCAUAUAUGCUCCAAACAAUCCAUCCCUUCACUUAACUGUAAAUACAAGUUCUGCUCCCGCGUGUGUCUCCUCCUCCUCUUCUUCCGCUAAAACAACAAAUUUCCAAUGAAAACAUCACUGAAUGAUAAAUGACACAAAAAAACACAAUGAUAUAUUGGCAUUUCUACCUAAUACAUCAUAUCUUAGUUUUUCUGUUAGGAUUGAACUUAUAUACCUCUAUAGACUAAAUCUUAAUCUUAGAUGAUGUGAUAGUGUAAAAUUCCGUGCAACAUUAUGCACACUUUACAUUAGUCCUAUCAUAUAUACCACAAUCAAUUGAGGACCCUCAACAUUCUAUUGUGAGAUCCAUGAUCAAAAUUUUGGAUUGAACUUGAAACAAUGAGUCAGAUCAUAAAGGGGGUUAUAUUACGUACCAACUCGGCUUCAUCAGUGAACUGUAAAAUUUCAAGUUCAAGCAGGGGAUCAUGACGUUGAAGGAACUUCCAGCCUUCAGUUUUUUUAACUUUGCUGAAAUUACUCCGCAAAAAUUUCAUACAUUUGAGAUAGAGAUGAGGUGCAUCACAUAGCCUCGCGAGUUGAAUCAUGUCUAUGACGUUUUCAAUUGUCAAUUGCUCAGCCAAUGCUUUGGUGCAUCUGUGUUUUAGGCAUGGUACUAAGUACACAUGAGAAAGUGCUAGUAGAUGAAUACCAUGUUUCUCCAUCUGAUCUUUAGUACACCUAAUUUAGCACAACAAUAACAUAACCAUUUUAGACAUGAUCCAUAUUCUUCUAAAGCUCUUGGUUAUCAAAUUAUUUGAACAAUCGAAAGCAGUUUACUUACUAUACUUAUUGACAUUCAUAACAAAUCGAAACUCGGUUACGUAGACUGAUUGUUCGUCCACUUCAAACGCUCAAAACAGACCAUUUACCGUGUCAAAUGACAGGGAUUGGUUUGGUUACUUAGGGAAUCAUGCAGAUUUCCCAACAGCACCAAUAAAUAGUAAAAUACAAAUAAGAAUUAUGGCAUUCAAUCAGUCAAUGAAACCGGAACAGAGACAUGGUGUCAUUCUUAGAAUAACACCUAGCGUAAUAACGCUGAAGGAAAACUGUACAUUGUUUUAAAUACAAAGCAAUAUACAGAAAACCUGAACGUCGUUUCAGUUUCCGGCCGGAGGGGUUUAUUUGAAAAAAAAGGCCGGGGCGCAGGCUCCCGAAGAGAGAAGCCCAACGAAUGUCAGAUGCGGGCAUACAAUCCUAUUCUAUCCGAAUCCGAGUUUACCCCUUGCACUUUGGACAGCCGUCCAUAGCCACGCAGUUAAGAAGCUGAAAGAGAAGCUACCGGGCAUCCUCACUGACGCUCUAAUGAAUUAACCGUUAAUCCAUUCUAUUUAGCUGAUAAAAACGUUUUUUUAUAAAAAAUAAUAACUUGUAACACACUCCAAUAACAUAGGAAUACUUGGUCUUGUCGGUGCAUAGAAUAUUGAGGGAAAGUAAAUAUAUUAUUAAAGAUUCUUAUAGGCAAUGAAUGAGCCAUGUGUAAUAUAAUUUUAAGAAAUGGGCGGCAAAAUUUAAGCUUUGAGGAUAAAUCACCAACUCCUUGCCGUUAUAUUCAGCAUAUUAAAUUCCAAUUAGAACACUAAGUACACGCCUAACAUGUUAUGUUGGUAAGCUGUUGUAUCGUAUUAUAAAAUUCAUUCUUAGAUAAUGAGGAAAGCUCUAAUUCUAAAAUCAAUUUGGUUUAAUUAUAUUGUUACUUUUUCAUCAUUUCUCAUUUUCUCGUACUUACUAGCUAAUAAUCUUUAUUUGUUGUUUAUGUACUAGAUUUAUUCUUAAAUUGUUGACGUGUAAUAUUAUUUAAUCACAGUAAAAGAGUUAUUAAUCCAAAUAAUGCAUUCAUUGAAACAAUAAUACAUCCAUAUAACACUAUGAUACUAGUACAUAAUAAAAAGAGAGCGAAAUUUUCACAUAUAGCCACUUAAAAAUAGUUUAAUUAUUCUUUAUAGUUUGAUAAUUACAAUUCGUAACUACAUUUUACAUGUUUUAUGGAGAAGAGAGGCGAGUGAGACUGUGAGAGAAAGGAGAAAGGCUAGAGAGAGGGAGAAAAGAAUGGGAAAAAAGUGAAUUGUAUAUGUAUAUCGAUUAGAUAAUUUUAUAUUAUACGUAUGUAUUUAUAUAUAUGCAAAGGAGAUUAGGAGAGGGGGAGAUAGGCGAGCAAGAUUGGGAGAGGGAUGAGAGAGGCGAGCGAGAUUGAGAGAGGGAGGAGAGAGGCGAGUGAGAGAGGAUAGAGAGGUGAAUUGUAUAUGUACACAUGUUAAAUAAUUGUAUAUUAUACCUAUGUAUUUGGAUAUUCUGGCGAAUUAUACGUAUAUUAAGUGAUUAAUCAUACAAACUCAAAGUCAGCUCACGUAAUUAAUAUAUAAUGCUACUGGCAAUUGAUAAUUAUAGCAAACUAUAACUAUCAUGAAUAAUUAAACAAUACUAUAAAUUUGUUUACCCGCAUAAUUUUCUCUAAAAAGAAGAAAAUAUGUAGCAAUGAUUAUAGUAAAUAUAGAUUAAGAAAAAAGAAUAUGUAUUAUGAAACUCACUUGAAGGAAUAGAGAAAUUGUACGAACACGUAAACUGAGCCGCAGGGGACGCCCAGAAUCUGUAUCUUUUUCUCAAAACUCCGCUGUUGACAAACUAAUACGCUCUCCAGAACCGUCGAAGCAGCAGCCUAACAUAGUUUUAUUUUUCGUAGUGGAGAUCCAUCAGUAAUUUCCAAAUUGCAAAACAAAUAAAUUUUCGAAAACAAUUCGAUUAAUUCACAUUUGAAAGAUCUGAUCUUUACCAUGUUUAAAAUUAAAAUAAUUAACGAUUCAAAAAAUUAUUUGACUGAACAGUAACAUUUUCACGUAAAAUGAACCCGAGGGAAUAAGCGAUAGUAUGCAUGCAUACCAGAACGUUAGAAUGUGCCGGAAUGCGACGGCCGGCGGAGGUGAUGAUGUCAACAUCACUAGCAAACAUAUUCAUAGAUCUUUGGAGUUUAAUGAUAAUACAGAGAAUGCAAGCGUUAUCAAAAUAAUUAUAAUUUUUUUUUUUAACUAAAACAAAAGUAUUUUUGAGUUAGUAUUUUUGCUUUUAGAUUUUUGGUGGUAGAAUUUUGGGCGCAUAUCCCUGCAUUUAUAGGCAACGUGAGCUACGACUUAACAAAAAAAUAAAAGGGCGGCACAGAAUGAAAUCUCUACCACAAAAAUAAAUAAAUAAAUAAAAUGUGCCUAAUAAAGUAUGAGAUCUUCAAAUUCAUUGCAGCCGACCAGAUUAUCAUAAUUUUAUCAUUAUGACGUUAAUCUUCGCCUAAAUAUUCCUAAAUUUUAAAAUUAGCUUUCGCUCUAUUUUAUACGAGAUUAUUACUAAAAGUAGAUUGUACUUCCUACUAUUAUUUCAUAAAAUUAAUAUAUAACUAACAUUAUUUUUUUUAUUUUACUCUUGAAAGUUAUUAAAUUUGAAGUAUAAAUUUGAUAAACAUAAGAAAAUUAAAUAAUAAAUUCAUAUUCGUUAGUUAAUUUAAUUAGUCAAAAGAAAUUAUUUACAUUUUUAUUUAUGAAAAAUUAAUUUCAAGAGAAUAUUAAAUAAUAAAUUUAAAUUUUUGAAAAUAUGAAAUCUAAAAUAAUGACAUAAACGAAACUAUUAUUUCCUGCAACUAUACAAUAUGAAAUUAAUUUAGCGUGUAAGUGAACUAUUCCCUGUCUCAAAAUAAUGUUACUUUAGCAGAAAAUGCCCAAAAUUAAAGACAAAAAUAAAUUCUUCUUUUAUUUUUAAAUUUAUUUGACCUAUUUUUUAUUCCUUAAAUUGGGAGUACCCUAACAAUUGUUAUUUCACUAUCUAGGAUGUAAUAUACUCUCUGUAUAGUAGCGGUCAAGAAUAUUUUGUUCCUUUUUUAGUAAUUGUGUAAUUUUAAUUUUCACAUAACCUAAUUUUAGAUCCCAAAAUUUAUGAGUUUUUUAACUUUUUUUUUUUAAAAAAAACUUGUGUAAAAUCAAUACACAUCAAAUAAAUAGAAACAAAAAAAUAUAUUUUUCCAACUAUAUGUAUAUACCUUAUCUUUUUAAUAGUGUUUAAUUUUCGAAAAAAUAUUUAUCAAAAGAUUAUUUAAUAAACUACACAUUAUACUCAAUAAUUUUAUAAUAUAGACGUAAUUUUUGUUAUGAUAAUAUUUAUUUUAGGACAAACAUAUUAAUUAACGUUAACACAUAUCACAAUUGUUAGUUGUAUAUUGACUUUGUACAAAAAUAUGCUAUCAAACAAUAUAAUUUAAAGAGUGAAGUAUAUGGUCCAUUUAUCUAUUAUUUUUGUGUUCCUCUUGUUGUGCUUAUAUAUUAAAAAAAUAUUAUAUAUGAAAUUAAAAUCGAAAAAUAUUAAUUCAUUUAUGUUUGGUUCCACCAUUCUAGUAUGUUUUUAAAAUGAUAAAGAGACCACGUCGUCAAUAACAGGUAAGACCAAAUCUUGAGGAGGAAAAUAAAUUGUCCUUACACUAAUUACGUGUCAUCCUAAUCCAUCACUGAACCUAUUAGGUUCAAUAUUGGUAUUUAAGAUUCAUAUCGUAUAGGGCUUCAUUAUUUCGUAAAUAGUACUUUUUAUUAAGAAUUUUUUUUGUAUAUGAGGAUUAAAUUUGAAAUCUCUAAUUAAAUAAGAAAUAUUUUCAUUCACUGCAUAUAUUCGUUGAUGGUGAUGGAUAGUAUAUGUACACAGUGGCGAAGCCAUCUUAACAUCUUGGGAUUCAUUCGAACCUCCUUUCUCGAAAAACCAUAUUAUAUUUAUAUGGUUAAAUUUUUUUUUAUAUAUGUAUAGUAGAUGUUGAAUCCUCUUCGGCUUUUUCCUAUAUCUAUUUUUUUAGAUUUUGAACCCCUUUAUUAAAAAAUUUAGCUCUACCACUGUCUGUCUGUAUACAUAUACAUUUAUGACUAGUUUAUACGUAUAAAAUAAAUUAUAAUAUAUAUUCUUAUAAAAUACAAUUCACCAAAUACGAUUUUCAAUACAUGAGCUCUAAGCCUCUAAUUUUUUUUUUGUUUUAUUUUCCUUGGCUGUUAAUUGACCAAGACAUAAAAAGUAGCAUAUGAACUAAAUACUAAAGAAUUUAAACUUUGAAUUCUUCUCUAUUGCUUACCAACCAAUGGAUUUUAUGAAUUAAAAGCAUGAAGAAGUUCACCAUCAAUAUAUUUAUUUUCUGAUUUAGAAAUAAAAUAAAUAAAUUGUGGUGUUCACAGCAAACAUAAUUUAAUUUUAUAGUUAAAGGUCAUUAUCACGUGUGACUCUUUGUGUUCGUCUAAUAUUGUCACAUAUUUACUCAAAUUUUAAUACGAAUUUCAGAUAUUAAAUAAAAAAUAAAAUACUAUAAUAGAUAUUUUCACGUGGAUUUUUCCUCUCUUUAUUUGUUUUCAAGGUUAAAUUGAAUUUAUUAUUUUUUUAAAUUUUAGAGUAACUUCUUUGGAAGGAUAUUUUUAAAUUAUUUUACAAGUUUGAAAGACAUUUUUGAGCCCCAACCAUAGAUUAUAUAAAAAAAAGUCAAUGCAUGAAAAAUAUUUUUUGGCGGUGGAAGGGAUAUUCUUUUCUUUUUCUGGCUGGAUAUGAAUUUUACGAUAUGUUUCGUGUUGCCCCAUUUUGAAGUAAAAUAUUCCUUAUCUUCCAAGUUUGUAUUUUUAAUUAAUAGUCAAAAAUAAAGAAUUGUUGUUUAAAAAAAUAGUUGUAAAAUAUAGGAAAUAAUAUAAUAAACUAGUUUUGAUAGUAUUCAUUGUCUUAAAGAAUUUAAGCCUUCUGUUAUAACUGCAACAAUUGUGAUAUAAUUUUGAUAUAAUUUCUAUAAAGCUAACAAAAUUCGAAUUUUAAAAAUUAACUUAAAUUCUUUCAUUAGAAUAAAGUUUAUGAAUAAUAUAUAUAUAUAUAUAUAUAUAUAUAUAUAUAACAAAGGAGGUUCUUCUAAACCUUUUCGUACAUCCUUUUCAGUAUAUUUGUCAAGAGUAUUAAUGUAAAUGAUUAAAAUCUUUUUAAAGAAAUUAAUUAAUACAUAUUAUUUUUAAUAUAUCAAAUUAAGCAGUGGAUAAAAAAUAAUCUCACUAUUAUUGAUACAUGAUGUUCAUAUUAUUCUUUUACACCAUAUCUAAUGACUUCAUUGUAACUCCCACGUCAAACAAUCAAUGGGAUAAAAAUAAUUUGAUAUAUUUAUAGGGAAUAUUAUAUGGUUAAAUCAAUAUAUCGUAUUUAAUUAGUCACCAUGGUAUCACUCGCGAUCAACAUCUAGUGAUAGUUAUGUGGAUUGAGUUUUCAAAUUUGUAUAUUUUGCACUUUUGUAUAACUCAGAAUUUGUAUAGCUUUUGUAUAAUGUAAUCUCAUAUAUAAAUUCUUAAAGUUUAGAUAUUUGUGUAUAUAUAAAUUAAUUAUUUAAAAUUUAUAUAAAAAUAACCUAAUUAUAUAAAUCUGUUAAUUAUACAAAUAAAACAGCUUUAAUUGUAGCUACAAAUGUAAACUAUGACUACGAAUUGAAGCAUAAUUAACUAUUUUGGGAAAAAUUCCUAUAUGGACCAAUGUUGAUUAGAUGAAGCCUGAAGGUAAUACUAGCCCGUUUCAGUUUGGGCUGCCUUUAUACGACCCAUUAAAUUAUGUGCAGAGUAUUAUUUGACAAAAUUAGGACAUGAAACAUGAGUCAAUCAAUCCGCUUAAAAUUGGGCAAAGGACAAUAAUCACAUAUUUUUAAGGUAAAAUUAUUAUUUGUCUCUUAUAAGUUUAUAAUUACAAAAAUUCCUCAAACUGAUACAAUGAUAUACGCGUUUAUAUAUUAAUCUGAUGCGCGAGAUACAUUAAUCGCUAAGUAAGAUAUAUUACAUUUUAUAAAUGAUACACUAAUCAAAUGUACAUUUUAUACAUGAUACACUAAUCUGAUGCGCGAGAUACAUUAAUCUGAUGCGCGAGAUUCAUUAAUUUAAUGCGCUGAUACAUUAAUUUGAUGCGUGAAAAUGAGGAAUUUUGGAAAUUUUGUCAUUUAUCCUCAACUCAAGUAACCCUCAUUUGUCCGUUAUAAGUUAAUAAUUACAAAAAUCUUUUAAACUGAUACAAUGAUAUUAGCGCUGAUACAUUAAUCUGAUGUGCGAGAUACAUUAAUCGUUAAGUAAGAUAUAUUACAUUUUAUACAUGAUACACUAAUCGAAUGUAAAUUUUAUACAUGAUACACUAGUCUGAUGCGUGAUAUACAUUAAUUUAAGGCGCGAGAUAUAUUAAAAUUGAUGUAUUUGUUACAUUAUUUUGAUGCGUGAAAAUAUGAAAUUUUAAAAUUUUGUAAAACUAGUUAGAGAAAAUGGUAAAGUAAAAACUUAAUGAUGGUAUUUCUAUCAUUUAUCCUUUUUAAAUUUAGAUCAUCUUGACUCAAUCACUCAAAGUAAUCAACCCAUCCUCUCUCCCCACCCCCUCACAAAGUCAACCUAAACCUUUCAUUUGCACAACAACUUCUAACUUGCUCAUUGUAUGAAAUUCCAUGUGACCAUAAAACUAUGGAAUAAAAUAUAACCUUCAAUGGUAAUUCUUUGACAUAUCUUUUAACUAUUUUCAAUGAUUUCCACUAUUUUAAAGUAGAUUUCAAAUAAAUAGUUUUAUUUUAAUUUUUAUAAAAAAAAUUCCAUGUCAAAUUCAAGGUCAAAUAGUUUAUCAAACGUGAAUUAUUGAACUCUCGUAAAUUCAAAUCAUAUCACAUAAAUCAAGACAGAGUAUUGAUAUCCAUCCAAACCAAACAAAUGCUAAAAAAGAACUCAUUAAGAAGUAAUACACACUCCCCUUCCCCUAGGCCCCCACCCCCUACCAGACCACUCAACAGAAUGAGGAAAACACUAGAUAGUUCUUUUAUUCUGUUUUGUCAAGGGUGCUACAUAAAGUAAUAACUAUUUCACUUGGAGACUAAUGAAAACUAACAAAGCAAAUUAUAGUUGGGUUGCUUCUCUAUAAAGGGUAAAUAAAUUGAGACAAAUGAUAAAGAUACUUCCCCUAAGCUUUACAUGCGUGACGUAUAUUAAAAAAAAAACAAAAAACUUCAACAUGAAAAAAAAAAAAUUGAAAUGAAUUAAGGUAUAUAAUUUCUUUACAAAGCAUAUAUAUUGGAAAACUAAAUAAGUUUGCAACAUAAAGUAAACGAUUUAAUUAAUUUGUCAAUGUUUAGUGCUACUACAAUAUAGUUGGGUAAUAUUCUUGUUACAAAUAAAACAAUAACAAAUUAAUGGCAGAGCGAUCUUCUGAGUUAUUAUCUCAAAUCAAAUAUAUGACAACAUUCGACUAAAAGAAAAUGAUAAUGGUAAUUAUUUUAAUUUCCAUCUAGAAAUGCAUACUCAAAAGCUAAACUAUCAAUAUGAAAUAGUCUUCCCAAAGAAGAAUCUCCCUAAAAAAUGUAACAUAAUAUACCCUACCUAGUUUGUUCAAUUAAUUAAUUAAUCCAAAUUCUUUGUUUAUUUCUCUUUAUAAUCCCCUUCUAUUUCCCCUUGAUUCUAAAACCCCACUUCAAACACUAAACCACAUUGAGAAAACAUACACAUAACACAACACAACACAACACAUAUGGCCACCUCCUCUAUUUCUCUCAUUUUCCUCUUGUCCUUUCUACUUUUAAUCCCUUCACUCCUUGCCUCUUCUCCUUUACAAAAUCAUCAAUAUGUUGUUGAUCAAGUAGAUAGGUAUGUUUUUGGCACACAUGCAUGCCCUUGCUAUUGUUAUUUUUAUUUGAUGUUCUGAACCUACGUAGGAAUCGUUAACUAAAUCUAGAUAAUUAACACACAGCAAGACUCUCUACUAUUAACUACUUUUUCCUAGUGAUUCGUUUAAAAAAGAAUAAUCAAAUGCUCUUGUAUAUUUUUUACUUGAUUUCAAAUUUCUUAUUCUUCUCUUAAUUAAUAACAUAUUUUUAUAUUUUGAAAUCACACCAUUUACAAAAAUAUUUUCUUUCUUAUAAACUACACAUCUAUAAAUUAAACACUUUCACAUAAAUUGAACGGAUACAAAAUAUCCUAAGUAUCUUACCAUUAUUUCCCAACAUUUUUAAAAAAAUAUCUCUUUUAAUACAUGAUAUGACUUCGACCCCAAUAUAUUUAUAUAUAACUAGUACAUUAGGAAACCUAUUUAAUAAAGUUAAAAUUCUGACUCUACGAGUUUGAAUUUUUCUUUUUUUUCUUUAUAGGAGCAUAAAUGUGUCAAGGAGGAACUUAGGGUAUUUGUCUUGUGGGACAGGAAACCCUAUAGAUGACUGUUGGCGUUGUGACCCAAACUGGGAGAAAAAUCGUCAAAGGCUAGCUAAUUGUGCUAUUGGUUUUGGAAAAAAUGCCAUUGGUGGUAGGGAUGGAAAAAUUUACGUCGUUACCAAUUCUGGUAACGACGAUCCUGUUAACCCUAAACCGGGGACUCUCCGGUACGGGGUUAUUCAAGAUGAGCCAUUAUGGAUUAUUUUUGCUAGCGAUAUGGUCAUUCAACUAAAAGAAGAACUCAUUAUGAACUCUUUCAAGACUAUUGAUGGAAGAGGAGCUAACGUUCACAUUGCAGGUGAAAAUUAUUAGAUAUAUUUCAAUACUAAUGUUUCGAUAAAAUAUUAAAUUCUAAAUUCAUAAUUUCAGAUGUUUAGUUAGUUUGUCUUUUAUCAUAUUUGAAAAAAAUAUUUGCAUUGGAGUAUGUGUUAAAAAUGUCUUUAAACCAACCAUUUUUUUCGUCUGUGCUUUUUUGGUGAUAUAUUUUUUUUUUAAAUGUUAAACAUCUAGAUUUAUAUCUAAAUUAUUGAGAGUAUGAGACAUACACAUAAACUAUCACUUUGGAGAAAAAAAUUGAAAUUGUUAGUUAUGCGUUGCCACUUUUUGCCACAAUGGAAUUGUUUUCCACGUGGUAAUUCAUGUCACAAGCUUAUAAAUAAUUAUUUAAGGGGUAAUUGAGGUGUAUUUCUCAAAUUUAUAAAUAAUUAUUUAAGGAAUAACGCUAAAUGGCUUGAAAAUUUGUCCCAAAAAUUUAAAAAGACUAUAAUAUCAUUUUUAUUUUAAAGUAAACCGAUCUUUUUGUAUUUUUUUAAUUAAAAGAUCAUUAAAAUUAAAAGGAUAAAAAUAUUUAAAAAGAUAAAAUAACAUAGUGUGAAAUAUAUUAUUUUAUCAUUCUGACCAAACUUUAAGCGUGCGAUUCAAAAAAAGCGAAUAAUUAAUUAUAUGUAUUUGAUAUUUCACUUUAAACACAAAUAAAGAAUUUAAAUCAAAAUUAUUUAAAUUUUAUCGAAUUUGCAACCACCAUGUAAUGACUUUUGCCCUGCUUCUACCAACAUUAAUUAGCGUAACAAUUUAUGGUUGGCCAAGAUUCUAGCUAUUUGUUACUCCUAAAUACUUAUACUAUCAAAAUUUCUCACACGAUAAAAGUUUGAUUAAACAGACUAUUAUAUAAAUUAUGAAUUUGAUAUUUUUUUCAGGUGGACCAUGCAUAACAAUACAAUAUGUGAGCAAUGUUAUCAUCCAUGGAAUUCACAUACAUGAUUGUAAGCAAGGUGGGAAUGCUAUGGUGAGGAGCACCCCACAACACUAUGGGUGGAGAACUAUAUCAGAUGGUGAUGGUGUGUCCAUUUUUGGUGGGAGUGACAUUUGGAUAGAUCAUUGUUCUUUGUCUAAUUGUGUUGAUGGUUUGAUUGAUGCUAUAAUGGGGUCCACAUCAAUUACAUAUCUAACAAUUACAUGACUAAUCAUGAUAAAGUGAUGUUAUUGGGACAUAGUGAUUCCCAUGUCCAAGACAAGAACAUGCAAGUAACCAUUGCCUUCAAUCACUUUGGAGAAGGCCUUGUCCAAAGAAUCCCAAGGUAAACAUAGUAUAAUUUAUACAUGUUAGAUUAAAUGAUGGGUGUGUUAGGCCAAAGUAACUACACUAUAACAAAAACAGUUUUCAGCGAUAAUAAUAAAUAUGUAUAGUAACAAAGAGUGUUGUAGCAUUACUGAUAUUAGUUAAUUAUCAUUGAAUUCUAUAUUACCGUAAAUUUACGUACAUUUAUAAAAAAUGUUGAUUGUCUUAAAAAUAUAUAUUUUGCGACAAUUAAAUUACUGCUAUUAAUUAAUUAUCACUAAAAAAUAUUUUUGAUGAUAUUAUAUAUAUAUACACGCACACACACCAAAAUUUGGUCUAGUACAUUUCAACUAACACAUAAAAUCAGUUGAGAAUUACAUUCUUUCUCAAUAAGAUAAUCUAUAGUCAGCCACACAAGUAUUUAUGAUUUAUUUUAAAUCACAAGUUUUAAAAAGAAUCUUUAUCAUUCUUAAAUCUGUUUAUAAAACGAAAUUCAAACAUAAUCACAUAAAUGAAACUAGAGAUGUAGGAUGUAACAUGUUUGGCUAUACUUCUGAAAAGUCAAAAGGCUUUUUUUUUCUUCAGAAAAUUGAAAUGUUUGACUAAGUUUUUAGGUAUACAUAAAAAAAAUCUUAGAAGACUUUUGAAAUCUUGACCAAUUAAAUUAAAAACUUCUAACAAAAUCAAAGUUUUAAUUAAAAUAAACAAAUUAUGAAAAUUUAGUGAACUAUAUGUUAUAUGAUUUGAUAAAAAUUGUUGGGUUAAUAUUUGAAAUUGAUGCAGAUGUAGACAUGGUUAUUUUCAUGUGGUGAACAAUGACUAUACUCACUGGGAAAUGUAUGCAAUUGGUGGUAGUGCUAAUCCCACUAUCAAUAGCCAGGGCAAUAGAUUCCUUGCUUCUGAUAUUAGAUUCAGCAAAGAGGUACAUUGUUAUUAUUAAUUUAUUCGCACACAUAUAUUAUAAUCUUUUGCUUAACUAGAUCGUAAAUUAAAUUUAAAAUUCAUGUAUAGGUGACGAAGCAUGAAAAUGCACCAGAAAGUGAAUGGAAAAAUUGGAAUUGGAGGAGUGAUGGUGACUUAAUGUUAAAUGGUGCAUUUUUUGUAAAAUCAGGAGCUGGAGCCUCUUCAAAUUAUGCUAAGGCUUCGAGUUUGAGUGCAAAGUCUUCUUCACUAAUAAGCUCCCUUGUGUCCGGAGCCGGUGCCCUGAGUUGUUGGAAAGGUUCUCGUUGCUAGCUGAUUAAAGUGUUUUCUAACAAAGACGAAAAAAUAUUACUUUUAUGAAAAAAAAAAAGGAAGGACUUUAUUUGAAGGGGGGAAAAGACAGGAACUCUAUUGUGUAACUUUUUUGGUUUUUGGCAUCUUUGUGUUUAUGCCUUUUUGACUUUUGAUUAUUAAAUACAACCUCUGUAGAGUACUCCAGAAGUGUUGAUUUAAUUACUUCAAUAUAAUUAAAUGUAUUGCUAUAAAUUUGAUUCUCGUGAAUGUUUUUUAUCUUUCCCUCUCAUUAUAUUGUUUCAUAUACAUGGGACAAAAAGGUUAAAAGGAUAAAAAAAUUUGGUUUCAAUCGAUAUAUAUAAUAAAGGAGAGUAAUUUAGGUUAAGUCGAGUGACAAAUGAAAAACCACUUGACAUAUAGAAUUGGUUAUUAAGAGUUGUGGAGGGAGGAGAUAUAAGUAUAUUUAUGGUAGUCAGAAUUUUGUUAGAUAAUAUAAUUUAAUAUGUUUAAAUAAUAUUUUAAUAUUAUCCGUCCAUCGCACAAAUUGAUAUACUAAUGAAUAUAUUAAUGAAGACAAAUGUAAAGAUUCAAAGCAAUAUCAACCAAAACCAUACAAAGUGAUAGAGCCAUUUCAACUACCAAUAUUCAUCAAGCCAAUGGGCAUGAAUCCUAGCAAUUUGAGGAUUAUUGCAUUUGCAGGCCAUAUUGUCCUUAGUAAUAUGCACCAUAUAAUUAAAAAAAACAUGUUAGUAAUCUAAUAACCUUCCAAUGAUGUCACUAAUUAACAAUAGGAUUAUGAUAAUUAAUUAAUCUCCCACUCUUUAAACGAAAGGGGAUUAAAUUAUUUAAUUUAAAAACUUCUUAUCAUGUAGUAGCUAUUAAUUAAGGCAUAGUAGUAUUCAAGUAUAAUGACAAAACCGUCGUACAUUCCUCAAUUUUUGCUCUUUUUUUUUUGUUGUUGUAAGUUGUAACUACUAUGUCAUUUCAAUUGUCCAAAGUUUUUAAUUUCUUCUUUUAAUUGAGAAAAAUAAUUUUUUUUGGAAGUUUUGGAAUAGUAAAAUGCUUAAGAAAUCACUCCUUAAGUCUAACAAUGCUACAAGUUAGUAAGAGUAUCUGAUUUGAAAAUUUUAUCAUAUAUACUCCCUGUGUCCACUUUGAUUUGACAUAUUGAGCUAUUCGAAAGUCAAAUUUGAUUAAUCUUUAAAGUUAAAUUAAAUUAUAUAAUAAUUAAAUAUUUUUUUUAGAAAAAAUUAGAUAUUCAAAAACCAUACAAAAAGUAGUAUAAAUUGUAAUUUUUUUGUAUAUCAAUAUGAUAAAAAUAUAUAUCGUAAAAUAUUAAUCAAAAUUCUUAUAGUUUGACUUUAAAAAAAGAACAAUAAUGGUGUAAGGAUAGACUAUAUUCUUUAACUCUUUAAAAGUUUUUAAAAUGAUUUUUUUUUUUAUAAAAACGCAAUGAUUUUCGUUUUCCUAUUCAAUUAUGAGAGACAAAGUUUGCUUUGAGCAAUUUUUCAUCAUAAAAGUAAACUACUUUAAUUAUCAAAAUGGGAAGGAAGUAAUUGAACGGCCUCUAUUUAUCAAAUUGGAAUAUCAAAUUUUACUUUAAUACUUUUUUCAAAUUCUCUUCCUUAAUUGAAGCAAACAGUGGUCAAAUAUAAUUACAAUUUACAGUGAUUUGAUAUAAUUAUAGUGUUCUUAGCCCCUGGAACUUAUAUGAUUUAGAGCCUGUUUGGCUCAGCUUAAAAGCUGAUCAAACUGACUUAAAAGCUGGUUUUUGACUUAUUUAACUGUUUGGCAAUACUCAAAAUAGCUUAUUUUAAGUUAAAAAAAACUUAUUUUAAGCCAAAAGUUAAAAACUGGGGUAAGAGUAUUUUUUUUUUAGCUUAUAAGCUGUUUUAAGUUGACCACAUUUUUAUGUUUUUUCCCUUAAUAUUUUUAUACAAUCUCCAAAUUACCCAUAUAACCCUAACAUCUCUUUCUUCUAUUUUUCCCUUUUCACGUUUGGCAUAACAACUUCAGCACUUUUAUCCAAACUCAUAACUGCUUAUUUUAAAAAUAAGUUUCAGUACUUUCAAAAGUACUUUUUAAAGCUGUUUUUAUUAAGCCCAUCCAAACGACCCUUAAUCAUGUGAAAGACAAUCACAAAAAAAGAAAAAAUAUUGACCUAACUGGAAUUUUAGUUACUAGUGAUGAGAGUCAAUUGUUUUUUACUUUUUAGGGACACAAUAAUUUCUAUGGUUGAAAUUUCUCAGUCCCUGCCUUUUAUAAUGUGACAUACUUUUUAAAGAAAAUUUUAGUUAAGAGUGAUAUUUUUACUAAAUUAUAAAGAAGAUCCUUUUUAUUUUAUAAUUGGAACAAAUAAGUUGAAAUAAUUCUUUUUAAUUAUUUAUGUAUUAGUUAUUUUUUUCUAUCAUGCAUAAAAUACUAUGCCAAAUUUCUAUAAAAAAACAUAUGUAAUACGUAAUUAUAAAUCAUAUGUUGAAUUAAUUUUAUUCUGGAAUAACUCACAUCCUAACCAACUAUCGAACAUGAUAUUAUUUAUGCAGAAUAUACUAUGCCAAAUUUCUAUAUAAAAAACAUAUGUAGUUUAAAUCAAAUGUUAUUAAGAAAUAACUCACAUCCUAACCAACUACCGAACAUGAUAUUAUUUAUGCAGAAUAUACUAUGCCAAAUUUCUAUAUAAAACAUAUGUAGUACCUAGUCACGAAGGUUUGAUUUUAUAAAUUGUAAAUCAAAUGUUGUAUUAAUUUUAUUCAAAAAUAACUCACAUCCUAAUCAACUACCAAACAUGAUAUUACUUUAUGCAUAAUUUAAUAUGUGCAUAACUAAUCACCUUCAAAUCAACUACCAAACACGAUAUUACUUAUAAAGAAUUUAACAUUUACAUAACUGAUCACUUCCGAACCAGGUACCAAACAACUCCAAACAUGUUAUAUAAUUAGGCUUAAUCUCCUUCACAUAUUUUCAUGACAUUAGCACAUCAUUUCUUCUUCUUCUAGAAAUCAAGUUUUCAUGUGCUUAAAAAUUGGGUCCAACCUAACUAAUUAAUUAGGUAUCUUCAAGUACCUAAAAAUGUCUUCAAUCAAAUUAUCAUAUUUUUGGGCCGCAAACCUCGCCGUAACUCCACACCCAAGAGCAAGAGAAGUGAUGCUUUGAAGCACCACGCUUCACAUUAUUGUCAUUCGAUCAACUUGUCAACAUGAUAAAUUGCCAACACAAAGGUCCCAAUUGGAGAGGUUACAGAAGCGACGGGUAUAACACGAAUCAGUUGAACUCAAUAUUUUUUACUACAUAAUUUAUAUAAAUAUGAAAAUUAUUAAACCUACCUCAAAUUUUGCAUUUUGAAUUCAAAUUUGCAAAUGCACCACGUUAUAUAUGAAUCACAUGUGCAUGUUUUUGUGGAUUCAAUAUUCACACACUAAUCCUCGUAGGUACUCGUGAUAGGCCGGCUAAGCAUAUCCGAAAUUAAUAUAAUCAUAAUAAUACGUUGAAUGAAUAUCAAGUGAUUGAUAUUAUCUCUUUAAAUCAAAAUAUUUUAUUUACAAAAAGCGUAUCAAUUAAAUUUUGAUCAAUCAAGCACACAAACAUGUAAAUAUAUUUUAAUAAUUUAAUUUACACUCAAUAAUUAUCAUAAAAAGGGAAGUGAUUCAUCCUUAAUAUCGACUUAAUUUAAAUGUUAAUCUUUUUUAAUUAACUAGGAUAUGGAGUUGUGCUUUUCUUUAAGUUGAAAGAUGAAUUUUCACAAGGAAAUAAUUUGAUUCCAUGAAAGAAUUGUGGAUUCUCUAGUUUGUUCAAUUAAGGAUGUAUAAAUUAUAUACAUUACCAAUAAUUUGUUUAGAUCUAAUGAACACAUUGUCAUGACCCCUCUUAUUGAAAAGCCACAUAACAAACCUCAACCUCUUAAUUAAUUAGUGUGUAAACUAAAUUAAGUAUAAUUAAUUGUAGUUAAUUGUCCAUAAUAGGUGAAAUUAGAUAGGUAUAAAAGAUAGAUUAUACAUAAUCUGAUAAAAAGAUUAAAUUAUAGUAAUAUAAAAAUUAUUUUUAUUUUAUUAACAUACGAUUAUAACUAAAAUAAAUAUAUAAACAUACGUAAAAAUCACUUCUACAUAGCAAAUAACAUGCCCUACUUUUAAGAUUGAGACAUGUUGGUGAAAUUACAAUUAGGCUCUCUUUCAAGUUUCUACCGAUGUCAUAAUCACAAUAAUUAAUGCAAUUGAAUUUCAGAUAAAUUACAGGGUCAAAUUGAAUCUCAGAUAAAAGAUUAGGUACCAAAAUAUAUAAUAGAUUAACAUAGUGAGCAAAAUGGAUUUAGACAAAACCUCAGGGACCAAAAGUUAAACAUUCCAAAGAGGAACCUUUUCAGCGGAAGAUUUUUCGUUCGGCGUCCAAAAUGUCAGAAAUUCCGGCGUCCAACUCCGUUAAAAUUCCUUCAAUGAAGUCAGAAUCUCUCGUCGUUGACAGGAACUCCGGCUCCGUGAGGUUACAGCCACCACUUCAGUAUCAGCCGUCGAAAAUCGUUUUGGCUGACCUCAACGUUGACCCUCCUGAUUCCGACGGCAAUGAUUCAGUACCCGUAGCUGCUGUGUCUCCUAUAUGUUUAUCCAGGUUCUACUUGAUACUUUUAUGAAAUAAAAAAGAACAAAUGAAAGAAGAAACUUGAAUUGUUUAGAGUUUUCGGAUUUUUUUUUUCAUUUGAAUGAGGCUAGGCUUGAUUCCACACUCUUUGAUUCACCAACUAAUAAGAGUGGCAUUCCUUUUGGGAAGGAAUUAGUUGUAAGUGAAGAUGAAUCUAUAUCGUAUUGUUAGAGCUGUUAUUAAAAAUUCAGUUGGCUGCCAUGAAACAUGUGAGAAAUACCAACAACAACAACAUAGCUAAUGUAAUCCCACCAAUGGGGUCUGUGGGGGUUAGAAUGUAUGCACCUUACCCCUAACUAUGUGGGAGUAGAGAGACUGUAUUUGGUAGACACUCGGCUAAAAAAAUAAAUAAUCUAAGCAUGAUUGCGAGAAAAAUAUGAGAACAAAAUAGCAAGAUACAAAACAAAUGAAGCAACAAAUAGUAAUACAAAUUGAAGAAUAAGAGACUACGUCAUUACUAGAUAAUACCGCUAAUAAAGAGAAGAGGAAAGGAGGAGGCUAGCCCCCCCACAUCUCCCACGUUAAAUGUGAUAACACUCGGCUACUUACUAACCUUCUACUCUAAUCCUCGACCUCCAAACCUUCCUACAUGUCCUCAAUAAGUUCAAGUUGUGCAUGUCCUAUCUAAUCACCUUUCCAAGUUCUUUCUCGGCCCACCUCUGCCUAUAGAAAAUAAAUCUCGGAAAAGGAGUUCAUAUAACGGCAGAGGUAAUUCACCUCGAUCUGAUGCUUUGUUGUUUAGCUUUAUUAUGUUGAUAUUAUUGCUGGGACAAGAAUAAUUUAUUACUUUAACCUGGGUCUGAUAUAUUUGCAGGGUAAUAGCUGAUGAAAUUUGUCAGGAUAAGCUGAAGAAAGACAUAGAGAUUGCAGAAACAGAAGGUAAACAAUUGAAAAAAUUGGGAAAAUGCCGUUCAAGAAUGGGUAAGUUAGAAUGUCCUCCUGAUUGUAAUGGAGCUGAUGCAGAGGCUGAUCAUAAUGUUCAUGGGGUCCCUUCAUCUCGGGAAGAAAAAGUUAGCAGUCUUAAAACUGUGAGUUGUAUUUUGAUCCAUUUAUAUUUGCUAUAUUGAUAGUUGGACAAGGUUGACAGGAAAUUUUGCAUGAACUCGAGUUCAUUUAUAUGCACAACUUGUACAUAUUUCUUGAGACCAACUUGGUGUUUCAUGAUGAAUAUUUUGACUUAUGUUUGUCUUUUGUUACCUAGAUUUGUGUCUGUAUCUAUGUUUAUAUGAGAGCUAAUCCUUUUAACUGUUUUCCAUAUCAUAUUUUUUCAUCACUUGAAUUGAAUGCAGUGUUUUCAAAUGCAAAAAGUGGGAAAGCAACAAAAUCCACGGGACUUGAAACGACCAAUGAGGACUGAAGCAUAUAAUUAAUUGAAAUGUUAAAAUACCAAAAUAUGAAUUUAGUAUUACAAUAAUUAACUUGUAAUUAAAAUAACUAUUUUCAGUAUUAAUAUAUUAUACUGUCUAUAUUCAACACAAGGGGUAAUUCGCUGAUUGUGAUUUCCCUCAGAUGAUUUGUAACUAUUUGCUGGAAGUUGAAUAAUAUACUUCCUAUGCUUUUAACCUAAAAAAAACACAAAGGUGGAAUUUCUUUCUUCGAAGGAAUGUAAAUGGUUGGGAAGUAGAACGAGUACGUCUUUUGCUUCAGCUGCUGAGGAACAUAGCUUUGGACGGCAACAGAACUGAUUCUACUAGAUGCAAGGGGCAUCCCAAAGUUCUAAGAGAGUUCUUCUUGAUUGUGCUUCACCUUGUGCCAGUUUAAUCUUCUGCUUUUCUUUUCUCUUAAAAUAAGGGUAAUUGUGCUAGUAAAAUCAUCUGUUUUGAUUGUCAGAGGAAAGAGUAGUUAAACACCUUCUUGGUGCAGUUGUUUAAACUUUUGCUGGAUUCAUCUACUUUGCUUGUAGGGCUUGAUACAUGUUGCGCGAAAAAUGCCAAAGAAUGCACAUGCACAUUUUGUACUUGGCUUGAUGUAUCAAAGGAUGGGUCAGCCUCAAAAGGUAGCUUAUGGAUUCCAGUGUUCUUUUCCUGGGUCUGUUUUCAUUCUCUCUCUCGCACUGAACAGCUCAUUCUAGGCGAUUCUGGCAUAUGAGAAAUCGGAAGAAAUUUUAGUUCGCUCUGAGGAAGCAAUAGACAGGCCUGAGUUGCUUUCUUUAGUCCAGGUUCAUCAUGCACAGGUAUGAAUGAACUUACACUCAGAGAAAUUGCAAAUUUUGUAGUCAAUGUUUCUCUAUUAGUUUUUCAAACUUAAAUAUGUAAUUACUGCUAACCACAUACUUACACAUCUCUUCCUGGUGCAGUGUAUUCUGCUUGGAACCUUGGAAGAUUGUAGUUCAGAUGAGGAAUUAGACCCUGAAGAGCUUGAAAAUAUUCUUGCUAAACUUAAGGAGGUUGUGAAAUCUGAUGUUAGGCAGGCAUCCAUUUGGAAUGCUCUUGGCAUAAUACUUCUUAGAUCUGGUCGUUUGCAGGUGCUGCUAUGUUUAUAUUUUAGCUUAACUCAUUGACAUCUUGGAACUUUCUUUGAUUAUCGUUUGACACUUGUGGUUAUUGUAGAGUGCUAUAUCAGUUUUCUCAACUUUGUUGGACAUUUCCCCAGACAACUUAGAUUGCCUCAGUAAUCUUGGAAUUGCUUGUCUCCAGAGGUAUAAAGGGGCAUUAGAUUACUUAUUAUAUUAAUGUCAUCAUUUUAAUAUUCUCGUGUUUGAUCAAAUAAUACUAAUGAAAAAUAGAUUGAUCGUGAAGCUAAAAAUAAUUGGAGAGGUGGAGAAGCACUUGUAUUUAUGUGUUGAAAAGGGCAAAGAUAAAGAAUAUCAUAUAAGCUAAAUGAUGUUUUUAUUGACAUUGCAAUUGUAAAGGAGAAAAAUCUAUGACUUAUACUGUUCCAUUUAGUGAUGAGUAAAUCUUUUGUGCUGUCGCUUCCCUAUUCAUUGUGAAACAUAUAGUUUUUCUUUGCUUUUCAGUUUGAAUUAAAAUAUUUUUAGGGGACCUCAAGUGGUAAAAACCCUUUGGGUUACAUAAAUGAUCACAAAAUGGGAACAAAUAUGACAUUGGAUUUCUCUUUUCCUGAAGUCAUGCACAUUUGAUCAUAUCUACUGAUGAUUCAACUUGGCCGCUGGAACUUCUCUCUUUCAUUUAUAGACAAUAGAAUCUUCAGUAUCAUAUCUUGCUUAAGCCGUGUGGAAGUGAAAUUUGAGUUAUGAAGGCUUGAAAGUCUCAAAAUAAAAUUAUGUUUACUAAUGUUUGAUUAUGCUGAAGAAAAGUUUUGACCCAUUAUGUCGAAAAAGGGAGAGAAAAGGUUAAUCAACUCAUACUUUACUUUGAUUGUGGAUACUGUUCUGAUUAUAGAAAUUAUGCCUAAGCUUUUCCAACCUUGUAAUGUGUCUCUUAGCUGCUCACUCUGAUUUAUUGGCAAAAACGAUGCAAUAGCUUCAGACGGAUGGGGUUUGAAGAUAAUAAUGUCAUAAACUUACCCCUCAAAAAACAAAGUAUAGAGACUUAGAUUUCUAAAACGAUAACUUUUUAUGAUGGUCGUGAUUGAGCGAUGUUGUAUGGGGCAUAUUGUUGAUAUCUAUAUUUCAAGGGAAUAGCGAGAUAGACUAGGAUUGCCACAUAUUGUAUUGGAGCAGGUGGAUAAAAUAAAGGCUCAAAUUCGGCAUCUUGUGUGAUAAAAUAUGCCGCUAAAGGUAAGUUUUAUAAAGUGGUUGUUAAACCAACUAUGUUGUAUGGGGCGCAAUGUUGGGCGGUCAAGAACUCACAUAUUGAGGGUAAAUAUUGAAAUGGAUUUAUGAGCACACUAGGCAAGAUAGGAUAAAGAACAAACAUAUUUGAGACAAGGUGAGAAUGACCUCCGUGGUGGACAAGAUGGGCAAAGUGAGCCGAGAUGCUCAGAUUCUAGUGAUGAGAUGUGAGAGGUUCACUAUGGUGGGUCUGACUGGAGGUAUAGGUAAGGCAGAAAAAGAAUUAGGUUGGGAAGAGGUGAUUAGAUAGGAUUUGAAACACCUGCAGCUUACCGAGGACAUGACACUAGAUUGGAAGAUAUAGAGGUUGAGAAUUAGAGUAGAAGCUUAGUAGGUAGUCACACUAUCUAGUUUCCCUUAUCAGUGGUAUUAAUAUUUCUUUUCCUCUUCCUUCUUAUACUUCUUAUUAUUACUUGUUAUUUCUUUUGCGUCGGUAAUCGUAUUAUUUGUUUGUGCUCCUAGUAUUGUCCACUUGUGGAAUUUGACUAGGUAUGAUGUUGUUGUUGUUGUUGGCGGUGGUGGUGCUCGGGCUAGCUUUUUUGCACCUCGACUAGUCCACUAGCAUCUUCUCCCUCCUAUCAGUACAAGUACCGGGCAACUCUAGCAGCCGAGGCUUUGGCAAAAUGGAAGAAAUCGCCUAGUUCAGGGAUUUAAGCCUGAUACGUCAUAGUCUUCCACUUCAUUGACCACACCUUUGGGUGCUUAAAAAGCGUACUGUAUUCUGAUGGCGGUUAUCACCGUUCCAUUAAAAUAGAAGUGUUUAUCUUGUGGGUAGGGAGACCAUUUUCAGGAAGUAGCCUACUUAUUCUACCAUAAAUGGGAGAACCCUCUAUGUAUCUAUGACUCAGUCACUUCUUAAUAAUCAUCCUUCAAAGCAAAUCCCAUGACCUUAUACAACAAGAGUAAUUAAAUCUUGCAAAUGGUGAUACAGACAGUUACCUAUUUCAAGCUGUCACCAUUCUUGUGAAUCAGAUUAACCCAUCAUGGAUUUGAGUGGAACUUUAGGAUUCCUGGAGAGGUUGAUCAAAUGCUUCGUUCCAUAUAACUUCUUCAAUUGAUUAGAUCGUCUUAAUAGCAGUCACUGCUUUUAUAGGUUUUCAAUUUUUCAUACACUGGUAUUUUAUCAAAUGCAUAUUCUGCUUCUGUUAUCUGUGUUUGUCUCUUUUUUUUUAUUGGGAUGGGGGAUGUUUCUGAUGCUGUUAAUCACCUUUGGUAGAUACACUAACUGAUUAAUGUUUCACCAGCCAUGUCUUCCUAUAUUGUUCACUUGAGCUACUUUCUUUGCUGAAUUGAAUCACUUUGACAAUGUUUUUCCAGUGGGAAUCUAGAGCUUUCUGAGAAGUGCUUCCAAGAUCUACUUAUAAAAGAUCAGAAUCAUCCCACUGCAUUAAUCAACUAUGCUGCCCUUAUCUUAUAUAAAUAUGGUUCACUAGUGGCAGGUAAGAGGAUUUUGUGUUUUAUAAUUAUAUACUUAGGCCACCAGAUUUAUGGUUACAGAGCAUUGCAAAAAUUUACUUAGGCUAUCAAUUAUUUUACUGAUAGUGCUCAUUAGCAUGUUUUGAAACAUAGAUAUAACAAUUUUAAAGAAAAAGAAAACAGAGACUAACUAGUAAGCAUCGGCUGUUAGUUUCAGGUGCGGGGGCAAAUACUCUUUAUGGAACUUCUGCAGAUCAAGUCACUGCAGCCAAUGUUGCCAAAGAGUGUUUACUAGCAGCUUUAAAAGCAGACUCGAAAGCGGCUCACAUUUGGACAAAUCUAGCUAAUGCUUAUUACUUGAUGGGUGAUCAUAGGAGCUCUGCAAAAUGCUUGGAAAAGGUACUUCUUCUUCAAGGCGACAAUCAGCUUUAAACCUCACUUUUAUCUGUUCUUACAAGAUAUUGAUUCCUAGGCUUCUUGAAUAGAUGCAUUAAUGUUGAUCUUGUAUAAGUAAUUUACAUUCUUUUUCUUUAAUGAGUAGGCAGGAAAAAUUGAUCCUAAUUGUUUAGCGACAAGAUAUGCGGUUGGAGUUCACCGCAUCAGGGAUGCAGAGAGGUCCCAGAAUCCCAAUGAGCAGCUCUCAUGGGCUGGUAUUGAGAUGGCCUCAAUACUAAGAGAAGGAGAUUCUACUUCGAUAGAGCCUCCAGUAGCAUGGGCUGGUCUCGCCAUGGUCCACAGGGCCCAACAUGAAAUUGUGGCAGGAUUUGAAGUUGAGCAUAAUGAAUUGGUGGAAGUCAAGGAGCAUGCUAUCUAUAGUCUAAAGCAGGUAGGCUUUAAAGUUUUUAUAUUUUUAUCUAAGACUUAUUACUUAGUUUGAUAAGCUUUAAAGUGCCCAUCUCAUAUGGGAUGGGGGGAGUAGUUGAACAUGUGAUGAGGUGAUCUAUAUGUACUUCCUCUAUGGUGCAAGUGGUUACUUACGAAAUUGUUUUUGAGUUGGAAUUGCUUGAACUUAUCUUUUACUGUGAAAGGAAAUCAGUUGUCAAACUCUUUCUUGCAUGUGUUUACUGCAUUUAAGCUUCUUUAAUACCUUGCAUGUGUUUACUGCAUGUAAGCUUCUUUGAUUCCUUGCAUCGGCUUCCUGACCUUUGAUUUUCAUUAUGUUCUGCGACAGUCUUGCGAAAUGAAGUUUGGACUGAAUGCUUGGAUUUCUUAUUCUGAUUUUGCAAAUGACAGGCAAUAGCCGAAGAUCCUGCUGAUGCUGUUCAAUGGCAUCAGCUUGGCCUUCAUAGUCUGUGUACCCAACAAUUUAAGACGUCUCAAACGUACCUCAAAGCUGCAGUUGCACGCCGUAAGGACUGCACCUAUGCCUGGUCAAAUCUUGGUAAAUGCAUCUCUCUUACACAAUGUCAUGCACAUCUUUUUUCCUCCUCUUUUCUUCUCCAUAUUUGAUCAUCGUGAAAAUAGCCUUCAUGUCUUGCUGAAUUUUUUUUUGCACUAUAGGUAUUUCACUGCAACUAUCCGAGGAGUCUUCUCAAGCUGAAUCGGUGUAUAAACAAGCAUUGUCACUAGCUACACCAAAACAAGCGCACACAAUAUUUUCAAACCUUGGAAAUCUCUAUCGGCAGCUAAAACAGUAUGAAUGUGCAAAGGCAAUGUUCAAUAAAUCACUUGAACUGCAACCUGGAUAUGCACCUGCUUUAAACAAUUUAGGUCUUGUAUAUGUUGCUGAAGGAAAGUGGAACGAAGCAAAGGACUCAUUCGACAAGGCAAUCCAGGCAGAUCCAUUGCUUGAUGCUGCCAAAUCCAACAUGAUUAAAGCUUCUAACAUGCUCAACAUGUAUACCAGCAUGUCAUGAUGUCUGCGAUUCGUUCUAUUAAAAAUUUGUCCCCCUGUAAUUAUUUAGGUGGCGGGAGAAAAAAAGAAGGGUAGAUCUUAAGAUUUGGUAAUAUCAGCUUUUUUGGAUUUUAGUUUGUUAAACUUAGCUCCUUCUGGAGUUUUAGCAAAGUAGAGAUUCUUUCCAAAAUACUGAUGUCUCCUGCUUUCUUCACUUCCGCCAUGACUAUAAUUCAUGCUAUAGAUGUGACAAGUGCACCAGCAGUGGCCUUCGUUCAAAUUUAACUUACUAGAGAAUUUGAAAAUUUAGUCCAAUUAAUCGUUGAUGACAGGUUGAUACAGGCAGUGUGAAUAAUUUGAAUUGCAUUUCACAGUGUUCAUGUCUAACUUUCUGGUUUAAUGUUAUCAUGCAGGGUUGUGGUCAACCUGGAUUUACCCUGCUUGAGAUGAUUGGAGCCUUCAUUGAUUUGAAGCAGUUCAAUUAUUUCAAUCUUGUAAGUUGUCGAAACCAUUGUCUCUUAAAACAAGGAAUGCCAUUUUUAGAAUUGCUGUCUUUUUCUUUUUCUGUAUGCAAAGUUUCUACAGACUGGAUAGAAAUGCCAAGUUCAAUAGCAAUGCCAACUUCUUGAGGGAAAAUCAUAUUCCAUUUCUAAAGGUUUGUUAGUUUCCAAUGUCAGGGUUUAUCUUCUUCUUGUUAUUGCUUGCUAUUAUUUCUUACUUGUCAUCUCUUCUUGAGCCAGGGUCUAUCUAAGGUUUGCAUGUGCUCUAUUGUCCUCUCUCCAGUGAAAUUAUAUUGAGUAUGGUGUUGUAGUUUCCAAUUUCAAGGGUUGAAAUUGUCAAGCAUAAUUUUAGACCCAAUAAUUCGAAGUAUAGACAUGUUAGAUACUUUAUAAUAUUUGACCUUAACAGUUCUAAUUGUACACUCGCCUUAUCAAAUUUAUCUUUUUUUGGUUCCAACUUAAAUUUAUUUAUUUUGAUAUCAACAAAUAAGUCAUCUUACAAUGAUUCAUAUUAAUAAUUUAGAAAAGAAUUCUGACAUUUUACUUGUUCUUUUAUCUUACAUAUUAUUUUAUUGAAACGUGUACUUCAUAAUUUGAUGCAGAAAAACUAGUAAAACAAAAAGGAGACGGAAAAAUAGGGAAAUAGUGGGGGGCAUGUACGUGGGAAAGUUCAUCCGCGUGAAAUAAAAAAGUAUACUUUGCGUGAAGUGUACCAUCAGCCAACUUAUCGCUUCCACUUUCUUUGAUAUUUGAUACUAUUUAUUAUGAUAAACAAAUAUCAAUUCAUAUUGAAAAUUUUUACCAAAUCCAUCAUCUUUGAUAGUUAUAUUCCACAUACUUGAUAAUUUGUAAAGGUCAAAAAUAUUAUUAACCUAUUAGAAACGAUUUAAAUAUAUAUUUCUUGUAACUUACCGAAUAAAAAUGCUCUAAUUAUAUUAAAAAUGGUUCACAAAAAAAUGUUCUUACACCUAUUUAACCAAAUAUGCUCGUAACAUUGUUUUCAAGCUUAAAAUAAUGAAUAACUUUUAUAUAUAUAUAUCAAACACAAAAAUAAUAUUUGUAUAACUAUGGUAUGCAGAACUUUGCUUUAUAACAAAUUUUCCUACACAUAUAUACAAAAGAAACAAUUGUAAAAUCUGUUUCGGUAUACAUGUAUAAAGUGAGAAAGAGAAAAAGACAAAAGAAAAUUAAGCAAAAAAGUUUAUAGAACGAAAAUAUAUGUUUUUGUAUUUAUAUGUACAAUUUUCUCUCGCUUUAUACAAACACAAACGCAAUGUAGACAUUUGUGUUUGUAUAAAGUGAGAGAGCUUAGUGAGAGUGGCUAGUGACAUCAGAGAUAAGAGAAUGAAAAUUAAUGUGUAUAUACAAUUUUUCUCGUUUUAUACAAACGUAAAUAUAUUUUAUACAUUUGUAUUUUUGAAUAAAAGUAAGAGAGGCGAGUGAGAGUCUGUCGAGAGUGACGAGUGAAAUUCACCAAGCAGAGAGACGAAAUAACAACAGUUUGCUGCGGGAUACAAUUAAAUCAAACUAUGAUUAUAUUUUUUAUUUAUUUAUUUUGCUACAAUUAAAUCAAACUACGAUUAUAUUUUCUAUUUAUUUAUUUUGCUUUGCGAUUAACUUUUGCCAAGUAGUACUAAAGUGUUUUAAAAGGACCAUUUAUUUAUAUAUAUAUAUAUAUAUAUAUAAAAAGACACUGAUUUAAAGGUCAAAAAAUUAAAAUAGAGACAUUUGUCCUAAGAAAAGGAAAAAGGGCGAUAUAAAAGAUGUACUGGGGUCACAAUCGUCGUUGAUUUGGACUUGUUUUGGCCAUUGUUCAUUUCGCUCACACUGCUUCACUCGACUGAAAAUGGAGAAUCAGGGUUUUACACUUUAAAAUUCGGAGGCAAAACGAAGCAAUGGAAGCCAUUCAAUCACCAUACAUGCAUAACUUAAGCCAACCUACACUUGAUAAACAGUAUUUAGGGUUUGAUCCUCAACCUCCCGACACGGCGUCAUUUUCAUCGGAGCCCAAUUUUCAAAACCCUAGUCGGGAUCUCCCAGAAGUUGAGGAAGACGAAUUUGAUGAUGAUGAUGAGAUAGCGCUGCAAAUCAUUUUUAAGGAGGUUCAGAAUCUGGUGUUGAACCAGGCGUUCAGUGAAGCGAGAGCAAAAGGAGGUGUUUAUGAAUCCGCUAUGGUAAAAUCUGGAAGUGAAGAUGAGAAAGAUGUGCGAAUGAUAGGUGAAGAGCUACAGAAUCUGGUGGUAGACCAGGCGUUCAGUGAAGAGAGAGCAAAAGGGGAUAUUAAUGAAGGGAAUGGAAGAGAGGAAGUCGGGAAUGAGUACGGUGGUAAUCGUUAUGAAGAUGGUGCUGGUUGGAGCGAAAACGUAAAUGUGAUUGAUGUGAAAAACGAGAAAGGUGGUGAGGUGAUUUCAAGAGAAUGGGGUUUUGAUAACGAUGAAGAUGGUGACUAUAGUUGGAGCGAAAGUGGAAUUGUGGUUGAUGUGGAAAAUGAGAAGGCUGGUGACGCGGGUUCAAAGGAAUGGGGAUUUGAUGACUAUGAAGAUGGUGACCUUAGUUGGACCGGAAAUGAAAUUGAUGUGGUAAAUGAGAGCGGUAGUAUGGCGGGUUCAAAAGAAUGGGGAUUUAAUGCGAAUGGGAGGAGGUUGAGUUACCCGUUAAGGCCUGAUGCUGUGGAUUGUGCUUAUUAUAUGAAAACAGGGACAUGUCAAUAUGGAUUGAAUUGCAAGUUUAAUCACCCUUCUCGAAGACAAAAUCAGGUACAAUGUCAUGGGUUUGAAGCUGCUUUAGUUGUACUUAUUCUAUGUUUUGUUGAUUGAAUGAAUGGUUUUGUUAAAUAAAAGCAGUGUUGUGGAUGAAUCGUAUUAAUAGUGGAGGAUUGUGAUGGUCUACUGUUUUGUUUGUUUAAUUACGGGAUUAUUAAGUUUUUUUCUUGUGCAUAGUGGACUUCUAAAGUAAUAGGGAUGAAAUGGGCCCAAAUGGUGUUAAAGGAUUCACAUGGUGGACCCUGACUACUACGAGAUUGAGUGUAGUAGUUGUUGCUACACUUGUGAAGUAAUGAUGGACUUGAGGUGCGAGCUAACGGAGGACUGCUUCAUAGUUAGUUGUUGGCACUUAAGGGGCACGAUGAAUCAUGCAUUGAAAUGUGUUGUUAAAGAAUUCAUAGUAUCAUUCAUCAUUGGCAUUAUUGUUUUCUGUGAAGUAGUGAGUGUUACUUGACAUCUAUACAUGAAGUGGAUUAAUAGGAUGAGUAUCUGGAGAUUAUGUUGAUCUUUGUGGUGUUCUUUCUUCCAUUACUACUGUUCAUACGCUUAGGUUAGAACUUAGAUCCUAAAUACUUUUGUGAUGCUUACUAUGUUGAGUUUGUUAUGACCUCUUCAGCAGUGGGCAAUGGAGAAGGGCAAGCAAAAGGAUGAAAGCGAGGAAAGAGCAGGGCUGAUUGAAUGCAAGGUUAUGAAAUUUAUCAUUGUUAAAAGCAUGAGACGAGGAAAAUCUUUGCUUCUUCUGUGCUUGAUCUUUUGACUAAUUUGGUUUGAUGUUGAAUAUUGAGUAUCAUAAUGUAAAAAAUAAAUGUUAGUGCUCUAUGAAAUACAGACUCUUUGAUAUGAACUGAUAAACUUGUUUAUUAACAUGAACCUAGUAUCUACCAUUUAAUAUAUGCCAGAAACACAUGAAAGAUGAUUUAUGGUAAAAAUCUGUUCUGCAUUUCUGUUAUCUUGUGAUUUGGCUGCAUGACCAUUGCAAUCUGACAUUAUUGGGUUACUGAAGUAGUUUGGCUUAAUACAAUAAGGAUGCAUUAAAUAAGCAUGGUUUAAAAUAAUUGUUAGUUUCUCUACUUUUUUGUGUACUAGUUGCGUACGGGAUUUUUUCUACCCUUCAUUUCAAUGAAAUUACCUUUUUACUAGAUUAGAACAAAACUCAUGUAUUUCAGAACUUGUUUCUUAGCCCCUGCUCCUCAUAAGAUCAUGAGGAGAAAAUAGCAAAUUGUCAUAAUGACGAGAAACUUAAAGUUGACUUUUGACCAUAGUGUAUUAUAAUUAUGUACUGGUAAUUUCUGAGGGAGAACCCACCCGUGGUGCAUGGAAGCUCUUCCUUUUUUUAGUAGGUAGUUCUUAUCAUUUCCUUCACUUAAUGAAUCUAUAGCAGAAGGGAUCGUGUAAUUCCUUUAGUUUUGACUGCUUUUCUCAUAGAAAUUUGUUGGAAUAGUUACUUUCUGUUGCAUAAUAGUAGAAUGUAGUGGAUGAUAAGAAGGCCAUAGAUUUGCACCCAAGAGUGUGGCCUAUAGGUCAAGAGAACCACGAGGUCUUAGGUUUAAUUCCCGGUGGAAACAAAAAGCAGUAGCUGAGUUCUUCUUAUCUUUUCAAGCCUUAGCGGAUAGAAUCAUGAGGUACCUGUGCUUGUAGGAGCCAGCACGUACUCCGUGGAAUUAGUCAAAGUACGUGCAGGAUGACCCUGACAUAGUCACAGAUUUCUAGGUGAAGGAGAAAAAAUUUGUAUUCGAGGAGCUAUUUUAAGUGCAACAUGCAUAAUUUUGUAUUUUAGUUGUGGAAUAAGUUCAUGCAUAAAGUUGAACUGACACUGCUCAAUGAUACGUCUUUUUUCUUUUUUAUCAGUGAGCAAUCCAUCUUUCUUUGUCCUGUGUUAUGUGGAUAGAUUUGUAGAACUAAACUGAUCAGACAUUGACUGAUUACUACAGUUUUUACAUGUUAUUUUAUUUAGUGUUGUUAAUUCUCUCUAUGGUGAUAUUUAGGACCUCUAUGUGAUGACCUUCGUAUAUAUAUGCAUCAGGAUGCUUCUCUCCUUUGCGUUGUGCUGUAACUGGAAUUUGCCUCUUAAUGGUCAAUGCUAAGAUUCUGACUUACACAAUUGAGUCCUCUUAAGUUGCUGACACAAUUGUGAAAGUAGUUGUUUAGUUGUUUCCACACGUGUCUCUACUCUGGAUGUGUGGGGGAAAAAAGUUUUUAUGCCUUUCGCAUAUUUUCCUUCUUGGCUCUGUUAUAACUUAUAAGUUCUUAAAACUUCUAUACUGUAUUGAAUGUAGCAUAUUUCCUUUUUGGCUAAAUUUUUUUCUUUUUCGUUAAUCUUGCAGUAUUACCUAACAGAAGGAGGGUGCAAGUAUGGAAAUGCCUGUAAAUAUAGUCAUAGUAAGGGGAAGGGUGCAAUCUCACCUGUUCUGGAUUUUAACUUUCUUGGCCUGCCAAUUCGACAGGUAAUGCUCCUUGCUGUCAUUCAGAACCUUUUUGAAUUUGAGAAUUAUGUCCUUAAGGGAUUUGUCUUCAUUUCAGGGAGAGAAGGAUUGCCCUUUCUACAUGCGCACUGGGUCCUGCAAGUAUGGAUCCAGUUGCAGGUUUCAUCAUCCUGAUCCUAGUACAGUGACUGGAAACAAUCCUUCCCUUGGAUACAACAAUGGUGGAUCUGCUCCAGUACAAAGUGCCUCCUAUUCACCAGUGUCUUCUUGGUCUUCACCACGAGCAUCGAAUGAGACAUCUCCUUUUGUACCAGUGGUAUAUUCAGCAAACCAAGGCAUUCUUCCUCUGAGUCCAGAAUGGAACAGGUUUCAGGUAAUUUAUGCAUUAAUUUAACUUCUCUGUUUCUGAAAUGAUUGUUGUUUAUGGUUUGUCCUGAAAGAUGGGUCAUUGUGUCUAAUGCUUCAGCAAAUCUCUGUCUUUCAUUCACGGUAUAUUGUGUCUGGUACUUCUAUUCCAAUGCAAUGCAAGAAUUAUCAGUUUUGAUAUGUAAAUUUAACGAAGAGAGAUUCAACUAGUAUAUUUGCAGCUCAACACACAGAAUAGCAGUUUGUCAAGCUCCAUGUACCAUGCCAUUCUAUUUUGGUUCAAUUAACUACAUGUUUUUUGGACACAUUUUAUAAAAUACAUUAGUCACUGCAAAGAAAAGAUUUUCUAUGAUGUCAUACGCAAUGUGAAUUAAGUGAAGUUUAUAAUCAUUUUACUAUUUUUCUUUGUUUGUAAAUCAUAAAACUUAUAUGACAGAGUGUUUGCCUAUUGUUCAAUGAGUUUCCUCUGACUGUACUUUGUUUGUUUCUGCUGGUUCAGGCUCCGGUCUAUCCAACCUCAGAGAAGAGCCUACCUACUCCUCCAGCUUUUACUGUGAAGGAUCCAGCAACUAAGACAAACAUCUAUUCCCGACCUCAACCACCGUGGCUUGUUGAAGAAUACCCUGAACGUCCAGGUCAGCCUGAUUGCAGUUACUUCAUUAAAACAGGAGAUUGUAAAUAUAAGUCUUACUGCAAAUUUCAUCAUCCGAAGACUCAAAAAUCAUUGACAAACCCUCCGAGUGUUCUCAAUGACAAAGGCCUGCCACUAAGACCAGUAAGUUUUGUCUCUCCAGAUUUAAAAGCUUUUUGAUUUUUCUUAGGAAUUCUCUUUUUGAGGCAUAUGUUGGUGGAUAUUUAGCCGGUGUUCGAGGACACCUGCUCCUCUUGAUGUCCUUAAUUUCUAGCUAAUGUUUGAGGACACUUGUUAGUUAAGGACAUGGAAGCAACUUCUUCAAGGAAUACUUAAUUCCUUUCAAGAUGUUUGUUUGUUCUUAUAUAGUAGCAGUUGGCCAAGAUUUAUUUCAGACUUUCUCACAAUAGAUCUCAAUUAUGGACAAAAUAAUUGUGAACUUGUGCUUUCCAUACAAAGUUUAUUUCAUUUUGUUUUGUAAAUGUAGGGCCAAGCUGUCUGUUCAUUCUAUAGCCGUUACGGGAUUUGCAAGUAUGGACCUGCCUGUAAGUUUGAUCAUCCCGAACAUAUUGACAACGCACCAGCGUCUUCUCCUCGGCCUGCUUUUUAUCAGCCUCCAUUUGGCAUUUCUUCUGCAUCAGAUGGCUUGAGGAUGGCGAGGAAAGGAAAUGGAAGUGGCUCUCUAGUACAUCAGUCUGUCUAAGAAAUCUUUGCAUCCAUUUCACCCAGAAUUUAGAAUAGAAAUCACAUGGUUUACAGACAGACUGGAAACUCUUUAUAGUCUUUUUAGCGUUUUGUGUUGUGAAAAGCUCAAGCAAAUAGGAUUUUGUAUAUUAAUAGCUUGUUUUAAGACUGCAGGAGGAUAUAUGCAUGACGAUGCAGCAGUAUAUCGUUAGGAACAUUAACUUAAAUCAGAUGUGCAACCUCUUCUUAAUGUUAGUUCUUGCUCGAGCAUGAAAGUUUCAUUCUGGGAAGCAUGACUUACUAUGAUACUAUCUGUUUUGUCGAGUCAUGUUUUGGUCUCUAUCUAUCGAAGUUAUAUUUUGGUCUCUGUUAUAGUUGUAUGUGCUAGAAAUACUUCGCAGACCUUGACACCUGAAUUUAGUUAUUAUAUAUUGUGCCUAGUUCUUUUGAAAACGUUUGUCUCUGCUCCUGUACUACGAUCCUGCAUAAUAUGUUCUUCAAACAGUCAAAUUAUCGUAGUGUAUUCUCUAUUUGCUCUAAUAUUCAACUUUCUCAAAUUUGAUUUUGUGACAUUAAACUCCCACUAGUAAACAAUAUUAUGAUCACUUCAAAGUCACCAUGUGGCGCAGUAAAUUACAGUAGCUCUCAAAUUUAGAUUAAUUCUCACAUUUAUCACAAACCAACGUCUUUGUAAUUUUUUUGUGGAUUGAUUCUACAAGAAUGGCCUUAGAGGUGGAUGGUGACCUUGCUCAUCUCAUGCACAAAACUUCAUAUUUAAAGGAACGCAAGAAAAUGACCAAGAUAGUCUAUUAAGGACCAAUACGUGACUCAAACACAGAAAGAAGCAUAUUUUAAUUUUAUCUCAAUCAAACAUGAUUUUACUCAUCCUAAAUUAAUACCAGGAUUAAUUAUCCCAUAUCCGUUGAAAACGGGAACUUAAUACCAGGAUUAAUUAUCCCUUAUCCGUAAAAAACGAGUCCAUCUAGGUAAAGUAAACAAAAAUUAACGAAAGAAACACACAUAAAAAUAUAAAUGAACUACCAACCAUUUAUCCUAGUCUUAUCUUGUGUAUUACUGAUGUUUGCGUAAAGAACCUUCUAAAACACACUUAUUUGAUCCUCUAAAUGAUCAAUCAAGUCAGCAUCAUCAUAACCAGUUGAGUAAAAAGUCCAGCUUUCAGAAUCAGAAUACUAUAAACAUACUCUUCGAAAAAGCCAGAAUAUAGAAAUCCAAAAAUUUCCUCAUAAACAUGCUUCAAAAAGCACAACCCAAUUUAAGCUCUGAAGUAGUAAAAAUUACACAAUAACACAAAUUCCUAUAAAGAAAUGUUUGAAAUAGCACUAAAUUCUUCUGAUACCAAGGCUAUAGGUAUUGAAAUUAUACUUUCAAAAUUUAGGAAUUCAUUCCUUCCAUCAAGAAGAUGCCUUCGUCUUCCUGGGAGCCAAUUGAGUCUCAGGCUGCAUGAAUAAAAAAAUGUUUAGGAUACUUGCAGAAGAUAUGAUACUUGACACAACAUAAUGGCAGAAACAAAAAGAUCUAAAGAUGACUGACAUAAUGGAAGAAUAAAAAAGAAGAUCAAAAGAUGAGUAAUGAAAAAGCAAAGGCUACUGACAUAGAGCAGACACCAUGUAUUGAAGUUAUAAUAAGAAUUAACUAAGGAAGAGCGAGGAGACAGAUAGAAACUAUACCUCUUUCUUAACAGAUUCUUCCUUUUCAGACAAUACCAACUCGAUAUGGCACGGAUGAGACAUAUAAGCUGCAGAAAGGUCAAUAAGUUUAAAUUUGUUAUCCAUAUACUUAACUACAAUAAGAACACCAUCGAGGAAAUAAGAGGAGCACUCACGAUUGAUUCUUCCAUGAGCACGGUAUGUACGGCGCCUCUGUUUCUGUGCUUGGUUUACUUGGAUGUGAGUGAUGUAAAGUGAAUCCACAUCCAAGCCUUUAACCUAAAAUGAGGUGAAGCAACAACAAACUCAUCUUUAGAGAAAAGCGAAAGCAAAGGACCAAGGGAAAUAAUAUAAUCCAACAAAUUUGAACAUACUUCAGCAUUACUCUCAGCAUUUUUGAGCAAAUCCAGAAUAAACUUUGCAGAUUUGACAGGCCAACGUCCUUGUCCAUUUGAGUGGCGAUUCUUUGCCUGAGCAGUACGACCAACCCCGCGACAAAAGCGGGUGAAGGGGAUGGCUUGUUUAUGGGCAAGAACAUCCUCCAAGUAGCUCUUUGCCUUGUUCAAAGGCAUCUUCCUAAGGGCAUGCGCUGUUUCUCUAGUAUUCUAGAGAUAGAUAAUAACACACAUUUGAGCAAGGAAGGCACAAAAAGAUUAUGACCAUCAGAAAUUACAGAACUGUUAAAUAUCACACAACUGAUAUAGAACCUUUAUAUAUCAUAACAACGAGUGCAGAAGUGUACAGAAGAAGAAUAAUGGUCCUAGAAAACCAAUUGUCACCAGAAGAGAAUAAAAGAAGUCAAGGAAGAGUUUUGUGCUAUCAGUGCUUGAUUGAGAUAGUGAACUCCUUGUAGUUUAUUCUAUUUUUGCUAAAUAUUAUAAAUGAUAGUGAUAACUAGUCAGAGCAACAAAGAGCACAAAAGAAUACUGACACACAGUGUUCUCAGAGUCAAAGUCUACAAAUUAAUGCAGUGCCCUGAUGAAAUUAUUAACUCAGAGUGGUCUGUGGAACUCCAACUUCUUUAAUUAAAAGAGCCUCUAACUUAAUAGGCAAGAAAAAAUCUCAGAGCUUAGAUGUCUAAAGUGCACGCAAUCUCAACAGUCCAGAGAACAACCAAGAACAGAAGAAAAAAUAGUGCAUUUACACUUUCACUUGGUAAGUAGAUGCCUCAAAUACAGCUAUUGACAUCAACAUUCAAUUUGCACAGUACCACCCUCUUCUGUCAUACACUAAUUGAAACAGAAUUGAAAACGGCCACCAUGCUUAUCACAAGUACUUUAGCUGAAGAGCCAGCUUAAACCACAGAAUUAUAAAAGCAUAUGGAACUGUCAAAAAUUGUUUAACCACUACUCAAUAGAUGCAUACAUUUAAUGAAACAAGGCAAGUCAUUUUUUAUGGGCAACACAAAAAACAAGCUUGCUAAAUCCAGAAUAAGGGAAACCACUAAAUGGCUAAUACAAACAAAUGAAUUUCAAUUUAUCUUGAUUAUAACACAGUAACAACUACGAACAAUAUGCAAAUGCGAGAAAAAAAAAUGAAAAUAUUGAACCUCGCAACGAAACAACAAAAAUAACAGACACGAAUAGCUUGCAAAGCAGCAAAUCACAUAAGAUCAAAAUUUAACAUAAAAAUAUAUAUCACACACCUUGAAAUGAGCUCUGAGAUCCGAACCCCUAGCUUUGCAAGCUGAUACAAGAACAUUAAAAAAAUUAAAACAAAACCAACAUAUAUAAACACUCUCAAAUAAUGCUAAAAAGAUAAAAUGUGUAUCGUAUUGAGUACUCACAUUUGGUUGGGUUCUCCGGUUCAUUCGAAUACUUCACCUACAUAAAAACAAACGAAUUAACACAGAAAUCAAUCGGAGAAUUAGAAGGUUUAACAGAAUAACUAACCAUGGCCGCCGGUGAUGCUGCUGUUCCCCUGCAGCUGCUGAUAGAAGAUGUCUGCUUCGGUUCUAGGGCUUUCGUGUUAAUUGAAAUAUAUUCUGGUUAUAGAAGUGUUUAAAAAUUAAUUGGGCUAUGUUCAUUUGAGCCCUUAACUUGUGUUGGGCUUUUUUUUUUUACUUUCAUGAGAAGAGCCCAUUUGAAUGAUCUCUAAACUUAUAGUCAAGUUUCUCGUAAUAAUUCAUGCAAAUUACAUAAAUCUUAUAGUUUUAAUAUGAAAUUACAAUUUAUUUCUAAUAAGUUUCUAAUUAUAUUAUCCCUUCAAAAUUAAAAAAAAAACAGAUACAAUAAUUGAAGCUCGAAUACAUUAAUAUGUAGCUCAGAUAUGUUAAAUAUUGUGUUAGAUACAUUAAUAUGUAGCUCGGAUACAUUCAUCACUAGCUAGGAUACAUAAUAUGUAGCCAAAAUACAUUAAAUACUGGCUCGGAUACAUUAAAAGCUAGCUCAAAUACAUUAACUUUUCACUCUGAUACACUAAAUAUGCAGUUUGGAUACACUAAAGUGAUAAGAGGUUUUGAAAAGUAAUAGGGGAUAAUAGAAAUAAGUGAAACAAAAUGUGUGUAUUUCUGUAAUUUGUCCAAAUGAUCUUCUCUCCGAUCGUCGUCCACAAUAGACUUGACACAAGAAUUAAAAAACACUAAAUGGUAGAGAUAAUUUUAGCAAAUCAUUCUUAUUAAAUAUAAAUUAUCUAAAUAUUGAGUAUCAAUUGUUGUGUGUUUCAAAUUUAUUGUAAUUCAAAUGAAGUUUAAUGCUUGGAAAAGAGCCUAUUAAAAUCAUAAAAUAAAUAAUUCCAGCAAUUCCUAUAAACAUAAAAUUCCACGGAGAAAAAUAAAGGAUCAUUUAAUAGUUAUUGUUGCAAGUUUGAGGAAGUGGACCCUGAAAUUUGAAUAUAAAGAGUGAAUUUAAUGUUGUUAACAAAACGUACAAACGUAGCAAGGUUGAAGAUUGGUGCAUAAUUCAAAUUUCAUGAAAUUAUCCUUAAUUUUAAACAUAUAAUAGCUAAAUUUCAAAUUCAGAUAUUGAUGUUUGAAGUAUGGCCUUGAUAAGAUAAAUUUUUGACACAAAUUAUAAAAAAUUAUUUGCACAAAUAAUAUGCUAGAAUUUCGAGUAAAAUUCAUGACUUCAAUAGUUGUCUCAUAAAUAUGAAAAUCUAUAAUUUAUGAAAGCUAUCAAAACUUCCUCAAACAUGAAUUGAACGAGUAGGACUGUUUGGAGGAGCUGGUUUUGGGGUUUGGAGAGGAACAAGUACUACUUGGUGUAUCAUAUUAUACUAUAUUAUACAAUACUUGAAUAGAUUAUAUUAUUUUUCAUCUUUACAUAACAUCACAUUAAUAUUUUGAAAUAAUAAAUAUAUAUGUUAAAAAAAAAGGUAUGGGAUAGGAGUUAUUAUGGAAAAUAGAGAAAAGUAAAAUAGGACAAUUAGAUAAGAAGCAAAUACAAAAAUAAAAAUAAAAACGUAACAAUACCAUCAUGCCAAGUUGGUUAUUACAUAAAAUGUGACUUAUUACCAUUAUGUUAUAAUGAAUUUACCGAUAUGGUAUACUACAAAUAAAGUUUAAAUAACAAUCAAAAUAAAUAUUAUAUUUAAACUAACACACCAUACAAUACUACAAAUAACAACCAUCCAAACAAGCUGUAAGUUUCAACAUGUUGACGCAGAAAAAGAAGAGUCAAUAGGUUAAACUAAUUUCAAACAACUCAGCCUACUUUUCUAGGAUGAAUGUGAUUUACUAGUGCUUUUAUACUUGAUAGUUUUUUUUUAAAAAAAACAGGUCGAUGCGCUAAGCUACUGACAGAGUGUUUGCCUGUAGUCCUUUUGUGUUUUGUAUUGUCAAAAUAUCUCAAGCAAAUGGGUUUUGUAUAUUAUUUCGAUAUAUCCUUUUUAGUGUUGAUUCUUACUCGAGUAUGAAAGUUUCAUUUUAGGGAAGGAUGACGUACACAUACUAUAAUAACUUUUGCGAUGGUUGUACAUGCUAAAAAUACUAUAUCACCUUGUUGACAUGCUCCCACAGUACUGAAGUUAGACUUGAAGCUUUUGUAAGAAAUUAAGUUCAAUGGACUCCCCAAAGCCACUAAACCGCUCUCUUCCACCCGAUUUGAACUGAACCUCGUUCUAGUGAUAUUUUCUCCCUUUUGAGGACAUACUUAAACCCUGAAAAUUUUUUGUGCAUUCCCCAAUCCCCACUGUAAAAAUCAGAAUACUACUAACAUCCCAAUUCAUUCUUAGAAAAAGCAAGACCAUAGAAAUCCAAAAUUCCCUCAUACACAUGCUCAAAAAGCACAAGCCAAUUUAAGCUCCGAAAUAGUAAAAUUACACAAAAAACACUAAAUUCUAUGAAGAAAUGUUUGAAAUAGCACUAAAUUCUUCCGAUACAAAGGCUAAAGGAAUAUUGAAAUUAUACUUCCAAAAUUUCGGGAUUCCUUUCUCUGCUCAGGAAGAUGCCUUUGUCUUCCUGGGGGCUAACUGAGUUUCAGGCUGCAUGAAAAAAAAAAAAAGGAUAAUUACAAAAGAAUAUAUACCUGAAGACAACAUAAUGGCAUGAAACAAAAAGAUCUAAAGAUGACUGAUGAGCAGCAAAGGCAACCGUUAUAAAGUAGGCACCAUGUACUCAAGUUAUGAGAGUCAACUAUGAGGAAGAACAAGAGACAGAUAGAAACUAUACCUCUUUCUUAACAGAUUCUUCCUUCUCAGACAAUACCAGCUCGAUAUGGCAAGGAUGUGACAUAUAAGCUGCAGAAAGGUCAAUAAGUUUAAAUUUGUUAUGCAUAUACUUAACUACAAUAAGAACACCAUCGAGGAGAUAAGAGGAGCACUCACGAUUGAUUCUUCCAUGAGCACGGUAUGUACGGCGCCUCUGUUUCUGUGCUUGGUUUACUUGGAUGUGAGUAAUGUAAAGUGAAUCCACAUCCAAGCCUUUAACCUAAAAUGAGGUGAAAACAACAACAAACUCAUCUUUAGAGAAAAGCGAAAGCAAAGGACCAAGGGAAAUAAUAUAAUCCAACAAAUUUGAACAUACUUCAGCAUUACUCUCAGCAUUUUUUAGCAAAUCGAGGAUAAACUUUGCAGAUUUGACAGGCCAACGUCCUUGUCCAUUUGAGUGGCGAUUCUUCGCCUGAGCAGUGCGACCAACCCCACGACAAAAGCGGGUGAAGGGGAUGGCUUGUUUGUGGGCAAGAACAUCCUCCAAAUAGCUCUUUGCCUUGUUCAAAGGCAUCUUCCUAAGGGCAUGCGCUGUUUCUCUAGUAUUCUAGAGAUAGAUAAUAAGUACACGUUUCAGUAAGUAAGACAUGCAAAGAUUGGAAUGACCAUCAGAAAUUACAGAACUGUUAGAUAUCACUCACUGAUACAGAACUACUAUGUAUCAUUCCAACUGAUGAAGAAGUGUAUUGUCACCAGAAGAAUCGAAGUUCUAAAUAAAAUAAAUCGAGGCAGAGUUUUGUGCUAUCAGUGAUUGAUUGAAAUAGUGAAACUCCUAGCAUUCUAUUUUAUUUUUGCAAGAAUAUUAUACAAUGGUAGUGAUAAAUAAUCAGAGCCACUGAACAGCGUCAAACACAAUAACAGAAAACAAAAAAAAUGCAUCUACCCUAUUUUUGUGAACAAACUUGGGUACAUCUUCCAACACAUCUAAUUGACAUCAUUCAAAUUUCUUUCAUACACUAAUCCGAAACAGAAACGACCCACUGUUAUUUGCCAACAAACAGAGCCGACAUAUGCUUAUCACAAGUAUUUUCAGCUGAAAUCAACAACUUAACUCAUAUCAACUGUCAAAAAAUGUUCAUCUAUUACUUAAUUGAUGGAUACAUUUACUUGAACAAGGCAAGUCAUUUUACUGGAAUAUAAUCACCAAAAGUUGAACUUGCUGAAAACAUAAAUGAAGUUCGAUUUAUCUAUUGCAAAGCAAAAAUCACAUUAAAAUCAAAAUUUAACAUAAAAACACAUAUCACACACCUUAAAAUGAGCUCUGAGAUACGAACCCCUAGCUUUGCAAGCUGAUACAAGAGCAUUAAACAGUUAAAUAAAAACCAACGAAUAUAAACACUCUUAAAUAAUGCUUGUAACAGAAAAUGUAUGUAUCGUAUUGAGUACUCACAUUUGGUUGGGUUCUCUGGUUCAUUCGAAUACUUCACCUACAUAAAAACAAAAAGGAUUAACACAGAACUCAAUCGGAGAAUCCGACGGUUUAACACUCUAACUAACCAUGGCUGCCGGUGAUGCUGCUGUUCCCCUGCAGCUGCUGAUAGAAGGUGUCUGCUUGGGUGUUAGGGUUUUCGUGUUGUAUUAAAAUAUAUUCUGGUUAUAACAGUGCUGGGCCUUUUCGAAGUAUUUGGGCCUUUGAUUGAGUUGGGCUGUUCUCUUAAAAGAAUGGGAAUUAUGAGAUGAACCUAUUUAAUGCUUGACUCGAAGUCUAUGAGAGAUUCAGGAGCUUUUGACGAAACUAAUAAGGAGGAAAUGACAUAUAUAUAUAUACAAACUUAUAGUUACAAUUAGAAAGAAAUAGCUCAACAUUAAUUAAUAUUUAAUAGACAUGCAACUUUCACAUAUCGCAAAAAAAAAAUUCAUAUUUGUAUGCUAUAGCAAAGUUUGCAUAAUUGCGCUCCAUAACAAACAUAGAAACUGUAUAAUUUGCUAUACAUAUACAGUUGAAGUUAAUUGUAUAAAACGAAGUAUAUAAAACAAGAAAGAGAAAGACAUUUGGGCAGAGAACUAUAUAAAAACGAAUUGUAUUAUUAUAACUGUAUAGAACAAUUAUAUACAAUUCAAAUUUGUAUAAAAUGAGAAAGAGAGAAAGACAAAAGAGACUUGACAAGAAAUAUACAAUUGAAUUGAAUUAUAUAAAACGUUACAAUUAUAUAUAUAGAUAAACUAAUAAGGAGGAAAUGACAUAGAUAUAUUUAUACAACUUAUAGUUACAAUUAGCAAUAAAUCAAAAUGGCCCAAAUUAAUUAAUGAUAUUUUUAUAGUUUUUUUUUCUUGUAUAACUAAAAUCACUCAAAAACAAAAAUAAGGAAAACAUACAAAAUUAUAUAUACAAUAAGUAACUGCUUACAAACGUAAAUUAUGUACUUUCAUAUAUUUUUUAUUUGUUUUUUGAUAAUAAAAAAUUUAAUUGUAUACUUGAUGAUAUGUAGAAGAAUGGUGUAUUCAUUCACUUAGUAUUACUAUACAUUUAUAGUUAUGUUAUCUAAACCAAUAUAUACAUAUUAAAAAAUUAAACACUUUAUGUAUUCAUUCACUCAUAGUAUAUAUACACUGCAUUGAAUUUUUUUUUUAAUCAGGAGGAUCAUGUAUGCAUAUCCGUAUAUUUAUUCUCUUAAAAAAAUUAUACAUUCCAGAUUCUUCCUUCAAAAAAUGAGGAUUGUUCAUGAAAUAUAAAUUGCUCAAUGGAAAACACACAAAUUGAAUCGGAUAACAAGAAGAACUUACAUGACUAUAAAAUUCAUAAUUAUGGAUGGAGAAUCCACAAAAUUAGAAUCAGAAUCCUCAAUUUUAUGAAUAAUCUUAGGAUGAGUUUCUUAAACAUGACAAUUAAUACCCACAAUUAAUUACUAUUACCUAAAUUAGAUAUAACCUUCAAUUUCAAAUUAAAACAUUAAAAAAAAAUCGAACGACAAUAUAAGAGGGGUAAAACAUAGGCUAACAAGUAGAGAAAUUGAUGGGUAAAUAUCAACAAACCAUCAAGAAUUUGAAAGAGAAAGAGAAAAAAUAUACUAUAAAUGAAUAUUUUUAUAGAAUUCAAUAUGUAAAACUAAUAAAUAAGAAAGCAAAUCAUCUUUUAUUCAAAGUAAUAAAGAAUAUAAUUAAUAAAAAAACAUGAUUUACAAGAAUACGUGUAUGUACGAAAUAUAAGAGAAAAAAAUGGAGAACACUUCUCAAUAAAAAAGGAGAUCAUGCUACCACCUUUUAAAAUUAUUAAUUUAAUUAAAAAAAACUUCUCAAUAUGUGGGAUACUAAUUGCAAAAUUUGUUAUGAAAAAACUUUUUUUUGUCAAUAAAAUAAAAAGGGGCUAUAUAUUGCCAAUUAGUAAAAUGGGAUGUCAUGCUUUGCCAAUAUUUUUAACUAAGGAGGUCAUUAUUUAAACUAAUUUAUCAAAAAAAUAUGUUUUUAUUUUUUUAUAAAACUAGUAUAAACAUAUUUUUUGAUAACGUUAUGGGGUAUUUUUAUUUUAAAAAUUCAACGGACAAAAAGUGACGGGGCUAACAAAGUUAAAUAAAUAAACAUACUCAUGAGUAACGCUUACGUUUUUGGGUAAAACGAUAUUCUUAGUAAAAAUCAAUUAUUUGUCACCCCAAUGAAAUACGCAGUGUCGUUUUUAUCAAUUGUAAGUUUUAAUUAAUACAUUUAUAAUAUAGUUUGAUACAAAUUACAUAGAACAAUUUAUUAUUCACAUAUAAUAUAAGUUUUAUUGAUGAAUAAUACAUUUAUCACACAUAAAAAUACACUUAUAAUACAAUGGAUCAAUUUCUUACAAAACAAACAUAAUAUAUUUGUUAAAACAAUUAUAAUAUAUAUUUAUUGCAUACAUAAUUUACUUUUAAUACAUCUUGCAGAUUUAUCAUAAUAUUAUUAUAAAUGAUAGUAACAAGUAGAAAAUAUCGCUAAGAUCAAUGAUUAUUUAUUAAAUGUAUUAUUUCAAGUGAUUUUUCCUAAAAAGAAAUAGGAUAUGAGAUAAAAAUUAGUAUUAUAAAAAAUAGAGAAAAAAGAUAAAAUAGGAUUAUUAAAUAACAAUACCAUCCAAACAAGCGGUAAGUUUCAACAUUAACAAAUUCCAUAUACUCCGGACUCAGCCUCCUUCUCUGGGAUGAAUGCGCAUUGGCCAUUUGCUACUUGCUAGUGCUUUUGGUACUUUAUGAAUGUUUUUUUUUUUUUUUAAAAAAAAAACUCGAUAUUCUAAGCUUUUAUUAUGCGCAGGGUAUAGAAAAAGGCUAGACCAUAAAAAUCUAUUGUAUCAGUCUUGCCUAAUAAUUCAAUUUCUACUUUUUACUUUGCAAAUUUACCCCUUUAUCAAUUACUCUCUCUGUCCGGUGUUAUUUGUCAUGGUUUUAUUUUUUAAAGUCAAAUUAUAAAAACUUUGAUUUAACAAUUUAAGAUGUACUUUUUUAUCAUAUUAAUAUGCAAAAAAUUGUAAUUUAUAGUACUUUUUAUAUAGUUUUAGAAUAUCUAAUUUUUUUUUGUUUAAAACAUCGAAUUAAUAUAAUCUAAUUUACCUUUGAAAAUUAGUCAAAUUAACUUUCGAUAAGCGCAACAUGACAAACAAUUCCGAACGGAGGGAGUAAUAUAAAGAGCAGGAUAUAGGUUCUUGUAAUCGUUGUUACGCCUCUGAAUAUUUAUUCUCUCUUUGUAAAAUUGGUCAGGAAAAGACUUCCUACUCGUGAAUAAUCAAUUUUUCAAGUAAAUUUUCACCACUUAAACAUCACUUGAUGAACUUUUGUGUUGCUUUUGAUGAAUACAAGAAAAAAAAAGGCUCCAUCAAGGUGUUACAAUGUUAACAAUCAAUUUUAACUGCAAAACUAAACAGAAGCAUACAACAUCCAGAAAGCAAGACGAUAACGAAUAUGUGCCAUUGAACAAUGAUAGGAGCAAACUGUAACAUUAAUGUUUAACUCAAGCUAAUCAUAGUUGAAUUGUUAAAUUUCAAGAAUAAUGUGAUUUUCCUUCACCUCUUUUUAUCCUGGUGCUCCAUUAUCAGAUAGGAGACAUUGGAGCUAUCAUCAGUCAGCCACUUUGCAUCAUUCCAUUCAUUUGAGACUCUUGUACAACCGAUGUAACACAGAUAACCAACUCUUUUGCAGUAUGAUACAACUAUCUUUUUGUUCUUUUUUCUUUUUUGGUUGUCGAAAUGAUGGAUGAUGAGAAGAACAGAGCUUAAAGUCAUGAAGAAACGCUCUCUUCCUUCUGAGACAAGUACCUAAAGGAAAACGCAGCACGAAGAUCAGAUUUUGUUUUUCGCUAAAACAAGGUGAUUGAUGAAAGGGAAAGGAAAGUUGAUUCAGACUGAUCUACAUAAAAGGCACUCAAAACUUUGGUUAAAUGCUUAAUCUGUGAGCGGAACUUGCUAGUAACUACAGCUGAGUUGUUCAAACAUUGUUGUUUCUAUUUAAUGUUACUAUGGAUAAUUAUGCACUCGUGAACUAAGACACAUACCGCUGAUGCUUUAGCCAACGUGAGAGUUGAUAGAGCUGCACUGACUCAUUUGAAGCAUGGCAAGCCAGAAGAAGAUAAUUGCGAGGACGUACCAUCCAUGCAAAUCUCAUACAUAAUAGUGAAUAUACACAUAGCACUGCAGCCAAAGAAACAAAAGCAAGAAAAUUCAAUAAAUGGUCUAAAACUGAGACAAUCAUUUUAUGCAGGAUCAAAAGUAAAGCACACCAGAACGCGUUGAUGUACCAAAAACUUAUGUUUUGAGCAGUGACAGAUCCAAAAUUUAAACUCUGAAAGUUCUAGCGAAGUUAAAAAUGCAGGUUCUGAAAUAUAAAUUCAAUCCUAUGUAUACUUUUUUUCCACAUAUUUACAUAAGGCUCUAGUCUAAAGCCAUAGGUUUGGCCAAACCAUAGCUUAUAUUGGAUCCACCAUUGUUUGUACAAGAGACAUUCUUCCUUCUUUUUUUCCACGUAUAUACAUGAGGUUCGAGUCCAAAGCAGAGUUUUUGGCCAGACUAACAGCUUAUACUGGAUCCACCAUUGUUUCUGCGAGAUUCUUUUGCAUUCAAAAGAAGGAUACAUUGACUAUUGUUCGAGUAGCUUGGACUAAAAAUGUAAAGACUACUACUAUUUCACCUGAAGUCAUAUUGCCAGAUAUUGCAUCAGGGGGCUUCUGUGAAUCCAUCACUCCCUUGCAAAUUAAUCAAUUCAAGUAAAUUUCAGAGACUUCAGUAUUAGAUAAAAAAACAGAAAUAAUUUACCGAAAACGAACAUCAAAGGUUAGGAACAUACAGAAAUGACAAAGCCCCAGUUGGCCAUAGGACCCCAAAAGUGAGUUGUUUUAGGGCCAACAGGACUGUUCAAGAAUGCCCGGAAGUAACUCAUGAUUUUGUAAUUCAAUUGCCUCUGCAUAAAUUGAAGCAAACUUCAAACACUAACACAAACUAUAUUAAUUUAUAAAUCACAUUUAAAAUCAAUCCUAAAUUCCUAAUCAUUUUCCAAUUUACUGAUAAACAAACAGGGAACUUGCUCAUUUCCAAUAAAAUAAGAUUUAUUUCCUUCCAUGUGAAAAAAUUGAAUCUUUUCACUUAAUAAACAAACCUUUUUCCUAUAGUUCUCUUGAGAUACCUCAAAGUAAAAACAACAAAUCAAAUUUCCAUUUUCUCUUCCAUUCAUUACAACAAUAAAGAAUCAAAUUAUCACGAUCUUUAUUCCUUUUUACCUACAUCUUCCUCUAUCAACUCCAAUGCUCACACCCCAAUCAAAGGACGUGACCUAGUGGUUAGUAAAGUGGGUUGAGAACCCUAACGUUUCAGGUUCAAAUUCCUGCAUAAACAAAAAUAAUAGGUGAUUUCUUAUCAUCUAUCCUAACUUUUCACAGUUCAAAUUCCCAUAUAAACAAAAGUAAUAGGUGAUUUCUUUUCAUCUGUCCUAACGUUUCAGGUUCAAAUUCUAGCGGAAAAAAAAAUCUUUUCAUCUGUCAUAACAAUACAUCUGUUCUAGUUUUGAUUAACAAAGCUACCUACCUGAUGUUUUAAUAUUUCAAGUUCAAAUUCUGGUAAAAACAAUACAUCUAUUCUAGUUUUGAUUAACAAAGCUAUCUGAUGUUUAGCAACCGAUAAGUAUCUCGAGAAAUUAAUGGAUACCCGAACAUCAAUGAUAUCAUCAGAAAGGAACAAAAACCAGUCUAUAGCUACUAAUGUUACAACAGGACCUUACCUCGAAUACUGCGCAGAAAAAAGCUUCUGCGAUUGUUGAUGAAAUUGGGGAAAUGCAAAAUUAAAAUUUCAAUUUCUCUUUUAUGAGAAGUGUUGAAAUAAAUGUGGAUACUUUGUUGUUUUUCCAGAAAAGGAAUUGUGCCAUUAAUAGUAGCAGCAGCUAGGGCUCAUUAUGAAAGUGGUUUAGUUACGUGAACGAAUGGAAAAUUUAUUGUGAUUUUGAGUUGUUUCAUCACUUAGAAAUUUCACACUUCAAUAAUCUCGUGUAGAUAUACUUGAGACCCCAUCCUAUGCAAUGCCACCUAUGCACAAGUCAUUUUUUUUUUUUGAUAAAAAUUAAAUUUAUAGGAUUACAUGUAUAUUUACAAUAUUAAAUUAUACUCUUUUCGUCUAAUAAUACUUAUUCACUAUACUAAAAUAGAUGUCUAACAAUACUUGUUAAUUUUAUGAAAUUCAUAAAUAAUUUUAUAUUUAAUUCGUAAUUUACAUUAUAGUCAUUUUUAUAUUAUAUUCAAAUGGUGAUAUAAUAAAAUUACCUUCUAUUUAUAAAUUUAUAAGAGAUGUGUCAAGUUAAUAUAUUGUUGGAAAGGGAAGUAUAAUUUCUUAUUACUCUAAAUUGAAUUAUUACUAGUAAGGUGAGAGUGGAUUUCCCCCGACUCCUCAUUUGACUGACUACUUUAAUCUGCUUUGAAUGAUCCUAUCACUUUUCGAAAUAGUUUUUGGGAAGACGUCUCAAUUUGUGUUGAUUUAUUUUGAUGUGACAUGAACUAUGAAAAAAGAAAGAGAGUUUUGAAAUUUUACCGUCAGAUAUAGAUUUUUGUGUAGAUAUAAAUUACAUGCAGUUUCGGAGUUAAAAUUUGAUUUAAGGGGUGUCAAAAUAUAAAGAAAUAAAAUCGUGUAGAAGCCAAGGAGUGUCAAUACAUAAUAUAAAUAUAUAUGAAAAAAUAUUUUAAUUCUAGCUACACAAUGUAAUUUUUCGACAAAGGGGUGUCGGUCGACAUCCCCUGGUGGCUCGACAUUGUUAAAAUAAAGACAUGCGCCUUACGCCCAAAUUUAAGGGGCCUUAUUUUUAAUAAUAAGAGGUUAUAAGUUGUUAUUUUUAACAAAUAUUGAAUUGUAUUUGUAGAAAAAGUUAACUUUUCAUGAAAAAUGGAGGAAAUAUUAGAAGAAAUUUGACAUAUUUGAAGUAUUGUAUUUUAUGAAAAAUAAUUUAAAAUAAAAAUGAUUAUAUUAUUAAUUGAAAACUAAAACCCAUUUGAUUUUUGCUUUAGAUCACCAAUGUGCUUGAACCGCACCAGAACACCCCUCACGUGGCUCCGCCACUGACCACAUGGUUAGGUGAAAGUUGUUGAAUUUAGGCAUUGUGUGAGGAUUGAAAAAUUCAAAUCUACGUUGCAUUAUCUACCCGAAAAUAUGAACAAUGUGCGGUGCAUGGGGACAUAAAAGUAGUCACGGACCAUCUCUUGAAUAGUUGUUGAAAGGUGAGAAAUAUUCAUCAUCAAGAUGAAAAAGGACAUGCUGUCAUAAUUAACCUUAUAAAGUAUAUGUGACAAAAUAGUCCAACAGAAAAGUGAAAUUUAUUCCAAGAAAAUGAGGAAGUUUGGAUAGUAUAACAACGAUAUACUUAGUGUAAUUCCACAAGUGAAUCUAGGAAAGCUCGGACAGUAGUUGAUACAAAAUAACUGGUCUUUGGUCAAGCAUUUGUGUCUUUGGUGCUUAGCAUCUGCUUACAACUAUCCAUCCUCGGCCUUGGCCUCGGCCCAAUCAGCUGCAAUCUUCACAAAACUCCUCUUUGUUCCUGCUGAUACUCUGUUGCAGAUAUUUCUAAUCUUUGAUCAUCAAUUCCUGAUUCUGCUCUCUUCGUUUCCCCAUACAUUGGCCAAACUACAAACAACAUUAUGUAAAGUUAAAAACUUUUAUCUGAUUCUGCUAUGUGCUGCAUUACCUUCUUCAGCAAUAUGAAACAUGUUUUUUGGUUAUCAUCGCAUGCCUUAAAUCUACGCAGCAACUCAAUGAGCAAGUACCGUAAGUGCAACAUAGCUGAUACAAGUUCAAAUCACGUUCUAUUUCAAUUACAUUUCAUACGCAAUGGUAAUGCCAUCAGGGUAAGAGCUCCCAGAAACAUUUCCAAAAUUGAAAGAGAAACCAUACAAUGUGCAUUGUGAUGAAAUAAGAUGAAAUAUGCAGAGGUGCAUUUGUCCACAUACAUAUAGAUAAACUGUUUUUCUGAUCUAGGAAUUUUUUCCUUUUUGAGUUCCAUACAUGUAGAGUACAUUGAAGUUUAAGACAGAAGUGGGAUCGGCACAUGUAAAUAAUGCAACACUAAGUAUAGAGUCCAGAAACAAAGGCAUCAUCUCAACCUAGAAUUUCUUGCAAAGAUGAAAACAACAAAGCACAAACUGCAUCCAGACCAGAUAAGCAUAUUAUAAAUUAUAAACUAAUAAAAAAAAGCAAAUCUAGUUUUGAAGCAACAAGAGUUCGAUGUGUAUCUCAAACAUACAUCUUUAUAAUAAUAUUCUCAAAAGAAACCCUAAAGCAAUGUCAAAUUGCUAAGAACCAUUCAAAUAUUACAAUGCUGAAGUUGACCAUAAAGGCAAGCAGAUUUAAUGAACAAGUAUAUGCCAAUUAGCAAAUCAAGACAUCUACAUUAUAUAGCGUAACUUGUCUAACCUGCCAUCAUCUUUCCAAGACUCGGACAGAACAGGCACACUGAAGUAUAGCUAUCUUCAGCAAUUCGCAGAGCCGCAGAAUAGGACUACUCUUAGCCGAGUAAUUUGAAGUAGGGUGCAAAAUCACACAACAUAAUUCUAAUAUAUUCACGUUCGAAGUUGGUCAAUAACUUUCAAAAGGCUAUAGGACUCAGAAUCUGGCCUAGCCCCUCCAAGAAUCAUUCUUUUAAGAAGAUUUGGAUCAUAUACCUUCCCCUUAACAUACGCCUUGAUUAACGCAUUGUACACAAAGGUAUACCUAGUAUAAUUCGCUUUCUUCAGUUCUUCAAACAACUUUUCAGCAUUCUCUACAUCACCAUUAUCUGCAAAUAUUUCAAUUAUUGAAAGAGUAGUUUCCAACCAUGGAGUUGAUCUUUUCACCUUUAUGCUUGUUUUCAUAUCCAUCCCCAAUUGAAGAGUUUUGAUGGCCUCCUUAAUUAAUCCCGCUCUCAAGCAACCAAGAGCAAGAUGCCGAUAAGUAAUGGCAUUUGGCUUGCACCCACUUUUCUCCAUCUCCUUAUACAAUGCAGUGGCUUUGGUAAUAUGUCCAUGUCUACAAUAUACAGCUAUCAGCGAAUUGAACUGCUCAUUUGACUUCAAAGAAUUCCUUGAUUUCAUUGCGGACCACAGCUCUUCAGCUCGACAGAGAUCUCCAAUCCUACCAAAUGCUUCGAUCGCCAGGACAUAACUCUUAGACCUAACAUGGGAAAGCUCCAGAAUGACACCCCAUGUCCUCUCUAAAUCAUUCCGCUUUCCCAGAUAUCCAUAGAGUAUGACCAGAAUGUCCAAUGUAGACCAGUUUUGUCCAGUUGCAGAUUUCUCAAUAGCUUCAGUAUAGGUCUCACAAACUGUAUACAAUCUAGCCACAGCAUGUGCAUUGGCCAAUAUACAGUAAGAUACCUCAUUCGGUUCAACUUUUGCUCUCUUCAUGUCACUAAAAACUUUCAACAGGCCUUCAAUAUUGUGUUGAUUUGCUUCUAUCUUGAGCAGAAUAUUGAAGGUUGAAACAUGUGGAGUAACCUUAUCGGCUUUCAUCUGCGUCAAGAUUUUAGGAAUGAACUUCUUGCGGCUUGGGGAGGAAUGAAGAAUGAUGAGAUGAUUGAACACCAAAUAAGAUAUGGGAUGGUCCAGUUCUCUCAUUUUCUUCAUAUAUGCUAGUGAAAGCCUGAUCAGUCCUCUGUCCAAGCAUCCAAGUAUAAGAUUGUUGUAGAGCAACUCAUUUUGGAACUCAGACGGAAUUCGGGAGAAUAGACUUUCAGCUUGUGAUAUUCCAUGAAGCUUAGAAGUGAAUUCUACUAAAUAUGAGUAAUCUAGUUCCUUUGGUCUAUAUGGUCUCUCCCUUAUAACCCAUUCCAUCACCUGUGAAAAGCAUAGAUAUUGCUUAAUAUCACAAGUGAAGUUCUAAUGAGCACUAAAUUCUAUCUAUUUCAAUGAUAACCAAAUCUAACACUGAAACACUAGUGAAUACAGCUAGACUAAGAACCUAAAGAUUGUCAACAUCAACUAGUUAUGCUUGAUUAGGCAUUAUUAUAGGUAAGACUUGAAAAUGAGCUCAACAACAUAAUAGAGCAAAUUCAGUAUAUAUUUUUUGAGAAGGAAUAGAGGAAAUUCGUAUAUUGAAAAUGCCUGAAUAACUAAUAUGGAACAUAACACUCUGUACCAGCUUUACCUGAAACAUAACACUAGUAGUAGUACUACAUUCACUACUACUACCCUUAGAUAUCUUAUGUAAACAUGUAAAGUGCACCCUAGUGGUGUUCACAGUAGGUUGAAUACUUCAUGUACUUCAUAAUAGGUAAAUGCCCAUUUUCAAAUUUGGCAAGAAAGGACAGAGUAAAAGAACCUCAAGAGCACGCUUGUUCAAUUUGAGUUUGCGCAAACGAUUCAUAGUGUGGAAAAUGUCACCUCUAUGAAUAGGUAAACCAUCACCCAUCCAGCUUUGGAAAGUGGAUCCAAUGGACUCUCCUAUGGGUACACUUUCAAUUCUUUGACUUAAGCUGUUCCUUGUUGUCACCAUUCCCUGAUCUACCAACCUUUCUUCCUUUUCUGAUUCUGACUUCUCUGAAGUAAAAUUUGCAUCCGAUGUUUUCAAACAAUAAACUUGACAUGAAUGAAUAGUUUGUUUGGACAAAGAUAUAACAAUUGUUUGAUGAAUUGCACUAGUGAUCCUCUGUUUCCACAGAAUGGAUAUGAAGUUCAUUGUUGAUAUCAGAAACAAAACCAACUUUACUCAUCAGGACUGCUUAAGGAAAGAAUUGCCCUGAAAUUAUAUAUUCAGCAUCACUAGUCCACGGAAACCAUAAGAGUUAACCUGCCACAGCUUGAUUAACGAACAAAAAAAAGGAUUAUUAAAUUUCAAGGAGGUGAAGUUGCUAGAUCCCAUCCCACUUCAAACAUUACGUUUCAAUCACAUUGGCAUUUGAUUUUAACCAUAAAGUGAGAACCCCCUGCUAAAAAUAGCUUCUUUCUUGAUGGUUCCCAGGGGCAAUAGCUGACAGUGAUGGUCGUAGCAGGAACUGAAACAUUGAAAGGAAAAUGAGUUAUUCGAGGAAUACCUCAAGUAAUCACCAUCUAACCCUGUAAUAAUUACAUUCUUUCCAUCAAGAUCAGCAGCAUUGCAGAAAAAAACAUUAAGGUUAUCAAAGAACUGAGCUUCAUCAAUAUCGAUCACAUUCACCUAUCAAGAUUUGGAGUUCCUAGGAGAUAGAAACACAAACACACUCUACUGAGCUAAUGAAAGUUAAAAGCCAGUUGCAGGAUUCGUUCUGCCUAAUAUAAGUUCUUUUCUAACUACUGCUAUGUCUAUGUAUUAAAAAAACACAAAAAAAACUUUGACUCUCAAUUGUAUUUCAGUUCUCCUUCAUGCUUUCUCAUCAAAGUGACAUAGCAUACUAACACAUAUUGGAUCAUUUUAUCCUAAUAUGUACAUCACUGACACAAUCAACUGCACAUUUUUCUUCUUCUCAUGAAUUAAAGUACAAAAAGGAACCAUUUAAAAUCUCAUAAUUCAAAUUUGAAAAAGAAAAAAAAAAGUUGCAGCAACAGGAAAUUUUCACAACACCAAUGAAGUAUAAAUCCAGUAGCUAACUAAAAUCUCGUCUUUUUUUAUGAAAUUGCACAGAAAAUUGAAAAAGUAUUUAGAAACGUAGAGCAGCUGAGAAGUUAUGCCACUAAAAUCACAAGAAAAACUUACAGUUGGCCGCUGAAAUCACAGAGGAAAGAUAUGGAGAAGGUCUACAGAAGUGGAGGAUUCGGCUAUGUUUAGGGGAGAAAGAAGGAAAAAAGAGGAACGGUAAUUUAGGGGAGAAAAAUGACAAAAAUGGUCCAUAUGUUUGGGUUAGGUUCAAAAUAGCCCCUAAACUACACUCUAAUAUCAUUUUGGUCACUGUCUGUUUGAUAAAUUCAAGGGUGACAAUUGAACGGGUUGGGUCAAAGUUGGUUGGGUCAUAAUGGGUUAAGAUAAUAAUUGUGUUAAGAUUCAAACUAAUCCAAAUCAGCUUGGGUCAAAAUGAGUUACAUUACGGGUCAAGAUCCAAUUUAAUUCAUUUUUUUAUUAAGCUUAAUUGUUCUGUUUGUUCUUGUAAAUUAUUUUAGUUUCUAAUAAAAUUAUCUUUUUCUUUGUUAUUGCUAUAUACAACAUAUCAAAUUGAUUGAGAAAAAAAUUAAAAUAUAUUUUGAUAAGAUUUUUCAUGAGUCAAUUCUGAUUACAUAUCAAUUCAAUUUUUGAUGGGUUGAAAUAGAUUGGGUUAGGAUAGAUUGAACUAAUAAUGGGUGGAUCAACACCUGCCUAAACUUAAACAGAUUGAAAGAAUGGGAAGAAUUAGAUUUAAUUUUGCCACCCCUAGUAAAAUUUAAAUUCUGAGGAAAAAAAAAGAAUUUUAGCUGAGAACUCACAUCCGAGAGUUCUUCCUUUUUUUUUGCUAUUUCUAGUCUAUUUGCUUUUUUUUAAUGUACAAUAUAUAUUUUGUUUGGUACAUUAUAGUAUUUAAGUACUGUUUUUUGUGUUCAAUUUUUUAGGAUCGGAGGAGAUUUUUCUAGUGUUUAUAUAUUUUCCAUAGUUAUCUUAAAGAUAAAUCGGCAAAACUUUAAAAUAUUUGAUAGAGAUUAAAGAAAAAAAGUUCACUUAUGACAAAUUUCAGGAAGUAAUUUGAGUCUACCCCGAACAUAAGGGACCAUCUUUGUAUUUAUUUUUUUUUCUCUAGUCCAGGGCUUUUGUUAGUGAGGGUACUGUUGGACUUGUUUAAAAAACUAAAAGGGGAUUAAAAGGUGAUCAAUUCAUAACUAGAGCUAAAAUAAAUUACUUCAACUGUAAAUAAGCAUGAGCUAAAUUAUGCCAUUGAUUAAUCAAUCUCCCGUUCUCAGAGGUUAAGCCAAGAGCAGCAAGCUUUCAUGGCAGUACAUGAGGAUGCUUUGACCAAAGGAAGUGCGUCAAAUAGUGUUUACUCAGCUUUAACAUAGAAACCACAACAAAAUGAUCAAACCCUGGUUCAAAAAUGCUUCUAAGAAAACGGAAAAAGAAGAGGGGAAAAUGCAGAAAAAUGAUGAGUAAGGUCAUCUUCUACCACCAAAUUAUCAAGUUCCUUUUACGCAGAUAUUGGACGAAGCAAGGCUACAGUCAAGGUAUAAUAUAAGUGAUCACACUUCCAAUCUUUCUUCAUGAGCAAACUAUGGGGUAAACUUCUACAUUACCAUCCCACCAUCGAUAGUCAAAACCUGUAAAGGAAAUAGAUAUUCUUAAUAAAAGAUGUUUUAACAUGACGUAGCAAGAGAGAAGCUUUGGAUAAAUGACAGAUGAGGCCGCAUAAGAUGGAAGUUACCUGUCCAGUAAUAUAGCUGGCUGCGGGACUGAGUGCUAGGAAUUCCACUAGUCCAGCAACAUCUUCAGGUUGACCAUAGCGUCCUGUGUUAUGUGAAACCAAAGUGAGUCAAUAUAGUUAUUCUUUACCAGAACUCUUUUGUGCUUUAAUCUGAAAAAUAUAGAUAUGAACCAUAUUUCCUAAAAAAUUAAAUUGAAUAGUACUUACUUUUACUAGUUUAAUAAAUGAAAUCUUUUAUACAUAGCAAGUACAAAGUCUUUGAAAUGUUGGAUGCAUUGAAGAAGGGGAAACUACCUACUAUCAAGUUUCAAGCUCAGUUGAUGUUUUUCAGUUCCAACUUAGUUUUAUUCGUUUUAUAGAGUCAGAGUUUUCUAUUGAUACAAAUGAAAUUUGACAAUUGCAUCUGAUGUUGUCUUAUGCUACUUGGAGUACCUUUUCCUCGUCUUAGAGGUGCAGGGAACUCGUCACUAUGUUGAGAUAUAAACGCCACAAAAACUUUAAAAGACAUCUGCUCUUACCUAACGGAAUACUUUGUAAAAGUUUCUUUUCAAUGUCUUCACUUAGCUGGGCAGUCAUAUCUGAUGCAAUAAAUCCAGGGGCAAUAGCAUUAACCUGCAGAAAAGUAAAAUUCAGCAUAAAUAACCUAAUUAUGAGCCAUAAGAAGUCAUUAUAUCACCAAUGGGAAAAAUAAGAGAGACAACUCAUUAGUUUGUCCUCAUCAGAAAAAGUUCCUUGAUAAUAUGCUUUACCAAAUCCUUCGUAGCUAGCAUUAACGUAAACAAGCCAAGUGAUACAACGGAAUGACUAGGAGCACUUACAGUAAUAUUCCUGCUGGCAUAUUCUUUUGCAACACUCUUGGUUAAGCCAAUGACUCCUGCUUUAGCAGCACUAUAGUUGGCUUGCCCGGCAUUGCCAACUAAACCAACAACAGAAGAUAUGUUGAUGAUUCUUCCCUGAAAAGUGUAGACCAUGCCUAAAUAAAAUUCUGAAGUAUAUAAGGAACAGUAUAAAACUCCAUUGCAUUGCUUUCAUCUUAGUGAUCAAUUUUUUUUCAAGGAUCAGAAUAUAUCGCUAGAUAAACAUGAUGGGAACAGUCUUAUUAGUUGGCAUCUGGCACAACCUGGCUAUUUUAACAUACUCAAGGAUCAGUAAAUUUGUUUCUUGUUUUGUAAGAAUAACUAGUUCAUAUUCAUUGAAAAGGUAACUGUCAGCAAUAUAGCAGGUGACAGAAUCUGAGUAAAUGACACCAUCAACUGAAAUCCAUGGAACGGAAUAGCUGGAAACAGCUUCUGCGUCACAUCAAAACCCUUCCAUCAUAACCGAUUUCAAACACGACAAAUCCAAAUUCUGAAGCUGAAAUCAACUCAACUUUUGAUGCUUCAAACAAGAGAGAAAACUAAUUGACCUGACAAUCUUAUUGUAGCAUUAUGUUAUCUUUUAACACUAGGUGGGAAUAAAGUUAUAAGCUAUCUCCCUUCAACUAAUGUAUUUCUGUCCAUUUUCUUUCAAUCCAGAUAAGAGAAGUAUUUUGCCCAUGCCCUGUUUAAUCAAUGUAGUGCAAGUGUCACACAUAGCCAACCGGUCAUUGUGUUUUCAAUUCCUUUUUUGUUUUACUUUGACUAGCAUGCGAGUCCAAGAAACCAGGAAUGGAAAAUACAAUUUGGUUAUUCUACCCAAAGCUAGGGAUGACCCCUGCCCCACAUGGUUGUUCUAGUGAUAUUUCUUCCAUACAUAAAAUUUUGGAAAGGGCUAGUGUGGACGACCUCAAUGACCCACCAUGUGGUGUAGUCAUUGUUUAUAACUGCUGUAGAGUCCAUAGAGACAAAUGCACUUCUCUCUAUGCAACAGUUUCGGAACACUUGAACCUUACCAGACAAAUAAUAUUAUUUCUGAAGAUCAAGAGGUAGAUGGACAAAUUUACCUUUUUCUUUUUCAUCAUGAUUUUAGCUGCAGCCUGCAACAAGAAGAAAGAUCCCUUAUAAGAACCUUAUUUAAGAAAAAUACAUACAGGUUUUGGGAGGAGGGAUUGGGGGAGACAACCAAACUACCAAUUGAAACACAGCUAGCGUAUAGACCUGUGUGGAGAGAAAAACUCCUGUAAGAUUCAAAUCAAUAACCUCCUGCCACUGAGACUUCUUCAUUCUCAUCAACAAGGUAUCACGCGUGAUACCUGAAAAGAAGAAAAAGAGAACUACUGAUAGGGAAUUCUAAUAAAACUUGAUGCAAAACGGGAUGACUUUUGCUAGCCUGCAUAAAAAAAAUAUUGUUUCACUUGUAUAUAUGGGGUAAAAACAUGUUCCUCUCUAACUAGAAAGUUGCACAGAUUUUUGUUGGAUGCUUAAUGUCACAGCACAAAUGUGUUAACUUGUUGGUAUUAUCUUGGUGCAAAAUUGAUUAAAUGAUCUUUUUGACUUGUCGCAACAAAAUAAAGGUGGUAGCUAACCUGCAUUAUUGAUCAAGAUAUCAACUGUUCCCCAUCGAUCAACCACCUGCAGAUGUUAUACUUAUGAGGUGCAAUUCAGCUGGCAACAACUGUGAUAAGAUCCACCAUUAAUUAAUAUUACUAACAAAAGAGAGAGCUUACAGUUUUCAUCAUGGACUCUACAUCUUCUUCUUUUGAAACGUCGCCUCCAAAAGCCAAGGCUUCGCCACCACAUGCUUCAAUCUACAAAAUAUGACAUUCUUGAAUCACUCAGAAAAGAUCUUUUCUUUUUUCAAGGAGCAUGAGAGACAGCCUUAAGCAUGACCGUAUGACUUGUUCCCAGUUCCCACACCCAAGAAUAGAUAGCUGCUCGUUGAAGUAAUAACGGAAGUUUCAAAUCUAACAGCAAUCAAACAAUGGAUGGAAGACUGAGAUAAAAGCAGGUUUCGCUCCUUUACAAGACUGAGAUAAAACUAAAAUAAUCUAUGUUUGCCAACGUUUUGAGAUGGAACUUGCAUGAAGAUAAGUGAAACCAAACACAAAGUUUGAACCUAAACUUACACUUCUUGAUAGAUGAGGAUUAGCCAAGAGAAAACAUAAUUGUUUGAAAUGCGCAAGUAUAAAAUAUAUGCAGUAUAACUUCACCGAGCCAUUAUCAUAUAUAUAUCGACAACUUCAUCAAUCUUCCAUGGAAGAGUAUUACCAGCAAAGAUAAAUUCCUUUUGCUUUUACGGUUUCAGUACAAGCAAUCAGGUCAUUAACUAGCUUCUAUCUUAUCAGAAAAAUUCUAACAAAGAUGAGAGAGCAGAAUCAGUUUUCCAUGUUUGACCAAUUCUUUGAAUCAGAGAGGAAGACCUAGCUCUAUCUAUAAAAAUAGAAUAAAAUAAAAAGGCUACCAGACUGAAGUUCGAGACACAGUUCAUGUUUCAAGUAAUUAAAAUGAUAUUUUCAGUUGGGAAUGGAAGUAUCAGGGAUACUAAUAUAUACCAAAAACUAAACUAAAUUAUUACUAAAAAAAGGUACACAUACCUCUUUGGAAACUUCUUCUGCCUCCUUUGAAGAUCUGGCAUAGUUCACAAGGACCUGCCACCGAUAUUGAACUUUAUAUCAAGCAGGUAUGGGAAAAUUACAAAUUGAUGAACAGUAAUGCCCGUGUAUCAACCUAUGUCAGCUCAAGAACAUUAUUGGAAGCUUUCGGAAGAACUUAAAUCAACGGAAUUCACAUUUUUCAAAUGCCUGACUUCACGUAGUAAAGACUAAGCUAAAUAAGAAGAAGAUGUGGAGGAGGAGGAGGACCCGCUUCGCUUUCUACUCUGGCCCGUAUAAGCUUCUGCUUGUUAACGGCAAUUUCACCCAAAAACAAUAUAGAAUAACACAAACUAGUAUUGUUUUACACUUCAUCUGACACCUUUCAGGUAACUAAUUUAUUUUUCGCACAUUUGAAACUAUCCUAUUAAAGCCUUUUAUUCUCAAUUAAAAUUAUCCAUUAAACAUUUUACCUUAAGAUGAUAAACAGAGCAGUCAAAGGACAGAGAGAGUACUUCCCAUUGUUUCACUUUUAAACUAUGGCCAACGGAAACACAACUUGAGCAACUACCAUAGCACCUUAGAGCUGAUAAUGUUUUACAGUAAAGCCACAUAGGUCGCCAACACCAUAGUAUACAAAUGCAAGAGUGAAAUUAGAUAAGUUCUAGUAUUUAAAAAAUGGAACACAAUGCUGACCUUACAACCAGCCUUUCCCAAAGCCAACGCAAUUGCCUUCCCUAUUCCUCUAGAAGCUCCAGUGACAAUAACAACCGGAGCUUCAACUUUUGCAGCAGCCUUAACUCCAACUUGUUCAGUGGUUGUCACCUGAGCUCUCACACCUGAUCAUAUCACAAUCCCAUUAUACAUCUAUACAACUAAUUAUAAACAAAGGAACAUCUUUUUCUGAUUGAUAAAGGGUAUUGUAUUAAAAGCAGCAAAACUGCUCAUCACAAGUUGUGUUAUGAACUCAAAAAGUCAACCAUGGCUUAUGUAUCAUUUUAGCUAUUACCAAAAAAAAAAAACAGAUGAGAAAUGCAUCUGUCCUUUAAACUAAUUACAGAUUCCUUUUUGCUUUCAAAUAUUCUUGAAUUCCUUUCCUAUAAACAGAGGCCAGAAUCGAGUGUCCUAUUGUAUUUAUUUCUCAUCAGGCAAAAUGUCAAUAUACAUUUUUCUAAAAAGGAAUCGCACUCAAGAUUUAAAGUCAAUGAACACUAAGUAUCUAUAAUACAUACAACAUUUUUAGAAUUGGAAAGCAGUAAGCAGAGAAGGAUUAGAUCCGUCUCUACUACGAAUUGAAAGAUACCUGAAGAGGCGGAAGAAGACCAGCGGCACUGCAAGACAGAUGAUGGCUGAAUAGGAGAAGACGGAAGGCGGACAUGUGACAGCUGGCGACGGACGGAGGAGUUUGCGGCGGCGACGGAGGAUCGGAUUUUGGAGGUGGCGGCGACGGAAUUGAAGGUGAGAGUAGCCAUUGAACGGAGUAAAGUUGCCAGGUGUGUAAAUGGAUCAGUAGAGGGUGCAGAGUUAGAGUAGAGCGUAUUUAUUGUAAAAGUUCCGAUGAAAACAAUGUGCCAGCCUCUUUAGUCUUGUUCGUUUUAAACAAGAGAAGAAGAAAAAGCAAUUUGGGUACAAAUAUAGUGAAGUAAAAUGAUUACUUGUUAAUUUAGUUUUAAGCCUAUUAGGUAUAGGUUUGGUGAUUUGUUUUUAACCUAACACUCUGAUAUAUUGUAUAUUGUAUUUUCUAUUAUUUUAAUAAAUACAAAUUUCAAUAAAUUAUUGCACAUUCAUAAUUUGAACGAUAAACGUAUAAGAAAAGUAGAGUAUGAGCUAGAGUUGUAUCUAUUAUGAAAAUGUAGGACAAUAGAUGAAAUAUAAUUAUUAAAUAACAAAUAAAGACAAAUGAGAAGAAAAUGUUAAGGUAACGAUACGAUCACGCCAAAUUGAUUGUUACAUAAAAUGGGUCUCUUAGUUAUUACCUAGCUUUGGAUUUAAUCGAUACGAUUUAAUAGAAUAUAAGUAACUAUCAAAACAAAUAAUUUAUUUGAACAAACAAUACAAUACAAUGGCAACAACCAUCCAAACAAGGUAUAAGAGAUCAGUUAAUCAUUGGUUUAGAACUAAAUUAUUCAAUAACAACAUAUGCAACAUCAACUAUAUUACAUAAAUGAAAUUUGGAGAGGUGAUGUAUGAAUUAUGAGAGUUUAUUGUUUUCGAUAAACAUUUGACUCAAAUAAAACAUAUCAGGUAAAGCAAAUAUACUAGGGAGAAAUCAAUUUUGUGUUAAAAAUCAACAUAAUUAAAAUAGUACUAAGUAUUUAGUUCUCAAGUAUAAUAUUUAGCGUAUAACAUUCGUUAUCAAUUUAUAAUCUUGCAUAAUAAUAUAGUCCGGAGGCUAAAGGGUAAAAAUUAUUGACAAAGAUUUCAAAGGGUAUAUCAAAAAACUUUUUAAUCAAAAUGCUAAAAUCGCUACUGAUUUAGUGAUUUAUUUGGCCGGCAUUAAGACAACAGCGAUUUGCACAAUUUAUUUUUUUAAGGCAAAAGUAUUUACUAUCCCUGAACUUGAAGCUUUUUAUUCAAUGUACACCUAAAUUUUAUUUUGUUUCAAUUACCCCCUUGAACUUGCUUAUUCAUCCUACAGGUACACCUUUUCCGUUCACCUGGCAUAGAAACUGAAAUCAAACUCUAGACGGCGCGUGAGACAGCAAUUUUUGCUACAUCAUAAAGUUACAACGGUAAUAUAAGUAAAAAUCUAUUUUUUCUUUAAUAUUUGGGUUAUUUUAAGAUUUUUUUCUCUCUCUAUUCUCUACCUAUUUAUUCUUCUUUUCUCCCUUUUCAAAUUUCAGAUUUUUCUCACUUUUUUUGUUUUAAUUGUUAUUGCUAAAUUCAUGAACAAUAACAGGAGACUUGUUUGUUUAUGUGGGGCUCCUCCAAUUUUGAAAAUUUCAUGGACAAAUGACAAUCCCGGACGUAGAUUUUUCGGUUGUAGACACUAUGGGGUAUGUAUUGUUACUCCUUUUUUGCUUUUUAUUUGACACUAUGGGGUAUGUAUUGUUACUCCUUCUUCAGAAAAUUUUUCAUCUUUCUUUAAACUAAACCUCUGAACAAAGUGUUAAAAGAAAUGAAAAGCAGGCCAUAAACCUCUCCAUUGUCGCACUCGAAGCAUGAAUCUUGAUACACAAUAACAACAAGAAUGGGCAAAAUAUAAGUUUCCUUUGAUAAGGGGUUUCAAGUCAACAUCCAAGAACUUGUCAAAUCAAAUCCAUACUCAAAUUAGUCGUCACCCAUUAAAGUUUGCUUUAUAGUAACAAGAACCCAGUCAGCAAAUUCAAAUCUUGAAUCACAACAAAAAAAAUUCAAAUACUCAUAUAUACACGCACAUGUACUAUGUCAGUAAGACAAAAAUUUUGUCUACACACACAAAAAAUAAAAGAAACAGUGAAGAAUCUGCAAAAAGUUGUUCUGUUCUAAACUUAGCAAAUAAGAAGAAGACUAAAUCAAGAAAAGGGGUACAAGAAUGCAAGAAAAGAUGUAGGAUUGCGUGAAGAGAGAGAAAGAUUGAAGCUUGUUACUGGAUACAAGAAGAAUGACAAAUUGUAUACUCCUAGUCGUGUACUAAUUAAAAGCCAAAAGGGGGUUCUAUAAGUGGUGAGUUUGGGAAAAGAGAGAGGCCAAAAGACAGCAAAGACCAACAAGUGGGAGUUGGCUCAUGAUAAUCUAGGUGGCAAAUUAUUUAUCUAGGUGGUAAAAUAUUUAUCUACGUGUCAUGCGCGUGUAGACACGAUCAUAUUGAGUGGACGGAAAAGGUGUACGUGUAGGAUGAAUAAGCAAGUUCGGGGGGGUAAUUGAAACAAAAUAAAGUUUAGGUGUACAUUGAAUAAAAAGCUUCAAGUUCAAGGGGGUGAUGAAUACUUUUGCCUUUUUUUAAUUUGAAAUCGCAACCUCGUCAGCAAUUUUAUUUUAUUUUUUAAAAAAAUAUUUUUUUAACAAAUCGCUGCCAGGGCAGCGAUUUACUUCAAAAAAUAAUACAAAAACUUUUUAAGUAAUCGCUGCACAAGCAACGACUUACAAUUUUAAAAAAAUCAUUAAAAAAAUGUUGCCUUGACAACGAUUUGUUAAAAAAAAAACUUUUAAAAAAAAAAUAACAAAAAACGCUGACGAGGUAGCGAUUUCAAAUUAAAAAAUAAAUUGUACAAAUCGCUGCAAGAGUAGCAAUUUUUCUUUAACGCCGGCCAAAUAAAUCGCUACAUCAGUAGAAAUUUUACCGUUUUGGUUAAAAAGUUUUUUGAUAUACCCUUUUAAAAAUUUUGUCAAUAUUUUUUUACCAUUUAGACUCCAAACUCCAUAAUAAUACAUACAAGUAUAAAUUAUGAGAACUCCUACUUUGUUAUGCUAGAGAUUAGAGGUAUCAAAUAAGUGCAUGGGGUUAAGGGCCCGUUUGGAUGGGCUUAAUAAAAGCAGCUUUAAAAAAGUACUUUUGAAUGCUGAAACUUAUUUUUAAAAUAAGCAGUUAUGCGUUUGGAUAAAAGUGCUGAAGUUGUUAUGUCAAACGUGAAAAGGAAAAAAUAGAAGAAAGAGAUGUUAGGGUUAUAUGGGUAAUUUGGAGAUUGUAUAAAAAUAUUAAGGGAAAAAACAUAAAAAUGUGAUCAACUUAAAACAGCUUAUAAGCUAAAAAAAAAAGCACCCCUACCCCAGCUUUUAACUUUUGGCUUAAAAUAAGUUUUUUUUAACUUAAAAUAAGCUAUUUUAAGUAUUGCCAAACAGUUAAAUAAGUCAAAAAUCAACUUUUAAGCUGAGCUAAACAGGCUCUAAAUUCGAGCAGAGUGAACAAGUUAUUAAACCUUCUAAAAGAUAUUUGAAUUGAAAUGUGGGUCAUAACAAUAACAAACUAAUUCUUAAUAAUUAUUUUAUUUGUUCUUUAAUAAAUUUUUAGUACCUAAGAAAAAAAUCUUUUUUAAUGAUUAUAUAUAACAUACCAAAUUUUAGAAAAUACUUUUUCAAAAAUAUAUUGAUAAAAUUUUUUAUGAAUUACUUAGGUUAAAAUUAAUAAACUCGAUUGCUCGAAUAAAUGGACGGAUUGCUUGAACCUAUUGGGCUGGAUUUUGACACUCCUCGUCACUGUUGUAUAGGACCCCGCAGUUGCAAGAACAUCAGGGAAGUGAACCAUCAAGGGACAUAAAGGGGGAUACUCUUUAAUCUAAUCCUUCUAGUAUGAGAGGAAGUCAUUGGUAUUUCAUUUUUCAUCGCUACUCUUUAUCAUUUUUGAGCUGUGAGUGUAUUCAGAAAUCUCUUCACCUUUCAAUAUAGAGGGUAAGUUUUUGUACACAUUAUUUUCUCUAGACUCCAUUGAAUCUAUCCCACGUGUAGUAUUUGUUGUUGUACUCCCGUCAUGAAAUCUCCCUCCUUGAUUUCUUUCUACAUGAGCAUUUUGUAUUUAUACUAACAAUAGAAUACAAUGGAUAACAAUCAUCUGAACAAGGUGUAAGAGAUCAAUUGGUCGCUGGUUUAGAACUACAUUGUUCAAUAGCUACAUAUGCAACAUAAACUAAUUUUACAUAAAUGAAAUUUAGAGAGAUAAUGUAUGUAUUAUAAAAGUUUGUUGUUAUCAUUAAACAUUUGGUUCAAGUAAAACAUAUCAGGUAAAAAAAAAUAUAAUAGUGAAAAAUUAUUUUUGUGUUAAAUACAACAUACAUAUUUAGUAAUGUAUAAAAUUUAUCACAUUAAAUAUAACACUUGUUAUCAAUGUACAAUCUCACAUAAUAAUAUAUGUAUAAAUUAUGAUAAUUCCUAGCUCUAUCACAAUUAGAGGUGUCAAAUGAGCGUGUUGGACUAAAUUUGAGUGAUAAAAAAGGCGAGUUAUUAAGCCAUCCAAAAGAUAUUUGGACUGAAAUACAGGUCAUAACACACGUCUAAUUCUUAAUAACUUGAAUUGCUUCAUUUGUUCUUUUUAAAAAUUUUAAACCUAAUAAAAAAAUCUUUUUUGAUAAUUAUAUAUAACAUACCAAUUCUUUUUAGUAUGUGUAAAGGACGGAUCAAUUGAGCCUAUUGGGCGGGAUUCUGACACCCCUCACUGGUGUAAAGGACUCGACAGUUGCAAGAACACCAAGCAAGUAUACCAUCAAGGGUCACAGAGCGGCAUAUUCUUAAUCCUUCUAGUACGAGAGUAGGCGUUUGUACUUUUAUUUUCAAAUUAUCCUUGAGCCAAGAGUUUAUCAAAUCCAAUAGAAUUUAAUUCAUUGUUCUUUUCAAAUCUCUCCUCCAACACACACACCACCGCGUAUGGUAUAUGUUGUUGUAGUUCCGUCAUUAGAUCUCCCUACUUUGUUUCUUUCAAAAUGAGCACUUUGUUUUCUUGCUCUUUUCCUUUGUAAGGUGGAAUCCUUCCUGCCAUUGCAAAUUCCGUAGGCAUCAAACAGAAAGUGAAGAUAUAAGCUUUAGUGAUAUCUACUUUUCUCAAUAUCACUUUCAUCAAGCACCAGGCUGUGACCCCGUCGUACCACCUUAUAAUUGGCUUUUUGAAGGCUCUGAAAGGCACCUGACAAGCCCUUUAUUACAAUAGGCCCAGUUCCCUCUUUGUUUUUAUCAUCCUUCCUUUUUGUGGUUGAUUUUGUGGGGGAGGGAGGAAGGUGGCAGUGAGAAAGAUAAGUGCGGGUCCAACGUUAUUAUACAUUGAUAGCAAGACAAAACAACAUAUCCAGACAGUUUUGCAGACACAUUUGAAAAUUGGGGAAAACAACAAUCCAACAAGAGACCCCAAAUGAAAAUACAAUAGUAAACAGACAGCCACCUCCAAACUCGUCAAACAGCUUCUCAUUUUACUUUAUUCUAAAGCUUUUUUCCUCUUCUAAAUAUGCUCAGUAACGCACCAUCAUACUCGGAACUGCCACUUUACUGGACUGAUGCCAUGUGCUUAAUCAAGUCGACCACUCGUGUGCUGCAACCACAGCAAGGAAAAACAUUAGCAGCAGAUCACAAACCAUUUAAGAGCUGAAUAACAAAGUUCUUGUAAAGGAGAAUGCUAAAAGAUGGGUCGACAGCAGCUCUAAAUACAAAGAGAAGUAAAUUUUUAAGAUUUACCUGUAGCCCAUUUCGUUGUCAUACCAAGAAACAAGCUUCACAAAGUUCUUGCUCAAAGCAAUUCCAGCCUUGGCGUCAAAGAUACUUGAUCUGCAAAUUAUUUUCAUUUGAAUUACAAAUUAACACUUAGGCUGUCUAGUCUGGUUCACGCAGGGUCGGUUAACAAAGGAAUAGGAAUUUACAGGGAAAAUGCAUUGGCAGAAGCAAUAGACAUUUGUUGUUGUGAGUCAGACAUAAUAUGGAACAUAACUUCGAAAUACAUCCUCACCUGUUGUCCCCAAGAAAGUCUGUAGAUACCACGUCAUCUUCAGUGUAUCCAAGAAUUCCCUUUAAUUUUCCUUCAGACUCCUCCCUAAUGAAAUGCCAAAGCAAAAAAAAAAGCAUAUUAAUGUAAAUGAGCAGCUAUUAAAACAAGUUGAGUAGCCCUAGGGCCUUUUCUACUAUUUCACCCAGCACUAUGACUCCUUUUUUUGCAUGUAUUUUGCAUCCAUGGAAACCUGUAGUCUAAUACUAGCCAGAACUGAAUGAAGCACAGAACUUUUGUAUUUCUUACAGGGAAGGGGGGAAGGGGAAGGGGAAGGGGAAUGGGAAUGGGUAAAGGAAUAAAGUGCACAGUCUUACUUGAUAGCAGCCUUGAUUUCAUCAUAGGUGGCUUCUUUCUCCAACCUCACAGUGAGAUCAACCACAGAGACAUCGACUGUUGGAACUCGGAAAGACAUUCCUGUUAACUUUCCAUUCAAUGAUGGUAGCACCUUUCCAACAGCCUUUGCAGCUCCAGUGCUGCUGGGGAUAAUGUUGAAUGAUGCAGCUCUUCCUCCCCUCCAGUCCUUAGCUGAUGGUCCAUCAACAGUUUUCUGGGUGGCUGUUAUAAAAUAAUUACUUAGUACUCAAGCUACAGAAGCUGUAUUAACUUCUAAUGCAUAAAGCAAUACUUACCAGUUAUGGAGUGAACUGUAGUCAUAAGACCCUCAACGAUUCCAAACCUGUCAUGAAUAACCUGCAAAGUCAUAAAAGAAAUCAUUUAAAUUCACAUAUAGGCUCAAAUACUAAAAUGAAGAACAGGGCAAAAGAAAAAAAAGGGAACCUUUGCCAGAGGUGCAAGGCAGUUAGUAGUACAGCUAGCAUUAGAAACGAUGUUGAGGUCUGGCUUGUAUUCCUUUUCAUUGACACCAACAACAAACAUAGGUGCAUCCUUGCUAGGAGCAGAAAUAACUACUUUCUUAGCACCACCCUGGUAAUAACAACAACCAAAAAAAUUUAAGCAGGUACUCAACACCAACUAUUCAAUGCAGGUAAUCAAGCUAAUGUGCAAGGAAAUACGUGAUAACCAUAUCAAUCCAAGUAGUCAACACCCAAACAUCAUCGCAUUAGCAUCAAUUUACAUUUUAAAAAAAACUAAUAUAGAGACAAUACAAACAGCGUACUGCAACACCUAGACUCCUGUCGAGAAAAUACAUAGAGAAGUUUUAAAUUGCUUUCAAGAUGACAGCAUACUCUGUCCUUAAGUUUCCACAGAAGUUUGAUUAGACAGGAGAAGAAAACAAAAGUACAUGAGUAAAGCCUCAGAAUAGCACCUUCACUAACAAAUGCAUACAUAAACAUGUACAAAAGAAAAAAUGCAAACAAAGUUCGCUACAUGGUUUCAGGCACCAAGUGUUCAGGCCAUGGGGGAUUAUAUGUUGGAGUGUCAAACUAUGUACUUUGAAAAAUCAAUAUUAGCUACAAACAGUAAGCCAAAAUAAGAACGCUCUAGUUAUUUAGGAUCACAAACCUUCAAGUGGGCAGCAGCCUUGUCUUUAUCAGUGAAGACUCCAGUUGACUCCACGAUGUACUCUGCUCCAGCCUCAGCCCAUGGGAUUUCCUCUGGGUUUCUUCAGACAUCCAUACAAUAAGUCCAAUCAAGAGAAAUUCUAAUGCAGUUUUUCAUAUAAUAAAGAAAAGUUGGAGACAUAAUUUACCUUAUGCCAAAUACAGUAACAGGCUUCUCACCAAAGAGAAGAGUCUUCUCAUCCUUAACCUUGAGCUCAUUGUUCUUCCAUUGACCGUGAACACUGUCAUACUUAAACAUGUAUGUCUGCAACAAGCAUCAUAUACAAUACCCAUCAACUUAACCCCUCAAAUAAUAACAGUAAACUUACACAUGACCAUGUAUGUCUGCAACAAUCAUCAUAUACAAUCCCCAUCGACUUAAAGCCCCAGAAAACAACAGAUCUACUGAUAUUGUUACUACUGAAUAUCACUAUGUGAAUUUCGCAAAGCAUAAAUAAAGGAAAAGUGCUGUCUUUGACCCAACACUUCUGGAAAGUGAAGAACUAAGAAACAGCCAAAGAAAAAAGAAUUACAGGGUCAAAAACAACCCUUUUUUAAUGACUGAGGUGCACUGAUCAUCAAAAACAGACUUAAAAGUAUCCCAAUUUUUUGAGAUUCCUACCUGAACUAUCAUGUGUGAUUUUCCUACUCGAACUAUCACCAAACAUUUAUCGAAACACACCAGAACUAUGAGUAGUUCACUUUUCCCACCUGAAAUUUCAGGUAUGAAACUCAAACAAUGAUAGUUCAUGUGUUUUGAUAACAUUUUGUAAUAGCUUCCGACACGCUGUGAAUUUCCUACUUGAACUUUCACCAAAUGUUUAUCGAAACACACCUGAACUAUGAGUUCACUUUUCCUACCUGAAAUUUCAGGUAUUUAACUCAACAAUGAUAGUUCAUGUGUGUUUUGAUAACAGUUUGUGAAACACACACAUGAUAGUUCCGAUAGAAAACUCAAAAAACUUGGACACAUUUAAGUGUAUUUUGUACCGUUAACUCAUAAAAAAUCAUGGUAAUUAACUAUAACAUGUGAAAAUAGUCUAAUUAUGAUAAAAUUGUCUAAAUACUACAAUUUUAUGAACUAAAUGAACUAAAACAUAUAAUCAACCCAAACUAAACUGACAUUAAAGCUUAAUUCAUAGUUCAUAAACUAUCAUUAAUUGCCAUGUUACCAUGUAUUCCACGGUGAUGAAGGGAUCGUUAACAGCAACGAGCUCAACAUCAUCUCUUUGUAGAGCCACCCUGGCCACCAAUCGGCCAAUUCUUCCAAAACCUACAAACAAAACAACAUUCGAAACCGAUCUUAGCCAAAACCAAAAAGUAAUUUCAUGAAAAUUCAGAAAAACACACUAAAUUAACAAAUUCACGAGACAAAAACAACAGAUUAUAUACCAUUGAUUCCGAUCUUAAUCUUGCCUGCAAAAAAUUACAAAAGAAGAUAUGGAAAAAAUGGAAUUAGUUAAAGCCCGUGAAGUAUAACGUAUGAUGAUACAUGCAGAAAAAGAAAUUGAAGAACAAGUAAAGAAAGGAUAACUGAUGAUAUACCCAUGAUUUUUUUUUGUGAACUGAGAAGGAAAAUGGAGUUCGUUUUAAUUGGAGAGGUUUUUGUGAAAUGAAGUGGAAAGGCGUGAAAGGGUUUAAUAGAAGUGGCUAGUAAUGGGAGACCGGGGGAGCCGGUAAGUAAUGCGAUUUCACAUUAUUGAUUUUCUCAAUUCUAACUAAUGGAAUAUUUUAGACGACGAAAGGCUCAAAUUUGAAAUUUCGGAUCAUUUGUUAUUAAUUUAAUUUUUUCAUUUUAUUUUUUUAAUUCUGAUUUUAUAAAAUUAUUUUUUACAUUUCAAACAAUUUUUAAUAUUAUUCACUUGAAGUUUUUUGGAUUAAAUAUACUCUUUCGCUUCUUCUUCCUUUAGGGACACAAAAAAACAAACAAAGAACAGUAAUAAAAAUUUUAUUUUUUUUAAAUAUUUAUGAAAUAACUUUAAAUAUUAAAAGUAAUUUUUCUCCAAACAAGAUAUCAAAUGGUUUUGCAAAAUUAAAGUUAUAAAAUAAUAUGGAUAAGUCUUUUUUUAUCAGCAAUGAUAUAAAUGGGCGAAACUUUUAAAGAAAAACAUAAAUAAACUCUUUUUUUAUUAAUGUCCGAUGACAUUAAAUAAACAACCUUCUAAGAAUAACAAUUAGACUAGUAUUUAUUGAGAUGUGUUUUAUGCAUAUUUUAAUGGGUGUCAGAACAUAAAAAUACAUAAUUUGAAAAAAAAUAAAAAUAUUAUUUUAAAAUGUAAAUUAUGUUUUGAUUUAUGUAUAUAAAGUGAAGUUAUUUUUAAAAUUUUAGAAAACAAAUUUAAAUUUAAAAUAUUUUUCGUUUAAAAAAAAAAACCUUCAAUAUCCAACUUUCAGCAAGAGAAAAAAAAUCCUAACAUAAAUAUUUUAAAAUUAAAAUAUGUAUAAUGAAAAGUUUAAACGGGGAACCGGGAGUUGAGGUGACAGUACGGAUGGUAAGUUGUAGAAGGAAGGCGAAAAUCUAGCUUUUUAUCCGCCUAUGUGAUCACGGAAUUUGAAAAAAAGAGAAUUUUCUAGAAGAGAAGAAAAAAAAAUUGGAAAAGUAAAGAAAAAAUGUGUGGGUGCUGUGCGUUGGGAGUGGUUAGGUGCCCCACGAUGGCAAAGUUGAAAACAGACUCCCACUCACUCAAUCUCCUGCCCCUUGAUUUGUGCGUCCAUCCAACUACAUCUAAGGCCAACUCAUACACACAAAUUUGAUGACAAUCCGAAAAAAUAUUAUUGGGUUAAUAGAUUUUUAAUAAUUUUAUAAAAAUAUAUUAUUGGAUUAUUGAUUCUAUAUUGAAUAUUAGUAAUUGGUUAUUGAGUACAUCGAUAAUUAUUUAUUAUGUUUUUUAUAAAUAUUAACAAUUUAACAUAUCUAAACACUAUAUUAAUAUUCUACACUAUCGUCUACACACUUUACAUGUCAUAGUAAUUCUAUUUCACAUUUAAAAAAUCAUAUUAUGUUUUGGUUGCAACAUGUUAUUGUUAGCCUUCAUGCUACAUCUAAUUUUAUUGAUGUAAUUUCUCAUUCUAUUUCUUGUUUCACUGUAUCAAAACAUUUAAAACUAGUUUGCUUGUCUCACUAUAUCAUACCAAAUUGUUGGAGAAGUGGUAAAUCAUAUUUUUAUUUUAUGAGCAAUUUUUAACUGGAUAAAUCGAAAACAGAACCGUUAAUGAUGAAAACCAAUAAAUCGAAAAUCAAUAAAGAAUAUCUUAUUGAUUUGUUAUUUGUUUAGUUUAUUUAUAAAUCAAAAAAUUGAUGAAUCGAACCGCUAAUACAUAAAAUCGAACCAUCUAACCAAUGCACACCCUAGUAAGAAGAGCCCGUACAAAUUAUUCCAUCUGUUCCUUUUUAUAUCAUCCUUAUUAUAAAUAUUUGAUUCAUAAUAUCUAUCAUUUCAUAAAAUAAAUGUAUAAAUAAUAGUAAUAUUUUUUCCUAUUUUAUCUUUGUGUGUUAUUAGUAUGGAAAAUAUACAUUUGACCAACAUAGAAAAAAUUAAAUGAAUAAUUCAUGUUUAUUGGUCAAAUUAAUUAAUUAAAAUAAAUUGAUUCUUAAUCAUUAAUUGAAAACUUGACUUCCAAAAAAAUUAAACAAAGUUGAAAAGGUGAACUUCUUUAGUUUCAUAAUGCAUGUAAAAUCUAAAACGGUAACAUAAAUUCCAUACGUUUAAAAAAGAAUGAUCAUAUUUUCUUUUUAAUCUGUUUCAAAAAGAAUGAUUCCUUUCUAUUUUUGGCAACACUUUAAAUUUAAUUUUCCACGUGACAUGUUUAAGACUAUAAGAUUAAAAGACAUUUUUGUACAUUUAACAUAACUUUAAUUUAAAAUCACAACAUUAAAAAAUUUUCUUUCUUUUCUUAAACUUCGUUCCAAGUCAAAUUAGGUCAUCCUUUUUUAAACGGAGAGAACAAAUAGAAAGUGAGGGAAUAUGUAUUAUUGAUUUAAAUAUAAUCAUGAGUUCACCUGGUGAUGAGUGGUUCAGUCAACCCUAAUCUCGAUUCCUCUGUUAGAAAAUUUUGAUUUUGAGAUCAUUCCCGAUGCGCAAAUCGAAGGGGACGGCGGCCUAACCCAGAAAGGGGAAAAAGAAAACAACUCUAUGCCAUAGUCAAAUGACAUCUUAAGAUAUUGUGUUUCUCAAGAAGCAUCUGUCUUUUGAAAGUCCAAAAAGAGGAAGAUUUUUUCGUAUUGUACAAUAUUUUCUAUUACGAAUUUGGAUACGACUCAGGCUUUGAAUACUGUGUGGAAAAUAAAAAUAAAAAACUCAUAUGGACAAUUUCUACACCUUUAGGUUUAUUUUUUCGUAGUUUAACAUUAAAUUUGACCAUUUUCACUUGUUAAAUAAAAUGGUUCACGUGUUAGAAAAUUUAUAUUACAAGUUAAUUAGGACAUUUCUAGGUCAAAUUAGUAACAAUAACGAUAUGUUUCAUCUCAAGUAGUAAAAUAAAAAUAAAGAAACCAAACUAGAUAAAAUUUAAAUCAUUUCAUAAAGUUUUGAAGGGGAAAAAUGACAAAUAUGAACUAAUGUAAAUAGUAUGUAGAUACUCUCCAUUAUACUUUAAGAUAUUAGUGUAUUUGUCGUUUUAAAACUAGAACAUAUAUACCCUUUUCACAAAUAUAAAUACACAUAUCAUAAUUUUUUAUCCACCGAUCCGACAUUUAUCAAAUAUCAUAUUAACGGAUAGGAUUGUGCCAUGUGUCCCUAUUUAGCCUUCUGUUAAAGUGAAGGGAAUAUAUGCACUAGUUCUUGGACGACAGGAACACCUAUAUCCCAAAAAUAUAAUAACGGAUAUCUGCAUACCAUUUACGAUAAUUCGAAACGUAUUCAUACUUUUUUCUCAAAUGCAAAUUUAGACUUUCCUGGGCCUAAAGGUUUUCAAACUUGAUUGGUUUUGGUCCGGGAUGCAACACAGCCCAUAACGAUCUAUUGAAAAUGGCUUUUCCCCCACCACCAUUGGAUCAUAGGCCCAAAACUCUUGCUUGGUUUGAUUGAAUCAUCAGGCUCCAACACAUAACGUACAGAAACUUAAAUAAUCGGAAAACCAAAUAUAUACUAGUUAAUUACUUAUUUCAUCAAACAUAAUUUGAAGAAACUACUUUUUGUCACUAACAUAUAAUCAUACUUACGUGGGUCAUGCUCAGAAUUUGUAUAAUUCGAUUCGUAAUUGUAUAAACCCAUAAUUUGUAUAUGAUUACCCUAGCUAUUUAUAUACAGUUUCUUUAUCUUGUUCGUAUAUUACUUGAUACAUUUGAUUUGUAUAAAUUAUGAAAAAUUCUUAAAUGUAUAAAUAUAGAAUUUGUAUAUUGACAAGCGAAAUAUCAAACGAAAAUACCAAUAACAAAUGAAACUAUAACUAUAAAGCGUAAUUAGGUUAACUAUAACUGAUGAAACUUAUUAAAUAUAAUCUCUUUACAUUUCCUCCAAAAUAAUUUAACUACCAGGAGAAUAUGACAAAAUCCAGUUUUCAUGAUAGGACAAUAUCCUUGCCAACUUCCUGUAUGAAUCUUACUUGUCUCUUGUAAACCAAAUAGGAGUACAAGUUUAGUAAAACAUUUCAUGCAUAAAUUAAAAAAAAUUGCAAAAAAUUAUUAAAUUCACGUGAAUUCAUAAAUUACAUGUUAGAUCUGUGAUCUGCCUUAGCACAUGAUCUCAUUUCUAAGUGUUAAAAUAUAUGGAAAACAAUUGAGUGGUACUAACUUUAGGAAUAAAAAUAUCCUAUCAAUCAUCAUCAAGAUUUAUAAGGGGCAGAUGAGAAACAAUAGUUGUUGAGAAAAUGGCCAACAACCCAUUUUCUUGAACCAUGACCCAAGAAUAAUGGGCUCAUGCACUCAAACCCCAUUCCUUGUCUCUCUUUCACAUGCAACAAAACAAUUUGGUCCUCCAUGUUUUAUACAUUUAAUUUGUCUUUACAUUAUUUAUGACCAUAUUUGACGUGUAAAUAUACAUAGAAUCUAGUCACCAAACCAAGGGUCAUAUGAAGUGGUAACUAAUAAGUGGUAAGUAUUUCGUCAUGCUUGAUCAGAGUUUUUAAAUUUGAGUUUUUUUAAUAGAAAAUGACCUUUAUUAAAGAGUGUUUUACCGCAUAAUGCUAGACUUUCAGGCACGAAUCUGAUACAUAAAUUUGUUAGAAAACAAAAACUUCAACUAUGUUUAAUUGUUUUUGUUAUGUGUGCAGAGAUAUCAUCAUAUGCAUUUCAUUUUCAUUGAAGAAAAACUUGGACAUGAAGAAGAGGCUCAACUUAAUUAGGAUAAGGACGAGGAUGAAGAAAUAGUGGAACAUGCCCACAUGCCCUUGCACAUGAUAUUUCAAAAACUACUUGCAGAACAAAAAUAAUUAGAAUUUUUUUAAAAAUAAAUGAAAGAGAGUUAAAUGUAGGAUUUUUUUUAUAAUAUACGAGUAAUAAAUAUAUGCUAAUCACAUCAUCAUACACACCACAUUUUUUUUUACUUUUAAAAAGUAAACUGACUUUGUGUGUUUGUUUCCAUGCAUGAAGUAAGGGCAUGUAAUUAGUUCUAUACAAUGUAUUGUAUAUUUAUACGGUAGUUCUUGUUAAAAAUAGAUGUUUUUUAAAUCGUUUGAUAAAAUCAAUGUAUAAAUGACAUUCUUUUUAUUUUAUUUUUUAAUGAUCAAUAUAAGAAAUUAAAUGAUUAAUCAAUAUAAUUAAUUAAAAUAAAUUAAUUUAUGUUCAUUUAUUGAAAACUUGAGUUCAAAAGAAUACUAAAUAAGGAAUAAUGAUUAACCUACAUAAUUUAUUAAGAGACGUAAAAUUUAAAAUAAUAAUGAUAUAUAAAUAAGAACGGAGGUAGUAUAUUAUAUCGAUAUCCUGCUAAAGCCAAAAGUCUUGCUAUCCAAAAAUUGAAACGAUCGAUGUGUAUUUGUUUUUUAAAUACAUGUACAUUGUACUUAUAUUGAAAUAUUUUCCCAAUUGGAUGAAUCUCAUCGAUCCACCUUUCUGCUUUCAUCGACUAAAAUAAUUGAAUCUAUUGUUUCCCAACUCACGUGGCGUACUUUGACUGAAAAAUACUUGUCUAUUUAUUUCUAGUUUUGAAUUUUGUAAAAAAAGAAAGAAAUUGGCAAUAGCAAAAACAAUUCAUUUCUAAAUAAUUAAAUUAGAGGGAUGAAUAUGAUCUUUCAAGCUUAAAUCAAAGUUAAUGAAAGAUAUAAACUUAAGCAUCUCCGUAUUAGUUGUUCCUGAUAUACUAUAAUAAAAAAAACUUUUAGCGACAUUAAAUAUUGACAUUAAUAAAAAGUGUUAUGUUCUUUAUCGGCAUUAGUUAACUGUCAUUACAACCAAUUUCACUAAAAGCUUUUAGGGACAUAUACAAAGAGCGCUAAGUGCCGCUAAAAAUACAUAUUUAGCGACAAUUAAGAAUUAAUUACCGCUAAUGAUCAUUUUUGAUACAGUGAUAAAAAUAUUUUACUAUACUACCUAUGUCUUUUUUUGCCUUUGGAACCAUUAUAUUAGGUUACAUUAUAUAUUUUUAAUAAAGAUAUUUCACAAUAAUAAUUAAAAAAUAUAUAUUAAACAGAUGACAAAAGAUUUGACUCUAUUAUAAUAAAAGUGUAGAUGAAAUAAUAUGAAUAUCUCAUAUAGCCGAUUAAUUGUUAUUGAUUUUUCCCUCCUUAAAAUUGAAUGAGAAGCAGUAGUGAUUACUAUUCCAACUGCAAUAACCAUUGCCAUGGCAGCCUUUAUCUUUUCCAACUUCCUUUUUUGUGCUUUUUGUUAGGUUGGUUCUUGGUGGGAGAAAGUUUAAAUUAUGGCUAUUAAAUAAUCCUUUUCUCUAUGUUACUGUUUCAACUUUCACCUAUUAAAUGGUAUGAAUAUGGAUGCAACAAUCUAAAUUUUCUACUUUACAAACUAGAUCACAAAAAUAUUAACUUUAUUUAACUUAUACAACAAACAUGUUCAAAUGGGCUAGGGGAAGACAUAAAGUCCAACAAUUGUUUCAUAUUUAAUUGAUAUAUAUGGGAAAAUACUGUUGAAAGUUUUUUCAAAUUUUGGCCGAAAUUGCUGUUAUGAUAUCAAAUUUUAUGGACACAUGCACUAUUUAAUAGUGUAUUUUAAAGAUAUGUGUAUCCACGUGGACAUGUUUCUAUUUAUGAUGCUCACGUGGACACAUUACUAUGUUGCAAUAUUUAUAAUGCCUAUGUGGACAACAUAUAUAUCUCUAAAAUACAUUAUUAAAUAGGUUCUUCAUAAAAUUUGAUAUUGUGACAACAAAAAUUGAAGUAUUUUUCAUACCUUAUUCCCUAUAUAUAACAAAAUAUAUUAAUACCCCCCUUUACUUUUAAUUUCUAUCCACACCUCCAUUAUUACACAUUUGACACUUAGUGGCUACUCUUGCUCUUGAAGCCUAUAUAACAACAAGGCACAUCAGUGUUAAACUCCCAACUAAAAGUCUUUCAAAUUCAAAAAAAUAAAGAAAUAACAGCAAGUUUCUUUGAAAACAAAAUAAAGAAAAUGGUGUCAAGAGUGGAAGAAGCAAUGAAAAUAAGGCAGCAACAGGAGGUGAAAAAUUACCAAGUACAGAAGCAAUUGAUGCAAUGCAACAAAGGAAAAACAAAUAAGUUCAAGAGGAGUAGUUCUAAUGUUGAAGAAGAUGGUGCUUCUUCUGCUAUUCUUUUGCUUGCUUGUAUUGCUUGUGCCACUUCCCAUCACCUAUAGAAUAAUUAAUCAUAGAUUAUCAUCACCUUGUUAACCAAAAUAUUAACUACAUGCAGUCGCUAAUAAUUAUCCGUCUCUGUUUCAUUUUAUAUAACACUCUUUUUGUUUUUUUAUCUGUCAAGAGUUCAAUGUAUGUUCCUUCUAGUCAUAUAAUAUAUAGAAGAUUAGUAGUAGCUCUUUUUGGCUAGAGAUAGAUUCAUGAUUUGAAUGUUAUAGGUUCGAAUUCAGGAUUCUAUCACAGUUAAUCUGGUUUAUUGGAUUCGAAAUUUAUAAUUUAUACUUGAUUAGUGAAUUUUCUAAGGCAUAUAUAAUUAGUUUGAGCCCCAAAAAAACGUGUCUUAUUGUUUGUUUCAGUUUUAUGUCUACCAAUAGAUGAAAUGAAGUAUUAGUGCGAGAAAACACCCUCCGUUUUAAUUUGUUUAUCUUUUUUUUUUUUUAUAUUCGUUUGAAAAAAGAACGUCUUUUCUCUUUAAUUGUCAAUAAUUUAAUUUCAACUUUUCAUGUGAUAUAUAUAAUACAACAAGAUUAAAUGACAUUUGGUAAUACCACAAGAUCCAAAAAUAUUCUCUGCUCUCUUAAAUUUCGUGUCAAGUCAAAAUCUAACAAACAAAUUGAAACGGAACGAUUAUAAUAACUAACAAAACACACACUUAUGCCAGAAAGGUUCAAAAUCCAAGUCUCUUUGAUUCUUGAAUCAUGGGAAAUAAUUAGCAAAAGCAAGAAUCUCCGGAUCAUUUUCAAAAAGGGGCAUGUCCUCUUCCAACAAAUUAACUUAUGCCUCAAUGCCAUCUCCAUCUUUAGUUCUCAUUAAUAUCACCAAAUUCUUGAAAGAUCUAAAAUUGGACUACAAAUCCAUUCAGGUUUUCCCCAUCCAAAAUCCACUUCAUAAACUGGAAAUCUGCACCAACAUGUAAAAUUGCACACUUGUACAUCUCCCUUUGAAAAAUUGUUUCCACUGAAUUAUCAUUCAUUCUCGACCUAUGUUGUUCAGACUCUUCAGAAUUACCGUCACGUGUGUGUUUGGUCUUUGAAAAGCUAUGCAUUUUUGGAGAAUCUGACACGGGUGCAACAACGACAUUCAUAUUUUUCACAUAAUUGGCAUUGAUAUUCCUAAUUGAUUUGUUCAUUUUUUUUCAACCAAUAUUGUUAUGUCAUUACUCAUUUCCGCUGCAUAUUGCUCUGUUUUUACCACUGCAGGGGCUAUAGCAACUGUCCAAUAAUUUCCAAAUGUGUGACUAGGGACUGGUGGUUGCAUCCUUGGCCUUAUGUUCACGGCAUGAACUGCUACACAAAUUUUCGCGUAUUUUGGCUUUGAUCUAUAAAGGGCGAGUAUGCGACUCCAUAUGAGAGAUGAAACUGCUUGGACUCGAGUUGGGACUCCACCUUUGUACAUUAUAUAUAAGCAGAGGUGGACCUACCUUUGUCAGUGGGGUGUGCGUGCAUUUGUUAACAUUGAAAAAAAUCAUGUGUACAAGGAAUUCAUCUGAAUUCAUUUUGUUAGAAAAUUACAUUAUAUAUAAGCAGAGGCAGACCCACCUUUGUCAGUGGAGUGCACGUGCAUAUGUUAACAUUGAAAAAAAUCAUGUGUACACAGUGACAUACCUAGGAUUUUCACAAAGUAGGGGAUUCAAACUUUUAUGUCUUUUUCACCACUAAGCCAAGGGUCACUCUUGUGUUAGUGAGAUCAAAAGUUAACAUAUACAUAUAAAAUUUUGAAAAUUGAUUAAAUAUACAUAUAUAUGCGGUGUUAUUUUUUAACGAACUAGGUUCAUAUGAACCCACUUGACCCUAUGUGGGCUCGCCCCUAUGUGUAUCUAUGUAUAUCUAUCUAUAAUUAACAGUGCGUCCAUGAGGAACAUAGUAACCUUCUUGUGUUGUUGAUACAAGGCGGAGGAACCACCCACGAGAUUAAGGUUUGAACCCAACUAGACGGUUAUUUCAUUAUUUUUAUUUUAAGUUUAGCUUAGAGAUCAUAUUUAGUGUACUCGAAGUUUUCAAAUCCUGAGUUUGCCUCUGUAUAUAAGGUAAAAUUAUAUUUAUGAAUAUAUAAGUUGUAGUUGAAUCCCUUAGUGAUUAGUGAAAAUCCUGGUCUCGCCACUGUCCAAUACCUCUACGUAGAAGACGAAGAAGUCAUACCUGAAUAAAUUGGCUUGAGCAGCUACAAUCACUUCCCUCUCAUAUGCUUUUUCCUUCUCAUUAGUGUUAAUACUUGUAUUAUUAAGGUAGAAAAGUAGCACAGGAAUGUAAAUGGGAGGAGAAUUUUGAUCAAUAGAAGAUAGAAUAUAGUUUCUUAUGUGAUUUGGUGUUGGACAUAAUGGUUUAAUUGUUUCCCUAGACACAACUUCAACACUAGUAGUAGUACUAAUCAUAACCAUUGUGGCUUAAUGUAUUAGCUAAUACUAUUAUUACUAAUUUGUUGUUGAAUCUUGAAAUUUAUGAGUUGAUCUAUAUACUAGUUACACAGAGACUGCAAGAGAAAAUUACUAGAAAAAUGUUAAUUCCAAUUUAUGACUAUGUCAAACUAAGUUAUCAAUAUGUAUAUGAACUUUGGCUUAUUUAUUUGGCUAUAUGUUAGUGAAUCUUGUCACUUUUUUCCUCUAGUAACUUUUAUAAAGAGCAUAUUGCAUUAGUGAAGUGGCAAGUGUAACCAAUGCUCUAAAGAAUAAUCAUCCAAAUAAUAAUUAAGAAUAAUUACCAAGAUGUAUGAUCCAAAUGCAAAAGAUAAAAUUAAGUUUUGAUGAAUAAAUCUGUUACGUAGCUUGUACGGGAAUAUGUAUGAUGAAAAUUGAAAUUACAUUUAUUCUGUGCAAGACUCUCACUGAUACCAUAAGACUAUAAAAUACUAAAAAGAUUUUUAACAUUCAAAUACAAAUCGACUCAAAUAGAUUGGUGCAUGUAGUUGUAAGAAGACAAUACAUAUUGUGGAUUAGGACUAUAAUAAUUGGAGCAUCUUCUCAUCCUUGACUACAAAUUCCAAAUUGAAAAAUAAAAUUUGUGCCUUUUUUGUUUCCAAGUAAAAUUUGCAUGCAAAUGAGAUUAACUUCUAAAAUUAAAGAGUACAAACUGUAAUUGUAUAACUUGAGGGUUUUUUUUGUUAUUUUAAAUAACUUGAGGAAUCAUUUUUGACAUUGAGAAAAAGUUUGAAGGCCUAGUUACGAUUAUGCUCACUUUCAUUUUCCACCUCCGCUGUUCUCUCUCUCACACACAUACUCUGGUUUACGAGCCACCGGCGCCGUCGUCGGAUCGUCGCCGGCAACCGUUAUUCUCCCAUUAAUUGGUCAGUUCCUCCUUCCAGAAGUGGAUCUAAUUCUACAUUUUGGAAUACUACUGUAUCCAUUGUUAUUUUCAUGGAUGCGGAUUCAAUAUAAAUUGAUAAAUUUAUAAGCUUUUCGACUAUGUUUUGUUAAUUUUUUUCUAAAGUAAGCUAAUUUUAUGCAGCCUACUGUUCCUGGAGAACUAGUGAGUACAAGUGACUUUGAAGGAUUUGAAAUUAUUUUCUGCUUAAGGUAUGCAUCUGAAGCACAAUGGGACUAUUGGCAAUUCAAUGCUAUUCUUCAAAUACUGUAUGAUGUGUAUUUCCUGUUUUUCAUCUGUUCAUAGAGAAAUGUGUUAGUUUGAGCAAUGUGUACUUAUAUGUAACUUUAGUAUACAAGAUGCAGCCAACAAUGUUGAUAGAUCUUUGGUGGUGGUGGUAGUAAUAUUGGAACCUCAAAUCAAAUUUAUUGAAAUGUAGAUAAUGUUAAAACAUCCUAGUGACAGCAUGCCUUCUCCACGGAUAUGCAAAUGUAAUAAAUAGGGGGUUUGAUAGUUAGGACUCCAAAUAUAGUGGACUUUCUGUAAAUGGCUGAAUUGCAUUUUCGCCUGAAGAGUAAUGCCAUUCUGUAUUAGCAUUGAAGGGAAAGCUGAUGUUUUAGAUCAUUCCAUUUUGUGCCCAGAUUUAAUAGUCGAGUAGGACUAGAAGCAUGAGUACAAGCUUGUAAUGAAGGACGACGUGAUCUUGCUCAAGAAGGUAAUGAGAUUAUUCGUGAGUCUUGCAAAUGGAUCCUGGAUUAGAGUUCAGAGCUACCAGCCCUUCCGAUUUUGUUGUGGCUAAAACAAAUGUAGUAUCACAAGAGGGGGAAGAAUCAGCGAAUUAUAGUUUAGCUGCUUAGGAAAUAGAGAAAACGGCCCUGGACAAAAAUAGCUUGAAUCGGUUAAAUUUUUAAGUCAGUUCAUUAGUGUAGUGUAAAUACUGAAAUAAAAGCAAUUUCUGGAAUCAUUGAGCAUAAAUGGAAUAAGAGAUCCAUUUUCUACAUGUUAUGAAGCACAUCCUCUAAGGACUGCGAUAUAACUCUAUAAGGAUGAUCGGCCGCUAGAUAAAGUGGUUGAUGCAUAUAGCAAAACUAUUGUUUCUGCAUAUGGUGGUAAAUAACUUUGGUUGAGAGGAUCAAGAGAUGUUUUGAGGGGAAGGGGGAGAACAUUUUGUUGCAAAAGAUAGAUGCAUCCAGAGUUCAUAUUUUGUGUAAUGCUAAUGAAAUGCUGGAUUAUCUGGUUUCCUUACAGCUUUAGAAGAUUGUAUCUAGCUUUGUUGUACUUUCUCGCGGUACCAGCUUGGUGUUGAGUUUAUAUUAAUAGUACCUUUACUUGUCAAAAAAGAAGAAAAAACAGCAGCUAGGUUAGCUUGCGUGAAGGGUAAACUAUUUUAAUUGUUGAUGGUUGAUUGAAACUUAUAGAAAUUUUCCCCCUUGCUCGUUUAUUAGAUUAAAAUGUCAAAUGAUGUGGAAGAUCCUGAAGGUGGAGAUGCCACAACGUCUUUGGAUCCUUCUUCACCGUCUCCCAGUGACCAACCAAGUUGGUAUAGUGGCUUACUUGAGCAGGCAUCCGUUUAUGGUAUAGCUGCAGGGUACUGUCUUUCAGCAUCAUUGCUCUCCAUCAUUAACAAGUGGGCCAUAAUGAAAUUUCCUUACCCCGGUGCACUAACUGCAUUGCAGUACUUCACAAGUGCAGCUGGAGUUCUCAUGUGUGGAUGGCUCAAGCUUAUAGAACCCGAUAAACUUGAUCUUCGAACAAUGUGGCGAUUCCUACCUGCAGCAAUUAUAUUCUAUCUAUCUCUUUUUACGAACAGUGAGCUUCUCCUCCAUGCCAAUGUUGAUACUUUUAUUGUCUUUAGAUCAGCAGUCCCCAUCUUUGUUGCAAUAGGAGAGACCCUCUACUUGCACCAGCCAUGGCCAGCAAUGAAAACGUGGUUGUCACUUGGUACGAUCUUUGCUGGUAGCGUGCUCUAUGUCAGUACAGAUUACCAGUUUACGCUUACAGCUUACAGCUGGGCGUUGGCCUACUUAGUGAGCAUGUCUAUUGAUUUUGUUUACAUCAAGCACGUGGUUAUGACAAUUGGUCUGAACACAUGGGGUCUUGUGCUGUACAACAAUCUUGAGGCUUUGUUGCUUUUUCCUAUAGAGCUCCUUAUCAUGGGUGAAUUGAAGAAGAUUAAGCAUGAAAUUGAGGAUGAGUCAGAUUGGCACAGCUUUCAAGUGGUGUUACCAGUAGCCCUAUCGUGUUUAUUUGGUUUAGCCAUCUCUUUCUUUGGAUUUUCUUGUCGUAGAGCAAUCUCUGCAACAGGAUUUACUGUUCUUGGCAUAGUUAAUAAACUUUUGACAGUGGUGAUAAAUCUAGUCAUAUGGGAUAAACACUCCAAACUUAUUGGAACAGUGGGGCUGUUGAUCUGCAUGUCUGGUGGUGUUAUGUACCAGCAGUCUACAAGCAACAAGCCCAAGGAUGUGAAAGAUGUAAAUCCGCAAGUAGCUGAGGAGGAGGAGGAACAACAGAAACUGCUUGAAAUGCAAAGCAACACUCAGAACAGUGACAGUCAGAAGCAAGAUACAGAAUCUGGUGACAGUAAACAAUAACUCGUUCUUGGAAAUUCCUUCUUCAUUCUUGCAUUCUAUAUACAAUUAUACUCUGCAUAGAAACCCUCCUCUUAAUUUAAAAGCCAGAUGGGGGUUACUUCUAGAUCAUUUUACUAGGAAACAGUUUUUGUGAAUGGAAAAAGCAAUUGUAGAGAUGUAAUUUAUUGUUUGGAUUUACCACAGCUUCAAACUCAACUGCCUCCUUCUACUUGACCAAAGCUGCAUAUUAUGUUGAUAUGUUUGCUCAGUAUAGUUUACAUUCCUUUUCAAGAAUUCUCCUCAUUUCAAAGGUGGGAAAUGGCAGAUGAAUAUUGAACUGCUCUCCCUAACUAUAUGUGUCCUUGUAAAAAUGAACUCCAUCUCAAUGUUCUUAACAGAAAAAGGAUGGCAAGAUAGGAUGUUUUGGGACCAUGGUGAAGAGGGGUUAACACCCAACAGAAGUACAGAAGAACUACAAAUUUAAUUCUGCAGUUUGACAUCAAGUGGAAAACUUGAAAAAAUAUCACGUAGUGAGCCGCUCUUAGACUCUUACUAUAAACCGGCCAACCAUGCUGGAAAUGAUACAAUGACAGUGCUUGUAUUUUUGCAUUACAUAUGCCGAACAAGUGAUUAAGCUCAAACCUCCAAAACUUAAAUGAAGAAUCAUAUAACUACGCUAAGGUAUUAUUCUACCAACCAAGGUUCUAGAGCUGCUGCCCAUGCACAUAAUUCACCUUCAUUAAACCAAAGACCUGCAGCAAGGAAACAUAAGGAAAAACACUAAUUAAAUGAGAAUCAAGGCCAACUUAAUUUUUUCUAGAAGAACAAACUAAAGUGUUCUGCUAAAGGUAGAUUUCAGCUUCAAUUGUGUGUGAGAGAAUUUCCAAGAACUACCACUCACUAUCAGCAUACAAAUCUUAUAGUAGAGGGCAAAAAACAACUAGGCUAUUUUCCUCCAUAUACACCUUGCAGAAUGGAUAGGCAGGAGACCAAUAAAUCACCAAUUCCUCAAUCACAAAUUAGUGAUUAGGCACAAGAGAAUAGACAAAAUGCUUAAUUAUCACUAUGGUGCUAAAAAUGAACACAAGUGUAUUCACAUUGGAGAAAAACUAUCUAGCAAAAGGCACUCAAAGCAAGACCUACAACUAUCAGUGUCUUUGGAGCUAGCUUUAAUAAUACUUAAACUUAUUUUUUCCGGGAGGGGGGAUAUCUAAAACAAGAAAAAUAAAAAGAACUCUUGCUGUUUCCUUUUGAUUUCUCUUAUAGGUACUACAACUGAACUUCUGUAAAGAUUCUACUGUAUGUCCAGCUAACAGCUCAAAGGCGGGUGACCAAACUUAGUAACAUGUGGGGGAAGUCACAUUAAGUUAAUUCUACAUGCUACUCAACUAGUUUUGCUAAAUUAGGAAAACCCUUACCUAUUUCACGCUUGCCAUUGUCGGGGCUAUCACUUCCAUGCACCACAUUUCUGCACAUAGAUUGCCAUCAAAAUCUUGUAAAUUUAUCAACAUCAAAAGCUUAUAGCACCAUGACUCAAUACUUGCUGAACAUGUACAAACAAAUAAAAUAACAAAUAUAUAUGGCCCUACCUUCCAGUUUGAACAGCAAGGUCUCCUCUAAUUGUGCCUGGUUCAGCAUUAAGAGGAUUAGUUGCUCCUAUUAGCUUUCGUGCUGAAGCAACAACACCAACACCCUCCCAAGCCUUGCCAAAAUAGAUACAAUUUACAAGAUUAGCAAAUAUACAGACUGUAGGAGACAUUAUACAGUUUAAAACUCAUGUUAUGCUGAUAUAUUUGAUUGGUUUGACCAAGUGAAUGACAGAAAUGAGAGUUAAAUGGGAAGAAUUUCUACCAUACAGACAACUGGACCAGAUGUAAUGUAGUCAAUCAGCUUGGGGAAGAAUGGCUUGGACUGUAGAUCCUUGUAAUGCUCCUGUAACAAUUGAAAACUUCUAAGCAACUAAACCACACGGCACAGUUAAUAGGAAUGAAUUGACUCGGAAAUCUUAAUUCUCUUUUGGUUGAUAAAGCAAAGAUAAUCGUAGUGCUGUUAAAAGAAAUACAAAAGAAUUCUCAACGAUAUAAAUAGAAGCAACUGCUAGUAAGAAGCUCCCUUGGCACCCAACUCCACCCACCCUUAAAGAUUUCUUCUGGUACAUAAACCUUCCAAUCCUUAACUAUUCCAUAAAUUAUUUGUUUUUCUAUUAGUUUCGUGUCUUGUAGUCCAAACAAAAUACAAAUUUUGAAAUUGAAUUCUGUCCAACUUUACAAAUUCCAAUCUUUAUGUAAGUCAACUGGAACCAAGACAAUCAUAUUGGUUCAUAGCAUUAGGGUAACCAGUGAAUUAAAUGAACCUCGUUAGAUAGAGGAAAAACUUUUGGACAUCUGAAAAAAAAAGCAGUUCAUGAAUCUCUUAGACAUUAAGAAAUACAUGUUUUCUUCCUUUUUUCUUUUUUCAGUGGGAGGUUGUGGGAACCCAGGGGGAGUAUGCUUGCAUGGAAAUGUCAACAACAACAUACCCCAUGGAAUCCCAAAAGUGGGGUCUGGGGAGUGGAAGCAGACCUUACCACUACCUCAUGGAGGUAGAGAGGUUUCUGAAAGACCCUCGGGCCUUGGCUCAAGUGUAGCAAGUGCACUUAGAAUCAGAAAACAUAGCAACUAACUAGGGGAGCAGUGCAAAUCCUACAAGAGAAGAACAAGAACACAAAGUAGUGCAUAGAAAUGUCAAUUGUUGAAAAAAAAAUUAUCGAGCUCAUGAAAGCAAACCUCCGCUAAUUCUUUGGGGCACUGAAAAAGCUUUAAUCCAGUUAGCUUAAACCCUUUUCUCUCAAAUCUGGAUAUAAUUUCUCCAACCUAUAACAAUUAAGGAAACACAUCUUCAAAAUUCAAACAGAAGAUCAAAAAACCUGGCCAAAACCAUAAAGUUAAAGUCUUUCUAAUAAUCCAAACUCAAAGAAAGAAGAAUAUACUGAAGCAUACAAGGCCUCUCUGAACACCAUCAGGCUUAAUCAUGAUAUAAGUCUGCUCCACUUCUUCCUGAAACACAAAAUCCCCAAAAACAGCCAAAAAUAAAAUCAAUCAAUCAAUCAGCAAACCUCAAUCCUAAAUCAGUUGAGGGCCUGCAAUACAGAAUCCUCUGUACCCAUUUGAAAAUUUAACAAAAAUUACACUUUUUCAACCCAAGUUGUAGGGACAGAAUUUAUAUGAAGAAAAGAGAAAGUGGGGUUGGGCAAAAUCUUCAAUGGGUAGUCAAGAAAUUGUUGUAAUCGAACUUCUUACCAUAGAAGCAACCAAAUGGGGUAAGAAUAUACGAGCUCUAAUUUGCCUUUUGGGGACAUUUGUUGAGAAAAGAUAAAAUGCUGGUUGCAAUGCAGCUAGGCUGUGCUUCUUGACGGAUUUUGGGGUAAGUCUGGAGGCCAAACAGGUUGUUUUGGAAGAGAUUCUACGAAGUGAAGAAGAAACACAAGGAGUUGCUCCAACUAUUGUAAGACCUUCCAUAUCUCCAAGAAGCUGAUGUUCCUCUCUUGAAUGUAACUUCUUAUCUAGUUUUAGAUUUGCUUUUUAUUUAUUAACCAGACACGUGACACAAAUAAAAUUUAGAGAUUUAAUUAAAUUAUAAUUUGAUUUUAAAUAUUUUAAGUUAUUAACUAUUGUAAUUUAGAGUAUUUUAUGUAAUUUUAAAUAAUAUAUAUUAUUUUCUUUUUCCAAUAUAUAUGACACAAAUAGAAUUUCAAGAAUCAAUAUAUUGUUAAUUAUUACAUAAAAUUACACAUGUGAAGCAGACAUACUGAUUGUCUCUUGUGUUGUUAAAAUGGAAUAACUAAAAUAUGAAUAAGAAAUGUAUUUACGUAUAUGAAAUGUCAAAAGCCUCAAAUCAAUAAAGAAGAUGAAAUUAAUCAACGACCUAUACCAAUUAAAAAACAAGUUUUCAAGGUGAAAAUCUCAUAAAUCAAUUAGUAGAUGUAGAGGUCUUCAAUUACCGAAAAUAUUACUUCAUCCGUUCACUAUUAAUUGUCAUACUUUCCAUUUUAAAGAAAAAUCAUAAAAAAAAAUUGACUAACAUUUUACAAUAUAUUUUUCAUCAUAUUGAUAUAUAAAAAAUUGCAAUAUAGUUUUGAGUAUCUAAAUAUUUUGGCUAAAGUAUCAAAUUAAUGUAAUCUAGUUUAACUAUAAAAAUUAAUCAAAUUGACUUUUGAAAAGCGUAACAUAACAAGUAAACGUAAACGGAUGAAAUAAUUGAUUUACGGAGAAAAAAAAACUGAAACCAAAACAGAAAAAAAAUAUAAUAUUGGUAAGGUUUGAACCCUAGAUCUUGGGAUUGAAAUAUGAAGUGCAAUCCAGUAGGCCAAAUAGUUAGAAAUAUAAAUAAGCGCAAGCAGACAUGUUGACUUUCAGCUAUGUGUUUAUUGUCACUUGUAUAUAAAUAGUAGAUAUAUUAUAUUAAAUUAAAUAAGAAAUAUAAUUUUGUAUUUAAUAUUAUAUUAAAGUCAGUUUAUUAGAAAAGUUUAUGCAACACAUAUUUAAGAUACAUAAGAGAACAUAUUCAAAGUGAAUAAUAUACAAGAAAGAAUUUAUAUAAGAGGUUGGGUCGUUAUAACAAAUAAGUGAAGGAUGAUAGUAACAAUAAAUCAAAUGAUUAUCAACAUGAAUUAGUGCAGUGGUGAUAUCGCUCACUUUUAACUAGAAAUCUCGAGUUUAAAUAUGCAAUAAUAAUAUAACUGUCAUUUAUUUGUUUCUGGCUUACUCUUUUGCUUGCAAAGAAGCUUCGACUAUUUUUAUUUUCAUCAAGGAUUAAUCUUAUGAUAUUCACCUAAUUAAUGAUAUAAGUAUUAACCUAGAUAAAUCUCAAAAAAGUGAGGAUAGUCUUGAAAUAAUACAUACGUAUCUAUUGUUCUUGAAUUAAUGUGGUUCGUGCAAUAUCCUAUUGUACAUUCAGAUUUAGUUAUAUAAUGUGUGGUCUGACAAAUUGUUCUAAUAAAAAAUAUAAAUAAGUGUGGCUCGAAUAUCAAUUUGAAAUGUGAAAUCUAUCUAACAAAAGUUUAAAUCAUCAAAGGGAAAAUAUUUUUAAUUAAUUAAUUAAUUAUUUUUUGUGAUUGAGAAAUUCAUAUGGGUUAACUCGUAAAAUUGAUUGUAGCCUUCGAAACAGGAUACUCCUUUCGUUUAAAAAAGAAUAAUCUCCUUUUAUUUUUAGUCUGAUUAAAAAAGAAUGACCUUUCAUUUUUUUGUAAUAAUUUUUCAUGUAACAUGUUUAAGACCACAAGAUUAAAAAACAUUUUCUAUAAUCGACAUAACUUUAAUUUAGGAUCACAUGAUCAAAAGUUCUUUUUUUUAAACUCUGUGUCAAAUCAAAUAAAUCAUUUUUUGUAAAACUAAAGGCAGUAAUAAUUAAUAACAUCCACAUUGAGAUAAUUUCAUUGAAACUAAUAGGUUUGAAUGAAAAAUUAAGAAUAUAUUUAGGGAAAAUUGUAUAUAAUAGCAAACUAAUAACCUAAAAUAAAUGAGUAACUGGGUUUACUUUAAUUGUGCUUCAUAGCAAACGUUUGCAAAAAAUUGUCAGGCGCCUCUCUCUCAAAUAUCUCGCUCGUCACUCUCCUCCAAUCUCUCGCUCGCUUUCUCACUUUUUAUACAAACACAAGUGUAUAAAAAUUGUUUCUAAUUGUAUAAAGCAGAGAAAAUUGUAUAAAUACAUAUAUUUUUUCCCGUCUCUCUCCUCUUCCAGAUCUCGCUCACCACUCACCCAAAUCUCGCUCGCCACUCACCAAAUCUCGCUCGCCACCCUAGCCUUUCUCACUUAUACAAACAAAAACGAAAUGUAUAAAUUGUGUUUCUGUUUGUAUAAAGCGUGAGAAAAUUGUAUAUACACAUGCAAGUACAUAUAUUUUCGUCCUAUACACUUAUAAUUAUACAAUAAAAAUAUUUCCCUGCCCAGUUUCUUUGCCUUUUUCUCUUUCUCGUUUUAUACAAUUUUCAAAUUGUAUCUAGUUUCUCUUUUUCUUGUUUUAUACAAUUCGAUUCAAUUGUAUAGUCCUUGUCAAGUCUCUUUUGUCUUUCUCUCUUUCUUAUUUUAUACAAAUUCAAAUUGUAUAUAAUCGUUCUAUACACUUAUAAUCAUACAAUUCGUUUUUAUACAGUUAUCUGUCCAAGUGUCUUUCUCUUUCUUGUUUUAUACAUUUCAUUUUAAACAAUUUGUUUCAACUGUAUACGUAUAGCGAAUUAUACAGUUUCCAUGUUUGCUAUGGAGCGCAAUUAUGCAAACUUUGCUAUAGCAUACAUAUAUAAUUUUUUAAUUGCUAUAUGUGAAAGUUACCCAUAAAUUUAUCAUGAAGGAUGUGUGUUCGGAUUUAAGCCCAAGAGAAGAAAAUUGGACCAUGAAGCUCAAAAGAAAGCCCAAAAAGUUGAAUUGUCCAAAUUACAGUUUUCUAGUUAGAAAUUCUAUAUUUUAAAGUUCCGUAGUUUGAAAUAUUCUUUUUACUCAAACGUCGUAGUUAUUAUUUCGUAAUAAAAGUAUAUUUGAAUUUAAUUUUUCUUAAAUUGAUUUUUUGAAAUGAAUAUUGUUAUUUUAGACAAGACAAUAAUCAAUAUUAAUAUUUGAGAUGUUUUUUUUCUUUACAUUUAUGUGAGUGGCGACUAUGAAUUUUAUCUCUUCAAGAGGUUAAGAGACAGUUUGAAUUAACUUAAAAGUUGAUAAAAAUUGAAAGUCAUUUUUAACUUUUAGAAAUGUUUGACAAGGUUAAAAAUGAUUUUAGAAAUGUUAAAAAUCAAAAGUAAAUAUCCCCUACUUUUUAUUUUUGACUUAAAAAUAAAGUUUGACUUUUUAUUUUUUAAAUUAAAAACUACUUUUUUAAGUCAAUCCAAAUAGACUCUAAUUUUUUCACGUAAAUUAAAGAUGAUGAUUAUUCUUAUACUAAAUUUUGUCUGAAAUUUCUUUGAAAUAAGAGUCUAAAUCAUUUUUUAUCUAAGUUUUUGAAUUGAUUCUAUUAGUAUCAUUAUUAGUUUUAACUCAUUAAUUUUGAAUACUAAAGUUAAUUAGAAUUCUCAGCACUUCUCUUUAAAUUGGGAGAUUUAAUUUCCAAAUUUCACAUGUCUUUCAAUUUCUAUCUUCAAUCUUUAUAAUUUUAUUUUCGCAUUAUUUUAUUAGUUAUCAAUAACAGUGGCACCUCUAUAUCCUUCUCUAUUUAAAUGUCGAUACAAGGUGUAGUUUACAUGACGCAAGUCUCAAACAUGUGACGUAAGUCAUAAGUUUUUCAAAAUUUAUCACUUGAACUAAGCUUCAAAACUUAAUUGACUAAUUAAUUAUAUUUUGCGUCAACAAGAUCUCCAAUGAUUAUUUUCUAUUUAUAUAACAAAAAUUAUUUCCCAAUUCUCAAAUGUGAAUAAUAUAAUUUGAUUAGUUUUAUCUUUAAAUUUGAAAUUCAAACUUUAAAAUUAUGAUUGUGGAUUUCAAUAUCAAAAGUAAAUUUUUAAAAAUAAAAUCUACAUAUUUAAAAUCACAGAAAAAUUAUAAUAAAUCACAUUAACAAUCGAAAAAAUCUUUAAAAGACACAUAAAGAAAGUUUGAUAGAAAAAAUGGUUGGACUCUUUAAACGCUAAAAAAUUAUUAUAUUUUUUAAUCAAAAUAAACAUUAUAUUCAUAAAGGAAUUUAAAAAUAAAGUUUCAUAAUUUAGAUUAGAUUUUUUAAAUUCAAAUUUUAUUUUCAUUUAUUUUAUUUUUUACACGUAUUCUAUCUGUUUUAUUAUUAUCCCUUUUGAUGAACUAUACAACCAUGAUAUAUAAUAUUAUUUAAAUUAAAAUAGAAAUAAGUCUAGCUCUGGUAUCAAAUUAAAAUAUGUAAUAUAUAUCAUUUGAAAGCUUUAUUGUUAAAAUUUGACAAUUUUAAUUUAAUUAUUUAUUAUGAUCAAAAAAUUCAUAUAUGAUCAACCCUUAAUAUUGACACGAUUAAAGUUGAGAAUAACAUAUUUCAUCAUUUUGAUCUUUUUGAUUUAAAUGUCAAUGCAAUGUUCAAUUUAUAUUGUGCUAGUCUCAAACUUGUGAUCUAAGAGCAUGCUUGGAUUGUCUUAAAAAACAACUUUUUAAAGUGCUGAUAUUUUUUUUAAAAAAUAAGUAGUUAUGUGUUUAGAUAAAAGUUCAUCAGUUGAAAAAAAUUUGAUGAUGUGUUUGACAAAAAUUAUAUCUUAACUGAAUGAAGGAAACAUAUCGAUGUCUUUGAAACUUCAAAAGCUGGCUAGCAAAGUAAAAAGUAACUUUUGAAUUUUCCAAUUUCAAUUUGGAAACAUAUUUAGAAAAAAAACAAUUUAGCUUGAUGUACAAACCUUCUAUUUUCUUUUGCUUUGAUUAAUUAAUAAAAUAGUCAAUGGGACAUAGAUAGACUGACCUUAAUUAAAAAAAUAAUAAUACUCGAUAUUAAUCACUUUUUCUUAAUCAAAAUAUGUCAAAUACCUUUAAAGUUGUUAACAUAACAAAAAUUGAUUAGUUUAAUGCUUUUUAUUUUUUUAAAAAAAUUAAAAUAAAAUUAAUUUAUAUUUUAAAUGUUAUCAAAGAAAUUAGAAAUUGAAAAAAAAAAUUGAGAUAACUUUCACCCUUCACGUUGUCGUUGGAAUAGUCACGUCGAUGGUACAGUCACGCUAUUGAAACAGUGGAUAACUUUAUGCUUCGAAAAGUUUAAACAGUCGCACAUAGUGAAGAUGAAAUUAAAGGAUAGAGAGGUUAGAAUUUUAAUUCAACAUGGGCAAUUUAGGAGUUGUUUAAAAGAAUAUAAUUAAGAGUAAAAAAAUAAUAUACUUGGUCAAAGUAGAAUAACUUUUAAAUGACAUUUGAAAUGAAGUAACCACGGAAAACAAGAAAAACUCAAUUACUCUUAUUUUUCUUCUUCAAAAAGAAAAGUAGAGACAGUUACACAUGAGACAAUCAGUAUUUGGAUGGUAACAUUGUUUCUAGGGCUACCAAUACAACUAUUAUGAAUAAAUUAAGUUGUUUUAAAUAAGUAUUUCCUUUACAAUAUUAAAAAAUGUCUAACAAUUUCAGAUACAUACAUUUAAUUAAAAAUUUGUUUAUGAUAAACCCAUUUGAAUUUAAAAAUUUGAAUUUUUAAACCUUGUUCGUAAAUUCAAAUAUAGAAAAAAAAUAUUUUAAAUUCUUUUUUUUUUUGCAUAUUUGAAAAAUGAUGCAAAAAAUACUACAGAUCAUGAUAAUAAUAAGUUAAUCGUAAGUAGACAUGUAAAGAAAUUUCAGUCAAAAAAACUUUAAUCGACUCUUAAAUUUUUUACUAUGAUACUGUUUUAUAUUUUUUUCCUUAAAAUGAAUGCCUUAUUACUAUAUUAUAUUUAGAUUUCAAAAUCACUUUUAUUAUUUAAUCAUUUAGCUUAAAAUCAAGUGCGUCAACAUUUUUAAAAAUAAUUUUAAAUUAUUUUAACUUAAAAUUACUUAAGAUAAAUCAAUUUAAACACUCUUAAAAGUAAAGUUUCAGAUAAAAAAUUAUUUGAAUUGUCCUAAUUUUUAUUUUUUCCCUUUAUUUUCUCACACCGUCAGCGCCUAUCUAUCUAUUACCCUUUUCAAGAAAUCAAUAAAUACUAGCUAACCAAAACCAACAAAGAACCAAAACUUCAGUUUAUUUUACCCUAGUACUCUUUUUCUCUCAAACACAAAAAAAUGGUAUCGCCAAAGAAAAGUUCAGGCUCUCGACCGCCUACCGAAAACAAGAAGUCAUCAUCAUCGCCCUGCGAUAAAUCUCCUCCUUCGCAACGUCCAAAGGUUCGCACAAACUAAUUUUCAUACAUUUUUUUAGUGUUUUUGGGAACGGUUGAUAUAUAUAUAUAUAUAUAUAUAUAUGAGUUGGUGUCAACUGAUCUUUUUUAGGCAAAUGAUGACAAUGUGGAUCCGUUUAACAAAUCAAUGUCGCCAUCGCAGACGGCAAAAUUCGGCGGCAACAAUUCAACCGGAAAAGUUGAUGGUGCGACUAUUGGAAAAACAAUCAUGAUCACCGAAAAAGCUAUGACACCUGUCACACAAGGCAAGCGUUUUAUUUACUCAAUUCAUCCAUUUUAUUUAUCCGUGUAUAAAUGCUUUUGUGGACUUUAAAUUGUUUUUUUAGUGGGUGUUGAUUGAAUGUUCAUUUAUUUUUAUUAAUUAUUUUAAUUUAAAGUCAAGUGUUUAUAAAUAUUUUUUUAAUUAAUCAAAACAUUUUCAAAUUGCUUAAAAUACUUUUGUUUUAAAACAUUUAAAAUAGGUCAGUAAACUUUUAAACUUUUGAUUUAUGAUUUAUAACCUAAAAAUCUAUAUGUCUAAAAUUCUUAAAUAUAAAUUUUGAUUGUUUUUAUCAUUUAACAUAAAAAUCAAAUAUUUUUGAGCAUUUUUUCUUUAUUUGUCCAAACACUCUAAGUUUGUUUUAAAAUUAUUUUAACUUAAAAAUACUACAAAUUAAUCGAUCUAAAUAACCUUCAAGUCUGUUUUAAUAUAUUAAAAGAAAAUUAGUAAAUAAGCAAUAAAUUAACGCGAACAAAUAAAAUGUGUAAAUGUACGCGUGUAGUUUAUUUAUCUUUUUUUUUUUCGUUGAGAAGUUCACUGUUUUAGAGUAUUUUUGAUACUAAUAUUGGAUGCACGUUUCACUCAGGUGCUGGAACGAAGAAACCUUGGUGUAGACUUAUAUCAGAAUUUCCACAGGUUUUUUAUUAAUAGUAUUUUUUGUAUAUUAAUUUUAAAUUUUGGUUAAUUUGAAUUCACAACUCUAGAAUUUCAUUUGAGAAAAAACGUAUUAAAGAUAUUUUUAUUGUCAUUACUUGAACUUGAAAUCUCAAAUUAAAAAAGAAACAAUUUUAUCCACUAUACCACGUCGUUAGUUCUUUUAACUAAUUUUGUUGUUAGAAUUUUGUUUCAUACAAUGUGCACACAUCACAAAACUUUUAUUUUAAUAUCUAACCGAAUGUAAAUACAUUGCAGAACCCAUCUAUUGAGAUUUCUGAGUCACGUUUCAUGGCCGGUGCGAGCAAAAAGCUUUCUGAAAAUGCAAUGGAUUGUGUAAUAAGACGGGGAGCGGUAAUACUCUAAUUUUGAUUCUCUUUUUAUUACGUGAUUUAAAUUUUUUGGUGGUUCAAAGACAAAAAUAUACUAAAAAAUUUAAAUUUUUAAAUAAUAAUUAAUUAAAGUAUAUUUUCUAUGCGAAGUUGAUGAUAUAUUGUUAUAAAGUUAUUUCGGAGAUGCAAAAUUAUGUCUUAAUUUUUGCAUACAAUUUUUUACUAUUAUGAUAAAAUAAAAGUUUCCCUAUUUUAAUUUGUUUAUUUAAUUUUACUUUAUACAAAACUUUAAAAUGUGAAGAAACUUUUUGAAGUUGUAGCAUCAAAUCAGCUUUCCGUACACUUUAUUUUAUUAAAAAAUACAUAUUUAUAAUGAAUUUUAUUGUUGCUACUCUCAAAAUUUUGGGGGCCUUAAACGCAGAGCCACCCUUCGGCUUUACCUUCCUCACUAAAUUUGCUCAACAGUUAGGGCCAUCGGAAAAUUGAACUUGUAAAGCUACCGGAAAAUUGAACAAACUUCUUCCUGAGAGGUUACCGGAGAUGUAAUUAGUUGGCAUUUGUUUGAUUGUAUUGUGAGAUAGAGAUGAAAUUUAUAUUGUUUGUGUAAAUUAUCAGUACCAAAACAAUUGGGUUCCUAUUAUUGAGAGGAAGGCAAGCAGAGAAUCUGUGCAAGUCAAUGGGCAUAGGCUCGAUAAGAAUACCAGUGGCCUUCUCAAUUCUGGAGAUGAGAUCGUCUUCGGUCCAUGGGGAAGAUAUGCCUAUGUAUCCUUUACUAUAGUGAUUCUGAUACUAUUUCUCAUCAUUAUGCUUUAAUAUCCUUGACUUGUUCUAUAUAGAUUUUUCAGCAACUGUUGUUUUCACCUCCAAUUGUUGACAGUAGCAAUGCUGCUGAUGUUGGAUCGUCUAGCCAGUUCCUCCGUUUUGAUGGGAAGCUGGUAAAGUAUUUCUUUUGGUCUUUGAGUUCAUAGGCUGAUCCAUGUGAUAACUCCAUGAAUGGAGAUUGAGGGCUUAGUGUACUACAGGGAGAAAAGAGAAAGUAGAAAGCAUAUCAUUUAUCUCAAUCAAAAUUACUGUUACAUUGCAUUCUCUUGUAUGUGUAUUGCAUUCACUAAGCACAAUAUAUAUAAACAUUGGGAUUCUAACACAUUUCCUAACUGAAUAUAAGUCCUAACUAACAUGCUGACUGAAUAUUGGAAUAUGGACCUUAUUAACUCAUACAUAUAGCUUGUAACCACCUACACUGGUCAACACCAUGAUAGAACUAAAGAAAGUAUUUGUUAACAGAUGUUGGAGGAAAAAAGGUUGACCGAGGAAUCAAUACAUGCUUCAACAUCAUCAAGGAUGUCUUCAAUAGCUUCUGUAUUUACAGAAAAGAUUCAGGCAACAAUCAUUGAUGGCAAAGAUAUAGAAGUGUCAUUUGAUGACUUCCCUUAUUACUUAAGGUAUGACUCAAGACCCCACAGCAUAAUCCAAUUACCCUGUGCUUUUUGCUUGUGAUUUGAUCUUUGUUCUUGAUGCUUGUAGCUAUCCCCUCGAAUGUAGCUAUGUAAUUUAAAUAAACCUUAGUUUUGGUGAAGAUGUCUAUAUCUGUGAAUUUGCAGUGAGACCACAAAAGCUAUGCUGAUUGCUGAUACAUAUAUACACCUUAAGCAUAAAGAGCAACUUAAGUAUGUCUCUGAGCUUCCUGCGGUCAACUCAAGAAUUUUGCUUUCUGGUCCAGCAGGUUCGUUGCUUUCUCAGUAAUUAUUUAAAUUAUUUUGUCUCUUGUAAUUAUUUUUGAUUUCUCUCACCAAGUGCUUGGUAGAUAUUAAUCUAUGCGUACUGACCAGUUUUGCUUUUGUUUUCAAGGAACUGAAAUAUAUCAGGAGAUGCUGGUGAAGGCACUUGCUCGUUAUUAUGGAGCUAAAUUGCUCAUUUUUGAUAGUGAUGCUUUUUUGAAUGUAAGAACAAAUUACUCAUUAUGUUAUCGACGAACAUUGCAAAAUUACACCUUAAUUUUUUUUUCCGCUCUUGAUCCCCUUGAAGUCCUACUAGUAGUCACCUUGCAUUUAAGACCUUGUUGCAUAUUUCUGUAAUAGUGCUCUUUGGUUAUUUGCCGCUCUUUUGAGUUAUAAAGGGAAAAGACCUGUGAAGGUGCUAUAGACAUAUUGAGGAUGUAAGGAGAGUAGUCACAUGCAGCUUGUGAAAGCUUCUUUUCAUGUUGUGUGUGUGUUUUGUGGGGUUGGGUUGCGGUUGGACUAUUAAAAACUUCAUGUCAGUUUCUGGACUUUGUUAUUCUCUUGGUCAGCUGCAAAUCAUGAAUAUAUUUCCAUAUCAUUCAGGGGCUAUCUUUGAAGGAAGCUGAGCCAAUGAAAGAGGCAUGUAGUGCACACAAAUCCUCUUCAUCCGGGGCAUCAAAUGUAUUUAGGACAGGUUUGUCUGCCCUUUGGUUAUUAAGGAAUUAUAUCUUUCUUCUUCAGCUUUUUCUUUUUUUUACUAAUAACUGAUGUUGAAGAUGUUUAGGUGAUAGAGUCAAAUAUAUUGGCUCUGCUCCUGGUGAACUGCACUUGAGUCCCAUCAGGUAAAAUUCAAUUUUCCUAGAAACCUCAAUACCAACUCAUUUGUACUCAAAAUGAUCUGUAUCUUCUUAUAUUUUAACAAAUUUCUGAUGUUAUUUUUUGAUGGUCUGUUUGUAAUCUUUUCUCAAUGCUAUCAAUGAAACUAUUUUAUCCAAAAAAAAAGAAGAAUCAUUCUUGAUGCACAUGAAAGUAACUAUAUGGUUUAAGGAUAAUCAGAGUGAGAGAGGAGUAUUUAUUGACUUCUUUUUUGAUUUGUUUUAUUUAUAAAGUAAAGACAUUUUUGCUUUUCUGCAUUUUCUAGAAAGUGAUUUGUUCUUUAUCUCUUGUACCACAUUUUGUUCUGCAACUGCCCAUUUUAUGUUUUAGUACAAUGUGAGGCUUUAACCUUCUCUGUCUUGUUCCAUUGUUCCAGGAGUGUAAAAGUUGGGUCUACAGGGAGUGUUGCAUUGUCUUUUAAUGAUAAUCUAUUCGCAAAAGUUGGUGUAAGAUUUGAUAACCCCUUCACAUAUGGCAUCGACUUAGGUGGUCUUUGUGAUGAUUCUCAUGGAUACUUCUGCAAAGGUACUUUUGGAACACAUUUAACUAUUUUCCUUUAGUUUAUUAAGUUAAACAUUCUUCAGUUUGCAGUCUUAAUUUUACUUUCAAUUCCUUUUAUUAUUCUUCCUCUAGUGAGUGAGCUGUGCUUAGACGCCCCUGCUGUGGAGGAUCCGGACAAGUUACUCACUAAUACAUUGUUUGAGGUGUGAAUUCUUUCUAUGAAUAUGAACAGUGCAAUGUGGAAUUUCUGUUCCUUCCUUUUUUGGGUUAAACUUUACUCUUUACAUUUCAUUAUACUUUUUAGGUUGUAUUCAAUGAGAGCCGGAAGUCGCCAUUCAUUUUGUUCAUGAAAGAUGCUGACAAAGUAAUGGCAGGAAACUCAAAAUUAUCUUCAACAUUCAGAAGUCGGCUUGAGAAACUUCCUGAUAAUGUUAGUACUAUUGGUUCACACGCUCAUACAGAUAAUCACAAGGAUAAGGUACUAUUUGAGAUCAUAUUGCCCACGAAUAUAUGCAUGUAAUUAUAUUUAUUCCUGUUAUAUAAUGUGUAUACAGUGUAUUAACAGGCCUGCUAUGAUAUUUCUUAUGGAUUAUAUUUCUUGGCUAUAGUAGUUAUUCUUGUUAGACUGAGGCUUGAUCAAGAGAAUGGGAGGUGAAUCCUAUUACAAAAAAAAGUUUAAAAGACCAUCUUCGAAGCACAAAAGAGACAUUAGUCCUGCUAUAUAUAUAAAUGCAUGCAAGAACAUGCAACAUACACACACUACACAGUGCGGCACACUCUCUCUUUCGUGUGUGUAUAUAUAUAUAUACACACAAUAAAUAUGGCCUCAACGGCCGUAUACAAGAGAUGUACCGAAAAGUAGACAAUUUACAAAAUUAUAUGAUUCUCUACAGACUCCAUCCAAUCAUCUAUUCGACUAGAAACUUUCUGAGUACACCAAAAGAAAUAUGAGAACAAUGACUACUACACCUUCAAAAGCUCUCCUGUUUUUCUCUCUACAAACAACCUACAUUAGCGCUAGUGGAAUCGUAUUCCAAUCCCUUCAUCUUCUCUUUCUUAUGCUUUUCCAACUGAACAUCAACUCUCUCACAUUGUUUGACAUUGCCUAAGAUGUGUGAAACCACCCAAGCAUAUCCCUAUAUAUACAUAAACAUGGUCUCAGUGGCUGUAUACAAGAGAUGUACCUAAGAGUAGAGAAUUCACAAAAUGAUAUGAUUCUCUAAAAACUCCACCCAAUCAUCUAUUCAACAAGAAACUUUCUGAGUGCACCAAAAGAAAAUAAGAGAAAAAAGACUACUAAACCUUCAAAAGCUCUCAUGUUUCUCUCUCUCCAAACAACCAACAUUAGCGCUAGUGGAAUCGUACUCCAAUCCCUUCAUCUUCUCCUUCUCAUGCUCUUCCAACUGAACAUCAACUCUCUCACAGGGUCUGACAUUGUCUUAGAAGUGCGAAACCACCCAAGCAACACCAUAACAUCAAUGUCAAUCAAAAAUCCUACAUCUUGGAAAAUUUAGGAUUUGAAAUCAGGAUACAAAUCGCAUGUCCAAAAACAUCCCAAAUUGCCAUGUUUAAAAACAUCCCAAUUUGCAUGUCCAAAUGCCUAUUAAAUCUCUAGUGUUGAAUUAAAGCCAAACCCGGUAUUAACCACAAUAGAAAGAAAAUAAUGUGAAAAUAAUUUAGGAAAUCGAACAUUUGUGCAACAUUCUUUCAUAAUCAUAAAUGAGGUCUCUUUAUGUGAUCUUCAACAAUCCUUUCCUCAUUAGUUAAGUUUUGUGGUUGAGUUAGGCCCAUGAUGAUGUAACAUGGUAUCAAAGUUAGGCCUAUCCCAAUUAUUAUUUAUCGAUGUUAGGUCCCCAUUUAUAUUGUUCAUGCUCGAGAUGCCCAGUCUUGGCGCGGGGGUGGAGAUCGACAUCUUCUCAUUUAAAGAUGGCAUGUAUCUUAAUAUAUAUAUAUAUAUAUAUAUAAAAUCACUUGAUUUCAAUUUGUUUGUCUGGGGGUUUUAAGGAAGUAAAAAAAAACUUUUGAAUUAAAGAUAUGUAGAAUUUAACAAAAUGCCUUUAAUCUUGUAUUCUUAAACAUGCAUGUGAAUAGGUAAGAAUUAAAAAGUGGUCAAAAAGGGAAAGAUGCAUUAUCUUGUAACAGACUCAAAAGGAUAGUAAGGUGAUUAAAUUGAAAGGAGGCCAAAUAUUCUAUAAAUAGAUUCAAGCACAAUGUUUUUUAAAAUGCCCAAAUGCAGCAAAAGAUAGUGAAUCAUGUAACUGUGAUUUAUUUGGUAAAUAAUUAGUACUCUUAUCUUGAAUACCAUACUGAAUGAUCAAAUGAUGUUCGAUUGUUCUGGUUGCUUAUGUUAAUCUGCCAUAAUAGCCAACCCAACCAUAUAAAUAUGGACCGACAAUACUAAACCAUAAAUAUAGUUGGCGUCUUGACGAAGUCAUGCAUUAAUUUUUGAGAAAAUGCUAUAACUGAACUUCUAGAGAUAGGAAUAAGAAAUUAGAAAUUUAGUAUAAGAUAUUUGCCACGGAAAACUUUAGGUUACAUCUUUCCAUUCAAAUCAGAAAUUUGAAAUGAACUUUGAAUUUAGUUGGCUUCAUUUCUGUCUCAUAUUUGGCUUAGUCAUAGUUUUUCUAUCCUUUUCAAAUUUCAAGUAAUUAUUGUUUAUGUUUAUCAAUACAUUUCUAUUUUUUUUAAAAAAUUUUCAUCAUUAGUGCUAUUCUUCGUUAAAGCCUAUUCUUUAAUUGCAUCAUGCAGUUAAAGCAACAGUACUAGGGCUUUUUCUAGCUCCUUUCGCUUUUGACUACUCGAAGUUUGUUCAAACUGACCACAUAUCAAGCCAUGAUUUUGUAAUUUUUCCUUCAUCCUCUACUGUGGUGUUGAUAUGUUUGGAGAGUUUUCUGACCGUUCUAACAUUUUCUCUGUUCACAAGUGUAGUUAUGGCUCCUGAAACCCACCCUCCUUCCUUUUUCUCUGUGUCUCAUUUUCUUAUUCUUUAUCGUCUUCAUUUGAGGUGUGUUUCUGCUUCGUCAACUUUAGUAUUGCUUACAUUUAUUAAAAAAAAAUUAUCCUAUUGAAAGUGUUUACAUUGGAAAACCAUGGGUCUGUCGACUCUGAUCUUGCACAGUGCCCUUUCCUCCUGCUGAAUUUGCGUUUCUGCUGUAUUACCCUUGAAUGAACACUGCUGCCAUAUGGCAAGUGAAUAGUCUUUUUCAACUCUCAGUUGCUUAUAGUACUGAAUUUUGAUGAGUUCAGGAUAGUCCUGAGAAGACACAUGACAAAGGGAAAGAGGUUGCAAAGAAUUCAAAAUUUCUGACAGAACUUUUCCCGAAUAUAGUGGCUAUUCACAUGCCGCAGGUCUGUUGUUUAAAUUCUAUAGAAUUUUAUAUGAUCUUAUUCUUGAUUCAGCAAAUUACUGAGUGGUUUUGAGUAUUGCAGGAUGAAGCACUUUUAUCUAUUUGGAAACAACAACUGGAUAAAGACGCCGAUGCCCUCAAAGUGAAAGAAAUUUUUAAUAGCUUACAAACAGUACGGCUUUCUGACCUUCAAAGUUAUGAGUGCCUUGGAUAUAGUUUUAACCUUACAUUUGUGACUCCCCUCAGAUGUUUAUUUGACUUCUCUUGCAUUCUUAUGGAAGUGCAGAAUUAAUUGAGAUAGAAGAUUUGGAAUGAAUAUUUAUUUUACUCUAUGUUGGUUCAUUAUACAUGUAGCACCUAGAACUCGGUUGAAAUCCCCUUCUCCUUUAGUUCUCCUGAGUUAAGCAAGGUUGCCUUGCUACCAGCCAGGCAAACCAAACUUCAUAUGGAGCCUUGACUUUCCGAAUAUGUUUCCAACAAUAAGCUGACCUUAAAGUAAAAUAUUCUUACUGUAGCCUUUCCAUGUUAAUUUUUCUUCACGGUCUGUUUGUGUCCUGGAACACCUCCAUCUGCUGCAGAAGUUGAGCAACUCUGUCAAUUUCUCAGUCAUUUUGUAGCCUCCUGAAACUGAAAUUCCACCCCUGUUGACUCGAUAAAUCUGCUCUAUUGUCCUGAUUUCCUCAAUAAUAAUGUCAAUGGAUGUAUUUCCAACAUUCUAAAGCUAGAGUUGGUGCUCUCUGAUAUUCUUUUUUAAAAAAUUGUGUGAGCAAGUUGAAAGCUUUAUUUCUUAAUUAAAUAGAUUAAUCAUUUGAAUUCUAUCUUGAACUACUUUCUAUAUGAUGGUUGCUCUUUUAUAGGUUCUGAGUCGGACUGGAUUGGAAUGUAAUGGACUCGAGACAUUGUGCAUCAAGGACCAGAAUUUCUCUGUCGAAAGUAAGAUUUUUCUUUCACUGUUUUGCCUUUUCUCUUUGAUUUUCCUUUCUCUUUCCGUUGUUUUGGGGUUGGGGGUAGAGGGGUGUGUGAGCUACAUUAGAUUCCCACUAGUAUAUCACCACCGUGUUGUUUAAAUCCUUAAUAAUCCCUACCACAUCCGUAUCGGCACGACAUGGGUGUGGGUGUAUGGACUAUGACAGCAGUAGUAGUUACACAGGAUUAAGAUGAAUUGCAUUAUCACUUUUAGCUAUUGGUGCAGUUCUGAGUGUGUAGAUGAUCCUAUAGCUAUUCUAGAUAUCCUAGGUUCUUUGUAAGAUGAAGUAGGAUCUAGUUUAGUUUUGUUUUGAGUACACUAACUGUAUGUAGCUUUAUGAUGUAAAUUUGGGAUCCCCAGCCUUUAGUGCUGAAGAUUAAUACACAAAACUGUUACCUUUUUUGUGGUGCUUGAAGGUGUAGAGAAGGUUUUUGGAUGGGCAUUGAGCCAUCACUUGAUGCAGAACUCUCAAGCGGAUCCUGACAUGAAACUUGUUUUAUCUCCUGAGAGGUAAUGGGUAUAGCAGCAGCUGAUAUUCCUAUCCAUGGUUCGUUUGACUGUCAUAAUUUGUGAAUUGAACAACUGUGGAAAUCUUUUGCUAUUUAACAGCAUUCAGUAUGGGUUGGAAAUUUUACAAGCCAAGCAAAAUAACACCAAGAGCUUGAAGAAGUCACUUAAGGUGAUUAUAAUAUCCCUUAUAUGAUGCUUUGCUAAAUUUGUUUGUUAGUAGAAGCUGCUUAAUGCUAUUGGAGAUAUUUACUUAUGAACUCAUGAACAAAUUUGUGUCCAAACCCAGGAUGUUGCGACAGAAAAUGAAUUUGAGAACAGGAUUCUAGAUGAUGUUAUCCUGCCUGGUGAUAUUGGGGUGACAUUUGAUGAUAUUGGUGCACUUGAAAAUGUCAAGGAUACAAUAAAAGAAUUGGUCAUGCUUCCCUUACAAAGACCUGAACUUUUCUGCAAGAGUCAACUAACCAAGGUUUACAUUUACAUUUUGUCCAUAGUUUGCUUAUCUAAUUGUAUUAGCUUGUUGAAUGUUUAUUGCUGAUUUUCUGAAGUCCCCCAAAAGAAGAUACAUUAAAACUUUAUCUCUUGAUGUCAAAAUUUCCUUUUAAUGUGUGUCUCCUCUUGUGCUUUUAAGUUUCUUCUCAACGUCAUUUGAGGGUUUUGACAAGAAGUUUGUGCUUGAUGAGAAACUUACUUCAACUUUUGUUUCUGCUUUUUGGACUUGAAUCUUCAAGCAUCAUGUUGAGAUUUGGUGGUUAUUUUAGAAAAUCAUCGCUCUAUUCUUUCGCAGCCAUGCAAGGGAAUACUUUUGUUUGGUCCUCCUGGAACUGGGAAAACGAUGCUGGCAAAAGCUGUUGCCACCGAAGCGGGUGCAAAUUUUAUCAAUAUUUCAAUUUCAAGUAUCACUUCAAAGGUUUGUUUCACUUGGAGCUUAUUUGUGGUCUAUCGAGUAUAGAUGAUGUUGUUAAUAGUGCUUCUUCGCAUUAUAACAGUCUAAAUUGUCUUCUUUCCCAUGCUGCAGUUCUUUGGUGAGGGUGAGAAAUAUGUAAAAGCUGUCUUCUCGCUGGCUAGUAAAAUUGCUCCCUGUGUUAUUUUUGUUGAUGAAGUAUGCUUCCUUAAACAUUAGCAUAUUUAUUUCUCUUUUCCUGCUUUAAAAUUCUAUAUUUUGCUGAACCCUUUUGUCUCCUGUUUGUUUAUGCUGCCUUCCCAAGGUUGAUAGUUUGCUGGGACGAAGGGAAAAUCAAGGAGAACAUGAUGCGUCGCGUAAAAUAAAAAAUGAAUUCCUGGUGAAUUGGGAUGGGUUGCGCACGAAGGAUUCCGAACGAGUCAUGAUACUAGCAGCAACAAACAGGCCAUUUGACCUUGAUGAAGCUGUGAUAAGGCGACUGCCCCGUAGGUAAAAGGGGCACGACUAAUUUGCAAAUAUUAUUUAAGUUGAUUUUCAUAUAUCACUUCAUUAAUACCCUUUUCAUGUCUUUUCUUUAUAGGUUGAUGGUCAAGUUACCAGAUGCUCUAAACAGAGCAAAAAUUCUCAAAGUGAUACUCGAAAAAGAGGACUUAUCUGAGGAUGUUGAUCUGAAUUCAAUUGCAAAUACUACAAAUGGGUAUUCAGGAAGUGACCUGAAGGUAUCUUUGCUAAUCACGUAUACAUCAUUCUGAAGUUUGAAGACGCUUUGUUUUCUAAUUUAACUCCUUUGUUAUGUAGAAUCUCUGCGUAACAGCUGCAUAUCGACCCAUCAAAGAGAUCGUAGAAAAGGAAAAGAAGGUAUAGCUUUCCUUUGUUUGAUGUUUGUUCAUUGAUUGCUUAACUGUGGCAGAAAAUACUAUGUUGGCUCUUCCAAUAGAUUUUUUUCGCGGUUCUCUUAUGAAUGUCUGUUCCACUUUUGAUGGUCUUUAGAGGAAUCUUUGGUGCUUUUGGUUAUCCUGCUUUCUUUCAAAAAUCAUGGAGUUAAUACUCUGACAACUUGUAUUUGCCAAAGAAAAAAUGCAGUCUUGUGCACGAAAAAUCCACCUUCACACAUGGUGCAGGGAAGGGCUGCACCCCAUUGUAAUGUAGCCACCUUGCAUCAACUGAGCUCCGUGUUUUCCACUGUUGAGGUGGAGCAUUCAAAACCCAUAAGUAGCAUAUCAUCCGUUUCUCCUUUCCAAACUGGUUAAUUUCGCUUUUCUGUUCAUCUGAUUUGAGUUAUUCCAACAAGUUGCGAGUAUGAUGUAGAAGGAAAUUUAGGAGGCCCUUGUGUGUUUAUAUGUGUGUGUGUGUGCCUCCUUAAUAAAUUUGCUAAAACUGGUAUCUAAUGCUUAUAGGAACAUGCUGCCGCCAGUGUAGAUGGUCGACCACCUCCAGCACUAUACAGCAGUGCAGACAUACGACCACUGAAUAUGGACGACUUUAGAUAUUCUCAUCAGCAGGUGAGUUGAAAAUUUCUGUCAGUGUCUUUUUACUUUCUAAACUAUUUACUGCAUUAGCAUGCGGAUUUGGAGUGAUUGACUGUUCCUAUAGGUUUGCGCAAGUGUUUCAUCUGAAUCUGAUAAUAUGACUAAGCUUCUUGAGUGGAAUGAUCUGCAUGGAGAAGGGGGCUCUCGAAAGAAGAAAUCGGCCUUUAGUUACUUCAUUUAGACCGUCUCUGUGUGUAGGUAGAUGUUUACCUUCCUCCGAUUUUGAUUACCUAUGGGGCAAGGUCAGUUGCCUGUCCUUUUGGGUUGCUGUGAACCUUGGCUGUUUGUACAAUCAGUUUUGACAUGUUACUAUGGUGGAAUAGACUUAUAAAAAUAGUUAGUUUAUCUGCCUUCGUUUUGCUCACAACUUGCAGACUGUGUUCAGUUCCUGUCAUAAAGGUUUGUUGUGGAUACACAUUUUAUUCAUUCAAUACUUGAUCCAAUUGAUUUUUGCAUAAACGUUUUGAACUCAUCAAUCUUUGACACAAAAUUAUUCACUGGUACAAAUCGGUCAUAUGUAUAAUUAUCGAUCAGAUAUGCAUUCACCUCUCUUUUCUCACUGGCAUCUGUCCUUUUUCUAUUGGCUAGUUUCUUUUUAAUAUAUAAAUCAGUUGUAUUUCUCUUGCCUCUCUUCUCCCAAUUUCGCUCCCGUUCCUUCUUCUAAUAUGUAGUUAUGAACUGUGAUUUGAAAAACAUUAGCGAAAGAGCUAGAUUAUGUUUCUACUUUCUAGCAUAGUUGUUUUUGAAAUUUCAUUUUUUAAAAAGACCCGUGAGAUAAGUUAACAAAGGAGAGCUUAUGAGAAGUUUUUGACUAAAUUUACAAUUUGCUAUAUUUUUUUUACAAAAAUAAGUUUGUAUUUAAUAUCAACAAAGUUGGUUUAUAAAGAAGGUUAUGUAACACAUAUUCAAGGCGCAUGAGAACAUCAUCAAAAUGGAUUUGGCCCGCAAGGUCUGCUCAAUCCAAACCCUACCCUUAAAAUAAGUGGGGUUGGGUUUAAUAUUUUUGGCUCAUUUAUUAACGAGACUGUUUAGUCCGUCCCAUUUGGCCCGUUGGCCUCGUAGGUUCAACCCGCAAGCUUCUGAGGCCAGCCCGUGGACUAUUAAUUUUUUAAAAUAUUUUUAUUUAUAUUUUUAAUAGUGUUUUAUUUGUAAAAAAAUUAUUAAAAAUAUUUUUAAAAAAUAAAAAUAAAGUAUUUUGCAAUUUCAUCUUGCAUGAUGAAUUGUAGAUGAAGAUGAACUUCUUAAGGAAAUAAUAUCACAUGUUGAUUCAAAUGUGAUCAAUGGUGGAAGUAGAAGUGGAGUUGUAAAACAUGAAUUAAUAAGUCAUGUAAUAUUUAGAAAUUCAGAUUUGUUAAGUAUUUAGGCUGCCUUGUAUUGCAAGAAAUCUUUUAAACCAGCUAGUUUUUUGUGAGAAAAAUGAUAGAAUUAUCAACAUUUAUCCGCUAAAUCUUACGUUAAUUAUUAUAUAUUUUUGUAAGUAUUCACCAAAGCGUGUGAUUCAUAAAUGUAUUUUUAUAAGUAUUUACCGAAGUGUGUGAUUUAUAAAAGAUUUUUUGUAUGAAUUGAUGUCGUGUUCAUAAACGUCAACAUUCGACAUUCUUUCUAAGAGAGUAAUAUUGUUCAUUUUUUGGUUGAAAGACCAACCCGUCCCAACCCGUGGCCCGUUUAGGGCUGAGUUCGACCAUUAUUUUAUUGACCCUUUAAUUAAAAGGGUCAGCUCGUCCCAAACCAUUUAACUCUCUAGCCCGUUACGAUUAGGUUGGGCCAACCCAUUUUAACACCACUAAAUAACAUAUUCAAGGUGCCUAUAAUACACAUUGGUGGAUCCAUAUAUGAGGCUGGAGGUGCCACCACACUAGAACACUUCCAUUAUAAUUUACACAAAUUUCAUAGUGUAAAGAGUUAAUUACAUUUUAUUUCUAUUUUCUUUAUUUAUAAUAAUCCUUUAAAAUUUAUACCUUCCAAAUACAUUAAAGAGUAUUUCGCAUAAAUUAUAACAUAAAUUGGAUAUAUAAUAUGUAGAUAAGAUACAUUAAAAACUAGAUCGGAUAUAUAAUAUGUACCUUGAAUACAUUAAAAACUAGAUCGAAUACAUAAUAUGUAUCUCGGAUACAUUAUAAAAUAAAUUGGAUACAUAUUAUAUAGCUCGGAUACAUUAAAUAUUGACUCGGAUAUUUUAAUAUGUAGCUCGAAUAUAUUAAAUACAUUAGGAAGAAAUAAGGAAUUUUAGAGAUUUUUAGAAAUAAAAAGAAAUAUUGAAAAUAAGAAAAACAUAAAACGUGUAUUUCAAUAAUUUUUCCUAAUUUAAAUUGAUUUUUUUUUAAAAGAAAGUUUUUUGAUAUUUUAAAUUUCAUUUUCACUUUUCUAUUAUUUUUUACGCAUGUUGUGUGCGUAUUCUUUAACAAUUAGUACUAAAAAUUUUAAAUGUCAAUAAAAACAUAUUUAAAUAGUAAAAAGAUUUUAGAAAGUAUUCACGCUUUAAAAAUGAUAGAUAAUAGAACAAUUUUACAUAUAGCAAACAUAAAAAUCAUAUUUAUAUGUUAUAACUAUAAUGUGCAUAAUUGUUUUCCAUAAUAAAUUUUAUGUCUUUUAUGAAACUUUUAAUUUGUAUAAUUUGCUAGAUACGUCUAAUUUUAUAUAAAUUAUUCUGUUUUGUAUAAAUUCACUUGUACAUUGUAAUUUGUAUAAUAAGAUUUGUAUUUGUAUAGUUAUAAGAGUAUAUGACAAAAAUAUAUGUAUUUUUAUUUGUAUGUAUAUUUUUACGUUGCUUUAUACAAACACAAAUAUGUUUUAUAUAUUUUAUACAUUUGUAUACCGAAUGAGUAAUUGUAUACUGAAUCAUAUGACAAAAAAAUGGGAUAUUUACUGCAUAUUACAAAUAAAAUAAAAUACGACUAUAAUAUUUGAUUUGAGUUGAUAGUUUGUUAGUUCAUACAAUUUGCUCCAAAUAUUAUUAUGAUAGAGUUUUUGAAUUUAAUGACUAUGUGAAGGUGAUUGAGUUGAACCGACCUCAAUCUUCAAAAAUUGAGAAUAUUGGAUGCAUUUCUAUAAUAUCCUUCUUCACUUAAAUAUCAAUAUAUGACUCAAUUAGCAUGACAUUAGACUCAAAUAUGUGACCUAAGUCACAUGUCCCUCGACCUUUGCCACUUGAACUAAGAUUAAGAAACUUAAUUGACUAAUUAAUUAGAGAUAAGACACAAUUAUCCCUUAGACUAUGCAUGAAAUUUUAAAGACACAUCGUAACUAAAUUAAGGUCGUAUUACCCCAAUUCAUUAAUUUUUUUUGUUAUUUUGUACACCUUCUUAGCUUAUGUGGCAUCCAAAUAUCUUCCACGCACCUCAACUACGUGGAGUUACGGAAUGUGCCACAUAAUCCAAAAGGUGCAUAAAAUUAAAAACUAAAUAUUUCUAGGAUUAUAAAAUUUUAAUUUAGUUAAUAUGUGUCACUGAGAUUUCGUCAUAGUCUACAAGAGUACUUGUAUUCUGUCCCAAUUAAUUAUAUUAUGUCUCAACAAUUUCUUUACUCUCAAAGAGUUCUUUUCUAUCUAUGAAAGAAAGUAUUGUUCUACAUUUUUGAAAUGUGAAUAAUAGAUCUUGAUUAGUUUUAUUUUCUCGAGAAAUAAGUUCAAAUCACUUAGUUAAUUCACAUUUAGAAUGGAAUAAUCACACAAACCAAUUCACUUUUGUUUUUGGUCGACAAAAUAUGAAAGCAGUUACACAUGAGACAAAUUGAUAUUUGAAUGAUAUUUCUCUCUAGCACUCUUUUGCUCUGAAGGACAAGAAAAUGGUAUCGCCAAAAUAACGUUUUGGCUCUUGACCGCCCACAGAAAAGAGACUAAAAAAUAUAGCACCAAAAAAAUGUUCUGGCUCUUGACCGCCCACAGAAAAAAAAAUUUAACAUUUUUCCUUUAAAGGACAAGAAAAUGUCAUCACCAAAAAAACGUUCUGCCUCUUGACUGCUCACGUGAAAGUAAACAAAACAAAACAAAGAACCAAAACUCCAAACUAUUCCUCUCUAUCACUUCUUUCGCGUGGACAAGAAAAUGGUAUUGCCAAAACACGUUCUAGCUCUUGGCUUCCCAUAGGAAAGAAGAUGUUGUCAUCAUCAUCUGGUGAUAAACCUCCUUCUUCGAGCGUUCAAAAGUGUACACAUAUUUAGUGAAUAUUUGAGUCAAAAUUGAAUUAAAAGAAAAUUGAUAGUCAUUUGCUAUAUUGGAUAGUUUCAAAUGAAGAAUUGAAGAGAUUAAUACAAAUUCUUUGUCAUGUUAGGAAAUUACAUUUAAUUAUCUAGAGUCGAUAAAUUUAGAAUAAAGUCAUAUUUGGACAAAAUAUCAAGAAGGCAAACGCGUAUAUGUAGUAAAUUUUUACUUGAUUUACUAGGAGCACUAGCAAAAUCUAUUGAUUCAGCAAUUUGGAAAUCUUUUUGAACCUUGACUAAUUAAUUACUGAUAUAAUAUAUCAUGCCUAAACAAUUUCUUUAAUCUCGAGGGAUUCUUUUCUAUCUGCAAAGAAAGAAUUUUCUUUAUUUUUGAAAUAUGAAUAGAAGACUUUUAUUAGUCUCUCAAUUUUUAAUUACUUGUUUAUUUUUGAAAUAACAUAUUUAUUAAAAAAAAUUAAUGACAUAACGAGUAUAUCACUUUACCUCUAUUAAUUAUGAACUGGAUGCUAAAUUUCAAAUUUUUCAAAUUAAUUAGUCAUUUAAUUGAGAACAUAAUUUUUUAUCCUUUCUUAAUUUGUCAAAGUAAACAAAUAAUUAAAAAUAACUAUAAAAUAUAAUAAAUAAUUAGCGGGAGUAAUUUUCUCUUCACCAGAAAUAGGUUCACAUUAUUAAUUUAAUCCUCAUUUUAAUUGGAGUAACCACAUAAAACAAAUCAUUUUUUUUAUUUUCAUUUUUUUAAAAAAGUAGGUGACAGCAUAAAAGUUUCAAAGUUCUGAAAAUACAAUUUAUAAAUAAUUUUUUUAAAGGUAUUAUAAAUUAAAAUAACUAACAAUUCAAAUCCUUAGAUAUAUAUAAAAAAAAUUCCAAUAAAAAAAACUUAACUCAACAUUUUUUUUUUCUUUAUAAUUUAUCCGUGCUACCUUUUUAAAUAAAAGCCUUAUUACAAUAAUUAGAUUUGAAGCUUGUUUGGAAUGAUUUUUAUUUUUGGCUUAUUUUUUUCAUCAUUUUAGCGUUAAAUCAAGUAUUUAUAAAUGCCUUUUCUAAUUUAUCAAAAGACUUAUGAAAUAAUAUUUUCAUAAAAAUAAAGCUGUUGUAAAUCCAUUGUAUAUGUGGAUGAUCCAUUAGAGUUAUCCAACAAUUAAUUAGAUUCAUGUAUUAGUGUUUUCAAUGUGAUAAGAUAUCAAGGUGAUAUGAACCUUGAUGAUAACUAUGUAAAUUUCAAAGUGACCUUUGACUAUGAUAUCUCAACAUUAUAAAUAGAGAUAUCAUUCACCAUUGUAUGAUAUACUUGAAUAAGAAAAUUAUCUCCUCUAUCUUAUACUUCUUGUCUUUUUCUUCUUAUAUUCUGAGUUUUCUUUACAACAAAAGCUUCAUUAUAAAUUUUCUUAAAAAAUUCUAAUUUUUUAUUUAUUUUUUUUUAACUUUAUUUUCUCACACCAUCAGCCCUACCUGUCUCCAUACCCCUUUGAGAAAAUCAAUAAAUACUGCCCUAACCAAUACUAAUCAAAACCAUAAACCCAACCUAUUCUUCUCUCACUCUUUUCCUCUCAAAAACAAAAAACAAAAUGGUAUCACAAACACAAAGAGAAAGUUCCGCCUCUCAAUCACCCAAAAGAAAAAAAAGGAAAAAGAAGUCAUCAUCAUCGUCCGAUCAUAAACCUCCUUCGCGAUGUCCAAAGGUUCACAUAGAUUCAUUUUCACUUCAGUUUUUUUCCUUUUUUAGUGUUUGUUGAUUUUUUUUUCUCUUGUGGAUUUUUUUAGGCAAAUGAUAACGAUGUGUAUUCACCUGGAAAAUCGGUACCGAUCUGGGAGAUAUUGAAGGAGCAAUAUUCGAUAGAUCGAUCCAAACUCUGCGGCAACAGCUCGGCUAAUGAUAAAGUUCAGGCUGCCGGAAAAGUUGACGGCGUUGCUGCCAGAAAAGGUGUCAGAUCUGUCACAGAAGGCAAGCCCUUUUUUUUUCAUAUUACUAGCUCCGUCUAUUUUAACGUGUCUGUUUGGACUUCCAUUGUAUUUUAGUGCUGAUGAUUGAACUUUAUAACUUCAACUUAAAAUUAAGUGUCUGUAAGUAUACUUAAAAACACUUAAAAUAAUUAAAACUCAAAACAGAUUCAUAAAUUAUAGUAAAUCAAUUUUAUGAGGACUUUUGACAUGUUUUUAUUAUUUUAGCUUCAAAUGAAGUGCGUAUAAGUACUUUUUGAAUUUAUUCAAAAACUUCAAAAGGAAUUAUUUUAAAUAAGUCUACUGUUUUUUAAGUUUAUUUUAGGUAAAAGAAUUAAGAAAAUUUAUUUAUCUUUUUUGAUUUUCUUGAGAAAUUCACUGUUUUGUCUAUCUUUGAUGAUAUUGAAUGUGUCAUUCAGGUGCUGAAAUGAAGAAGCCUUGGUGUCAACUAAUAGCAGAGUUUCCGCAGGUUUUCAAGUAGUAGUAUUUAAAAUUAUUUCUAUUUGUUUUAAUUCGGUAUUUGUAUAACAUCCUUAUUAAUUUAGAUUUAUAUUGUUUAGGAUCCCAUUUGGCGGAAAGCAUAUCAUGAAUUUUUUCAUACUCAAGAUUCAAACACAAACUCGAGAUCUCUGGUUAAAACAGAAACAAUUCCGUCCACUGCAAUGCUGGUUAUCAUCUAUUUUUGUUGUUCAAUUUUUUUGGAUUUAAUGUGAAUACACUGCAGAAAUUUUGUUUGAUAUCUAAUAGAAUGUGAAUACACUGCAGAAAUUUUGUUUGAUAUCUAAUAUAAUGUGAACACACCGCAGAAUUCAACAGUGGAGAUUUUUGAGCAACGUUUUAUGACUGGUGCGGGCAAAAACCUUCCUGAACAUGCAAUGAUUUGCAUGAUAAAUCGUGAAGAGGUAAAGCUCUAACUUGGAGUACCGACUUUCCUCACUAUUUAAUGUUGUUUUGUCCGAUAGUUGAGAACGAUUUGGAAAGUCACCCGAUAAUUUAUUAGUUAAUAUAUUUUCAAGAAAUAAUAUAACCUUAAACACAUAAUUUAAUAUUUCCCAUUAGUUUACUAAGUUAAAACAUUCUUUAAGUAUGCAGUCUUAAAUUUUACUUCCAAUUCAUUUUCUUAUUUCUUCCUCUCAGUCAGUCAUGAGCGAGCUGUGCUUAGACGCCCCUGCCGUGGAUGAUCCGGACAAGUUAUUCGCUAAUACAUUGUUUGAGGUGGAAAUUCUUUCUAUAAAUAUGUGAAAUUUUUGUUCCUUUCUUUUUUGGGUUAAACUUUACUCUUUACAUUUCAUUAUACUUUUUCAGGUUGUAUUCAAUGAGAGCCGGAAUUUGCCAUUCAUUUUGUUCGUGAAAGAUGCUGACAAAGUAAUGGCAGGAAACGCAGAAUUAUAUUCAACAUUUAAAACUCGGCUUGAGAAACUUCUUAAUAAUGUAAUUAUUAUUGGUUCACAGUCGGCUUGAGAAGCUUCCUGAUAAUGUAAUUAGUAUUGGUUCACAAUAGCUUGAGAAGCUUUCUGAUAAUGUAAUUAUUAUUGGUUUACAAUUGGCUUGAGAAGCUUCCUGAUAAUGUAAUUACUAUUGGUUCACAGUCUGCUUGAGAAGCUUCCUGAUAAUGUAAUUACUAUAUGUUCACAGUCGGCUUGAGAAGCUUCCUGAUAAUGUAAUUUCUAUUGGUUCACAGUCGGCUUGAAAAGCUUCCCGAUAAUGUAAUUACUAAUGGUUCACAGUCGGCUUGAGAAGCUUCCUGAUAAUGUAAUUACUAUUGGUUCACACGCUCAUACAGAUAAUCAUAAGGAGAAAAUACUAUUUGAGAUCAGAUUGCCCAUGAAUAGAUGCAUGUGUUAUAUCUUUUCUAGUUUUAUAAUGUGUAUACAAUGUAUUAAGUUGCCUGUUAUGAAAAUUUAUUAUGGAUUGAAUUUCUUGGCUAUAGUAGUUAUUAGUGCCAAAACAUUGUUAGACUGAGGCUUGUUCAAGAGAAUGAGAGGUGACUCCUAGUACAACAAAAAGUUUAAAAGAUCAUCUCCCAAGCACAAAAGAGAUAUUAGUCUUGCUAUAUAUUUAUAAUUCAUGCGCGCCCAUGUAGCAUACACACACUACACAGGGCGGCACACUCUCUUUUGUAUAUAUAAAAUUAGUUUCAUUCAUAAGCAUGGCCACAAUGGCCGUAUACAAAAGAUAUACUUAAAAGUAGAGAAUUUACAAAACGAUAUGAUUCUAUACAAAGUUAAUGCAAUUUUCAUUAUUAUACGUGAUUUAAUGUAGUAAAUGAACUAUAAAUUUAAACAUAUGACAUGCAUGUAUUAGCAUGGUGUAAACACGUGAUGCCGAUAAUGUUUGAAUUAAAGUCGAACUCGAUAUUUAUCAAUUUGCGGUAGUUGGAUUUAAAUAGAGUCACUACUCACUAGUAACCAAAGAAUGAAAGACACACUUUUUCAUUUAAAUGACACCGAGUAAAGAAUGAAAAAACACACUCCUCAAUUUAAAAGACGCAUCAUACACACAAAUACACAUACACCCUUAUUAUUUCAGCUUUCAUUUGAAUCAAAUUUCAUAUGUUUUUUUUGCGUAAAUGAGCAGAGAAUAAGGGAAGAAAAAUAAAAUCAUAAAGCACGUAUAUCUAUUCUGUUUUGCUGUUUUAUGUGGGGUUAUGUAAAAUUAGAAGUCAUUAAUAACGACUAAAUGUAUAGUUUCUGAAGAAAAGAGAAAGACUAGUUUUAAAAAUAAAUAAAUAAAAAGAAUUCCUUUUUUGUUGUGGUGUCACGUCAUUGAUUGAGGAUUCUCUUUUUUAUAUAUGUAUUAAAUAGAAAAUAAAGUUUGUAUUUAAUGUUUUUUUUUAAUUAGAAAGAUUAGAUAGCAUAGAUGACAAACAGUUUUUAGGGUCAUAAAAUUUGGCUACUUCACUAUAGAUUAAGCGAACUAGCAGAUGCUUUAGUUUGUAUUAAUAUUAAUAAAGUCGUUUUAUUAGAAAAGUUUAUAUAUAACACAAAUUUAAGAUGCAUAAGAGAACAUAUAUAUUCAAAAGUGUGAAUAAUAUACAAGAAUGAAUUAUAUAAGAGGUUGGGAUGGUAGGGUGCCACGACAUCACAUACAUAAAUUCAUAAAAUAUAGCUUAUAGAGAUAACAAAAAGGUGGAGGAUGCUAGUAAAACCUGGUCGAAUGAUUAUCGAUAUGGGCUAUGAUAUAGUGAUUGAAAGUGUUUUAUCUUUAAUCAAAAAUUUGAAAUUUAAAUAUGCGAUGAGAAUUUGAAUGUCGUCUGCAACAUAAAUGAUUGUAUUAGCUUAGAUAAAAUUUGAGUUUGGAGUUAAAAGGGUAAAAAAAAUUGUUAAAAUUUUUAGAAGGGCAUAUCAAUUUUUUUUUAACUAAAACGACAAAAUCGCUCACGAUGUAGCGAUUUUGUCUGUCGGAAAAAGCAUAAUUGCUGCUGUAGCAACGAUUUCUUAAAUUUCUUUUUUAAAAAAAAAUAAAAUAAAAAUUAAAAAGAACGAUUUUCAAAAUUUAAAAAAAAUUAUAAUUUUUUUAUUUUGCAGCGACUUACAUUAAACUUUUUUUUGAUUUAUUUUUUAAAAAAAUUAAAAUCAAAUCUUGGCAAAAUCGCUGUCAAGCCAGCGAUUUUUAAUUUAACUUUUUUAAUUAUUUUUUUAAAUUAAAUCACUUUAAAGACAACAAUUUACACUUAAUUUUUUUUGAAAACUUUAUUAUAUCGGCUAAUUUUUUUGCAGUGAUUUAAUUAAAUUUUCAAAAAAAUAAAAAUUAAGUGUAAAUCGUUGCCUUUACAGCAUUUGAUUUUUUUAAAAAAAGAUUAAUAAAAAUCACUGCUAAUGAUUUUAAAAAAGUGACUUAUUAAAAAAAUUAUAAUUUUUUUAAUUUUGAAAAUCUCUCCUUUUGGAGAGACUUGUUUAUUUAUUUAUCGGAACAAGGGCCUAAAAUACCUUUAAAGUAUUGAAAAUUGUACAAAAUUACCCUUCAUCCACCUAUUGGCUCCAAAAUGCCUUUUUCAUCCACCUAUUGGCUCCAAAAUACCCUUGUCAUCCAUCUUUGGGUUCAAAAUUGACUACUUUUUUUAAUUGUUUUAAAAUUAAACUCUUUAAAUAUUUUUAAAAAAUACUUGGCGUUCAACUAUUGAUUAUAAUUAUAAUUUAUUAAUAUAAUUUAUAAACUAUCCCACUACUCACUCAUUACUAAUUAAACCUCACCCCAAUUAAUAAUCCAAUUAUAAUAUCAAAAUCGUCAUAAACACUACUAAAACACGAUGAAAUUAUAGAUUUCUGAAAAUGACAUUCAAAAUUAUUCGAGUCCGAAUCGAAGCCACAAUUAAAAUUAGGUUGAGCCGCUUACUUAGGAGGACACUUUCUUUCAAAAUUGAAUUAGAAAUUUAUGAUUAAAGGUAAAGAGUAAUACAUCCCGAAUUAAUUCAUGCACUUCUUUUAAAUAUAAUUUUAUAAAUACUUAUGAUUUGUUUUAAAACCUUUAAUAUAUUAUUUUGAAAAAAAGUUACCUAUGAAGUAACAUCACAUAAUUGAGACGUAAGAAUAAUUAAGAUGAACAUAAUCAGACUUUUAAGUUUAUCAGUGAUUUUUAUUUAGCCACUUGAAUGUAUGAUAAUUUACUUCUAUAAUUUUUAAAAACACUCAAUUGGCAGUAGCUUGCAUUAAUAAUGUAACGGGUUCAUUUAUUUAGAGGGAUUUGAUUAGUAAUAGGGUGGGUAGUGGAUUGAUUUAUAAAUUAUACUAAUAAGUUAAAUUAUAACAAAAAGUUGAGUGUCACGUAUUUUAAAAAAUAUUUAAAUAGUUUAAAUAUAAAACCGUUAAAUAAGUGGUCAAUUUUGAACCAAAAGGUGGAUGACAAGAUUAUUUUGGACCCAAUAGAUGGGUGUGAAGGGUAUUUUGGAGUCAAUAGGUGGAUGGAGGGUAAUUUUAUACCAUUUCUAAUACUUUGAUGGUAUUUUAGCCCCUUUUCCGUUUAUUUAUUUAUUUUAAAAAAGAAAACAAAUUUAAGAAAUCGCUGCUAUAGCAGCGAUUUUUCUUUUUCAGACAGACAAAAUCGCUGUAUCGUGAGUGAUUUUACCGUUUUGGUUUUAAAAAAAUUGAUAUGCCCUUUUGAAAUUUUUGAUAAUUUUUUUACCCUUUCAACUCCGCACUUAGAUAAAUCCCAACAAGUCAGGAUAGUCCAAAAGUAAUACAUAUUAAUUUUACUUGAAUUAAUGUGGUUUGUUCAAUAUACUAUGCGCAAUCAAAAUUAGAUAUAUAAUAUGCGUUCCGUGAAUAAAUAAUUUAUAAUUAAAAAUAUGAUUAAGUUUGACUCUAAUAUCAAAUUGAAAUGUAAAAUCUAUCCGAUAAAAGUCCAAAUUGUCAAAGGGAAAAUAUUCUUAAUUAAUUAAUUAGUUUUUGUGAUUGAGAAAUUCAUAUGGGUCAAUUCUUAAAAUUGAUCAUAGCCUUUGAAAUAUGAAAAGAUGAGGGGAGCACAAAGAAUGCGUUAAAAUUCAAGCCCAAAAGAGAACCCAAAAAGUUGAAUGUUCAAAGUUCAAAGUUUUCUAGUUAAAAAUUUCUAUAUUUUAAAGUUUUCUAAUUUAAAAGUUUCCUAACUUGAACUUUCCUAGUUAUUUUUUCCACAAUAAAAGUAGAUUUGAAUCCAUUUUUUCUUCAAAUUGAUUUUUCCAUGAUGAAUAUUGUUAUUUUAGACGAGAUAUGAUUAAUAUUAAUAUUUCAGAUGUUUUUCUUUUUUACAUCUAUGUGUGUGAUAAUUAUAGAUUUAUCUCUUUAAGAGGUUAAGAGAUUGUUUGAAUUAGCUUAAUUAAAAGUUGAUCAAAUAUACUUUAAAGUCAUUUUUAACUUUUGACAAUGUUUGACAAUGAUAAAAAUGAAUUUUAAAAUGUUAAAAAUCAAAAGUAGUAUCCCUCUGUUUUUUGACUUAAAAAUUAUUAAGUUUGAAUUUUUAUUUUUAACUUAAAAACUACUUUAAAGUCAAUCCGACGGGCUCUAAUUCUCUCACUUGAUGUCGUUGGUUUAUUCAUAAAUUAAAGAUAAUGAUUAAUCUUAUACUAAUUUUUAUUCAUAAUUUCUUCGAAAUAGGGGUCUAAAUCUUUCUUUUAUCUAAAUUUUUGAAUUGAUUAUAUUAGUAUCACAAUUAGUUUUAACUGAUCAAUUAGGAUUCUUAGCACUGUUCUUGAAAUUUGAAGGUUUUAUUCUCGAAUUUCACAUCUCUUUCAAUUUAUAUCCUCAAUCACUAUAAUUUCGUUUCCAAAUUAUUUUCUUGUUUAACAACAAUGGCCGGGGUCACCUCUAUAUCAUUCUCUAUUUAAUUGUCAAAUCAAGACUUAGUUUUCAUGACGCAAUUUUCAAACCUGUGAUGUAAGUCAUAAAUUCCCCGGUCUUUAUCAGUAGACCUAAGCUUCAAAAACUUUAUUGACUAAUUAUUAUAGUUUACGUCAACGAGAUCUCGAAUAACUAUUUUCUAUCUAUAUAUAAAAAAUUAUUUUCUAAUUUUCAAUGUGAAUAAUAGAAUUUGAUUAGUUUUUUUAAUCAUAUUUGUUUUAACGUUACAUAGUUAAUUCAUAUUUGUAAUAGAGUUACCACAAGAAGCAAUUUAACUCACCUUUUAUUUUUUAUUCUUUUAGAAAGUCAAAAUAUUUUAUUUUUUAUUCUUUUAGAAAGUCAAAAUAGCGAUACAUGAGCCAACUAUCAUAUUUGAUGAUACUGCACUUGUUUAGAGUAUUCUUAGCAUGGUAUGAUAUAAGUUACUAUUACAAUAAUUUAUAAUAAACUAAAUUGGUAUAAAUAAGUUUUUCCUAUAUAAUAUUAAGAAAAUUAUCUUAACAAUUUCUGAUACAUAUAUUUAAUUGAGAGUUAGUUUCAGAUAAUUUCAAUUAAAAAUUUGAAAUUUAAACUUUUAAAUUUUAAUUAUGAAUUUCAACAUAAAAAGUUUAAAUUUUUGAAAAUAAAAUAUACCUAUUUAAAAAUCAUGAAAGAUACUAUUAAUUACAUUAACAAUCGAAAAUUAUUAAAAGAUAUUAAAAAAAGAUGUUUGGUAGAAAAAAUGGUUGAACUCUUAUUUUUUUAAAAAAUAUAUUAUAUUUUUAAUUAAAAUAAACACCUUAUUACUGUAAAAAGAAUUUUAAAAUAAAGCUUCAUGAUUUAUAUUAAAAAAAUUUAAUUUUUUAUUUUUUACAUCUAUGAGCAUCUAUCUUAUUAUUACUCUCUUUUAAAAAGACAACAUAACCAUUAGAGCCGUCAAUAUAGGCUAGACACGUUGGGCCGGCCUGCCUAACCUGAGAUUUAAUAUGGUUGGACUAAAAUUUUUGGAGCCCAUUUAAAAAAAGAGUUUUUUAGCCCGGUCUGAAUAAGUCUAUUGAUUUGAUGGGCUUGAAAAAUAUAGGUAGAGCUGGCCCGUGGGUCAGCAAGAAUUAAUUAAAAAAAAAUAUAAUAUAAUAUUUAAAAUUAAAAUUAAAUAGAGUCCAAACUCAAAAUAAUUAGGUUAGUAUUUUUAUUUAUAUAUUUAUACUUUUACUUGAAAAUAUUUAAUAAAUAGAGAUAAUUUCAGAAACCUCCCUCCAGGCUUCGCUCUAUAACACUCACCAUCCCUGUGGUUUACGAUAUUACGUUUACCUCCAUUAUUUUCAUUUUCUUGUAACCAUUCUUUGAACCUACUUAAAUAAAUAUAAAUUAAUUUAGAUUUGACAAAUUUACCCUUAUAUAUGAAAGUUUAGAUCUAAUUUUCAAUGAUUUAUCUUUAUUCGUUGGAUCAUGUUUCUUCUUCGCUUGUGGAAAUGUUUAACUAGAACAAAAUCUUAUCGUUCUUAUCGAAUAUCUUUCUUGGGAAGUUCAAUUUUGUCUUCUAUUUGAAGAAAUUAUUGCCGGAAAAUGAUGAGUUAUUAGGAAAAAAAUUUACGUGAAUUGGUAAAGGUGAAAUGGCGAUGAAGAGUUAAUAUUUGGUGAAAAUGUGGGUUAGCUUGGUUGAAGACUUUGAUCUUUGUUGGAUUAAAAAAAAGGGUAAAAUUGUCAAAUCUAAAUUAAUUUAUAUUUAUUUUAAAUAGGUUUAGAGAAUGGUUACAAGUAAAUGAAAAUAACACUUUGUUUGGAUAAUUGUUACCCGUUGUUUCAUAACGUAUUGUAUUGUAUUGUACUCUAUUAUAUUGUAUUGUAUGAUAGAUAUAAUGUUUGGCUAGACUGUAUUGUUUGUUGUUGUUUAAUAACAUUUUAAUUAUUUGGUUUAAUUGUAUCAUAAUGUAUUGUAAUUUAUAAAUUUACUAAAAUAUCCUAAUUAUUCUAGCGUAAGAGGUUUGACUAGAUUUAAAUAAUUAAGAUAAAGAGUAAAAAAAUAUUUUGAAAUAUUAUGUAAAUAUAUAAUUGAAAAAUGAAAUUAAUAAUGGGAAUACACCAAAUUGGUUGUUCCAUAAAAUAGGGUUUUCAUUGUUACGUAACAACCAAAUUUAUCAAUACAAUACAAUACAUUUUAAGUAACAAUCAAAACAAACAUUGUAGGUAUAGUAACGAUACAAUACAAUACAAUAGAUAACAAUGAUCCAAACAUAGUGUAAGGGAGGUAGACAUAAUAUCGUAAAUCAAAUGGGAGGUGAGUGUUAUAAAGCGAAACCUGGAGGGAGGUCUCUGAAAUUAUCCCUAAUAAAUGUUAUAAAAAAUAAUUUUAUUUUGAUUUGAUUAACAAGUACUAACAUUAACAUCAUGUAAUAUUGUUUUGUCAAUAUUUAUGACAAAAUUUUAAAUUAUAAUUUAAAAUUUAAUUUAAGAAUUAUAAAAAUAUAUUUUUUUAAAGAAGUGGGCUGGCCCGUCAAACCUGUAGCCCACACACUUGUGGGUUGGGCCGACCACUUUCUAGCCCACGCCAAAAAUGGGCUAGCCCGGCCUGACCGUGAAAUAUCAAAGCCUGUAUGAAUUAGCCUAGAUGGGGUGGGCUAGCCCAUAUUGACAACUCUAAUAACCAUGGUAACUAACAGUCGCACAUUCAACUUUCUCGUUAGUAGAGUUGUUGCCGCCGAGUUUGAUUGAUUGAUCGAGCAUAACUUCUUUGCUUUCUCCGGUGGUGUCAUCGAAUUUUCAGAUGAAUUCAAAUUGUCAACAUUUGCCUAAAAAAACCAGUUGACACCAAUCCAUGUAAAGAAGGAAAAAAAAAAAGCAAUGGUGCACAAAAAUACUAUACAAAAAAAUUGUAUGAAAAUUAAUUUGUGCAAACCUUUGGGCGUUGCGAAGGAGGAGAUUUAUCGUCGAGCGAUGAUGAUGACCUCUUGUUUCCAGUGGGCGGCCGAGAGGUAGAACUUUUUUUUGGCGAUACCAUUUUUUUGUGUUUGAGAGGAAAAGAGUAAUAGGGAAGAAUAAAUUGAAGUUUUGGUUCUUUGUUUAUUUUGGUUAACUCGUAUUUAUUAUAUUUUUUUAAGGGAUAGUAGACAGAUAGACGAUGAUGGUCUUGAAAUAAUAAAUGAAAAAAUAAAAAUUAGGACAAAUUAAAAAAAAAAUUAUUUCUUAACUUUAUUUUCAAGAGUGCUGAGAUUGAUUUAUAUUAAGUGUUUUUAAGUUAAAAUAAUUUUACAUUACUUUUGAAUGUAUUGGUAAUAUAUAUAAAAGAUCUAUUUUUUUUUUCUAAAAUUCAAUUCACAUGGUGCUAGCCUCAAACUUGUGACCUAAGACACAAGUUCCUUAGCUUUUGCAAUUUGAAUUAAUUUAUCACAUUUUAAAAAGUUUUUUAAUUUCGAACAAUUUUAUUCUAUCUAAGAAGAAAUGGUUUUUUUUAAUUAUGUAUAAUAAACCUUAAUUAGUUUUUAUUUAUCAUAAUAUAUUUACAUUUCUUAUUUAACUGACACUCGAAAUGAAGUAACCAUAAGAAAUAAAACAAUUCAAUUACUUUUGUUCUUUCCUUUAUUUACUUAUUUUUUAAAAAUUAAAUAGUAGAGGUGGUUACACAUAAGACAAUUGAUAUUUGGAUGUUAACAUUGUUUUCUAUGGGCUAUAAAUACAAAUGUUUUCAUUAAAAGUUUUAUUAAUUUCGAACAAUUUUAUUUUAUCUAAGAAGAAAUGGUUUUUUUUUUUGAAUUAUGUAUAAUAAACCUUAAUUAGUUUUUCUUUAUCAUAAUAUAUUUACAUUUCUUAUUUAACUGACACUCGAAAUGAAGUAACCUUAAGAAAAAAAACAAUUCAAUUACUUUUGUUCUUUUCUUUAUUUCCUUUUUUUAAAAAAAUAAAUAGUAGAGGUGGUUACACAUAAGACAAUUGAUAUUUGGAUGUUAACAUUGUUUUCUAUGGGCUAUAAAUACAACUGUUUUCAAUAAAUUAAAUUGUUCUAAAUAAGUUUUUUCCUCUACAAUAUUAUAAACAAUGUCUAACAAUUUCGAAUACAUACAUUUAAUUAAGAACUUGUUUUAGAUAAACUUAUUUGAAAUUUCAAAAGUUCAAAUUUUAAACUUUGUUUGAAGUCCAAACAUUAAAAAAAUUAAAUCUUUUUUAUGUAUUUGAAAAUUAUAAAAAAAUAUUACAAAUCAUAAUAAUUAAUAAUUUAAAUCGUGAAUAUAUAUAUAAAAAACAUUUCAAUCAAAGAAACUUUGUUUGUGAUACUCUUUUACAUUUUUUCUUAGAAUGAAUGUCUUACUAGUACAAUCAUACCUAGACUUCAAAAUUUUCAUAUUGGCUUUUCUUUUUUAGUCAUUUAACAUAAAGUAAGUGUUAAUAAAUAUAUAUGUAUAUAACACUUAAUAUAAAUCAAUCUCAACACUCUUGAAAAUAAUGUUUAGAAAUAUUUUUUUUAAUUUGUCCUAAUUUUUAUUUUUUUCAUUUAUUAUUUCAAGACCAUCAUCGCCUAUCUGUCUACUACCCCUUAAAAAAAUAUAAUAAAUACGAGUUAACCAAAAUAAACAAAGAACCAAAACUUCAAUUUAUUCUUCCCUACUACUCUUUUCCUCUCAAACACAAAAAAAUGGUAUCGCCAAAAAAAAGUUCUACCUCUCGGCCGCCCACUGGAAACAAGAGGUCAUCAUCAUCGCUCGACGAUAAAUCUCCUCCUUCGCAACGCCCAAAGGUUUGCACAAAUUAAUUUUCAUACAAUUUUUUUGUAUAGUGUUUUGUGCACCAUUGCUUUUUCUUCUUCUUCUUCUUCUUUAUAUGGAUUGGUGGUGUCAACUGAUUUUUUUAGGCAAAUGAUGACAAGUUGAAUUCAUCUGAAAAAUCGAUGACACCAUCGGAGAAAGCAAAGGAGUUAUGCUCGACCGAUCAAUCAAAACUCGGCGGCAACAACUCAACUAACGAGAAAAUUGGAUGUGCGACUGUCGGAAAAACAAUCAUGGUCAUCGGAAAAGCUAUGACACCUGUUAUAGAAGGCAAGUUUUUUUACUCAAUUUGUCCACUUACUUUUACUUGUUGUAUAUAAAUGCAUGUUGUGAACAUUAAAUUGUAUUUUAGUGGCUCUUGAUUGAAUAUUCAAUUAUUUUUAUUAAUUAUUUUAGUUCAAAGUCAAGUUUUUAUAAUUAAUUUUUUAAUUAAUUCAAACAUUUUAAAAUUGUUUAAAAAUUAUUGUGUCUUAAAACAUUUAAUUAUAAACCAAAUUUAAGUAGAUUUUUUAUUUUUGGUUUAUAAGCUAAAAGUUAUAUGUUAAGAAUAAAUUUUUUUAAUUUGUUUUUAUCAUUUUACAUAAAAUUAAAUAUUUAUAAAAAAAAUUUCUAAUUGUUUUAAAACUAUUUUUAGUACUUCGAAUUAAUCUAUCUAAAUAAUUUCUCAAGUCUAUUUUAAUAUAAUAAAAGAAAAUUAGGAAAUUAGCAUGAAUAUAUAAUGUACACGUGCUUUAUUUUUUUUUUUUUAAAUUUUUUUUGAAAAGUUCACUGUUUUUUCUAUCUUUGAUACUAAUAUUGAAUGCACGUGUUACUCAGGUGCCGGAACGGAGAAACCUUGGUGCAGACUUAUAUCAGAGUUUCCACAGGUUUCUUUAGUAGUAUUUAUUUAUUUUUUAAAUAUUCUUUGCGUGUGGUAUUUGUUUUAGAUUUUGAUUAAUUUGAAUUUACACCUCUGAUAUUUCGUUUGGGAGAAAGCAUAUCAAAAAUAUUUUUCAUAUUAUAAUUCGAGAUCUCUCUAAUAAAGGAAGAAAUAACUCUAUCCACUACACCUCAUCUUUUAAUGGUUCAUUUUAACUAUUUUUGUUGUUUAAUUUUAUUUUAUACCACCGUAAAAUUUUUAUUUGAUAUCUUAUUAAAUAUGAAUACAUUGCAGAAUCCAACUGUAGAGAUUUCCGAGCCACGUUUCAUGGUUGGUGUGGGCAAAGACCUUCCCGAAAAUGCAAUGGUGUGUGUAAUAAGACGAGAAAAGGUACUAUUCUAAUUUGGAGUUCCUUUCUUAUUAGGCGGUUCAAAUAUUUUAAUGGCCACAAAAUAUAUUAAAGACCUUAAAUUUUUGAUUAGUUAUUAAUACUAGUACAAUGUUUAUUUAAAGUAUAUUCUAAUUUUAGAGUUUUUUUAACAUGCAAAUUAUUUUGAGAUGCAACAUUGUGUCUUUGUUUUUGUAUAAAAAAAAUUACUAUAAAUAAAAAUUUCUCCCUUUUAAUUUAUUUAUUUAAUUUUACUUGGGCCAACUUUGAAUUAAAUAAAAACAUAUUUUUUGAAAUUGAAUCAUCCAACUAAACUUUUAUUUUAUUUUUUUUAAUAAUUUUAUUAUUGCUGCAAAAUCAGCCUCUCGAAUUUUGGGGAACGUAAGGCAAGUCUUUUUUUUAAAAAAAAAUAUAUAUAUAAGCGCAGAGCAGAGCCGCCCCUUCGGUUUCCCUCUCCUCACUAAAUGUUGAUUUGCUUAAGAGUUUGAAAAGGCAUCGGAGAAUUGAAUUUGAUUUAAUGUUGUAAAUCUACCGGAAAAUUGAACAAAGUUUGAGAGGUUACGGUAGCAAUUUGAUUAUGAACAUGGAAGGAGUGCAUUUGUUUGAUUGUUUUGUGAGAUUAGAUGAAAUUUAUAUUGUAUGAUUGAUCAUUAUUUGUGUAAAUUAUCAGUACCAAAACAAUUGGGUUGCUAUUAUUGAGAGGAAGGCAAACAGAAAACCAGUGCGAGUCAAUGGGCAUAAACUUGAUAGAAAUACCAGUGGCCUUCUCAAUUCUGGCGAUGAGAUCGUCUUGGGUCAAAAGGGAAAAUAUGCCUAUGUAUCCUCAACUAUUGUGAUUUUUAUACUAUUUCUCAUCAUUAUGAUUGGAUAUCCUUGACAUUGUUCUGUAUAGAUUUUUCAGCAACUUUUGUUUUCACCUCCAAAUGUUAAUGUUGGCAGUAGCAGUAGCAGUGCUGCUGAUGUUGGACAAGGCAAGGUAAAUGGAAUGUGGACCUUACUAACUCAUACCGUAUAGCUUGUACUGAUCAACACCAUGAUAUGAUAGAACUAAAGAAAGUAUUUGUGAACAGAUGUUGGAGCAAAGAAGGUUGACUGAGGAAUCAAUGCAUGGUUCAACAUCAUCAGGGAUGUCUUGUGUAUUAAGGGAACAAAUUCGGGCUACAAUCAUUGAUGGAAUACAAGUUUCAUUUGAUGACUUCCCUUAUUACUUAAGGUAUGCCUCAAGACCAAUUACCCUUUACUUUUUGCUUGUGAUUUGAUCUUUUGGGCAUUUUCACUUGCUGUUUACACUAUGCCUCAUCUUGUUCUUGAUGCUUGUAGCUAUACCAUAGUAUGUAAGUAGCUAUGUGAUUUAAAUAAAUCUUAGUUUUCUAUAUCUGUGAAUUUGCAGUGAGACCACAAAAGCUAUGCUGAUUGCUAAUACAUAUAUACACCUUAAGCAUAGAGAGCAACUUAAAUAUGUCUCUGGGCUUCCUGCGGUCAACUCAAGAAUUAUGCUUUCUGGUCCAACAGGUUUGUUGCUUUCUCAGUAAUUAUUUAAAUUAUUGUCUCUUGUAAUUAUUUUUGAUUUCCCUCACCGAGUGCUUGAUAGAUAUUAAUCUAAUGCGUACUGACUAGUUCUGUUUUUGUUUUCCAGGAUCUGAAAUAUAUCAGGAGAUGCUGGUGAAGGCACUUGCUCGUUAUUAUGGAGCUAAAUUGCUCAUUUUUGAUAGCAAUGCUUUUUUGGGUGUAAGAACAAAUUACUCAUUAUGUUCUUGUGUGUUGAGUGGUUGUGGUUGUGGUUGGACUAUUGAAAUCCUUCGUGUCAAUUUCUGGACUUUGUUAUUCUCUUGGUCAGAUGCAAAUCAUGAAUAUAUUUCCAUAUCAUUCAGGGGCUAUCUGUGAAGGAAACUGAGCCAAUGAAAGAGGCAUGUAGUGCACACAAAUCCUCUUCAUCCGGGGCAUCAAAUGUAUUUAGGACAGGUAUUGUCUGCACUUUGAUUAUUAAGGAAUUAUAUUUUUCUUCUUCAGCUUUUUCUUUUUUACUAAUAACUGUUGUUGAAGAUGUUUAGGUGAUAGAGUCAAGUAUAUUGGCUCUGCUUCUGGUGCACAGCACUUGGGUCCCGUCUGGUAAAAUUCUAAUUGUCCUAGAAACCUCAAUACCAACUCUUUUGUACUCAAAAUGAUCUGUAUCUUCUUAUACUUGAACAAAUUUCUGAUGUUAUUUUUUGAUGGUCUGUUUGUCAUCUUUUCUCAAUGCCAUCAGUGAAACUAUUUUAUCCCAAAAAAACGAAGAAUCAUUCUUGAUGCACAUGAGUAACUAUAUGGUUUAAGGAUAAUUAGAGUAGAGAGGAGUUUCUCUUUACUUCUUUUUUGAUAUGUUUUAUUUAUGAAGUUGAGACAUAAUUUUUGCUUUUCUGCAUUUUCUAGAAAGUGAAUUGUUCUUUAUCUCCUGUACCACAUUUUGUUCUGCAACUGCCUAUUCUAUGUUUUAGUACAAUCUGAGGCUUUAGCCUUCUCUGUCUACAGGUGCCCAAAAGUUGGGUCUACAGGGAGGGUUGCGUUGUCUUUCAACGAUAAUCUAUUUGCUAAAGUUGGUGUAAGAUUUGAUAACCCCUUCAUAUAUGGCAUCGACUUAGGUGGUCUUUGUGAUGAUUCUCAUGGAUACUUCUGCAAAGGUACUUUUGGAACACAUUUAACUAUUUUCCUUUAGUUUAUUAAGUUAAACAUUCUCAAGUUUGCAGUCUUGAUUUUACUUUCAAUUCCUUUUAUUAUUCUUCCUCUAGUGAGUGAGCUGUGCGUAGACGCCCCUGCCGUGGAGGAUCCAUACACGCUACUCACUAAUACAUUGUUUGAGGUGUGAAUUCUUUCUAUGAAUAUGAACAGUGCAAUGUGGAAUUUCUGUUCCUUCCUUUUUUGGGUUAAACUUUACUCUUUACAUUUCAUUAUACUUUUCCAGGUUGUAUUCAAUGAGAGCCUGUAUUCGCCAUUCAUUUUGUUCGUGAAAGAUGCUGACAAAGUAAUGGCAGGAAACGCAAAAUUAUAUUCAACAUUUAAAAGUCGGCUUGAGAAACUUCCUAAUUAUGUAAUUAGUAUUGGUUCGCACGCUCAUUCAGAUAAUCAUAAGGAGAAGGUACUAUUUGAGAUCAUAUUGCCCAUGAAUAGAUUCAUGUAAUUAUAUUUAUUCCUGUUAUAUAAUGUGUAUACAAUUUAUUAAGAGGCCUGUUAUGAAAAUUUAUUAUGGAUUAAAUUUCUUGGCUAUAGUAGUUAUUGGUGCCAAAAUUUGGUUAGACUAAGGCUUGAUCAAGAGAACGAGAGGUGAUUCCUAUUACAACAAAAAGUUUAAAAGAUCAUCUUCAAAACAACUUAAUAGACAUUAGUCCUGCUAUAUAAAUAAAUGCAUGAGUGCACAAGCAAGAUACACACACAUUACACAGUGCGGCACACUCUAUUUUGUGUAUAUAUACACACACAUAAACAUGGCCUCAACGGCCGUAUACAAGAGAUAUACCUAAAGUAGAGAAUUUACAAAAUGAUAUGAUUCUCUACAAACUGCACCCAAUCAUCUAUUCAACAAGAAACUUUCUGAGUGCACCAAAAGAAAAUAAGAGAACAAAGACUACACACCUUCAAUAGCUCUAGUGUUUCUCUCUCUCUCCAUAAUACCCACGUUAGCGCCAGUGGAAUCAUAUUCUACUCCCUUCAUCUUCUCCUUCUCAUGCUCUUCCAACUAAACAUCAACUCUCUCACGGUGUUUGACAUUGUCUAAGAUGUGCGAAACCAUCCAAGCAUAUUCCACCAUAACAUCAUAGUCAAUCACAAAUCCUACUUUUUUGGAAAAUUUAGGAUUUGAAAUCAGGACACUAAUCGCAUGUCCAAAAAUAUCCCACAUUGCAUGUCCAAGAACAUCCCAUAUUGUGAUCUUUGACAAUCAUUCCCUCGUUAGUUAAGUUUUGUGGUUGAGUUAGGCCCAAGAUGAUGUAGCAUGGCAUCAAAGUCAGGCCUAUCCCAAUCAUUAUUUAUCGAUGUUUGGUCCCUAUUUAUAUUGUCCAUACCCUAGAUGCCCAGUCUUGGGUGCAGGGGGUGGAGUCCGACAUAUUCUCAUUUAGGGAUGACAUGUCUCUUAAUGCUUCAAUUUGUUUGUCUGGUUUUGUUUUGAUAGGGGUUUUUAAGGAAGUAAAAAAAAACUCGUGAAUCAAAGAUAUGUAGAAUAUAACAAAAUGUCUUUAAUCUUGUAUUCUUAAACAUGUGAAAAGUUGGAAUUAAAAUGUUGUCAAAAAGGGAAAGAUGCAUUAUCUUGUAACAAACUACAAAAAGAAAGCAUGAUGAAUAAAUUGAAAGGAGGCCAUAAUAGUUUUUCUAUAAAUAGAUUCAAGCACAAUGUUUUAAAAAAUUCCGAAAUGCAACAAAUAAUUAGUACUCUAUCUUGAAUACCAUACUGAAUGAUCAAAUGAUGUUUGAUUGUUUUGGUUGCUUAUGGUAAUUGUGCCCAUAAUAGUCAACCCAACCAUAUAAAUACGGACCAAAAUACACAGCAAGCAAAUAGAGUAUUUGGAUAAUCAUGUACGAAUAAUCACCCUUUACUUGAUGAAAUGUUGCCGAUUUGGCUAGGCAAGUGUGUUACUUUUAAAAUCAGCCUACUUGUCCUGCAUGAAGAAAGUGUUAGUAUAUGCAUAUCAGGUUGUAGCGCCCAUUCAUCCAUAUGAUUGAGUCCUUGGGUUUCUGAAAUAGUGUAAAAAGAAGUGCUUCGAAUCAUUGCUAUUUGACUCGGACCUGCUCUAAAAAAGUCAGGUAUUUCGAAUUGUUUGUUGACACGGUCAAAGUCAGGGAAACCUCUGAAUUAUUUCAAAAUUGAACCUUGGAUCGAAUCUCUUUAGAAAGAAGAUCUUUUAUCUCAUGUCUCAUGGUAGCCUGCUCCAGUACCCUUACUAGAUAGAGUUAAGGAGUCUUUCAUAUGUGUUUUCUUUACUAAAGGGUUGCAUUCCUUCAAAUUAAUUUGUUAUUUGUCUUUUUCAACUCUCAGUCGCUUAUAGUAUUGAAUUUUGAUGAGUUCAGGAUAGCCCUGAGAAGCAGCAUGACAAGGGGAAAGAGGUUGCAAAGAAUUCAAAAUUUCUGACAGAACUUUUCCCAAAUAUAGUGGCUAUUCACAUGCCCCAGGUCUGUUGUUUAAACUGUAUAGAAUUUAACAAAAUGCCUUUAAUCUUGUAUUCUUGAACAUGUGAAAAGGUGGAAUUAAAAUGUUGUCAAAAAGGGAAAGAUGCAUUAUCUUGUAACAAACUAGAAAAAAAAGUAUGAUGAAUAAAUUGAAAGGAGGCCAUAAUAGUUUUUCUAUAAAUAGAUUCAAGCACAAUGUUUUAAAAAAUUCCGAAAUGCAACAAAUAAUUAGUACUCUAUCUUGAAUACCAUACUGAAUGAUCAAAUUAUGUUAGAUUGUUUGGUUGCUUAUGGUAAUUGUGCCCAUAAUAGUCAACUCAACCAUAUAAAUACGGACCGAAAUACAUAGCAAGCAAAUAGAGUAUUUGGUUAAUCAUUUGCAAAUAAUCACUCUUUACUUGAUGAAUGUUGCUGAUUUGGCUAGGCAAGUGUGUUACAUUUAAAAUUUAGAAGUCUACUUGUCCUGCAUGAAAAAAGUGUUAGUAUAUGCAUAUCAGGUUGUAGGUUCACUCCCCUUCCAAAUGUAGCUCAUGCAACCAAUUAACUACCAGGUUGGUAGCACCCAUUUAUCCAUACGAUUGAGUCUUUGGGUUUCCGAAAUAGUGUAAAAAGAAGUGCUUCGGAUCAUUGCUAUUUGACUCGGACCUGUUCUAAAAAAGUCGAGGUAUUUCAAAUUUUUUGUUGACACGGACAAAGUCAGGGAAACCUCUGAAUUAUUUCAAAAUUGAACCUUGGAUCGAAUCUUUUUAGAAAGAAGAUCUUUUAUCGCAUGUCUCAUGGUAGCCUGCUCCAGUCCCCUUACUAGAUAGAGUUAAGGAGUCUUUCACAUGUGUUUCCUUUACCAAAAGGGUUGCAUUCCUUCAAAUUAAUUUGUUAUUUGUCUUUUUCAACUGCCAUAUGGUAACUUAAUUAUAUUUUUCAACUCUCAGUCGCUUAAGUACUGAAUUUUGAUGAGUUCAGGAUAGUCCUGAGAAGCAGCAUGACAAGGGGAAAGAGGUUGCAAAGAAUUCAAGAUUUCUGACAGAACUUUUCCCAAAUAUAGUGGCUAUUCACAUGCCCCAGGUCUGUUGUUUAAACUGUAUAGAAUUUUAUAUGAUCUUAUUCUUGAUUCAGCAAACUACUGAGUGGUUUUGAGUAUUGCAGGAUGAGGCACUUUUAUCUAUUUGGAAACAACAACUGGAACAAGACGCCUAUACCCUCAUAAUGAAAGAAAAUUUUAACAGCUUACAAACAGUAAGGCUUUCUGACCUUUAAACUUAUGAGUGCGCACAUCAUUGAAUGAUGUUCUUAUUACUCAUCCUUGGAUAUAGUUUUUACCUUACAUUUGUGACUCCCCUCAGAUGUUCAUUUGACUUCUCUUGCAUUCUUAUGGAAGUGUACAAUUAAUUGAGAUAGAAGAUUUGAAAUGAACAUUUAUUUUGCAUCAUUAUACAAGUAGCACCUAGAACUCGGUUGAAUUCCCCUUCUCAUUUAGUUCUCCUGGGUUAAGCAAGGUUUCCUUGCUACCAGCCAUGAAAACAAACUUCAAAUGGAGCCUUGACUUUCAAAAAAUAUGUUACCAACGUCAGGGGAUCCCCGUGUAAAACAAUAAGCUGACCUUACACUACAAUCUUCUUACUGUAUCCUUUCCAUGUUAAUUUAUCUGGUGCAGAAGUUGAGCAACUCUGUCAAUUUCCCAGUCAUUAAGUAGCCUCCUGAAACUGAAAAUUUCACCCCUGUUGACUUAAUACAUCUGCUAGAUUGUCCUGAUUUUCCCAAUAAUAAUGUCAAUCAAUGUAUUUCCGACAUACUAAAGCUAGAGUUGGUGCUCUCUGAUAUUCUUUUUUCUAAAAAAAAUUGUGUGAAUAAGUUGAGUGCUUUAUUUCUGAAGUCAAUAGAUUAAUCAUAUGACGUCUAUCUUUAACUACUUUCUAUAUGAUGGUUGCUCUUUUAUAGGUUCUGAGUCGGAAUGGAUUGAAAUGUAAUGGACUUCAGACAUUGUGCAUCACAGACCGAAAUUUCUCUGUUGAAAGUAAGUUGUUGCUUUCACUGUUCUUCCGUUUCUCUUUCGUUUCUUUUCUCUUCCCGCAGUUUUGGGGUUGGGGUAGAGGAGUGUGUGAGCUACUUUAGAUUCUCACUAUAUUGUCACUGUGUUGUUUAGAUCCUCCAUAAUCCCUACCACGUCCAUUUCGGCACGAUUUGGGUGUGGGUGUAGGAUCUACACACUACUUGGUCAACCUAACUUGGGUGCUUUGACUAUAACAAUGACUAAGAACUAUAGGCUGAUGAUUGAUUGGAUAUUUGGUUUGAUUUUGGGAUUUAUAUGUAUAUAUAUUCACAUAAAGUACCCGAAUACUUUGCUAUAUAGGAGAUAGCUUCUGAAAAAAAUAUGAAGUGUUAACAAAAAAAUUAAUUAUUCUUAUCACUGUUUUUGGCUGCUUGAAGGUGCAGAGAAGGUUGUUGGAUGGGCGUUGAGCCAUCACUUGAUGCAGAACAAAAGUGUGGAUCCUGACGAGGCACUUGUUUUAUCACCUGUGAGGUAAUGGAUACAGCAGCAGUUGAUAUUCUCCUAUCCAUUGUUCGCUUGACUAUAAUAAUUGUUGAAUUGAAGAAUUGUGGAAAUCUUUUGCUAUUUAACAGCAUUCAGUAUGGGUUAAAGGUUCUACUUAAUCAAAAUGACACCAAGAGCUUGAAGAAGUCAGUUAAGGUGAUUAUAAUAUCCCCCAUCUGAUGUGUUGCUAAAUGUGUUUUUCAUUAGAAGCUACGUAAUGAUAUGAAAGAUAUUGACUUGUGAACUCAUGAACAAAUUUGUGUCCAACCCCAGGAUGUUGCGACAGAAAAUGAAUUUGAGAACAGGAUUCUGGAUGAUGUUAUCUCUCCCGGUGAUAUUGGGGUGACAUUUGAUGAUAUUGGUGCACUUGAAAAUGUCAAGGAUACAAUAAAAGAACUAGUCAUGCUUCCCUUACAAAGACCUGAACUUUUCUGCAAGAGUCAACUAACCAAGGUUUACAUCUACAUUUUGUCCAUAUUUUGCUUAUCUAAUUGUAUUAGCUUGCUAAAUGUUUAUUGCUGAUUUUCUGAAGUCCCCAAAAGAAGAUGCAUAAAAACAUUUUCUCUUGAUGUCAAAAUUUCCUUUUAAUGUGUGUCUCCUAUUUUGCUUUUAAGUUUCUUCUCAACGUCAUUUGGGCGGUUUGAGAAGAAGUUUGUGCUUGAUGAGAAACUUACUUCAAGUUUUGUUUCUCCUUUUUGGACUUGAAUUUCCAAGCAUCAUCUAGAGAUUUGUGGUUACUUAAGAAAAUUAUCGCUCUACUUGUUCACAGCCAUGCAAGGGAAUACUUUUGUUUGGUCCUCCUGGGACUGGGAAAACCAUGCUGGCAAAAGCUGUUGCCACUGAAGCGGGUGCAAAUUUUAUCAAUAUUUCAAUGUCAAGUAUCACUUCAAAGGUUUGUUUUACUUGGAGCUUAUUUGUGCUCUAUCGAGUAUAGAUGAUGUUGUUAAUAGUAGCUUCUCGCAUUAUAACAGUCUUUAAUCGUCUUCUUUCCCAUGCUGCAGUUGUUUGGUGAGGGUGAGAAAUGUGUAAAAGCUGUCUUCUCGCUGGCUAGUAAAAUUGCUCCCUGUGUUGUUUUUGUUGAUGAAGUAUGCUUCCUUAAACAUUAGCAUAUUUAUUUCUUCUUUCCUGCUUUAAAAUUCUAUACUUUUGCUGAUCUCUUCUGUCUCCUGUUUGUUUAUGCUACCUUCUCAAGGUUGAUAGUUUGCUGGGACGAAGGAAAAAUUCAAGAGAACAUAAGGCGAUGCGCAAAAUAAAGAAUGAAUUCCUGGUGAAUUGGGAUGGGUUACGCACAAAGGAUUCUGAACGAGUUAUGAUACUUGCAGCAACAAACAGGCCAUUUGACCUUGAUGAGGCUGUGAUAAGGCGACUGCCCCGUAGGUAAAAGUGGAACGACUAAUUUUCAGAUAUUAUUUAAGUUUAGUUUUAUAUAUCACUUGGUUACAUGUCUUUUCUGUGCAGGUUGAUGGUCAAUUUACCAGAUGCUCCAAACAGAGCAAAAAUUCUAAAGGUGAUUCUUGCAAAAGAGGACUUGGCUCAGGAUGUUGACUUGGAUUCAGUUGCAAGUAUGACAAAUGGAUAUUCCGGAAGUGAUCUUAAGGUGUCUUUACUAUUUAUGUUUGUUUGGAUAAAUGACUAGUCCUGUUUUAUCACUCUGAAGUUUGAAGACGGCUUGUUUUCUAAUGCAACUCUUUUACUAUGUAGAAUCUCUGUGUAGCAGCUGCAUAUCGACCUAUUAAAGAGAUUGUAGAAAAGGAAAAGAAGGUAUAGCUUUUCUAUGUUUGAUGUUUGUUUGUUGAUUGCUUAGCUGAGGCAGAAAAUAACAUGUUGGCUAAGGUAAAGCUUUUCUUUGUUUGAUGUUCGUUCAGUGAUUGCUUAACUUAGGCAGAAAAUAACAUGUUGGCUCUACCAAUAGGUUUUCUUGGCGAUUCUGUUAUGGAUAUCUGUUCCACUUCCUUUUGAUAAUUUUUCAUGGGCUUUAGAGGAUCCUUUUAAAGCAAGCACCUUAAUUCAACCAUCACAGAUCUGAUGUGGUUCUGUGAACAAGUAAGGGUCGGGAGGAUGUGGGUUUUUUUUUUUUUGAAGUUCGAAUCUUUGGUGCUUUUGUAAUCCUGCUUUCUUCCAAAAUCGUGUAGUUAAAACUCUAACAACUUGGGUUUGUUAAAGAAAAAGGCAGUCUGGUGCAUGAAACAUCCAUGUUCACUCGGGGUGCAAAGAAGGGCCACAGCCCAAUGAGGUGUAAUGUAGCCACCUUGCAUCAAGCUGGGGAAAGCACGAGUUUGAGGGCCAGCUCACUCUGUGAGCUCCCUGCCUUCCACUGUUUAGAUGGAGCAUUCGAACCCCAUAUGUAGCGUGGCAUCCCUUUCUCCUUUUUCCCCUCUCCUAAUGUAUUUAUAAAUGUCUAAAAGUUAUCUGGCAACCUAGACGAUAUAGAUUCCAAACUGGUUGAUUUCACUAUUCUGUUUAUCUGAUUGGAGUUAUACUUGCAACUUGCAAUUAUGAUUUAGAAGGCAGUUUAGGACACCCUUGUGUGUAUAUAUGUGUAUGCUCCUACCACCUUAAUAGACUUGCUAAAACUGGUAGCUAAUGCUUAUAGUUGAUUAUAGGAACAUGCUGCUGCUAGAGCAGAUGGUCGACCACCUCCAGCACCAUACAGCAGUGCAGACCUACGGCCACUGAAUAUGGAUGACUUUAGAUAUUCACAUCAGCAGGUGAGUUGAAAAUUUUAGGUAGUCUUUGAUUAUUUAACUGUAUUGGCAUAUGCUGAUUUGGAGUGUGAUUGACUAUAGGUUUGCGCAAGUGUUUCAUCUGAAUCCGUUAAUAUGACUAAGCUUCUUGAGUGGAAUGAUCUGUAUGGAGAAGGGGGCUCUCGAAAGAAGCAGUCCUUUAGUUACUACAUUUAAAGACUGUCUCUAUGUGUAGGUAGAUGUUUAUCUUCCUCCGCAGUCAGGUCAGUUGCCUGCCCUUUUGGGUUGCUGUGAACCUUGGCCGUUUGUACAAUGAGUUUUGACAUGUUGAAUAGACUUUUGAAAAAUAGUUAGUUUAUUUGCCUUUGUUUGAUUUUUACGUUUUGCUUACGACUUGCCGAGGGUGUUCACUGUUCAGUUCCUGUUAUAAAGUUUAGCUUACCAAAAAAUUCAACUAGAUGUCCAGGUUUAUGAUUUUAUUCUUGAAUUCAAAUAAUAUUCAAUUAUGAUCAAACAAAAGUUUCGUUAAGUAGGAGUAAUCUUGCAUUUUCUAGCGGUUAAUGAUGUUAAAAGUGUAUUUUACUUCAUACUUCAAAUGAUAGAUUACAGCUAGAAUAGGUACACACAAAAGGUCAAGAGCAUAUCUAAUCAGAUCAUGCCUUUUACCUACAAUAUUUGACUAUUAUUCUACACACUUACCUACACUAUAUAGUUGAAAUACUCUUGAAUAAUAUCUUUUAACACUAACUAACAUGUUUUGUACAAAUCUCCUACUGUCAAGUUGAAUCCCGGUAAUAGUUGCAUGAGAAGUUUAUGUAACACAUAUUCAAAGCGCAUGAGAGAUCAUAUUUAAGGUGCUUAUAAUACACAUAGGUGGAUCCAUAUAUGAGGUUGAAGGUGCCACCACACUCGAAAACCUCAAUUAAAUUUUUUAUGUGUAUAUGUAUAUAUGUAUAAAAGAUAUAAUGUAUAUUAAUUCGACACGUAUCCGUUGACAUUUUCUGAAGAGUCCGAGCAACAUAGAAGAUGAUUAAGUUGAAACAAUUGCAGCCUUCGAAAAUUGAGAAUAUUGGAUCCACACUUUCAUAACCUUUUUCAAUUAAAUACCAAUACAACGCUCAAUUAACAUGGCAUGAGACUCAAAUUUGACAUAAGUCACGAGUCCUUAGAGCUUUGUCAUUUGAACUAAGCUUCAGAGACUUAAUUGACUAAUUAGUCAAGGAUAAGGCACAAGAUUCCCUUAAAUGGAGUUUCAAAGGUUGGAUUACCCCAUUCAUUUUUUUCCAAUUUUAUAUGCACUUUUGGCUUAUGUGACAUCCAAACAUCUCCCGCACAUUAACUACGUGGAGUCACAGAGUGUGCCACAUAAAUUAAAAGGUGUAUAAAAUUACAAAAAUAAAUAAAUGAGUUCGAGGAUAAUAGAACCUUAAUUUAGUUAUCAUGUGUGUGAGAUUCCGGUCAUAAUCUAGGAAAUUACUUAAACCUAUUAACAAUUUAUUUUAUUACGUCUCUAACAGUUUCUUUAAUCUCAAAGAGUUCUUUUCAAUCUAUGAAAAAGGUAUUCUUCUCCAUUUCUGAAGUAUUAAUAAUAGACCUUGAUUAGUUUUCAUUUCCCCAUAAAUAAGUUCACAUUACUUAGCUAAUUCAUAUUUGGAAUGGAGAAACCACACAAAGCAACUCAAUUUUUUUUUGGUCAACAAAAAGUGGAAGCAGUUACGAGAAAUUUAGUAUUUGGAAGAUAUUUCUCUCUAUCACCUUUUUCCUCUCAAGAACAAAAAUUGUUACGAGACAUCUAGUAUUUGGAUGAUAUUUGAUUGAGCAAUGAUCUCCUAGUAGUGGAGCUUUAUUGAAUGCCGCAUCUAGACACAGAUCAGAAACACCACGUUUCAAAGGAUUCGAGUAGAAAUAAGAGUGUGAUUUUGCAAGGAUCUUCUUCCGGUGAAGCUUUAUUGAAUGUCGCACCAGACAGAAAUUCGAAAAACAUGUUUCAAAGGACCUGAGUAGAAAUAAGAGUAUAGCUGUGCAAGGAUAUCUUACCAUUGACACAAAUAAGAAAAGACGUGUUACAAAGGACCUGAACAGAAAUAGGAGUGUGGUUCUGCAGAUCUCCUACCAGUGCAGCUUCUUUGAAUGCCACACUAGACAUAAAUCAUGAAAAAAAAGUUUCAAAAGACUUGAGUAGAAAUAAGAGUGUGACUGUGCAAGGAAGGAUCUAGAUCCUUGCACAACACACUUUGAAUUCUACUUAGGUCCUUUAAAACUUUUUUUUCAUGAUUUGUAUCUGGUGUGACAUUCAAAGAAGUCCCACUGGUAGGAGAUUCUUGCACAACUACAAUUCUGUUUCUGUUCAGGUCCUUUGAAAUACGUUUUUCCUUAUUAGUGUCAAUGGUAGGAGAUCCUUGCACAACCACACUCUUAUUUUUACUCAGAUCCUCUGAAACAUGUUUUUUCCAAUUUAUGUCUGGUGCGACAUUCAAUAAGCUCCACCGGAAGAAGAUCCUUGCACAACCACACUCUUAUUUCUACUCGGGUCCUUUGAAACAUGUUUUUCCUGAUUUGUGUCUGGUGUGACAUUCUAAAAAACUCCACUGCUCAGAUAUCCUUUAAUAACAACACCUUUAUUAGUACACGGGUCCUUUGAAACUGUUAUUCAGAUCUUUGUCUGGUGCGACAUUCAAUGAAGCUCCACUAGUAGGAGAUCUCUUCACUUUGAUGCCGCACCCGUUUCAGACUCUUAAAAAAUACACUACUUUUGGUGAAUUCGACACGCACGCAUGAACAUUUAAGAGUCUGAGCAACAUAGAAGAUGAUUGAGUUGAACAAAUCGCAACCUUUGAAAAUUGAGAAUAUUGGAUCCACUUCUAUAUCCUUCUUUAGUUAAAUACCAAUACAAAGCUCAAUUAGCAUGACAUGAGAAUCAAAUUUGUCUAGGGGAGUACUUGUGCCUAUUCCAAUUAAUUCUAUUAUGUCUCAACAAUUUCUUUAAUCUCAAAGGGUUCUUUUCUAUCUAUGAAGAAGGUAUUCUUCUCCAUUUUUGAAAUGUGAAUAACAGACCUUGAUUAGUUUUCAUUUUCCCAUAAAUAAGUUAACAUUGCUUAGCUAAUUCAUAUUUGGAAUGGAGUAACCACACAAAGCAACUUAAUUUUUUGUUAACAAAAAAUGGAAGCAGUUAGACAUGAGACAACUAGUAUUUGGAUGAUAUUUCACGUGUAUAUUGGAAUCAGUUACACAUGAGACAACUAGUAUUUGGAUGAUGUUUCUCUCUGUCAAUUUUUUUCCUUUAAGGUUAAAAAUGAUAUCGCCAAAAAAAGUUCUGGCUCUUGACCGCUCACAGAAAAGAAACUAAAUAAAACAAAGAACCAAAAACCCAAACUAUUCCUCUUUAUCACUUUUUUUCUCUAAAAGACAGAAAAUGGCAUCGCCAAUAAACCGUUCUGGCUCUUGACCACCCACAGGAAAGAAAAACAAACAAGGAACCAAAAACCCAAAUUAUUCCUCUUUAUCACUUUUUUCAUCUGGCCAAGAAGAUGGAAGCGUCAAAAAAACGUUCUGGCUCUUGAUUGCCCAUAGGAAAGAAGAGGUGGUCAUAAUCGUCUGAUGAUAAACCUCCUUCUUCGUGCGUCCAAAGAUUUACACAUAUUUAUUUAGUGAAUAUUUAAGUUUAAUUUGAAUUAAAAAAUAUUGAGAGUCAAUUAAGGAAUUGAAGAAAUUGAUAGUUGUUAAUCAAAUUCUUGCUAUGGAAGGAGAUAUGCAUUUUAAUUAUUGAAAGUCGAUAAAUUUAGAAUAAAGCAAUAUUUGGAUAAAAUAUCCUCAAACGCCUAAAUGUAGUAAUUUAUACUUAUUUACUUGGGGCACUGGCAAAAUCUAUCUAUUGAUUCAACAAUUUGUUAAUCUACUUUGAACUAACCUUCAGGAACUUAAUUGACUAAUUAAUCAUAGGUCUAACUCAUCGAUGACCCCCUAAUUAGCAUAAUAUAACACUUAGACAUUUUAACGGGAUGAUCUUCAUUUAGAAAGACCUCAUGUAGUGUUUUACUAUGUCAUUUUGACACUUUUUAGAUACAUGGCAUAAUGAGUGAGAUACAUUCGUUGACCGGUGCAUGAAAAUGCUUUUUAGUUAAUUUUUAAUUCAUCUUUAAUUUCUUUAAACUAAGCUAAAAAAUUAUUUGAGAUAGUAAUGGUGUGCAAAUGUGGAGUGGGGUAGAAUCUGCAAAAGAAUUGGGGAGGUUGCACUACAACAAAAAUAAUUUUUAGUGGCAUUAAAUAUUAAAACUAAUAAAAAGUGUUAAAGUCUUUAUUGCCAUUAGUUAAAUAUCAUUAAAAUCAAUGUCACUAAAGACUUUAGGAACAUAUACAAAUUGCCGCUAAAAAUACAUAUUUAGCGGUAAUUAAGAAUUAAAUGUCGCUAAUGAUUAUUUUUUUUGUAGUGUUGGAGGGGGGAGGGGUUGGAGAAGACGACGGGGUUGUGGGUUUUUCUUCGUUUUUUUCAUUUAAUUAUUUGGAAAAAAUUAUGUGUCAUUGAUCCGUUUUUAUUUUAUUCAGACAUAAUUAUUUAAAAAUAAUUGUUGAUACAAAUGACAAAUGUCAUCAUUUAAUUUGUCACUUUACGCAUCAUUUGUGAGCAUAACACGUGCACAUUAUAAAUUUUUGCUUAUAUUAAAAAUUAGGGUCAAAAUGGCAUAGCAGGAUUCUACAUCAAGUGUAUACAGUAAACGUUGUCUAGUCAAGAUGUCUAAUUGAAACAUCAUGCCAAUUCUAGGGGGCACCAAUGGGUUAGGCCUAAAUUAUAUUAUCCCUAAACAACUUCUUUAAUCUUGAGGGAUUCUUUUCUAUCUACGAAGAAAGAAUUCUUCUCCAUUUUCGAAAUAAAGACCUAAAUUAGUUCUCUUCAUCAUAAGUAGGUUCAUAAUACUCUACUAAAUCACAUUUGGAAUGAAGUAACCACACAAAGCAACUUAACUCAAUUAGUGUUUUUUUUUCUUUCAAAAAGUAGAUGAAAACCGUUACACAUGAGACAAUCAGUAGUUGGUGAUAUUUCACUUUGUACCAUGUGUUCGUAGCAUUGUUAUCUAUUCUAUGGACUGCUUAUACAAGUAUUUGCAGUAGGUUGUCUCGUUUUUAAACUAGUUUUUCUAGUACAACAUUAGGGAAAAUGUAUUAACAAUUGUUGAUACAUAUAAGUAAUUAUAUUUUGGUUGUGAAUCCUGACAGAUGACAUAUAAGUUUCAAAAUUUUUUUUAAUACUAAUGAUAUAUUCAAUAAUUAUGCAAAAAUUUUAUAAAUGACAAUAAUUAACAACUUAAAUUUUUAGGAGACAUUUAAAGAAAUUUUGAAAUUUUGAUUAUAUUACUCCUUAAAAUAAACGCCUCUACUCAAAUUUAAAGCUUAUUUGGAAAAACUUUUAUUUUUUAGCUUAUUUUAAUUACUUUUAACUUAAAAUUCAAGUACUAAUAAAUGCUUUUCUAAUUUACCUGAACACACUUAAAAAAAUAAAUAUUUUUCUUAAAAUAAUGCUUCAUAACAUCCGCACCUACCACCUGUCAAAUCAAUAAAUACUGCCUAACCAAAACUAAUGAAAACCAAAAACCCAAACCUAUCACUCUUUUCCUCUCAAAGAUUGAAAAAAAAAUGGUAGAAAAAAGAGGUUAUCAUCAUCGUCCGAUGAUAAAUCUCCUUCGCUAUGUCCAAAGGUUCACACAGAUUAAUUUUUCACUUUAUUUUUUUUAGUAUUUGCUGAGUCAGUUGAUUUUUAAUUAUUUUUUUCUCUGAUUCUUCUAGGCAAAUGAUAGCAAUGUUGGUUCAUCUGGAAAAUCGAUGCCGAUCUUGGAGGUUUUCUAUUAGUAGUAUUUCUUAUUUUAUAAUCAUUCCUUUUUUUUCCUGUUCGGGUUUCCGUAUUUGCGUUUAAUCUUUAUUAAUUCAGAUUUUCACCGUUUAGGUCCUAUUUGGCAGAAAAUAUAUCAAGGAUUUUUUCAGACUCACAACACAAACUUAGAAUUAUAUUCAACAUUGAAAAGUCGGCUUGAAAAGCUUCCUGAUAUUGUAAUUACUUUUGGUUCCACAUGCUCAUACAGAUAAUCACAAGGACAAGGUACUAUUUGAGAUCACAUUGCCGACGAAUAUAUGCAUGUGAUUAUAUCUUUUUCUGUUAUAUCUUUUCAUAAACAAACUCUCUACCUCCAUGAGAUAGUGAUAAGGUCUGCGUAUAUUUUACUCUCCCGAAACCUAUGUUGUUGUUUUUGUUGCUGGAGUUGUGUAUAAUAUACCUGCUAUGGAUGUUUCAUAUGGAUUAUAUUUCUUAUCUAUAUAUAGUAGUUAUUGGUGUUCCCAAACUUUGGUAGACUGAGGAUUGAUCAAGAGAAUGAGAGGUGGCUCUUAUUACAACAAAAAAUUUCAAAGAUCAUCUUCAAACAACAUAUCAACUCUCUCACAGGUGUUUGACGUUGCCUAGGAAGUGUCAAACCACCUAAGUAUAUCUCACCAUAACCUCAUAGUCAAUCAUAAAUCCUACUAUUUGGAAAAUUUAGGAUUUGAAAUCACGAUAUCAAAUCGCAUUGUCCAAAAGUUGAUUUGAAAUCAUGAUUCCAAAUUCAGAUUGUAGAGUUGAUAGGAAGCUUGUAAUUGAUUAGUUUUGGAGGUGGCCAGCAUAUCCUUAAUGGCGAUGAAUACAAUUUACUAAUUUUUUUUUUAAAAAAAUAAAAAUCGUGAUUCCAAAUUGCAUGUCCAAAUUGCCUACUAAUUUUCUAGUUUAGAAUUAAAUCCAAACUCGGUAUGAACGACAAUAAAAAGGAAAAAAAUAAGAAAAAAUUUAUGAAAUCGAACAUUUGUGCAACAUCCUUUCAUAAUCAUAAAUGAGGUUCGAUUAUAUGAUCUAUGACAAUCCUUUCCUCUUGAAUUAUGUUGUGUGUGGUUGAGUUAGCCCAUUUGACAUGGUAUAAGAGUCCGGCGUAUCCUAAUUAUUACUUAUCUGAUGAUUUGCUAAAUUUGUUUGUCAUUAGAAGCUACUUAAUGAUAUAGUAGAUAUUGACGGAUGAACUCAUGAACAAAUUCGUGUCCAACCCCAGGGAUGCUGCGACAUAAAAUGAAUUUGAAAAGGGUUGCGCACAGAGGAUUCUGAACGAGUUAUGAUACUUGCAGCAACAAACACGCCAUUUCAUCAGGUUGUGAUAAGGCGACUGUCCCGUAGGUAAAAGAGGAACGACUAAUUUGUAGAUAAUAUUUAAAUAGAGUUUUAUAUAUCACUUGCUUAAUGCCCUUAAUAUGUCUUCUCUGUACAGGUUGAUGGUCAAUUUACCAGAUGCUCCAAACAACGCAAAAAUUCUAAAGUUGAUACUCACAAAAGAAGACUUGGCUCAUGAUGUCGAUCUAGAUUCAGUUGCAUGCAUGACAAAUGGAUAUUCCAAAAGUAACCUUAAGGUGUCUGUACUAUUCAUGUUUGCUUGGAUAAAUUACUAGUCCUAUUUCAUCAUUCUGAAAACAAAGCGUGUUCAAACUUCAAAAUGAUGAAACAGGACUAAUCGUUUAUUUAAGCAAACAUGAUUAGAAAAAACACCUUAAGGUCACUUCCUGAAUAUCCAUUUGUUGUAUUUGCAAUUGAAUCCAGAUCAACAUCCUGAGCCAAGUCUUCUUUGCGAGUAUCACUUUUGGAUCUGUGUAUAGCAGCUGCAUAUCUACCCAUUAGAGAGAUAGUAGGAAAAUAAAAGAAGUUUAAGCUUUUCUAUGUUUGAUGUUAGUUCGUUGGUUGCUUAACUAAGAUAGAAAAUAACAUGUUGGCUAAGGUAUAGCUUUCUCUGCUUGAUGUUUGUUCGUUGAUUGCUUAACUGAGGCAGAAAAUAAGAUGUUGGCUCUUCCAAUAGAUUUUUUUUCUCCACGAUUCUGUUAAGGAUGUCAAUUCCACUUUCUUUUGAUAAUUUUCAUGGGUUUUAGAGGAUCCUUUGAAGCAUCUUUAAUUCAAUCAUCACAGAUCUGAUGUGGAUUUUUUUUCAAAUUUAAUUCUACUCAUAUCCUUUAAAACUUCUUUUUUCAUGAUUUGUAUGCGGUGUGGCAUUCAAAGAAGCUCCACUGGUAGGAGAUCCCCGCACAACUAUACUUCUGUUUGUGUUCAAGUCCUUCCAAAUAUGUUUUUCCCGAUUAGUGUCAAUGGUAGGAGAUUCUUGCACAACCACACUCUUAUAAACGUGUUUUUUAUAAUAUCUGUCUAGUUUUGCCAAAAAAAAACGUUUUGGCUCUUUACCGCCCACAGGAAAAAAACAACAAAAGGAACCAAAAAUCGAAACUAUUCCUCCUUAUCACUUUUUUUCUCUAUUCAAGAAGAUGGUAUCGCCAAAAAAUGUUCUAGCUCUUGAUUGGACACACGAAAGAAGAGGUGAUCAUAAUCGUCUGAUGAUAAGCCUCCUUCUUCGGGCGUCAAAACUUUUAUACAUAUUUAUUUGGCAUAAUAAAUAUAUUGGAUCCUAAACUUGAUUCAAAUUUUAACUUUUACCUUUAACUUUCAUAAUGCACAAACAAACACUUUAACUAUUCAACUUUUAAAUAAAUAAACACAUGAGUCCUACAUGACACAAUACACGUAAGACACCACUUAGGACGAAAAAUAACAUGUACGAUGACAUGUAGAACAUGUGUGUCUGUUUGUUCAAUUUUAUACAAGUUUAAGUGUCUAUUUGUGCACACCCAAAAUUGAAGAACACAAAUAUGAUUGAAGUCAAGUUAAAGGACAUAUUUUUGUAUUAUGGCUACUUAUUUAGUGAAUAUUUUAGUUUGAUUUGCAUUAAGAAAAAAUUGAGAGUCAAUUGCUAUAUUGGAUAGUUACAUUUAAGGAAUGGGAAAAAGGAUAGAUAUAUCCCCGAACUAUUGUAAAUGAUAUGCAAAUACCCUUCAUCAUACUUUUGGGACACUGGUUCCCCUGUCGUCAUACUUUUGGAACAUUGAUACCCCUGUCGUCAUACUUUUGGGACAUUGGUGCCCCUGCCGUCAUACUUUGGGGACAUUAGUGCCCCUGCCCCUUCGUUAGAGUAAAGGGCAUAUAUGCUCUAAUUUAUGGACGACAGGGACACCAAUGUCCCAAAAGAUGACGGCCGCAUACCAUUUAUGGUAGUUCGCGGAUAUAUUUAUCCUUUUUUUCUUAAGGAAUUGAAAAACUAAUAGAGUAAUAGUUGUUAAUCAAAUUCUUGCUAUGGAAGGAAAUUGCAUUUUAAUUAUCUAAAGUCGAUAAAUUUAGAAUAAAGCAAUAUUUGGACAAAAUAUCCUCAAACGCCUAAAUGUAGUAAUUUAUACUUAAUUUACUGGGGGCAAUAGCAAAAUCUAUCUCUUGAUUCGACAAUUUGUUAAUCUACUUUGAACUAACCUUCAUGAACUUAAUUGACUAAUUAAUCAUAGGUCUAACUCAUCGGUGACAAGACAUUUUAACGGGACGAUCUUCCUUUUAGAAACACCUCAUGUAGUGUUUCCCUAUGUCAUUUUGACACUUUUUGGGUACAUGGCAUAAUGAGUGACAUACACUCGUUGACCAGUGCAUGCUUUUUAGUUAAUUUUUAAUUCGUCAUUAAUUUCUUUAAAAAUAGCUUUAAAAUUGUUUGAGAUAGAUAUGAUGUGCAGAUGUGGAGUGGGAUAGUUUCUGCAAAAGAAUUGGGGUGGUUGGGGGAGGGUUGGAGAAGACGACGGGGUUGUGAGUUUUUCUUCUUUUUUUUCCCUUCAAUUAUUUGGAAAAAAUUAUGUGUCAUUGAUCAGUUUUUAUUUUUAUUCAAAAUUUAAAAAUGAUUGUUGAUACAAAUGACAAAUGUCAUCAUUUAAUUUGUCACUUUACGUGUCAAUUGUGAGCAUAACUCAUACACAUUAUAAAUUUUUGCUUAUAUUGAAAAUUAGCGUCAAAAUGACAUAGCGAAAUUCUACAUCAAGUGUAUACAAUAAACAUUGUCUAGUUAAGAUGUCUAAUUGAAACAUCAUGCCAACUUUAGGGGGUAUCAAUUUAAUUAUAUUAUCGCUAAACAACUUCUUUAAUCUUGAGGGAUUCUUUUCUAUCUACGAAGAAAGAAUUCUUCUCCAUUUUCGAAAUAAAGACCUUCCUUAGUUUUCUUUUCACCAAAAAUAGGUUCACAAUAUUACUCAAUUAAUUCACAUUUGGAACGAAGUAACUCACACAAAGCAACUUAACUCAAUUAGUGUUUUUUUCUUUCAAAAAAGUAGAUGAAAAUCGUUGCACAUGAGACAAUCCGUAGUUGGUGAUAUUUCACUUGUACCAUGUAUUCGUAGCAUUGUUAUCUAUUCUAUGGACUGCUUAUACAAGUAUUUGCAGUAGGUUGUGUUGUUUUUAAACUAGUUUUUCCGGUACAAUAUUAGGAUAAAUGUAUUAACAAUUGUUGAUACAUAUAAUUAAUUAUAUAAGUUUCAAAAAAAUUUAAACACUAAUUAUAUAUUCAAUAAUUAUGCAAAAGUUGUAUAAAUCACAAUAAUUAACAACUUAAAUUUUUAAGAGACAUUUAAAGAAAUUUUGAAUAUACUACUCCUAAAAAUAAAAGCCUCAUUACAAUAAUCAAAUUUGAAGCUUAUUUGGAAAAAAACUUAUUUUUUAGCUUAUUUUAAUUACUUUUAAGUUAAAAUUCAAGUACUAAUAAAUGCUUUUCUAAUUUACCUGAACACACUUAAAAAAAUUAAAUUUUUUUCUUAAAAUAAUGCUUCAAAACAUCCGCACCUACCACCUGUCAAAUCAAUAAAUACUGCCUAACCAAAACUAAUGAAAACCAAAAACCCAAACCUAUCACUCUUUUCCUCUCAAAGAUUGAAAAAAAAAAUGGUAGAAAAGAGAGGUUAUCAUCAUUGUCCGAUGAUAAAUCUCCUUCGCGAUGUCCAAAGGUUCACACAGAUUAGUUUUUCGCUUUAUAUUUUUUUAGUAUUUGCUGAGUCAGUUGAUUUUUAAUUAUUUUUUUCUCUGAUUCUUCUAGGCAAAUGAUAGCAAUGUUGGUUCAUCUGGAAAAUCGAUGCCGAUCUUGGAGGAAUCCAAGAAUAUUGAAUUCACAUGUCAUUCAGGUGCUGAAACGGAGAAGCCUUGCUGCCAACUUAUAUCAGAGUUUCUGGAGGUUUUCUAUUAGUAGUAUUUCUUAUUUUAAAACCAUUUCUUUUUUUUCCUGUUCGGGUGUAUGUGUUUGCAUUAAAUCUUUAUUAAUUCAGAUUCGCACUGUUUUGGGUCCCAUUUGGCAGAAAAUAUAUUAAGGAUUUUUUCAGACUCAAACACAAACUCGACAUCUCUGGUUAAAACAGUAACAACGCCAUCCACUGCAUUUUUGCUGGUUCUUUAUCUAUUUUUGCUGUUGAAUUUCUUUGAUAUAAUGUGAAUACACUGCUCACCUUUUGUUUGAUAUCUAAUAGAAUGUGAAUACAUUGCAGAAUCCAACAGUGGAUAUUUCUGGGCAACAUUUCAUGGCUGGUGCAGGCAAAGACAUGCAAUGAUUUGUGUGAUAAAUCGUGAAGAGGUAGUGCUCUAAUUUAGAUUACCUUGACUCUCCUCACUAUUUUUAAUGUUGCUUUGUUCUAUUGUUCGGUUCGGUUCGGAAAACCACCCGAGAAUUGAGUUUGGAGUAUUCUCUUUGGGCAUUGCAGUAUUCCCUGGAACCUCUUCAGGCAUUAUGAGCAAACUACUACCAUAGCAAUUUGAAUAUGAAACAUAUAGCACAUUGAAGGACUGCAUUAGUUGGCUUUUUUUUUUAUUAUUGAUAUCUUAGAUGAAUUUUAUAUUGUAUAUACAAUAUGAUUAAUCAUUGUUUGUGGAAACGAUCAGUACCAAAACUCGAUGGCUUUGAUUGAGAGGAAUGGAAGCAGAGAACCAUACCCUUGGGUGGAAUACUAGUGGGCUUCUCAAUUCUGGCGAUCAGAUCGUCUUCCUCUCAAUCUGUGAGCUGUGCUUAGACGCCCCUGCUGUGGAUUAUCCGGACAAGUUACUCGCUAAUACAUUGUUUGAGGUGUGAAUUCUUUCUAUGAAUAUAAAACAUUGCAAAGUGGAAUUUCUGUUCCUUCCUUUUUUGGGUUAAACUUUACUCUUUACAUUUCAUUAUACUUUUUCAGGCUGGCUGUAUUCAAUGAGAGCCAGAAUUUGCUCAUUUUGUUUGUGAAAGAUUAAAUCCAAACUCGGUAUGAACGACAUUAAAAAGGAAAAAAAUUUAUGAAAUCGAACAUUUGUGCAACAUCCUUUCAUAAUCAUAUAUUGAGGUUUGAUUAUAUGAUCUAUUACAAUCCUUUCCUCAUGAAUUAUGUUGUGUGUGGUUGAGUUAGGCCAUUUAACAUGGUAUAAUAGUCUGGCGUAUCCUAAUUAUUACUUAUCUGAUGCUUUGCUAAAUUUGUUUGUCAUUAGAAGCUACUAAAUGAUAUAGCAGAUAUUGACUGAUGAACUCAUGAACAAAUUCGUGUCCAACCCCAGGGAUGUUGCGACAUAAAAUGAAUUUGAGAAGGGUUGUGCACAGAGGAUUCUGAACGAGUUAUGUUACUUGCAGCAACAAACACGCCAUUUGAUCAGGCUGUCAUAAGGCGACUACCCCAUAGGUAAAAGAGAAACGAUUAAUUUGUAGAUAAUAUUUAAGUUGAGUUUUAUAUAUCACUUGCUUAAUGCCCUUAAUAUGUCUUCUCUUACAGGUUGAUGGUCAAUUUACCAGAUGCUCCAAACAACGCAAAAAUUCUAAAAAUGAUACUCGCAAAAGAAGACUUGGCUCAUGAUGUCGAUCUGGAUUCAGUUGCAUGCAUGACAAAUGGAUAUUCCAAAAGUAACCUUAACGUGUCUGUACUAUUCAUGUUUGCUUGGAUAAAUUACUAGUCCUAUUUCAUCAUUCUGAAAACAAAGCGUCUUCAAACUUCUGAAUGAUGAAACAUGACUAAUCGUUUAUUUAAGCAAACAUGAUUAGAAAAAACACCUUAAGGUCACUUCAUGAAUAUCCAUUUGUUGUAUUUGCAAUUGAAUUCAGAUCAACAUCCUGAGCCAAGUCUUCUUUUGCGAGUAUCACUUUUGGAACCUGUGUAUAGCAGAUGCAUAUCAACCCGUUGGAGAGAUAGUAGGAAAAAAAAUUGUAGCUUUUCUAUUUUUGAUGUCAGUUUGUUGGUUGCUUAACUGAGCUAGAAAAUAACAUGUUGGCUAAGGGUAAAGCUUUCUCUGCCUGAUGUUUAUUCGUUGAUUGCUUAACUGAGGCAGAAAAUAAGAUGUUUGCUCUUCCAAUUGAUUUUUUUCUCCGCGAUUAUGUUAUGGAUGUCAACUCCACUUUCUUUUGAUAAUUUUCAUGGGUUUUAGAGGAUCCUUUGAAGCAUCUUUAAUUCAAUCAUCACAGAUCUGAUGUAUUUUUCGUUUUUCAAAUUUAAUUCUUUGGUACUUAUGGUAAUCCUGCUUUCUUUGUUAAAGAAAAAGACAGUCUGGUGCAUGAAGUAUCCACCUCAUUCGGUGCCCGGUGCAUAGAAGGGCUGAGCUUCUUGAGUGGAAUGAUCUGUAUGGAGAAGGGCUCUCGAAAGAAGCAGUCUCUGAAAUACAUCAUGUAAAGACUCUCUAUAUGUAAAUGUUUAUUCUUCCUUGGUAAAAAUCUUGAUUCCGUCAAAUAUGAUUUGGUACUUAAAGCACAAACUUAUGAAUUGAUUCUGUUAUUUAUGUGGAGAAGGGCAGAGUAGCAAAUCCAUCCUUCUCUAGCUGUGUUUAUAGUUGGCCUAAAAGAUAUGUUUUGGAUGAAUUUUUCAAUCAUCAUUAAAAGAAAAGAUAAUUAAUUACGCAUCAUGGCAUUUAACUUAUACUAAUGGUCGAGUGAUGGAUGGGGUUCGAAUGGCGUUUUAGUGUUAGUCUAAACAAUGAAAAUGGUGGUUCAGAUAUUUCUUGCGUUCAUUCACUUUUAAAAAUAAUCGAUAUGAUUUUGCAGUGUUUUACAAAAUUAUUUUUUAUUUUAUCUUCAUUUUUUACUUAUAAAAAAUAUUUGAAAGAUUAUUUCUUCCAUCGGCAAAUAGUCAUUUAUUUGUUUGAGUUAGGGUGUUUUUGAAAAUAAACUUUCUUUGAACUUCAUUUUACAAACGUAAAUUGUGUUGUAGUGGUGGAUUGUUUUACCCUGAACUACAAAUGUUUUGAUAUGAACUCUGGAUAUAGAGAAAAUGAGCAUCAUGAGUUUUAGAUAUGGGCAAAAUCUUGUUGGAAGUGUUGCCUCCAAAUGCAUCUGCUAUGCAUUUUUCGGAUUUUGUUGAAGCUUUAGUAUGGAGAUUCAAAAAUAAUUUUUUCUUUUAAAAUGAUUGUAUCAAACUUUCCUUUAUCUUUUAAGAAAAAUCCGAAAAAGGUCAUAUUUCCCUCUGUACUCUUAGAUAAUGAUUAUAUUUGUCUUCGUCAUACUUUUUUGAUAUAUUUAUUCUUGUCAUUCAACUUUGUUACUUUAAGACUAUAUUUAACCUCCAUCGGCUAAAUCUCCAUAUUUUUACGUAAUAUUAUCUAUGUUGUGCCUGAGUGGAUUUUAAUUUUAAUCUAAUUAAAUCUAAGCAUUGUUAAAAUCAUUUUAAUUCAUUACAUUGAAUUAAACUCCAUCCCCUAAUGAACCCAAGACCAAAGCCCUUAACUAUCAGAUUCUAUCACUAUUGAAAAAUCGAAACAUUAUCAUAGACCAUUAUAGCAGUUCCAUCAAAUAAAUAGAUAAUACCAAAUAUUUUAGAUAUAUUUGCUUCAAAUUUAGUCUGAUCUCUUUCCCGUUUCACCACCAAUAAUCACCAAAAAUUCACUUAAAUCAUUCAUCUCUAUUGUUAAACCUCACUUCACGUAAACCAUCUAUGAAACAGAGCACCUGUAGAAUGUUUGUAAAAUUUUACUUAUUAUUAAUAAAAUGCUAAUUAAAGAUGAAAGCUAGUUUUAAUUUACUUAACAAAAAUUAAAUGCUAAAAUCUAUAUUAGUUCUAAAGUUGAGUGUUGUCUAAUGAGAACGAGGAGAUAUAUAAUUUUCUAUACUUGUUCCAAUAGAGAUGCCCGUGAAGAAAAUUUACGCAGAAGAAUCAAGUUGGGUCUUAUUUUAAUUAGUGGAUUGAGUUUAAUGUAUGGAGCAAAUUAAAGUGAUUUUAAUAAUAUUUAGAUUUAAUUAGAUAAAAAUGAAAUUCACAUAGACAUAAUAAUAUUAUGUGAAAAUAUGUGGAUUUAAUGAAGAGCAACUUUUACAUUGAGCAAAUAAAAAAUUUAUAUUUGUAUGCUAUAGCAAAGUUUGCAUAAUUGCGCUCCAUAGCAAACAUAGAAACUGUAUAAUUCGCUAUACAUAUACAGUUGAAGUAAAUUGUAUAAAACGAAGUGUAUAAAACGAGAAAGAGAAAGACACUUGAGCAGAGAAUUGUAUAAACGAAGUGUAUAAAACGAAUUGUAUGAUUAUAAGUGUAUAGAACGAUUAUAUACAAUUUGAAUUUGUAAAAAAUGAGAAAGAAAAAUAUAAAAGAGACUUGGACAGGGAAUAUACAAUUGAAUCGAAUUGUAUAAAACGAGAAAGAGAGAAAUUAGAUACAAUUUGAAUUUGUAUAAAACGAGAAAGAGAGAAAGACAAAAGAAACUAGGCAGAGGAGUAUUUUUAUUGUAUAAUUAUAAGUUCAUAGGACGAAAAUACAUGUACUUGCAUGUGUAUAUACAAUUUUCUCACGCUUUACAUAAACAGAAACACAAUUUUAUACAUUUCGUUUCUGUUGUAUAAGUGAGAAAUGCAUCUGAAAGAGGAGAGAAAGGGGAAUAAAAAUAUAUGUAUUUAUACAAUUUUCUCUGCUUUAUAUAAAUAGAAACAGUAUUUAUACGAUUAGAUACAAUUUGAAUUUGUAUAAAACGAGAAAGAGAGAAAGGCAAAAGAAACUAGGCAGAGGAGUAUUUUUAUUGUAUAAUUAUAAGUUCAUAGGACGAAAAUACAUGUACUUGCAUGUGUAUAUACAAUUUUCUCACGCUUUACAUAAACAGAAACACAAUUUUAUACAUUUCGUUUCUUUUGUAUAAGUGAGAAAUGCAUCUGAAAGAGGAGAGAAAGGGGAAUAAAAAUAUAUGUAUUUAUACAAUUUUCUCUGCUUUAUAUAAAUAGAAACAGUAUUUAUACACUUGUGUUUGUGUAAAAAAUAAGGAAGCGAGCGAGAGAUUGGAGCGAGAAUGGGAGAGUGGCAUGUGAGAUUUUUUAGAGAGAGACGACUGACAAAUUUUAACAAACGUUUAUUAUGAAACACAAUUAAAUUAAAUCAUCAAAUUCUAGAUACUCUAUUUAUUUUGAAUUAUUAAUUUACUAUUAUAUAUAAUUAUUCCUUUAAUGAAUGAUGAGUAAAAUACAACCUUAAAGAGUUAAAAUUAGAUAACAAAGACAAGUUAAAGAGUUAAAAUUAGAUAACAAAGACAAGUACAUUAAAAAAGUAUUAUGUAGUACAAAUAUAAUUUUUUUUCUAAGAAUUCGGUGAUAAAAUGAAAGAAAAAUUAAAAGAUGGUUAAGUCAAAGGGUCAUAACAAGUGUGAGGGGUAGUUUAGGCAUUUCAUCUAACGUCACUCGGCUUUGACGGACCAAUCACUAUCCUUUUAUACGUGUUAAGAAAAAACUUCCCUCAGCGAUAUUUCAUUUGUACCGAUCCGUUUGAGUUCAUUUCAAUUUCGCUAAAUUCAGAUCGAGAUCCACAAUAAAAAAAACCCUAAUUUUGUUUUCAGAUCCAAAAUGGACGCUCUCGAUACUGUUUUCGAUCCUCUUAGAGAUUUCGCCAAAGACAGCGUAAGGCUCGUCAAAAGGUGCCACAAGCCUGAUCGCAAAGGUACUAUCAUCGAUAUACUUUUGUUGUUUUUGUAGAUGUAGUUUUUCGAUUUUUUCUAUAUGGAGAUCUAAGGUUUAUGUAUCGUUUAAAUUUGAUCAUUUGUGGUACAGAAUUUACCAAGGUUGCAACCCGUACGGCGAUCGGUUUUGUUGUGAUGGGAUUCGUUGGAUUUUUCGUCAAGUUGAUAUUCAUUCCAAUCAACAACAUCAUCGUUGGUGCUUCUUAAGUGGUAAUUUUUCUGCUUUUACCUCUUGUUAGUGCGACUCGGUAUUUCAAAUCAUGAUGAAAGUUUGUUGAUUUCUAGUUGUUUAUUUAUAUGAUGAUUGGUAGUUAGAUAUUUUUUUGGUGGGAUCUCGAGACUUGCUUGGUUAAUUGCUGGUUCUAUGAUGUAUUAUAGCCUGAAUAAUUUUACAGUGUUAACAUGUAGAAGGAUCUUAUUUGGUAAAUUGAAAAAUAUUUACAAAUUGUUCUCAGGUUUAAUUAUGUUAGGAUAUGUCGUACAGUAGGCUUGCAUGUACUAAUAUUCAAGUGGUGGCAUGAGUUAAGUCAAAGGAUCAAAAUUGAGCACUUUUUGCCUUAGAAAGGGGGUGAUCCAUGCUACCCUUAACUGUACACGGGAAAUGUUGGACUUUCUACCUAUAAUUGGAGCUUGGGUUCUGUGAUAGAUCUAAGUUGAUAAUGUUACGUUUCAAGGAUUCUGUUAUAAAGAUUGGAACAUUGGUUCCUCAAUGUUAAUGAAGUUUCUUUUUUCAGUUUGGUGCUCCAAUAAGUUACUUCAGAAAAGGCAUAAUGCUUAAGGUAGUUCAUCCGAAUCAACAUAUAGUCCGUAUUAAGGGUUCAUCCAACCAAAUACUGAAAUUUCUGUGGGGUUCUUGUAAAAACAAUAGUAUCAUCAUUUCAUAUUGCUAUGCUCUUUCCUUAAUUUUCAUUAGCUAGAACAGACAUCAUUUUUUAGCUCAUAUAAAGUCAGGAGGAGAGAAGAAACAUGAUUAUCUCGAAGUUGCUUGUUGAUUAAUAAUUUGUCUUUUACCUAUUAAAAUAUCUUAAGAAGCAAUAUGUAAUUAUGUCUGGAGGGUUCAGAUUGGUAAUAACACCAUUAUGUGACUAGACAUUCUCUCUUUUUUAAUCCUCUGUUUUGUGGUAUUCUUGUUUUCACUUAAUUAUCAUGGAUGCCACCAAUUCCAAAUCACACUCCAGCUCCUGAAAGAAAUGAAAGAGUAAACACUCUUUCCCUCUUUCUCUUCUUUAUUUUAUCUAUCAUGAGGAAUUGCUAUUCAUAUUACUGCUAUCAAGAAAAGAAGAGAUAUAAUCACAUAAACCAAAUGAAAUUAAAGGAAAAUUUGAAUAGUUAUACCACCAUAAGUGAAUAUACUAAUGAUUGUGUCAUGGUAUAUUUAUAGUUUCUCCGUUGUCAUGCUUUUCAAAUUGAUCAUGUCUAAAUGUAUUUAUAAAGCCAAUCCCACUAAUUUGGGGGUGAGAUUUAUAGCAUUGUUUAGCCAAGUUUUAAGAUUUUUGCAUAUUUUGAGAAAUGCUUUUCGAGAGAGUACUUUCGGAGAGUUGCAGUGUGUGAUUUGCUAUUCUAUUUGAAAAAUACUUCUGUUAAUAUUUGGGAAAAGCUAGUUUAGUUCAGCUGCUCCAAAGCAUCUACACUUACCUUCCUUUUUCGAAACAAUUGGCCAAACACCUCAACCUUUUCGAACAAGUACUUUUUGAAAGAAAGAAAAAAAGCACUAUUGGCUUACCCCAAAGCCUUUUGCCAGUCGAUUGAACCAUAUGUUCACUUUGGUGAUAUUCAUCUUUAACCUCCGCUAAGUUAUCUUUGAUAUUGAUCGUUCAUCUUUUUCUUUUUGACCGUGAAUUGUGUAUGAAAUUUGUUGAAUUUCCAAUACUUUGUUUCUUUCUUUAUCAAUUCCCUUGCCAGUAAUACCUGGGACUGCCAACUAAAUAUUUGUUGAUUUAUGUGAUGAUCCUCUGCAAUAGACACUGAACUCUGUGUGUGUGUAACUUGCAGGCUAUAUAAAGGAGAAGUACAACUGGAGAUGUAGAGCAAGUGAUAAAAAGUGUUGCAAAAUCUUAGUUUCAUAUUGUAAUCCGUAUGUAGUCUUAGUCUUAUUUGUGAACCGCCUGGUUAAUGGGGACUUUGUCAUCGAGCUUCCCCCCACCCAAUCCGUUUUCAGAUUUUGUAAACUUUGCUGCUGAUGUCAAGACAUCUAUUUAUUUUUUUUCAAUAUACUUUUUGCACCUUGGUUGGUUCAGUUUUGGAUGUUCCUUGAUAGAGAUUUAUGAUAUGCUGGAAGGCGUUGUUAAAUGAGUUUGAAAUGGAUGGUGAGGAAGGGGUAUAUCCUUCCGUGCCAGAAACUGAUCAUCCUGUCUUCUAAAAAUCCUGCUCCUGCGGAGUGGUAUAACUAAGAAAAAUAUUAUGUUUAAUAGUCCGCGAAACACUUUAUUUGAAGGUUGAUUUAUUUAAAUCUUCAAGGUUAUCCAUCUUGGUCUUAAUUAGAUUAUCAGGUGUGUGUGGAAAAUAGGGGCAAAAUACAAUAAAGUAACAAGUCCUGAGCUUUUAGGGAAAAUGCUUAUGAAAAAGUUUUAGCGAACUUGAAACAAGAGAGAGAAGGUAAUGAGGAACCAAUACAGCUACAUGUGAACAUAGCUAUAUCAGCAUAUAGAACUGGCAGCUAGCAACCCCAAAAGGAUUUUAAAGAGAAAUCUAGAAAUACACAAAAGUCAAGUUUUAUACAGACAGAAGGUUCAAGUCGGUUAAAGUCAAACAAUAUCCAUGACAGAAGCCAUAAAAGGUGGAUUCACAAUUUGAAGAAAUUACAUUUCCCUAUCAUAACCAUCAGUUUCACAUGUGCUGUUAAGCCUCCAAACUGGCAGCAGCGAGAUCUUUUAACUGCAGCAAAGGAAAGGGGAGAAAAUUUAGUACCAAGGUUUAAUGGUUGGACAAGAUGGAUAAGUUUUUUUAGAUCCUGAAGAAUAGUCAUACAAAAAAAACCAUAAAUCAAGAAGAUACAAAAAGUGUUAUAUUUGUUGACAUGCCAUUAAAUAAGAUAAAUUGAGAAACUACAAUCAAAACAGACAGAAUUGUAGCAUAUCAGCCUUGAUGUUCAUUGCAGGUACGCCUACAGUGUAGGCAACAUAUUUCAACUUUCAAAUCAAGAUACCACUGUGAUAUGAAACAAAUGACUUCUCCUUUUAUAUGAAACAAAAUACCUAAAGACAUUCAAGGAAAGAGGAGAAGUCAUCAUCAUCAAUGACAUCUGGUUCAUGAAUCAGAGUUGCACAAAAAAAAAAUUCAAAAAAUACAGUAAUCAACUUGAAGCUAGGUGGAUAAAUACAUGAAAAAAUAAUGUGCCUGUUAAAAAACAAUUGUAUUCAACCAGGGAUUACCAAAGACAGAAGAAUAAAAACUUAAUCAUAUUAUCAAGAAGAAGAGGAUACAGUGGCUCAAGUUCCAUAAAGGUAUUAUAAUUGAAGACUAGUGUGAUUGGGCUGAUAGGCAUUAAGAGAAAAUAACAACAAAACAACCAACAAUAAUCCAAGUGCAAUCCCACAAGUGAAGUUAUGGGAGGGUACUGUGUAGUAUGAAAACAGUCCUUACCCCUACCUUGUGAAGGUCCUGUUUCCGAAGACCCUCGGCUCAAGGACAGGUGAAAAAGAAGUGGUAAUAACAAACAAAAACAACAUGGAAGUAAUAAAAAGACUAAGAAAAUACAAGAAUAGUGCUAAUCCUCUGGGAAUAGAAAAGUGUACACAUGAAAAAGAGAAAAUAUGUGCAAAUAAUGAAGGCCUCUAACAGAGUACCCCUUUUGUUGGUAACCUUGGCCCAAUGAGUACUCUUCCACGUGCCAAAACUUGCAACUAUUAGCAGCUCCCUAGAAAACUUUCCUAUUUUUCUUGCAUACAUGUUACUAACAGCUCUUUAUCCCCAGUCCCAUUACUCAUACUUCCCUUUCUGCUUCCACCGUCCUCUUCAUUAAAAUCACUAAAACCCCAAAAGGAGGAUGGGCCAAGUGAGGAAAAGGCUAGAAAGAAAUCAUACUAGUGCUAUGAUUUAUGAACAAGCAUUACCAAGAACCUGAUAAACUACUGGCUGAUUAUUUGCUCUAGUACGAGAUGUUCCAUUGCACUUAUUACUCCUUACACAGUUCAGUUACAAGUGAAAAUUAAACUCAAUAUUUUAUUUUUUUUUAGAAAGGUAACAUUGUAAUAUUUGGUUCUUCUAUCAAAAAAGAUCGAUGAGAAUCUACACUUGCAGUCAUAAACUGAAAAGAAGCCUAAAAACAAAAACAACUUGGAUCCCCAGUUCAUCAAAUCUAAUCUUAAUCAACAAUAGAUUUUAGGAAAUCUACACUUCUAUCAACCAAUGUAAGAUUCUGAACAUGUCUAAUCCAUGGAAUGAUAACUGAUUGAGUCACAAGUAAAAAUAUACAAGUCACUGGCGCAACUGUCUUUAAACAAGAGAUAUACAAGAAACACCAGCUCUAGAUACCCAAGUCUCCAAGGUGAUUUUUUUCGCUCAUACACUGGCCAAUCUUUUUAACAGAAAAAAAUAUCUCAAUAACAAAAACUAGAUAGUUACUUGCAUAUCUUAAAACCUUACAUGUCAUUACUUUUUCCCUACUCAGUCACUGUUAAAUGUUUGGCACACAUCUUUACCUCCUAAUUACUUACCACAGCACACAAAAUCUCUUUUCUUUAUGUGUAAACAAGGGAUAAAUGAUUCAAACAUAAAUCAGAACUGGAUUUUGGAAGGCGAACUGGAAGUGAACAGGGGGCAUUGCAGGCUUUGUUUCCUGGACAAUUCUCAUAAUGCACCAAUCCUGAAGUCAAAGUAGAGGAGAUCUGGGCCCCUCAGGACUGGAAUUUAGCUUUCAGAAGGUUGUUAAAUGAUUGAGAAUAGCAAAGGUAGCAGAACUGCUGAGAAUAAUUGGUGGUUUUUAGGGAACUAAUAUGGAACCUGGAUAACAUGGUAUGGAAACACCAUCAGGAUGGUUUGUUGUCAGUAAAUGGGGUGUACAAUAUGAUGCUGACUGAAGUAAUAGGGAGGUCAACAGGAUGCUGCAAGUCUGUACCGAAGAGUGUGGCACCAAACCACCAACUAAGGUGAAAUGUUUCACACCUGCCUAGUAGUCAGAAGAGCUUGUCCAACUCAUGAAGCAUUACAGAGAAAGGGAAGCUGCAUUGCUUCAAGAUGUGCAUUAUCUAAGGAGGCUUUAGAAAAAAUAACAAGAACUCUCUGUGACCUAUGCAAUUUGGUUGCAGAAUACAAUUAACCUACAUAUCCAUUAACAUUUACAAGCAAACCACAUGUGUAGAGUAUCAAAGGAAAUGUGUGAGAGAGUAUCUGUUGAUAUAAGUAGAGUACUACAAUCAAUGUCUUUUUUAGCAAGUUAUAUGCACUUAAUAUGGAAAAUCACUUCCCUCAAUAUGCAAAAGAAACAAGACAGGAUUAAGGAAGCUAUAAGAAAAAACACAUGCCAAGUUAAGCAAGUAACCAGUUAAUUUAAACAUCUACCACCAUAACAUACGAAACAACCUAUCAACCUUCUCAUGUAGGACUAAGGUUGUAUACACACCACCAUCCCCAAAACCCACUAGUGGGAUUACAUUGGGUAUAUUGUUGAUGUAUCUAGCACCACAUCACAGGCACAAUCAACUAGAGAUUGCAUGACAUCAAUCAUGCAGUUGCUUGAACUUGGUACUGAUUGCCUAAAUUAGUUCUUUUUGAAAAUAAACGAAGACAACAACUACUCCAGUCAAUCCUAAACUAAUCGGGCUCAGCAUUUUAAACAAAACAUUAAGCGCCAAUUUCAUUCCAAUACUCCAUGAUUCCAGUUUCCACAAAAAUGCGAACACUCUUGACCUUAAAUCCUCAAAAGGAAAAUCAAAAAGAAGAAAAUUAUCACCAAAAGGAACAAAGAAUAAAGCAUUUUUACUUUCCAAUCGUAUUUCUCAAACAUCUACCUUAACCAGUAUCCAAUUCGUUCAAUUUGGGCCAAUAAGUACCAAAAUUUAGUACUUCAAGUUUUAAUAAGAAAAACUAUUAUACCUGACUUCAAUCCUCGAAAUUAAGCAAGAAAAGGAAGAAAUUCACCACUUUCAGGAUACAGAAUGAAGCAUUUUUCAUUUUCCAAUCUUAAUUUUCAAACCCUAGCGAAUCCAGAUCUAAAGGCAACAAGAUAACAUAGCAGAAACGACAAACUUACAUUUGGCCAUCAAGGUUACCCUGUCCACUGCUACCUCCACUAGCAUAGGAAUUAUCGUCUCCAGUCUGCCACACAGAUUGCCACGCCUGUGACGGUGGAGGGUGCACAUACAUUGAUGGAUCAACCCCAGGAACAGCAGGCCUACCAAGCAUCACUCCACCCGGAGCCGGCUGGCCCAUCGGAGGGUAAUAGUACGGCACACCACUAGCAGUAGAACCCACAAUUCCGGGUCCAAGCCCAACACCCUCAUCCUUAAUUUCAUCCCUAGGAACGAUGUCAACCAGAAAAUCAAAAAUAUCAGUACGAGUAAUCGCCGCAGCGAUGUCAUUCUUCUGUAAAGUCCUGCGCUUGUUUUCCUCAGCGUGAAGCCACGAACGGAUGGUGAGCUCCAGAAUGAAAAGCUCACAAGCUUUCGCGAACAGAACUGGAGCUUCAGCAGAGAUCAUACGAACAUCUUCAUCAGCUUUCAUGAUCUUUUUGAUACGAGCAAGGGGAAGUUGGUGGUUUUUGAAAUCAUUGACUUGCUCGAUUUCUUGACGCUGGUAAGUCCAAAACAUCUGUAGCUGCUGCUGUUGCUGCUGAAGGAGAUGGUGGUAUGGAGUCUGCGACGGAUACGUGGCUGACUGAGCCGCCGCUGCCGCUGCUGCGGCCGCCGCAGCGGCCUCAGUCGGAGAUUGGUGAGGGUUGUUGUCCAUGGCGGUUUGCGGAAAAUGGAAGCUACUAUCUGUGUAGAGAAAAUGGGAAAGGUGUAAUGGUGCUCUGCUCUAGCUUUGUACUUAUUUAUACAGUUCCAUUUUUUUUUUCUAAAAAACAGCUUUUAUUUUCUAUUUUUAAAAAAUGGACUUAUAAUAUUUAAUUCUAAAACCGUAUUUGUUUUAUAUUAAACUAGAAUCCAAAUAUUACUUUAAUAUAUUUUAUUUUUACUACCAACUACUUUUUCUUAUCAUGUUUUAUGUAUGACCACUUUUUUGUUUUCUGGAGCGUUCUUUUUUCUUUUCUUUUCUUUUCUUUUUUCAAAAAUUGGGAAUGGGAAAGGAAAAAUAUAUUGAAUGAUUUCUUUUUGAAAGGUUUUAAAAUAUCUAAUAACCAUUUUUCUUUUGCAAAGGCUAUUAUUAGUGGUAUUAUGGAAGUAUUCUUAGUCAAUGUAAUUUAUUAUUCUCUUUAUUUUAAUUUAUUUGAUCUAUUCAUUUCAAAAAGAAGAAUCUUUUUAUUAUCAAUAAUUUUUAAAUUUUAAUUUUUCAUAUAAUAUAUUUAUGAAUUAAGAUUAUAAAAUUUAAAAUUUUACUUAAUUUUCUUAAAUUUCAAAUGAAAUUAGAAUAGACCAAAGUCCAAGUUGAGGAAAUUCAUAAGUGAGUGAUUACAGUAUGAGAUUUUUCGAGAAGCAUUGGAGCAUUUGAUACGCCUUGGGCCUAGUAGUGAUUGACUAUUUUUCUAUUAUUUACCUAAAUCUGGUAAUAUUAAUAACUAAUUUCUAUUUUUUUAUAUUUAUAAGAAUUUUUUAAAAUUUGUCUGAGGGAUCGUUUAAUAUAAUAUAUAAAAAUAAUGUUAAAUAAAAUGUAUUGAUAAUGUUUGCAUUAAUUAUAUUUAGUGGAAAAACAUAAAAAUGACACCUGAAGUUGUUCUAAAUUUUCAAAAAAGACAUCUAAAAUUUGUGAGCGUUCUAUUACCCAAUAAAACUAUUUCAAUCACAAUAAUUAUACACUUUUAGCUUAUUUCCAUAACAGUUGUGUUUUCACAUAAAAUAGGCGCGUUUGAGAAGUAAAAAUAAAUUGUCAAAUCAACGUACAAAUGUCACAUGGCACUGACAAUUUGAACUUUCUUCUUUAUUAAAUACCUACUUUAUAUCUUCUCCAAAAUCUUCAUUGAUAAAUGUUGAAGAGCUUUCUAUCUAAAAAAAAAAAAGUUAAUAAUAAUCCAUUAUCAAUAAAAUUAUCGUUUAACUUUACUAGCUUCAAUUUUUUUUAAAUUAUUUUAUUUAAAGUUAUGUGAGCAAUAAAUUUGUAAAUUAUGAAAUUGCAAUCGCAAACAAAUUUCACCAACAUGACAUUUUUAAAUCAAAAUUUGCAUUCAAAUCAACAAGCAAUUAAUAUAUGAGCCUAUACUUUUCCGUUUUGAUUCCAUAAUUUAAGAAAUUAUCACAGUAAAUAAUUUUACUGUGACUAUUGAAAUGCUUAAGGUUUUGAUCAUCAAAGAGAGAGGUUAGAGUGAUAAUUUGAAAGGGGUUUAGGAUUUAAUGGAGUGGGUCAUAAUUAAAAUGAGAAUGAGUCAAGAUUUUAAUUCAAUUUUCACUAAAUGAGUUGGAAAAAAUUAUAUUAUUAAUUGUGGUGAUACUCAUGCUCAUACAUUGAGAAUGUAGACUGUGUAAAAAAACUAUGUAUUUAUUGUGAUUUUAACAUGUAUAAUGGAAUACGUUUUAUUUUUUUCAAAAAAAAAGGUCGAUAAAUUAAAGUUGUAUUCUUUCUAUUUAAAAAGUCAUUUCUUUGAAGGAUAGUUAUGAAAUAAUACAAAGUCUUUUUAUAUUUUAUAAACUCUGUGCUCAAUUAAAUUACGUGAUAUUAUCAAAAGGAAAAAAUACCAGUAUAAAAAAAAAUUAUUUUUAAAAUUGACUAAAAUAAAAAAAUGUGAUAAAUUUUGACGGAUGGAGUAUUUUUUUGGGCCUACACGAUAAUAUACCCAAUUUAGUACACUCCUAUUAGCAAUUCUUUUUUUCUUUUUUUUUUUGAAGAAGCGAAAAGGUUAGCUAGGGUCCACGGGCUGCGGAGAAAUGUCCAUUGAGCAAUGACCAAUUAUAAGAUGACACGUAGAUAAAAACUUUAAUUUUUUGGAAUUGUAAUAACACAUCACUGACAGCAACUUCAUGAUUUUUUAAUGAAAAAAAGUACUCUAAGUAGUCAUGUCAUUUCAGUUGGUGAGAUAUUUUUAAAGUAAAUUAGUAUUUUUAUGAUUGAUGAUUUGCAACUCCCAUGGAAAAAAGAUUUCAUUGAAUUCAAAAUUUCUAAUUAAGGAUUUUCAUAUUUUACUUCAGUCAUUGUUGUUUAUAUCACAAUUAAUUGCAACUUUAUUUGUAAUAAAAUAAUUAAAAAUAAUGUUAAAGUAUUGACUAAGUGUGUGUAUCGUUCGGUUCGGUUAUAUGCAUGUAUUAUCGGUUUGAUUUAUUAAUUUUAGAUUUUUAAAUAUGCUAACUCAAUAAUAAAUCAAUAAGAUAUUUUUUAUCGAUUUCGAUUUAUCAGUCUUUUGUCAUUAUCGGUUUGAUUUUUGGUUUACCCAAUAGAAAAAUAUCCGUAAAAUAUCGUAUGUCUUCUUAUUUCUCUAAAUGCUUUGAUAUAGAGAAACGAGAAACGUAAUGAUAAAUUCCGUCAAUAAGAGAAAAUAUAGUACAAACUACAAAGGUUAUAAUUACAUGUUACCACCAAAACAUAGUUUGGAAACUUUUAUGAUAAUCAAAUUACAGAUUUACAAACUUGCAAAUGCUACAACCUACAACCUACAAUUAACACACUAAAACUAAAAUAAAAAAGUUCAACAAGAUUAAAACUAAAACUAAAAUCAAAUACUCAAGUUGUGAACCCCUCACUUUAAUCUUUAUGUUUUUAGUAAAUAGUAAAAACCAGUAAAAUGACCUAGUCUGAAGUUAGUAGAGUACUAAUAAUUUUUGAUAUAGUUUUAGUGUCUAAUUAUAUAUUAAUUUAUUUAUAUUUAAUAAUUAGAAAAGGUAAAAUAAUAAAUUAUCACCGUCUUAUUGAGUUCUCGGUUUACCCAAUAACCCAAUAGUAAAAUCUGAUACCGAACCAACAACCCAAUAAUUUUUUUUAUAAACCCAUUAAAAACUCAAUAAUUUUUUAAAAAAGAAUUCAAUAACCCAAUAAUAUUUUUUUCGGUUCGGUUUAUCCGUCGAUUUGAUUUUUGCACAUCCCUAGUACUGGUGACAGUAGAUUACUUGUCCUAAUAUUUUAAAGAGCAACUUUCAAAUAUAGCAAACACAAAAUUCAUAUUUGUAUGUUUUAGCAAAGUUUACAUAAUUGCGCUCCAUAGCAAAUAUCGCUAUACAUAUUUAAAAAAAACAGUUGUAUAAUUCGCUAUAUAUAUAUAAAGAAAAUAAUUGUAUAAUUCACUAUACAGAUGCAAAAGAAAGCAGUUGUAUACAAAUCAAUUGUAGAAUUUGUGUAUGUAUAAAACGAGAAAGAGAGAAAGACAAAAGAAAACUGAGCAGGUAAAUAUUUGUAUUGUAUAAUUAUAAGCGAAUAUGACAAAUAUAUAUGUAUUUGCAUGUGUAUAUAUCAUUUUCUCUCACUUUAUACAAACAAAAAUGCAAUUUGUACAUUUCGUUUCUGUUUGUUUAAGCCAUAGAGAUGAGGGUGACGAGCGAGAUCUGGUAGAGUGGUGAGGAGGGGAGAAAGGGGAACGAAAAUAUAUGUAAUAUAUAUAAUUUUUUCUCGCUUUAUACAAACACAAACACAUUUUAUACAUUUGAGUUUGUAUAAAAGCAGAGGGAGCGAGCGAGAGAGAGUUUGAGGGAGAGAGGAGAUUGACAAACAGUUUGCUACAGCGCACAAUUAAAUCAAAGUAUGAUUAUAACACUUAAUUUAUUAAUUUGCCAUAAUAUACAAUAUUUCCUAUUUUAAAUUACUCAUUGUAUUUAUCAUGUGUUGUAUCCUUUACUUGGCAAUAUUACCUACUCAUUGAAAAGUGAAUAAUGUAUAAUUGUAGAUUAAGUUAAUUAGCAGUGUCAUUAACGUGAAGUCGAUAUGUCCGAGUGGUUAAGGAGACAGACUUGAAAUCUGUUGGGCUCCGCCCGCGCAGGUUCGAACCCUGCUGUCGACGCUUUUGCAAGUUUUUUUUUUCUUUUUUUCGCUUUUGCAAAUUCUUAUUAAUUUCUUCUCGCUGUUAAUAUACUCUAUCUGUUCUCAUAGCUACGAAAAACUGCAUCCUUUGUCUUCCUAACAUUGAAUUAAAGGUCAAUUCAUCUGUCAUGAUCUGAAUUGGUUAAAGGCACGUGAAAAAAUGGGAAAACAAAAGGCAGUGAAGUUCUUACAUACAACUCUCAGUCUCAUCUUCUUCUCUGUCUCUAUCAUAUCCUACACUCACUUUCAUAUUCUUCUUCUGAAGUCUGUAUUGAGUAGCAAUAUCAAGUCACGGUGACAGCCGUGAUUCAAUUUCUUAUAGUUUCAUACUUCAUUUUCAUCGACAAUUAUUGUGAUUUUUGCUUUGAGUUGAAAUAAAUGGAAUACUCUUUAGCUUAUAAAAUUUUCCUCAAGCUUAAGGAUAGCAAUAGUUGUGCAGUUGUACAAAUGACGUAAAGGGACGUUGUCUACCAUCCCUUGCAAAGAAUAGAAUUAGAACACAUAGUUGGUGCAUUACAUGUGUUUUACGUAACAAAUACAGUAUAUCACAGUCCCGUAUGAAAUAUAAACUCCUGACAACUCUUGGCACUAAAAUUUGCGUGGCGUUGCCAGUUCAUUCUUGAACAACGCAAGAGAUUUAUUUGGUGCAAUUUACAUCACUCAAAAUGAAAACCUGCAAAUCUGGAUUGCAGACGAGGAAAAGGUAAAAUGAUCCCAAAACAGCGCAAGUGUCCAAUUCUAUAACACCAACAUUCAGUCAAAUAUAAUUGGUUCAUCGAGCUCAUAUGAAUCAAUAUGCUACUCCAAUUCCUGGUUUAUCAAGAGUGAACUUCUUUCAAGUAAUUAGUUACCAGAUCUCCUUAAGAAUGCUAACACGCCUAAGCCUGCAACUAAUGCAGCACCAGCUGCUACAGUGCUGUAGGCUGAGGCCCAUGCAGAUUCAGGAUGAGCAUAAUCCAAACUACCGCCCGUUGUUCCUGAAUAGUCCAAGUGCAAUUUUAGUCCCUGUUCAGGUUGAUUUUUGUCAUCAGUCCUUAUUUCGUAAUCAAGAAAAGAGAGACAAAAUUUAAAUCAUAAGUCAAUCUUCCUUCCUGUUACGAGGGUUUAUGUUCAUUCACAUUAAGUAAGGUCAAAGGAAAGUCAAUCAUACCUUCCAACCUGAAGAUCUUGCAUGGUCAAUAGCUGCUGUAAGAUCACCAUCUGAUGCCAGUACAACCUUGUCAUGAUCUUCAUCUUCAUACUGCAAUAGAGUAAUUGUUAUGAAUAUAAUAAUCAACUUGCUCAAACAGGGAAAACCAAGAGGACGAGAAUCAUUCAAAUGUACGAGGAAAAAUUAAUGCAUUUAACCAGAAUCUGAGGAAGAUUGGUGCGGUCAAUGUCAUCCCCCACUCUUUGAAUUAUGGCAGCUAUUAGAUCAGUCAUGUUCUGAAUAUCUGAAAUAUCAUAAAAAUAAUAGGGUCAUCGACUCAUUGUGGGACUCAAGAUUGUCAUGGUUGUAAAAUUAUGAAAGACAACAAAGCACAAAUAUCAUAUCAAUUUCCUAGAGUCAGUUUCAACAGACAAUAAAAACAAACAAGUACAAAUUUUUCUCUCUAAUAAUAAUAAAAAAGAGCAAGCAACAGACACUGCUGGAUAUAUAAUGCCUGAUAGUGAUAUUCAAGAGCACCAACAUAAAGAACAAUCGAGAAACACAAAUGAUACGGAAACAGUUGAAAGGACAGAACUUCCAUAAAUUUGAUAGGAGUCAAGAGCUCUGGGAAAAUUACGACAGUUUAGAAGGCAGGUCUCAAGAUGCCUUAAAGAGAGAAAAUAGAGGUGCACAUCUAUUGGUUUGUUACACAUGUCAACAGUACUGCAUGAUUUGGCAUCAUGAAUGCAUAUAUAAACAAAUGGGCCAAUGGCAACAAGAAUUUCCAGGUACAAGAUACACAAGGUCGUAUCUGAUUUUGAAAUCAAGCAACAAGAUUUGAUAAACCAAGAGCAUAAAACACCAGCAUAUAAGAAGUAUACCAAAAAGUAGAAAAUCUUACAAAGAUAUGAUUUUCUAUGAACGACACCCACAGCGAAACCUCAUGGGUGCACCAAAAGAAAAUAUAGGGGAUAACGGCUAUUUAUUAGGUGUACAUAAAAAGAUACACAAGUCAUCUGAUAACAUCAUAACAUUGACAAGUGCCUAAUUUUUUUGGUUAACUAAAAGCAUAUUAUUUAAACAUACCACAGUUGAACCUGUGCAUCCUCCCUUUUUUGUCUUUAAUCUUGAAUGAAAAACUAGUUGGCUGGCUAGAUGAAGGAUAGGGAAUAGAUCUUCCUGUUUCUGUCCCUUCAGAAGCCAAUUUCAAGGAAUUCUCACUGAAAUGUCAAAUAGAAAAUGUGAGAGAUAAUACAAACGGAAAAGAAAAUGAGUUCACAGAUAGAGGCCUAAACCUCCGUGUCUCAUCAUCAUCAUCAGGAGUCAAUGCCAUAGCUGAAUCCCAAAAUCUUUGCAUCAUAGAGUUUGCAGCUUCAUUAUUUACUCCAGCAGCAUUUCCCACCUGAUUAGUAUCAGUUCUUGAAAUAAGAAUCUUUGGGAAAAAAGAGAACUAAACAAAUAAAAUAUAGAACCUAAGAUUAAAUAAAAAAGUUUCAACGUUCCACAAGAUUUUUUGCUACAAUUAACUUAAUGACAUCCUAGAUUACCUUGAUUUUGAGUUGAUAUUAAUAGUUGAAAAUGUGCCUCAGAAAAUUUAACCCUAACGUUAAGUUUUUAAUCAAAUAAUGAAACAAGAAGAGUUUUAAAAAAUCAUACAUGUAAAUAAAUUGAGCAUGACAACUUGACCAAUUAAACACAUUUGUACAGAAAGCACAAACGACAGCCACAAUGGUUAAAGGAUUGGUUGAAAUAAUCACUGAUCCAAAAUAAAGGAAAAAAUUAAAUAUUAAUACUAGCAGUAGAGGUCAUACAUUCAACAAAGUUGGAAUUUCUUUUACAUAGGUAAACUGACAACCUAGUUUACUUUCCAUAAAAGUCCGUCUUGACAAAGUGGUCAGCAGGAUUUAAACUUGAGAGUUAAUGUCUUUGAAUAUGCAUGGAUACAUGGCAAACUCAUCAAAGUAGUCAAGACUUGAAUGAGGUAAUUACAUACAAGGCCGUAUUCAGAAAGUGAAUUAACCACCAACAUGAUAAUUCAAAUGAUAACAAUUGCUAAUGACAAGUUGAGAAGGGAAAACUUAAUAUGUUCAUGUGUACUGCCUUACCGUGGCUACAGCUGCAUGAGUGAUAUGAAGCACAUCAAGAACAGAAACAACAGUUCCCUCUGCCACAAAAAAGAAGUACAAAUUUAUUUAAAGACAUUUGAAAAAAAAAGAUAUUCUAACUCAAAGUGUAACGGGAGGCGAAUAAUACCUUUAUCAACAACAGGAAGGUGUAAAAAUUUCCCGUCAUGCAUUGUAUGUAAAGCAUCAACAAUAGGCAUAUCUAUUGAAGCACAUUCUGGAUUGGGGGUCAUUACCUGGAUGUUAGAUGCAAAACAAAAUGGAAGUUAUUAGUACUUAUCUCUCAAAUCUCAAGAAACGAAGGAAAACAAAAAAGAAUGAAAAAAUCUAAGUUCCAAUAAUUCAAAGAACUAGUAUUGUUUAAACCUGUUACUUCGAUAUGACCAAGCUAUCCCUAAAAAAGAUACCCCCUCAAUUAUCGAGAGAGAGAGAGAGAGAGAUUACCCUUUCAACAAGAGUGGAUUCAGGGGGAAGAUCUUGUGCUAUGACUCGCAUCAACAAGUCCUUUGAACUGCAGAGUAUAUGAGGCAAAUCUUCUCAUGAGAUGAUUAUUAUAUGCCAUUACACUACAGCUCAGAAUCGAUAAAUGUAAACGAGUGGAUACAAGGGGAACACUACUAACGUUAAAAUCCCUCGUGGUUUGUUGUCAACUGUUAUGAUAGCAGAGCUUAUUCGACAUUCGAGCAUCUUUUUGGCUGUGGCUAGAACAGUUUCAUUUGGUUCAACUGUAACAAUCCUAGAAACACCACAAAUCAACAACAGAUAGUGACUCACCUGUGGAUUACUUAAAAGGUUAAACUAUUCUAAAAAUGAAGGUUACAUACUUUGAAUUUUCAGAAAUGAUGGUAGACAGUGAAGGCCUGAACAUUCUCUCCCGAAGUGCUUCUAUAAAUGUAUUGGAACUUGCUAAAAACAAAAAAUAUGGAAGGUCAAUAAAUGCAUUUCAAGACCAAUCAAAAAUAUCAUUCAAUCACAUGAACUUAACAGACACAGUCAGUAGAUAGAACACUCCUACACUAUGCCAAUGAAGAAUAGUAACAACACAAAACUAAACUAACCACAGCCAGUUGCCCCCCAGUGUUUUUCAACUCCCUCAACGGCAGCUGCAAUGGCCUUUCCUUUCUCAGCUGCCCUUUCAAGGCGAGCAAUCGCAUCAUAAAGGCACUUUGCAAUAUCAAGCAAAGCAACGACCUCUCCAUUAUCUACAACUGGCAAAUGUCUAAAUUUUCCUGUUGUCAGAACAAACAUAAGAUGUUGGAAAGGUGUUGAAAAAAGUUAACAGCUUGAGUUAUUUCAAAUACACCAACCUAGCACCAUUUUCUGCAAAGCCUCCACAGCAAGUGUGUCAGAAAGCACAAAAACCGGAUUUUUCGUCAUUAUCUUUGAAACUGGUGUUUCCUGUAUAUUAACUUCUGGAGCAAUAACCCUCGUUGCUAUAUCCUUCAAUUUGCCCAAAGGAAAUAAAAGAAAAGAUGCGUGAAGAAUUAGUUAAAGAUAUCACCACAAUGGGUAAAGGAAAAGCAUCAGCAAUAUAAGCAGCUCUACAGAGGUCUAUUUACUUAAAUUUUACAGCCUUUUAGCAUGAUCAAAGUCAAACCUUAUCUGUCAGGAUACCACAUAGUAAUGCAUUUGAAUCAGUCAACAACAAAGCAUCAACUCUGCGAGCAGCCAUCUUGCGGCAAGCUUCAUAAAUACUUGUAGUAUCAGGUAUUGUAAGGGCUUUUGACAGCCUCAAUCUCUUAACUGUGCGCUCUCCAGUCAGUCCCCUGUUCCAAAUUUGUGAAACAAAUAUCAAAAUUCAAAUAAGCACACAAAAUGAUUAUUACAAAUCAAACUGACUAUUACUGAUCCCAACUUGAAAGCAAAACAAGUUUUUUUAAAUAUUAGUAUUCCGCACUAGCAAAAGAAUCUCAUAGCUAUUGCUUUGUUCCUUAAUAAAAUUUCACUACAUGUGGCAAGAACAUAACAAAGGACUGUAUACUUAAAUUACUAAGCGAUCUCCAAAAGUUGCAUUAGAGAAAAAAAAAUCAACCACCUAAAAAAGGACUGAAAAAACUAAAAACCUGAUCAAACAAGAACCUCAAGGAAGCCUGCAUAGUAUAGCCAAUUGAACCACUCAAAAUGAAUGAUGGGAGCAUCUGAGUAUUGGACAUGGGUGUAAAGCGAACAAGUCAUCCAUAGACGAUUACAGCAUACAAUUAAGCACUUCCAUCAUGCAGUUUUUCAACAUCAGAUAAGACUUUGCUGUGAUAAUAACAAUCACUGAGCUGAGGUUCCAACUAUAAAAUAUUUUUUCCUUACUUCCAAACAUUCUAAGUAUAGAGUAUUAACUCUUUUCUUUUCCCUCAUAUAGCUAUAAGUAAGCAGCAAAUAAAUCAUUUAUAUCCCUGACUAAGAGCUCAUAUCCAUCUCCAAUGUUCAAGUUGGGGGGAGAAGCUCAGUGGAAGAAUCAAGUAAAGCUUAAUUUUACAUGACAAACAUUUCAAGCGGGUGGCAAAACUAAAUCCAACACUGUUAAUAAUAUAUGAUGGCCACAACGGUAUGGCACCACCAACUUCCCCAAAUUUACUAGCACAAAGUCCAACGAUGUACCUAAAUGAGAAAACAUCCAUAUCUCUGCGAACGUUUUGGAAUUAAUAUAUUUCAAAACUAAAAAGAUUAUUUUGAGUUCAAUACAUCCGGACAUUAUAGAAACAUUUGCUUUAGAGUUUCCGGAAACUUGUGCAAUAUCCGUUACUUCAAUAAAGGAAUUAAACAUACAUAGAACGAGAUACAGAAAUCGACUUCCGGUGAGCAGAAUCCGGUUGUACUCCUUCAUUUUCCGCUGCUGCUUUCUUCUUAGCAAGUGAAGAAGAGUUCGUCAACGAUAUGCUUCUCCUCGAUGAUGAUCCUCCUCCUUGACUCGUCGGCAUCUGAACUCUACAGCAAUCAAAUUAUUCAAUAAAAAAACUUGUACUUGAGAUUUCAACGGAACCACGAGAUGGAUAAAAUUGUCAACGGUCGAAUACAGGAAAAGACGGCCCUCAGCCGAAAAAAUAGGAGAAAAAUAUGAACAAUAUUGAUAACGCUGUGGAUUCAAGUGUCAACUGCCGGAAGAAGAUUUUCCGGCGAGGAGUGGAAGGAGAGAUGGAGGGGAACCCUACGGAUGGAAGAGGAAAGGUGAGGAUUAACGUUUGAGCUGAGAAUUGAAUUGAAUUGAAUAGAAUAAUCUGUGGGAAAACGCCGUUAUCUUGUGGGGCCCUAACCAAUAAGAUUCUUCCACGUCAACCAAUGACGAGGAUUCCAAUUUCACUGGAGCAUAUGAGGAAUUGAAUUAAGACGGUGAAAUUCAAUUUUGAAUUUUACUUACACUCCUUCGAGUCCUCAACUUUCUUUCUUUUUCUUUUUCUUUUUCGUUCAUAUUUAAUUUAAUUCAUAUCCUCCCAAUUUCAUUUUGUGAGAACAAUUAUUAUUCUUAUAGAGCCAAAUCAUUUUUUCAUUAAUUCCAAUUACUUAUUUUUAAUAAUGAAAGUAUACUAAUUCAGUGCCCUUUAUGUGCUUUUUAAUACCAAGUUAAAUAUAUUUUUAAAAUGAGGCGAAAAUUAAAAGAUUGGGUGUGAGCACCCUAAACUCUUCAUUCGUCUAAUAAAAUCUUCACACCCUAAACCCUUCAUUCUUUUCAAACAAAAGAAAUAAUUCUUCCGUUUAAAAAAGGAUAAUUUAGUUUGAUUUAGAACGGAAUUUAAUAAAAGAAAAAAAAAUCUUAAUCUUGUGGUUCAAAAUUAAAGUUAUGUCAAAUGUACCAAAAUGUAUUUUAAUCUUGUGGUUUUAAACAUGUCACGUGGAAAAUUAAAAUUAAAAUAUUACAAAAAAAAUGAACAUUUUUUUAAACAAACUAAAAAAAUAGGAAUAUUUUCUUUUAAACGAAGGGGAUACAUGUCUAAUAAAAUCUUCAUUAUUUUGAAUUAAUCACGCAAAUAACUUAAAUUUACAUAAAUGACUUUUCGGAAAAAUAGAGAGCACUGAAGUAAGAGUGAUACAUUACUAGUAAGAAGCUAUUGUAGUUUAGAAUCAAUUCCUUCUCCCACAUCCAUCAAUGGUAAUUAGCCCCUUUCAACUUAUUCUUCUUAUGGAGGACAAUUUUUUUUCCUUCUGAGAUAAAUAUUCUUUGUUACCUCUCUAAAAUAUACUCAUCAUAAGCCAAAUUUAGUGGCCCAAACACUUAAAAAAGGAUUGUUUGAUACAAAGAUAAAUAAUGUCAAGGAUAAUUAAUGCUGAGAUUAGUGAUGCAGGAAUUAAUAGUGUACGAUUUUGUAAUGCAGGGUUUAUUUAUACCAAGUAUUUGAUUCAUUGUUUCCACCUCAUCUUAUGUUUGGAUUGAAACCUUAUAAAAAAAAAUCUUUUCAAUUAUACCCUUGAAUUAUUAUGCAAUUGAGUUAAGGUAAAUAAUUGUUAGACAAUACUAUUUUUUUAUGGUCUUCUAACUAGUUGUGAGAAGAACAAUUUUUUUUAUCAUGUUUGCCUUUUUUCACUUAAAUUAUUUGAGGAUAAAUAAUCAUCAACUUAGUAUUGAUUACUUACAAAAUGUCAAUUCUCAAUUAACAAAAAGAUAAAUUGUCAACUUCUAAAAUUGAGAAGACGGCAAACAAUAGUAAAAUUGAAUAAAUCAUCUACAUUUACGUAUAAGAAAAUGUAAGUUGUAAUUAAAAUAUGUAUGCAAUUUUAUAAACUGCUCAAAAUACAAAUAAUUAGAAAAUCACACAAAUAGCUUAUCCUAGUCGAUACAAAUAGCACAUCAACGAAUUAUACUUCAAUUAGGAUCACAAACGUCAUGUUGUGAUAUAUUUGUCCUUUUAAUUAGUUACUGUUAAAUAUUGUAUUAAUUUAUUUAGUAACAAACAACUUUAUCUAGAUAACUUGUAAGAUAAUUUAUUUAAAUAAAUUAACUAAUACAAAUACAAUACAUAAAAUCAAGAGAAUAUACAAAAUAGUUAAAAUGAUUUGAGGAAUACUUUUAUCUUUACAUAGACUUAUCCCAUAAUAUUAGUAUUAGUAAUAUAUCCUAUAAUACCAUUAAGAGGUGUAACUAAUUUAUAUAUUAGUUAAACAUAGGCCCAAAUUCCUAUCAAUAUAGUACUAAAUAAUACCAUACAUAAUAUAUGGACUAUUAUUUUAAUACGGUCUACCAAACGACCUUUUAUUUAUCUACUCAUGAAAAGAUAUCAAAGGGACUUCUUGUUUCAAACAAAUUCAAUUAAAAUAUAUUUUGAAAAAAAUUAGACUUCCAUCGCAGAGAAAUGAAUGAAAACAGUCAUAAAGUUCUCAUGGAAUCGACAUGUUAAGGUAUUGUUUAUGUACAAUAUGAACAUGGGGGUGGAAAGUGUGUUUUUUGAAGUUAGAGGAAAAACAUGUAAUUAUAAGAAGUUAGAGGGGCGCUGAAGAAAAAGAAAAAAAAAGAAGAAGAAAGAACAAAACAAACGUGACAUAAAUUCUGAAAAAAGAUUUUUUUUUUUAAAAAAAAAAUUCUUCGAUUAAUGGACAAGAGAAGAAAGCACUAAACACAAUUAGUGGGAUGAAGUAUAUUCUGGUGUUUAUACUCUUUCUACUUAAUUUUAUUCAAUGAUAUUUAAUUAAAAUAGAAAGCUAAAGAUAAUAAUUCAAAUUAACUUUCUAAAUAGUUUUAUGAGUAUCACUUCAAGUUCCCUGUUCCAGAUGAUGUAACUUUAGUAUAAGUUUCGGAUUUUAGAUUUGAAUUCUAUAGGAUCGUGAUAUUAUUAAAUUCAUUAAUCAUUUGAGUUAAUGAAUUUGAGAUUUAGCUAGCGUUUGACCAUAAAUUUUUAAAUAUUAUUAGCGAAUAUUAGUUGAGUGAAAAUUUGGUAAAAUUUCACCAUGUGUUUGGCCAUAGGAUUUGAGAAAUAUAUUUCACCUUUUAAGAAAAAUAUGAUUUAUACCCAUAAAUUUUAAAAACUAUUAAAACUAACUAUAAGUUUGUAUUACAAGUCAAUUAGAUGUUCGUUACAACAAUAACAAAUAGUUUUCAUGACACUAGAGUAAUGUGGUAAUUUGGAGCGAGUGCAACAAGUAUCAUUCCAUACAUCGUGAAGUAGACGAAACACAUGACUUUGAUUACCUUGAGUUAAGUUUUCAUCAUUUUCAUCAACAAUCAUAUCAUUAUUUAAUAUUCACUAAAUAUUUGAUCACUAUUUUGGUGUUCACGUAAAAAAUUAUGUAAUACAACACAAACAACUACACUAGAGGGUGCUUUUGUAAAAGCUAAAAGUUUGGAGUAAAAUUUUAAUUUUCAAAAGAUCCCAAAUAAUGAGAUUUGGGCUAAAUACUAACAAAAAUUAGUAGUUGAGAUAUUUACCAAAAAUAUUUAUCAAAUAAUUACAAAUUGUAUACGCAAAAUUUGCCAAGUUUUUCUUCAAAUAUUAUUUGGAAAAUCUAUGAUCAAACAGUCCCUUAAUAAAUUUCUUUUAAGACAUAUAAGAUUUGAGUCAAAGUUACUGAAUUCAGCUGGAUGUGCGAGUUCUUUUUUGCAUCCGCUCCCGGAUGGGUUACCCAAAAGAAGAUGCUUUGCCCUCCAUCAUAAGGCUUUAGCAUGUUUCUAGCUACUUCUCUUGAGGAACAAGUAUGGAAUCAAUUUUCAAGACCAUAAUAAAUUGUGGCCACAAAUGUUGAAUUGAAAAAAAACACUACUGUGCAAUUUUCAUAACAUAUUUGCCUGCAACUGAGAAAAAAAUGUUAGAUUGGGCGCCAAUUAUUAUUGGUUACCUUCUAUUCGUUCUUCUUUCGCCUGGACUCAUAUUUCAGCUGCCGGGGAAUCAGCGUCACGUCGAAUUCGGCAGCUUCAAUACUAAUGGCAAAGCCAUUCUCCUUCACACACUAAUCUUUUUCGUCUUUUUCACCAUCCUCAUUUUGGCCUUUCGCAUUCGUCUUCUCUUUGGCUAGCGGCCAAGGACGCAGAAGGUUCAUCCGAACAUCUUUUUACCAAAAAGCUGAGUAAUAUGCAUAUGAAGUUGAAUUUUUAUAUAUAUAUAUAUUAGACGUUGAAUUUUUUUAGUGAGAAAUGUUGAUUUUUUUAUAUUUUUUUUAAGAUGAAUAAAAGUUAUUCCGAUAUUUAUUGGAGUUUUACUGUUUUUGUAAUGAUAUACUUCUGUUUUUCAUCUAUUCGGGCUUUGUAAAUGCAAGGGACAUUCUAAUUAAUAUGUGAAAUUUUUAAUUAAUGGUUCUACUGAAAGAUGUACGUUUUGGGCAUCUAAGGUGGUACACUUUUUUUUUUUUUUUGAUUGGUUUGAUUUUCCAUAGAUGUGUGGAAUAAGUUGAUUUAUUGUAUUAAUGGACAAUGCAAAUCAAAUACUUUUUUUUCGCUCGUUUGAAUAUGGGAAUUUGAUAUCAGUGGUUAUGUUUCAUAACGUUAUUAAGAUAUUUUAAUAUUUUAUUUUAGAGCUCAUACAAGAAAUUUUUACUGAAAAAUAGAAGAUAAAACAUACUUACUGUAUCUUAAAUAAUGAACUGUUUAGCCAUAAAUUUUAAAAGAAUUUUUUAAAUUAGAUUUCUACUAAAUAUUUAUUUGAUCAUAAAAAUUAAUUGAUAUCGGAGGAGGCACUCGAAUCUCAAAAUCUUGUUCAAACAUGUUGUUAGGCCAAGAUGCAAGAUAUAAUGUUGGUUCGUUUAAAAUUGCCCAAACUUUUUUUUUCCUCUAUAAAGUUUAUUUUAUGUAUUACUUCAAAAAGAAUAUAUCUAAAAAGAAAAAAAAUAAUAUCUUCAUUUUUUUGUAAAGGAGAUAUUUCUGAACUAUUAUAUAACCAACAAAUAACCAUCAAUAUACUUAGUUAAAUUUUAUAAGUAAAGUCUAAAUGGGAUAGAGUAUAUGUACCUUAUAAUAACAGGUAAAUAGAUUGUUUGAAAGGAUCAUGACUCGAAAAUAACAAAUUUAAGUACAAAAAAAAAAAACAAUGCAAAAAAAAAUAACAAUUAACAUGGUGAAUCAACAAAAUAAUAUGAUAAUCGAAACACGAUAAAUAACUGACAAUGCGAGAUAUCAAAAUUAAGAACAACAAUAAUAUCAAAAGCCAAAUAAUACAUGAAUAGGUUAUUACAAUGAAUGACAUGGUGCUCUAUGUUAUAAUCCAAUCAAAUACAUAAAAAGUCUAGUUAUACAAUUCUUAACUGCAUACUAACAAUUUAGUUAUCCAGCCAAAUACAUAAAAAAUUUAGUUAUACAAAAAAUGCAUCGUAUCUUAUCUAAACACCUCAUCUCAAUACUUUUUCAAUCUUCUUCCACCUCUCCUCGACCCACUAUAUUCAACCUCACACACCUCCUCGCAGGACAUAUGUGUACAUCGAUCUUUACAUGCCCAAACUAUUUCACUCUCCAGCUCCCUCAUCUUGUCCAUCAUAGAGUUCCGUACUCCUAUUUUGUCCAAAUAUUCACAUCUAUAAUUCUAUCACUCUAAGCUAGCGUUUGGUCAUAGAUUUUCAAAUAUUCUUGGUAAAUAUUAUUUGAGUGAAAAUUUGGGUGAAAUUUCACCAUGUGUUUGGCCAUAAAAUUUGGGAAAUAUAUUUCACCUUUUUAGAAAAAUAUGAUUUACACACACAAGUUUUAAAACUAUCAAAACUAACUAAAAGUUUGUAUUACAAGUCAAUUGAAUGUUCGUUACAACAAUAACAAAUAGUGUCCAUGACACUAAAGCAACGUGGUAAUUUGGAGUGAGUGCAACAAGAAUUAUUCCAUACAUCGUGAAGUAGACAAAGCACAUGACUUUGUUACCUAGAGCCAAUUUUUAAUAAUUUUCAUCAACAAUCAUAUCAUUAUUUAAUAUUCACUAAAUAUUUCAUCACUAUUUUGGUGUUAACGUAAAAAAAUAUGUAAUACAACACAAACAACUACUAGAGAGGGUGUUUUUGUAAAAGAUAAAAGAUUGGGGUAAAAUUUUAAUUUUUAUAAUAUCCCAAAUAAUGAGAUUUGGCCUAAAUACUAGAAAAAACUAGUAUUUGAAAUAUUUGCCAAAAAUAUUUAUCAAAUAAUGACAAAUUGUAAGGACAAACAUUAUUUGUCAAAUUUUUCCCAAAUAUUAUUUAAAAAAUUUAUGGCCAAACAGGCCCUAAUAUACUUGUGCAUCCAUAUCAACAUCUUUCAUUUCUUCCACUUUCAUUUUUAUUAGAUCAAUUCUGGCCAACACUCAUUUCAUUCAAUAGAGUCUAUCUAACCACGUUCAGUAAAAUUAAUCUUUAAUUUUUAAUUGACUUGUUAAGUAACCAUUUAAAUAUAUUUGAACCAAACAAUUGACGGAACAAAUAUCUCAAAACCAAACUAUUAACUAAAAAUAUUUUUGUUCAAUUUAACAAAUUUUAAGAGCAUUUUUACCAUUUUCCGUAAAAAUAAGAUAGAGUUUCCUAAUCCCUAAUUUUGUACAAUUACGAUUCACACACCACUUCAAUUGACUGCUAAACUACUCUUAUACAGUCAGAUCUGUUCCUUUCUUUUCACUUUUAGUCCACCUUUUUUUUUUCUCUGGAUCUUUCGCUUUUAUCCCCACACUUUUCCCCAUUUCUUUACUCUGUUCAAAUCAACGAGCUAAUUUUCCGAUUAACAAUGGCGGACUGGGGCCCAGUUUUGAUAGCGGUGGUGCUGUUCGUGUUGUUAACUCCGGGUCUACUAUUCCAGCUUCCCGGCCGUGGAAAAACGGUUGAAUUCGGGAACAUGCAAACCAGCGGCGUUUCCAUUUUGGUCCAUGCAGUAAUUUACUUUGGACUCAUCACUAUCUUCCUCCUUGCCAUUGGCGUCCAUGUCUAUGUCGGCUAAAGUAGUUUUUACCUUCACUAUUUGUAAGUUUGUAACAAUCUUCUCUCAGAUCUUCAUUCUCGCUUAUAGAAUAGUAGCAAUUGAUCUCUUCCGUUUUCGAUUUCUUUAUUUGCUACUACCAGAUUGUAUCGAUUGGAUGAACUGUUAAUACUCGAAAAGCAUUAUGCACUGCUUCUCUAAUUUUACCUUCACUUGGUGCAUCAUUAUACACGAUCAUUAGAUUCUCCAACAACAACAAGAUACACAGUGAAAUCGCACAAGUGGAGUAAGAUUGUAAGCAGCACACCUUACUACUUCCUGUUGGGAGAUAAGAGAGGCUGAUUCUAAAACACCGCAGCAAAUUCAAUUACAAAUAAGAAGAAAAUGCUCUAGAAAACAUAGCAACAUUGAAAAACACAGUAAACAAUUAGCAAAUAUUUUUUUAAAACUUGAUAUGGAAUAAUGGUCUUGCUUCAAUUACUAAGAAAAAAAAUUGAGCUAGUAUCAGAGACAGAUCUAGGAUUUGAAGUUUAUGAGUUCUUAUAAUGUGCUCAAGUUAAUUUAAAGUGAUAACUGGAUUCACAAUCAAUUUUUGAUAGAUACUUUGUGAAUUUUGUAAUACAAAUAUAAGGUAUGAACUAAAGUUACUGGGUUGCCAGGAACCCAUACCUUAGGGCUAGAUCUGCCCCUCUAGUAUCCAUCCAACAAUCCGGAUUGUGGAAAAUAUUUGGUAUAAUAUCGAAUCUCAUUCAUCCACAAGUAUUUAAGAUUUGUAUGCUUUGCUGAAUAUUCUAUAGUUCCCGAGUUUGAAACAUUAGACUAUACAUGAAGGAGAAUGACUUGUGGUCAAUGUAAAGAUUUUGUUUUUAUUUUGCCACUGUUUGAUAUUACCUCGGCCUUUAUGAGAUAAGCAAAGCAUAACUAUGAUAAAUAUGCUCAACUGGAAACAAAGGAUUGGACUAGCCGGUCCAACUAAUUUGAGAUUGAAGAGUAGUUGAUUGAUUGUUAGCGCUGAAUAUUGUUUGCCUUUAACUAACACUUCAUUGUUCAAUGGUCAAGCCAUUCGAUUGGUGUAUUUCCACUUCUCUUGCUAUACACUUUUCCUUUUUUUUUCCUUGUUUGAAUCUUCAAUCAUAUCGUAUAGAUCUAGAAUUUAACUCUUGCCUAAUAGAGAAUGGGCAUGACCCUUCCAUGUUCUAUCAUCCAACGGACGGACUAUUUUGAGUUCUAUAUGUAGGUUAGGUUGUAUCAGUCACAUCUGACUCUGCUUGUAGUUUCAAGUUCACAUGUCGUACUAGAAAACAGGGGCUAGUGUUUGCAAUGGUGACAUUUCCUGAUGUUGCCUUCUUUCUUCGAGGAUGAAAUGAAGAAAAGCUGUCAGGUUGAAGAAAUGUAAUGAAACUCACAAUAGCUACCAACUCCCCUUUAACUUCCUCAUACAACAUGUUUGUCUGAAUACUAGCAGCAGGCCUCCCAUGAGUCUGUUCUCCAUGGGGAUUGCCAUAAGAUACCUCCAUGCUAACAUUCUAUAUGCCUCAGUACCUUUAACACCACUCACUAAUAUAUCAUGCCUUUUUAAGUUAAACUACUCUCACUUCGCGAGUUAAUUUUACAUAAGGUCACCAACCUCAUUAUAAUAGUUAAAUGCAAAGCUUUUUAUUUUCACAUUGAAGUAUGUGAAUUGCUCAAAAUAUCACAACUGACCAGGAGGUCAAAUAUUCAGAAUCAGGUUAUGACAAGUCACUUGCAGUAUCAUUUUUUACUACCUAUAAUUUAAACAAUAGAUAGUUGCAAUAGCAUUUCUAAUUCCGUAACCCCCCCCCUUCCCUUUCUCUAUCACACAGACAACUCUAAAAACUGAAAUGGGGAUACUCAUUCGAGUUUCUAGAAGAUCCUUAGAAUAUCUACUCUCUCUUCUCAGAUUCACCAUCAUCAUCUGAAUCUCCUCUGUGGGCUGGUGGAACAGUUGCUCAUCUGUGGACUGCUGGCAAUAAUUGCUCAAGCAAUAAGGAAAUCUAUGGAUCGAGUGAAGUAGGACUAUAGAGAGCAAAAUGGAUCACUGUUCUUGGUCAGUGGACCCCAAAGGUGGCGUCAACGUCUGUGCGGUGCCAAAUGUAGUCUUUCAUGCUAGCAAUACUAGUUUGGAGACUUUAUUAUUGUUCUUGAACACAAGCUUUACCAGCCAACUUGUUUGACCUUUGAAACUUUUUUCUCAUACUCAGUGUUCGUCGUUUCAGGCAUACUCCUGUUAGCUCUUCACGUUUUUGGCUAACACGGAAAAUCAUACCUUUCUUAUUUGGUGUUUUGACCGGCUUGAUCGGAGUAUUAGCUAUAUUUCUAUUAACCAGUAAAAAAGUAGUGUCAGAAAUGAGCUUAUUGUGCUGUGUCUACUCUGUUUCAUGUAUCUUUUCUAAUCAAAUGUUGUUCUCUUGGCUAGUUCUUUACCGCAGUAUAAUUUGGUCAUAAAUAAGUAAACAACUCAUGCCUCCUUGUUCUUGAAUGAUAAAGGAAGUCUUCAUCACCUUUUGUUGAUGCUGAUUGUGAGGUGACUAAAAUUCACUCACUUAUCAAAGAAACUCCUAAUCUUUGAUUUGUUCGAUUUCUCCUGGUGUUCAACUCGGAAUUCCAAUAAAGAUGUGUCGGGAUUAUGAAAUAGUGUCGGAGUCAAAAUUUUGACUUAGAGAUUCAAAAUAUGAAGAAGUAGGGUUCGGAUGAACCCCUUGCUUCCACCUAGCUUCUGCCCUCGUUAUGAAAUGGAAGAAGUUAAUAAUGAGGUUCCUUGUUCGCUGGUUGAUCAACUAUGUGUACAGAAUAUGUUGAAAAUGAAGUAUAGUAAAAUGAACUUUAACCUCUCGAUAUAUAAUAAAACUACUGGAUAUUCAAAUUUGUUUCUCAUAUUUUUCUCCAUUGUAAAAAAUUAUCACUACUUUAACAUUUGUUUUCCGCUACCACUAUAUAAUGCAUUGGUCCAUUAUCAUUUUAAAUUUUGUGUUUACUCAAAUAUCAUCAUAUAAAACUCAAUAGAGAAGAUUUUAAAUUGAAAACACGUACAAUUUUCGUUUGGAAGAGAAUCAUGAGAUCUCAGCCAUCAGACUCAAAUUCGAUUAGAGACGAAAUAUAUUAAAUGAUUUCAAUUCUCUUAUAUUAGGCUUAGUGGAUAUAAUUAUCUUAUACUUGUUGAUGGUAGGAGCUGAUACUUGUUGAUGGUAGGAGCUGAUAGAUACGUGAAAUUAGUUGUAAUACGUGAAAAUUGAUCUGCACACUGUGAUAAUAGUUUUUUUUUUUUUGUUUAUGAGCCUCUAUGAGGACUCUGGAAUCAUUAGCUUCUGAAUGUCCUUUUUAUAGCCCCCAAUUCGACCAAUUAAUAGGAAGGAGCGAAGGAAGAGUGUUGGUUAUGGAUUUUUAUCAAACACAGUAAUUUUAGUUUAAAUUUUAUAUUUGUUAUAAAAAAUAACUUAGAAACUAAAAUUUAAAUAUAAUAAAUUUUAAAAUUCUGAUUCUGCUUUUGUGGCCGGAUAUUCAAAAGGAAUAAUUCCAACUAGAAAAUGAAUUUCAAUAAUUGCGUCCAAAACAGGCCAUGCAAUAUACCGGUAUUAUAGGCCGCACGAGCUAAUAAUUGUGAAGUUUUACGACACUACUUAAUGGGUUGUGAUGUACAAAACGAGAGUUGGUUUUUGUAUGUCAAUUAUAUACUAUAUAUUUUUAGUUCUAUGUUUUUCAAUAAGAAAUUUUUAAUUUUUCAUAUAAGAGAUCUAAAAAAAAAUUAUUUAUAAAUGGUUAAGAUAUCUCUUCUUUUUUCUUUUUUCUUUCUUUUAGAGGGCAAUUGGAUCUCAUUUUACCCGCCAUAAGUCACAGUUGGAUAACACUUUAUUUGGGACUACAAAUAGUAAUAAUCAUAUAUUUUUAUUUUAAUCAUAAUAGUAAUAUUAAUAUAUUUAAGCAAUCCCAGGAAUAUGUCAAAAAAUGAAAAGUUUGUGAAGUAGGGUCGUACUAUUGUAUCUAAACUGUGUUUUUUUAGCAUGAUGUUUUUAUUUUGGUCUGUGCAAUAAAAACAUGGCAAGGAUUAUAAAAGAAAAACACAUUUUUUUUUUUAUAAAAAUGAAAAUUAGGUUAACAAAUGAUUGAAAAGAAAUCUUUAGAAAAUGCAAUCUGAAAGAAACAUAAAUGUAGUGAAAGGGACCUUAAUUAGCUGUUUUUGUGUUAUUUAGAUGCUUAUCAUCAACCACUACCUAUAUAUGUCGUGGAACACCAUUAGCCAAAAGCCCAAAACCUAAUUUAUAUCAAAAUGUCCUAAAUUAUUAUCUAUAAAUCCACCAACUUAACUACUUUUCUUUCAUAUAUAUAUAUAUAAUAAUAAUAAUAUUACUCCAUCUUUUUCUCCCUCCAAAACUAGGGUUUCCUCAUUAUACAACUACCAUGAUCAUGGAGCCAAUAGUAUAAUCUUGGUCUCUUUGUUUAUUUCGAAAGAGGGAUGCAACACGAGUACUUCCUCGUGAGAUCAUCCAAGUAUGUUAUUUCUUUGAAAAGUUACUAUUAAGAUAAGAAAUUCUCUGAUAAAGCUCUGCUAAUAUCAGGUGAACUCCUAUAUUUCUCGUCCAUGUUUGACUUCACAAUUAUGAGGAGUUGGUGUGAUGUUGGAAUGGCUCAAUCUAAUGAAAGUUUCCAAACAUUUUUGGUCAUUUUAAUUUGAUUGAGCCGUGCCAAUAUCAUAUCGUCUUUUGUACAAGAGUGUUGAUGUAUGCUAUUUCAAAAGUGCCCAACUUUUGAAAAAUUCUUGUAGGUUAGAGUUUGAUUGCAAAUUUACUUCAAGUGUGUGUUCAGAAAAUGCUUUUCCAAUUCCAACCUAUUUUUUUAAAUUGUCAGUGGCGUUUACAUAAAUUUUUUUAGUCGUAUAUUAAUAUUUGAAAAGGUGAACAAACGAAUAAAGUAUUAGGAGCAUAACGAUGAGCAAUUUCAUUUUUCAUAUUUAUACCCUUAUAUAUAAUUAUUUUUUUCACUAUAUUCGUCAUGACACUACUUUUUUUAGGGUCUUGAUUUAGGCCAAAUUUGCCAACUUGUUCUUCUUGGAAUAUAUAUAAAGAUGGUAUAUUUAUUUGUUUUUUUCUUCAAUGUUAUUGAUUAUAUUCCUAAUUAGGUAUCUAUCAAACUGUCAAAUAUGUCAUAUCUCUCAUGGUACCAAGUCAGUAGUUUGGUGAAUAAAUAAUUUUUUCAUGUUCUUUUAUGUAUAUUCAUAUGUAUAGAAUCGAAUAUUUUUAUUCCAGACAGAAUGGCAUGAUUAGUAAUUGGAAGAUCGAAGACUGGAAUAAGAUUUGCGAAAAAUAUUUAAGUUAUGUGAACUUUGAAAAAAUAUUUUUAUAUAUAAAAUAAACAAAAACAUUUCAGAUGUUAAUAUUCAAAUGGAUUUCCUUUUUUAAAAAUAAAUAAAUAAAACAGAUUCUGCAUAUCCUUUUAAGAGUAUAUAUAAAUAAAUAAAUAUCUAAUAUUUGCAUCAUAUCUUUGAAAUUUUUUUGAUAAAUCUAUCUCAAGAAGAAGUCGCAUUUUAAUAAAUAUAUCAAUUUUUUCCUUAUAAUUUUUUUUUGUGUGUGUGGGGACCUAGAAGCUCUUGUGAAACGUUUCGAUCCUCGAAAUAUACAUAUGAGAAUAUAUUUGUGUAUAGCAUUUUUUGCAUAUUAUUAUAAACUUUUGUAUAUGAUCGAACAUAUAAUGUAUAAUGUUUUCCUCCCAUGUAUAAUAUAGUAUAGUGUUAUAUUAGGCUACGUGACGUAAUAUUUUGUGUUGGGUGCUAUAUUUUUAAAAAUUUUCCUUUUUUUUGGUGGAGAUUUGUUCAUAGAACCAAUUACAACAGAACUAACACUCGGUUGGAUUUGCAUUUUUCUUAGUUUAGUUUUCGAUAAAAGAUUUCCAUAUCGCAUAUUUAUAUUAAAUCAAUAGAUGUAUCAGGCAUGGUAUGUGUCUGUACACCAUUUCUUUCGCUAUAAAACUAUGGUAAAUUAUUGUAUAGUUUCACCCUAUUAAAUUACUUUAUUAUGAUAAAUAAAUAUAGUUUGACACAUAUUUGAAGGGUUUUUCCAAUUUUAUUUCUCCCUUGGAAAAUCAUCUUAAGCAUUUGUUGUGUCCAAAUGGUAGAACAGAUGAAAUUAUAGGUUGAUUAUCUGUCGAUUAGUAGGUAAUCGAACAUUGUCUUAAUAUUAGCCUAUUUAGGUAGUUUACUAUAUUUAGGGGAUUUUACCUUAUUGUUAAUUUUACGAUUCCUUGCUUGUAUAUAUAUGCCCACACUGCUUUCCUAUGAGUCAUCAUGUUUUUCUUUAUCGUUGUUUUUCAUCUCUAUUACUACUUUGAUUUACUUCACUUGAAUGAAAGGUCUUUUAACCUCCAAAAAAUAAAGGAAAAGUUUGUGUACACUCUCCCCUUGGGACCCCGUUUUGUAAAAUUUAGUAAAAAAAAUAUCGUAUUUUUGUUUAGUUGAGUAUUUUCUUUAAUGCAUAGUUAUAAUCUUAGGGUUCAAAACUUGAAAUCAACUUGUGCAUCUCUCGUGGGUAACCUUGUCCAUCAAAAUUGUAGAAACAAGAAUUAAUCACCUUGUGUACUACUUUUUAGUUUAGUAAUUUAUCUACUCUUAAAGUCAACUUUUUUUAUUUAAGAGUAACAAUUAUGAAAAACUUUUCAAUGUGCAAAAGUUGAUUUGUAUUUUUAAAAUCCAAGAGUGUUGUUCUAUUCUCUAAAAGAUACUAAUCAUGAAUCAAUCAUCAACAAAAAAGGGGCAAAAUGGAGAGUGAUGGUCACAACUCAUAACUUAACUUUGCACCACUUUUUAAUAAUUUAAAAGUUACAAUCCACCAAAAGAUCUUCCCCCUCAAAAGAACAACAGCAUUAUUCAUAACUCACACAGUUUUUUAAUAAUUUAAUUUCUUUGGUUGCUAAUAGCCUGUUGUGUAAAAGUAUUUCUGAUAAAAUAUCAUGAUCAUGUUGGAAUAGGAAAUAAACCAGCAUAUGAUGUUUAACCAAAGUGCAAUCAGAUUAACACUCAAAAAGCUCAACUAAGUCAUAUCAGUGAGAUAACAUAUGGUUAGUGGAGUAAUUACAUAGUGAAAGUUCAUCCAAUAGGAGACAAAUCCACAAAUAAGGUUAGCAUUAAUAUAAAGAAUUUUUACCACAAGCCACUGAUUAUCCUGAUAUGUCCUCUAUUAUUCCUUUGCCAUCCAUGGCAUCAAACAAGAAAAAGUUUUUAAGAGGAUCACCUUUUCCAGAUAUUGCUUUUAUAACCUCCUAUAAGGAUAAAAAUAAAAGGAACACAUAAGCGAAAAAGUCGAGAGGUGCCAAUAGUAUUUUUGAACAAGACAGCAGCAUAAUCACCUGUCCAAGGACUCCUCCUAUAAUGGCACAAACUGAAGGAAAUUCAACUCUAGCUGCUAACAACCUUUGCAGGAGAGGAACCGGGAUCUGAGAUUCAUUUAUGCACUGCAAAUCAAGAGGCAGUUUCGUCAAGGACUUGCAGGUGAUGCAUUACAUUAAUAUAUUUGUGCAUUUCGAACUCUGGAAUAUACCUGUGCCUCACAAAGUUCCUUCCUCAAUUUCAGAACAUUUGGAAGGUCAUCUCCGGAAGUAUCUUGAGGAUUUUGCUUUUCAAGCACUUCAAACCUCUCUAGAACUGCAAAGAAUUACCAGUCCACAAGUCAAGGACAAGACACUUGAGUAAAUUUACUGUUGCACUUAAGGUAUGCAUCAAAAUGUAAAUUAGUGGGCUUCCUAUAACAUUGUCACCAUAAUAAUUUCAGCAAAACCAACACCAAGAUGGCUACUUAAAUUAUUUUUGGGGUCCAGGCUACCGAAAAAUGGAAUAUUACCUAGAUUGUUACCACUAACUAUAAUCACCACAGAUAAUAUAAUUUUGUAAUUUCAGAAGGCCACAUCUAUCAUAUGUGUGGAAGAACAUAAAAAUCAUAAUUCUGGAAAGCACCCCGUCAUAUUCUCAUUGGUAAUUGAUGCCUUUUGCAGCAAGCUAUUGGAAUUUGAACACCAGAAAUAGGCAGUUAUCUUGUAAUAUGAGCUUGUAGAUUAGAAGAAUGGUGGUUGCGGGAAGGGGGAGACCAGGAAAUAGUGCUGGAUCCUCUCUAAAAGUGAGCGCAUUGGUUCAUGUUCUACAUUCCUAAUAUCAAAGUCGAAGCAAAGAUCCAGAGAACUUAGACAUGUCACAUAGCGAUUGGUUUGACUGCAACCCACUGAUCUCUCCUGUUCUUGUAACUAUAUAGCUGGAAAUUCACAUCGACAUUCACACACCAGAUAGCAAAAGUGGAUUUAUAGAGCAUCUUUAAAUCUGCAUAAGAAAUUACAACAACCUGAGAAAUAGAGUACCUCUCAUGGCAAAAUAUAGCUUUGACAUUCUCUUGGGUAGAGAUCUCCACGGGACUGCAAUGGCUUCCUGCAGAAGUGUAGGUAAGGCAAUCGCCAUUUGAAAUGAAAAUCUGAUGAAAUACUCUGGAACAGAGAAACCUUAUUAACUUCAGGUUAAACCAUCACGAUUUAGUAAAUCCCGGAAAGACCAGCUAUAUGUUUGUUUUUUUCAAGCCUUCUUAUCUAAUUUUGAAUGCUAAAGGGGAUUACAAGAAUAUUUAGCAUAUGUUACACUGUUGCCUCUCCUUAUAGAAUAUUAUGCCUUUAAACGUGUACCUGUUCCAAGGAAUUCCAAACAAAAUGGUCUAUUAUUUUUUUUGGGACUGUGAAAUCCCUUAAGGUUUUAAAUCUAAAUGCAAUCAUUAUGUCUUCAGUGAUGCCUGAACUGGUGUUGCAGGACUUCAUCAUGCUGAUACUGGACAUUGUUACAUGCUAAGGUGGAUUAUUUGAUGUCUGGUGAUGGUUGUGAAGAAAAUGGAAGUGAUGAAACACAAUGCACCUAAGAACCCUACCAAGCAGGUGUUGAGGUGUUAACCAAGGGAACUAAUAAUGCAAAUUGCAAGGAUGUUGUCUCUAGGUCGAAUCAAUUCUUUCCUUGAACUACUAUAUAUAGGCAGAUCGUUAGGAGGCUCUUGUUACUUCGAAAUGAGAAGGUUACACUCACCAAAAACUUUGCCCAACUCUACAGAGUGUAGACAAUCACAUAGGCAGCUAAGUGUUGCCAUUUAAAAGCUGCCAGAUACUGGUGACAAGCUUCAAAGCUACCACAUAUAUGUUAGGAUGUUAAGCAGAUGAAUAUCAUCCAUCAGACUUUGAAUAGUGCCAAAACAAGGUACUUAAAGAAAAAAUCAAAAAGCUGUGCUGCCACAAAUUGAAUGGGAAAUUCAUGUUUGAAAACAUCACAGACGUUAGGCAAUGAUAUAAACCACCAUGCAGCUGGACUGAAGCAAAUUGAUCUGUUUAGAAACAACAUACAGAGAUCCAUACGGUUUCAGCUAUAAAAUAUGAAACAAUAAGUGACAGCUGCAAUCACCUAUUAUUCAUAAGCAUACAUAUGAUAUCCACUAAGCAGAUAUGUUGUCAUUAACUUAGGUGGAAAACCAGCCAUAGGGAUGAUGACUUCGACUUAUCUGAUAUUUGCUGAGACUGCUAUCUUAAAAAUAAAAAUACAGAUAAGAGUAUAAUCUCAUCGAUACAGUUGAGUAAAACAGCACAGCAGCUAAACAGGACCAAAUGUUCUUUUUUGAUACUUUGAUGCAGCAUACCUCAAAACUCGGAUACUGUAGUUGGCAUUCAAUUGUUUCUUCAUUCUUUUUCUGCAGAAGCAUAAGAAGGGAUUUAAGAGAUUCAUCAGAUCUAGCAAUAUGAUACACAAGAUAUAGGCCCUCAAGAUAAAAGGUACACCUAUGUGUGGAAAGGACUAGAUUGAACUGAAGAAAAGGGUCAAAAGAAGAUAACUCAAGCUGUAUAAUCAUUAAACAUGGAGACACUCUAUCUAAGGAUGAAAUCCAACUGAAAAAGAAGGGGACUAUAAAAAAUAUAAAUAUUGUUGUAACCUUGGAGUAGCUCUGCAAGUCAACAAAUAUCUCACCGCAGGAAUCUCGGCAUUCUACAGAAUAAAAUGCGACACGUCUUGGCAACUUGCGACACUUUGCAUUAACCGAUUUCUGCAUAGGGAGCAUUAUCAAAAUUAAAAUCAUAAAAAAAACUGGUAUUUUCAUUGGAAAAAUCCUCUUAUUUAUUUUCAACAAGCAAGAAGAAUGUCCAUACUUUUGUCAGCAGCGAGCAGCAACUGAUGACAACAGCAUCAAACUUCUGAAAGAAUUCAACAUCGAAGUUGGCCAGAACACCUAAAAAUAGAGCAUAUGAGACAUAAAAAUGAAAUCUUUGAUGCAUUGACACAAUCUGAUUCUGAGAAAUAGAUAUAAGGUGCUUAACAUGCACCUGACACUGCAUAUCAUCAAAACCCAAUAGAGAUAUAGCUAAGAACUCGAGUCGGAAGUGAAAUGUUAGGAACUUUCUUAAUGCACCUUUUUAUAUGAUUUGAGAGUAUAAAAAGAGUUAACUAUCUGAUAAGCAUAAUAUGCAUAACAGUUAUAUGUGUUAGGAAAAAACAAAAAUAAGUGGAAAAUUAAGCCAACUUACGAAAUCAUUACAAGAUCAAAGAACGACAAAAAGCGGAAAUGCACUGGUGUUUGAUGAGUUAAGAGGAACUAUGCAGGUUAAAGAGUUUGUAAAUAAAUUAUAGUACAAACAGAUCCAAACCUUUUUCAACAGAAACAGUAACCAUGGGGUUGAAAUCUUUCAGUGAUUCACAACAAAGCUCAGCAAGUGAUUUCCCACUGGUCACAUUUUCAUCAGAAGGAACUAAAAAAUUAGCAGACAGUAGCUCUUCUGUUACAAGUCGAUCAUCAUUUAGCGUCAAACUACCGACUCCGGCUAAGACAAUGUUCUUGCAGAACUGGGAAAGAAAAAGGAGAAAAAAGAAGUUAAUAUAAUCUGAAGUUGCUCAUUUUGAAUUUAGCAUCUGGAACUGAAAAUAUUAUAUUGAAACUUAUCCUAUCAAAGGGCCAAGAAGCAUGAUGUAUACAGUUUAUGCUUUGGACAUAAUCCAAUUCCAUCAAUAACAAACGACAGAAAAGUUCUAUUGAUAAAUAAACAUAAUAACAAAUAUGGCAAUAAACAUUUACUUCAAAAAGUGAUUAACUGGUAGUUUUGUACCUCAAUAACAGUCCCUUUCAGUCCACUGACAAAUAUAUGAGAUUUGCUCAACCUGACACAAAUAAGAAGAUAGUAGAAUCUUUUAUAAAAAUGAAAGAACUAGAUGGGUCUACUAGAUAUCUAACUAAAAUAUUGUAUAUGUCAUUCCCUUGAAGUUAGAAUACUGCUUUUAAAAGUAAAAGUAAGUCAUAGGAUGAGCACACAUUCCAUUUUCCCUUCAAGUGAACCACAGGACAUGGAUGUCCCUCUUCCUUCAUAACAAAAAAAUUACUUGCCAUAAGCACAUGAAAACCCUGGUUCCACUAUUGAUACUAAGGACACCAAGCUCAUACACAUGUAUGUAAAGUAAACAUCUAUCCUCAACAACAAUGUGUUUGUGAUGCAUUAUCAUACUGGUUGCCUGUGUAAAAUCACAAAAAUGAGUGAAGAAGAAUACCUUCGCUGAGCAUCAACACCCCAAACCCUAAUUUGGCGAUCAUAUAUGGCAGUUUCUUGCUCUGUCAAUUCCUCACCUACUUUUCCCAUUGCAACCUAUAAUUUCAGCAAAAAAAAACAUACUAAGUGAAGAAACAAACACAAUAUCCACAAACUUAUAGCUCAAUUCUCAGUUCAUCUUUGUCCAUCUUCCUCGAAGCUCCUACUGAAAUUGAACUAAGCAAACAAACUAAAUCUCUUAAAAAAAGCAAUUUUUUGGUGCAUUAAUCAAAGCAAUUUAUAAGCAAAACAAAGAGAAGAAGUGAAAGAACAGGCAAAGGAGAGAGCUUACACUGUGAGAGAAACCGAGGAAAAAAAUUGUUUAUCAGACGAGAACUAAGCAUCAAUUGUUUCCUUUUUCUUCUUUUUUGAAUUGCAAUUAGUUCGAUCAAACUUAUAUAGUUGCUUAUGAAGCAUAGUUUUUUAAAAAUAAUUUUCUAGAAACUAAGAUAAAUAGAAAGUAUAAGGAUAUUAUUUAACACUUUGUUUAAAUAGUUAAAUGUGAUAAAUUAUAUUUUAAUUUGUGCAGGACUUCUAUAGUUUCAGUAAACAAAUUUUCACAAGUGGAUGAACACAUUUUUUUUUAUUUGUACAUAUCAUAAUAUUUUUUGCAAGUUCGUUAUUAUGGAACGAAAUGUAUCGUGUUUAAAGCUUGAUAACUUCAUGUUCACAUAUGAAAGUGUGGUGUUGUGAAGAUCUAACAUUCAGAGCUUACGCCUAAUUUUUAGUAUGAUUUGUUAGUUUAAAUUUAUUUUUUAAAACUUAAAUUCAUGUGAUAAAUCGAUCAAUUGACGAGAACCAAGGGCUUCGAUUUUCCAGAAUCACAUUUGAUUAGACUAAAGAACUUCAAAUUUUCUCACACUCUUCUUUACUACCAUUUCACAUGUUUGUAAAAUAUAUAGUAACAGCCAUUGACUUUGCACGUUUAAUUAUUUGAGCAGGUUGCCCUUCAUCUGCAUAUUAAUAACAGAACGGAAUAUGAUUUGGUGUAAACAUCAGCUACGAGUAAGUAUUUUAACUAUAAGUCCUGUGAAGUAAUUUCUUCAAUCAUACUUAUGGGACUGGAUGUAGAAUAUCUGCAAAAUGAACCUUUUUUCACUGGGAAAAAAUGUGAACACUAGAGUGUGAGACAUAUUACUGUUGAUUGAUUGGGAGAAGGUGAUUAAGCAAGAGCAUAUGGUGCCAUUGUCUUAAUGCUGAUUUGGACCACUGUGCUGCAUUUUUCUCCUAGCAAUGUAACCUCGGAGCCAAGGAGUAACAUCCUCGUUGAUCUUGAUCAUGAAGAAGAAGAUUACGCGGUAGAUGAUUAUCAAGGAGAAGAUGGCACUUAGAUCCACCCAUUUUGAUCUGUUCACGUCAAUCUGGAAUAUCUGUUUUAGCGCGUAUUCACCUGUGAUCUUGGGAGGAUGAGGACUAUGGUUAUCAAAUAUCAACCCCUUCAAGUCAUUUUUGUAUUGCCCCUACAGAAACCACCAAAUUAGAGUCAAAAUAAGACUGGACAGAUCUCAACAGAUUUUCCAUCAAAGGACUACUACAUCUACAUCCUCAUAAAAGCACGGAAUUGGUCUGAACAUGCCAAGUUGGUGCCUAUAAAGCAUGUAGUUUCGUAUUUAUAACUUGUAUAUGAUAAAAUCAUUUAUGAAAUUAGUGCAUUACGUUAACUGCUAAGGCUACUACUGAUUCUACUUAUUAUGGACUGUUACGUGUAAUUAUCAUUAGGCUCGGGUGAUCUAAACAUUUCCAUUGUGAGUUACCAACAGGUAAAAUGUGCAGCAAAUUUUUACCUGUACAGCCCAGAAAUCAAAAGUCAAGUAAGACACCGGGUAACGCCAGACAGGUUUUGGUAUGUCAUAGGGGAGUCUGAAGAACCCAGAGACCAGCAUAGAUAUUCCCUAACACAGAAACAUACACAAUUUAGGUGUAGACAAUGGUAAGGAUUAUAAUUUUGCAUUCCAACAUAAGCAAAAGUUCGUAGUCUAAUAAAACGGAAACAGAUUAAGUUUACUACCAGAAUGCCAGCUCCUAUGAUGAUACCCAUGAGGAAAUUAGGUACAACACUAGCUAUGACCAUCAUCAGGCUCUCAACUGCCGUAAUGCUGGCAUAAAUGGCCAAUACAAAGAAGAAAUAGUGGGAGAAUCCUGGAUGGAAGUGGACCAUGAAGUAGCAGACAGUACCAGAAAGAAUUGCAAUCAAUAUAAGGAACGGCAUUGCAGAUAACGUGUUGCUUAUCACAAACACAAUGACACCAUAAUGCCCAUUCAUCCUUUCCCUUUGGAAAACCUGUUUUGAUUGACCAAAUCAUUAGAUUUGUGUGGCAAUGUAUCAAUUAUAUAAGAUAAGGUAGAUGUUUCUAGAGUACUGUCAUAUAAAGAACGAACUUUCAUAUCCUCCACGAAUGAAGGGAAACCUCCUAUUGACAUGAAUGUCAUAAAUCCAAAGACGAAAGAAGAACAUGCAGCUCUUGCCUGCAUAAUGUUAAUUUGAUAAGUAAAUAAAAAAAAAGCGCGUCUUCUUGUAGGAGACAUUAAUUACAAAGGAAUCAAGUUGUAAAAAUCCCAUUAGGAGAAAUAAGUUACCUGGAUGGAAUUAUACUUGGUUCCCACAUUAAAAUAGAUGGUUCCAAGACAAACGGAAACCACUAAGUAGAUCACAAUCCUCAGCCAGUAAUAGCCAAAGUCCCUAGACAUAUUAACAAACGAACGUUUGGUUAAGCUGUAGGACUGCAUAAAGAAACUAGCAUGGCUUCCGUUAGAAUCUAGCACUGUUCCUUUCUGUUACAAAAAAAAGAAAAGAAAAGAAAGAUUACAUUUGAUGAGAUAAGAAAUUAGGCAGAUGAUGAAGAAACCAAGAUCAAGGUUUGGUGCAUUAAAACUUACAACUUUGGACAUUUCUUCCACUGUUUCAUUUGCUACAUAGCAGUACUGAGAAUGACGAUAGAAGUCAACAAGACUUCGAAUUACUUCUGCUGUUGUCAUCUUGUUUAGAGGAUCAUCAUUGUACUGAUUAAACUUAUUAAAAUAAGAACAGAAUGAGUUAAAUGAAGGAACUUGAAGAUCUUAUAUCCUAAGCCAUGCUAAAUACAACGGUAAUAUAUAGAAAUUCAUGUUACUGUUGCUUAAAGAAACUACUACAGAAAGCGGAGACUUAAAUGGAGUAGUGACUAUUUUAUUGCACUUAUCAAAACAAACAACAUAUUACACAUGGUCUGAUCUAAUGCAAACUUUUGGAGCUUGAUUAGUAACAAGAUGAUCUAAAAAGACAUACUUUGAUCAACUCCCUUAAAGUGGCCUUAACUUUGUCGAAAUCAGAGUUACUGCACCGAAGGAAAUGAUCUGAUGGACUUCUAAAAGAAGGACAAGGAAAUCCUGCUUCGGCAAAGAACUGCAAACCAAAAACUAGAUUUAACUCUAACUACCACAUGAUGAAAAAGGUAUAAAAUCCAGAAACAAAUGAUGGAGAAUCUCGAUUAAGGGAGAUUUAUCUUGCCUGAUUUGCUUCAGAAGCUUGACCAAAGUAAACUGUUUUGCCUCCGGAAAGCAAGUAUAAUCUGUCAAACAGCUCAAAUACUUCAGAGCUUGGCUGGUGAAUUGAGGCUAUCACAGUCCGUCCAUCUCUGGAAAGACAAUGCAGUGCCUGUGUUACGAAGAACGCUGAGGCACUGUCACAAAAUACAGAAAAUUUAAGGUAUUGUUCAUCAAUACUGUGAAAUUAACAUUGUAAAAUAAGUGAUCUAUUAGUAAGAACAUUAUCUACCUAUCUAGUCCACUUGUUGGUUCAUCAAGGAAGAGCAAUCUAGGCCUCAUUAGAAUCGCAAGCGCAAUACUAACCCUCCUCUUUUCUCCCCCACUAAUACCGCGCAAGUGCCAAUUACCAAUAAACGUAUCAGCACAAUCUUGUAAGCCCAUUUGAGUAAUGGUGCUCUCAACUAGUGUCCUUUUUUUCGAUAAUGGCAUCCUAUCAGGGAGACGCAAUUGAGCUGAAUAGUAAAUAGUCUCCCGAACCGUUAGUGUUCCAAUCAACGUAUCAUCUUGUGUUACAUAUGCCUGUAUUGUAAAUCAAUUAAAAUAACCUCACAAAAUUCACCCAGAAUAAGAAAGAUACUGACAGGAUAACACUUGUGUCUCACAAACUAUUGCCUUAGGACUACUUACUGCAGUUCCAAAUGAGAGCUUAGCUUUGCGACCGUUGAGGAGAAUUUUUCCAGUGAGGAUAGCGUUAGAACCAAGACGUCCAGAUAGGGCGUCGAGCAGCGUAGAUUUACCAGCACCAGAAGGACCCAUUAAUGCAGUGAAUGUUCCAGGCUCUGCAUAACCAGUAAGUCCUUCUAAUACAUUUCUUGUAUCUCCAUUAUUCAGAGUGACCAUUACAUUAACAUCCUUCCAAGCCACAUGAGCAGAUACCACUAUACCAUUGGCGUUUUGUGGUUCACUUUCUUCUUCAAUCUCCAUAAUUGCAGAGGAGGACGAGAACGACGACGACGACAACGAGUUCCUCAUCAUCUAUAUACAAUUAAUUUCUCUCUUUGGUUAUUUAAUCAGUUGUCUUCUUCUUGAAAUGCAUCUUACUUGUAUUACUUCUGAUGUUUAUAAAGUUUGUUUGAAAAAAAGAACUAGUUAGCUGGUCAGCUCUAUACUGGAGUAAUAAAUCUAGCAGGUCCCAAAUAAGUGUUGUUUCAACCAAAAAAUAAAUAAAUAGUGAAAUUGUUUGCAAGAGUAGAGGUAAAUCACAUUAUAUUUGUAGUGGAAUCAGGGAUAUACAUGCCUUAAUAUAUCUUAAUUUUAGGAAUCGUAUAAAAUCAUCCAAAUUGACUGCAACUGUUGACAUAUAUAUUCCGUAGUAAAGGAAACUAAAAUUUCUAUUUUCCCUUGUUAAAACUGGUAUUAUAUGUAUGAGGUCCAGCCCCUAUCUUCACUUUUCUUUUGGCUGUGAUUUGCACAGAUUGCACUAGCACACAUUCGUUGAAAACUGGCAAUCACUCAAUUAAUACAAGGGAGAAAUAUUGGCACAUUUCAUCAUGUACACCAACACACAAAGGGAAGUAUUAGAGAACUGAGUGAGGUAUAUCAUAGACUAACUAUAAAAAUAAAAUAAAAUAGUGUGAGUGAUAUUUUUAGCGAGACGAGAAAUCAAAAGAGGUUUUCUUUUUUGAGUGUGUAGUGGUAUUUGUAGUAUUUUACUCAAAGCCUACAAAGUGUAAAAUUCUUUCUAUACAGAAUGUGUAAAUGCAACUUUAUGUGUGACUUAUUAGAAGAAGAAUAAACAAAUGAUGGCUUCUAUUUAAAUACUUUGUUUUCUAAUUUGAUUGAUUCAUUUUGAUCUUGUUAUUUGGUUCAUGAUUCUCAGAUCCUUGGAGAAGGCGAUUAAGCAAGAGCGUAUUGUGUCAUUGUCUUAUUCUGAUUUGCACCAUUCUGCUGCAUUUUUCUUCUAGCAAUGUAGCCUCGGAGCCAAGGAGUAACAUCCUCGUUGAUCUUGAUCAUGAUGAAGAAGAUUAAGCGGUAGAUGAUUAUCAUGGAGAAUAUGACACUAAGAUCCACCCAUUUUGAUCUGUUCACGUGAAUCUGGAAUGUUUCUUUUAGCGCGUAUUCACCUGUGAUCUUGGGAAGAUCAGGACUCUGGUUAUCAAAUAUCAACCCCUUCAAGUGGUUUUUGUAUUGCCCCUACAGAAACACCAAGUUAAACUCAAUGGAUUCAUAUAUCAAAAUAAUACUGGACGGAUCUUAACAGAUUUUCCAUCAAAAAAAAACUACUACUUAGAUAUCUACAUCUGUCAUCAAAGCAAGUAAUUGGUCUGAACAUGCCAAGUUGGUGCUUGAUAACGCAUUUCUCUUUCAUAUGCUUUAUUUUGAAGGCUUACGUGUAAUUAUCUUUAGGCUCCGAUGAUGUUAGCAUUUCCAUUAUGAGUUUAUAACAGGUAAACUCUGCAGCAAAUAUUUACCUGUAUAGCCCAAAAAUCGAAAGUCAAGUAAGACACCGGGUAACGCCAGACAGGUUUUGGGAUGUCAUGGGGAAGUCUGAAGAACCCAGAAACCACCAUAGAUAUUCCCUAACACAGAAAACAUACACAAUUGUUAAGUGUGGAAAAUGGUAUGCAUGCAUUAGUACUUCUGAUUCUAAGAUAAGCAGAAAAUUUCGUAGUCUAUAAAACAGAAACGGAUUAAGUUUACUACCAGAAUGCCAGCCCCUAUGACGAUACCCAUGAGGAAAUUAGGGACAACACUUGCUAUGACCAUCAUUAGGCUCUCAACCGUUGUAAUACUGGCAUAAAGGGCCAAUACAAAGAACAAAUAGUGUGAGAAUCCUGGAUGAAAUCGGACCAUGAAGUAGCAGAUGGUACCAGAAAGAGUUGCAAUCAAUAUAAGGAACGGCAUUGCAGACAAUGUGUUACUUAUGACAAAUGCAAUGAUACUAUAAUGCCCAUUCAUCCUUUCCCUUUGAAAAACCUGUUUUGAUUGUAAAAAUAGGACCAAAUUAUUAGAAAUGUCUGGCAAUGUAUCACUAUAGAGUUAAGAUAGCUUUUUCAAGAGGGUCAUGCAAAGUACGAACUUUCAUAUCCUCCACGAAUGAAGGGAAACCUCCUAUCGACAUGAAUGUCAUAAAUCCAAAGAUGAAAGCUGCACAAGCACCUCUUGCCUGCAUAAAGUCAAUUUGAUAAAUAAAACAAAAAAUGCAUAUUCUUAAAAAUCCUAUUAGGAGAAACAAAUUACCUGGAUGGAAUUAUACGUGGUUCCCACAUUAAAAUAGAUAGUUCCAACGCAGACGGAGACCACUAAGUAGAUCACAAGCCUCAGCCAGUAAUAGCCAAAGUCUCUUGUCAUAUUAACAAAUGAACGUUUGGUUAAGAUGUAGGACUGCAUAAAGAAACUAGCUUGGCUACCAUUAGAAUCUAGCACUGUUCCUUUCUGUCACAAAAAAAGUAUCACAUUUUAUCAAAGAAGAAACUCGACAGAUGAUGAAGAAAUCAAGAUCAAAGUCUGGUACAUUAAAACUUACAACUUUGGACAUUUCUUCUACUUGUUCAUUUGCUAAGUAGCAAUAUUGAGAACGGCGAUAGAAGUCAACAAGACUUCGAAUUGCUUCUACUGUUGUCAUCUUGUUUAGAGGAUCAUCAUUGUACUGAUCAAACUAAAUAAAAUAAGAACAGAAUAAGCUAAAUGAAGGAAGGUGAAGAUCUUUAUAUCCUAAGACACUCUACAUGUUAAUGUUGCUUAAAGAAAGGACUACAGAAAACGGAAACUUAUAUGGAUCAGUGACUAUUUUAUUGCACUUAUCAAAACAAAAAACACAUGUGUGUAAGGUGUAUGCUUCAAGUGUUUCCUAACUUUGAACAGAGUAGCAUUACUUAUUUAAAAAGUUAUUCCCCGAAUCUCAUGCAAACUUUUGAAGUUUGAUUAGUAACAAGAUGAUCUUAAAAAGCAUACUUUGAUUGAGUCUCUUAGAGUUGCCUUAACUUUGUCGAAAUCAGAGUUACUGCACCGGAGGAAAUGAUCUGAUGGAUUUCUAAAAGAAGGACAAGGAAAUCCAGCUUCUGCAAAGAACUGCAAACCAAAAACUAGAUUUAAUUCUAACUUCCACAUGAUGAAAAAGGUAUAGGGUCGGGAGACGAAAAUGAUCCAUAGAAUGAUGGAGAGUCUUGAGUAAGGGAGAUAUCUUGCCUGGUGUGCUUCAGAAGCUUGACCAAAGUAAACUGUUUUGCCUCCGGAAAGCAAGUAUAAUCUGUCAAACAGCUCAAAUACUUCACUGCUUGGCUGGUGAAUUGAGGCUAUCACAGUCCGUCCAUCUCUAGACAGACAACGUAGCGUCUGUGUUACGAAGAAUGCUGAGGCACUAUCACAAAUCCAAUAAGCUGAUUCCAUUAGAUGUUGUUCCUUUAUUAGGUAUUUCAAAACUUAAACACACAAUUGAGCUAUGACCUUAAGAACAUUACCUGUCUAGUCCACUCGUUGGUUCAUCGAGAAAGAGUAAUCUAGGUCUCAUAAGAAUCUCAAGAGCAAUACUAACCCUCCUCUUUUCUCCUCCACUAAUACCGCGCAAGUGCCAAUUUCCAAUAAACGUAUCAGCACAAUCUUGUAAGCCCAUAUCAGCAAUGGUGCUCUCAACCAGUGUACGUUUCUCCGAUAAUGGCAUCCUAUCAGGGAGACGUAAUUGAGCUGAAUAGUGAAUCGUCUCUCGAACCGUUAGAGUUCCAAUCAACGUAUCAUCUUGUGUUACAAAUGCCUGUAGUGUAUAUAAAUUUGUUAGUUAAUCAGGUGUUGCGCCAAAGCUAACAAAUUAAACCAAGAUGAUAGUGAGAUUAUAAAAGAGAAAUAUAUAUAACAAACAUGGUUCAAUCCAUCCACAUGCGGAAAUGAGCAAUCCACUAUAUAAAAAGAGUAAAAUAUCGAGAGAAAAUAACCUCAUAAAACUUGCCCAAAGAAAAGAGAGUUUCAUUUCUAGAAUAGUUACGGAAUUUUCAUGGAUAGGAUCAAACCUUAUUCCAUCGUAUAUACAUGAGGUUCCUCUAUAAAAAAUCUACAAUGAAGUUUAGUUGAUCCAUGAUUUAUGUUUCAUCUUUCCUUUGCUUCAAGAAAUUUAUCCAUCAAUUCUAAUUCUUUCUUUUUUUCUUGAUUCUUUUCCGAUUAAUAUGUUUAAAUAUUGUUCAUGGAUUAACGAAAAAUUGUACCUUACAUGUUCUCCCUCUAAACAAGAUUCUCGAAGCUCUUAAGAGUAUAUUGUGAAUGCUGACAAGUGAAAAAUCCAAUUAUGGUACGAAAAUAUAUGAGUAGAAUUAACUAACUACUUACUACAGUUCCAAAUGAGAGCUUAGCUUUGCGACCGUUGAGGAGAAUAUUUCCAGAGAGGAUUGCAUUAGAAGCAAGACGUCCAGAGAGGGCGUCGAGCAACGUAGAUUUACCAGAACCAGAAGGACCCAUUAAUGCAGUAAAUGUUCCAGGCUCUGCAUAACCAGUAAGUCCUUCUAGUAUAUUUCUUGUAUCUCCAUUAUUCAGAGUAACCAUUACACUUACAUCCUUCCAAGCCACAUGAGCAGAUACUACUAUACCAUUGUGGCCUUGUGGUUCACUUGCUUCAUCAAUCUCCAUAAUAACAUCGUCAUUUGACGAUGUUACUACAUAGGAGAACGAUGACGAGGAGUUCCUCGUCAUCUAUAUACAGUUAAAAUUUUUCCUUUGGUUGUUUAAUCAAAUGUCUUCUUCUACUUGAAUUCAUCUUAUACAUGUAAUACUUGUGGUGCGUAUGAAGUAUAUUUGAAGAAAAGGUAGCAGGUCAACUCUGUACUGGAGUAAUAAAGAAACAAAAGAAAAUCCUACUAAUUAACAAAGGAAGCAUGGAAAAGCUGCGAAUCUUUUAUUUAUUUAUUUAGGAGUGAACGUGAUAUACAUAACCCUGCCAGAUUGCCUCAUUUGGCUGUACAUAAUUCUUUUACUUAGUCAUGUAAAAAUUGGCUAGACUUUCAACUAUGUGUGUCUGCAUCGUUUUGGAAAAAAUAAAUAAAUAAUGUUCUUCAGAUUUCAACAAUCCAACACACCAUUCAAUAUAUCCAAGUCAACUCCAAAUAAUUUCAAAUUUGAAUCAUAAGUUAAUUUACCAUUAAAAAAAAAUCUCAAUCAUCAAUUUAUUAAAACAAUUAUAAAUCUAACAUUUUCAUUUAAUACUUUUUAAUUUUUUUUCAUAUAUGACUAAUGCAAGUAAAAAUUGCUAUAGAAUUUUAAUCAUGUAUAUAAAUAAAAUAAGUAUUGUUUUUUUCCAUAAUAGAUCUCUUUAUCUGAAAUUAAUAGAGUAAUCAAUAUUUAUGCAAAAUUAAACACAAUGCCAAUACCAAUUAAAUGGUGCCUGCCAAAAUAGGGCACCCCAUGACAUUUUUAGGUGCACUUUGCCUGUGUUAUUUUCCUGAUUUGGACCAGCAAAAAUGAUGGAAUAAUGAUAGGAUUCUAAUAGAACUAGCAUGGACCACACCAAUAAUCAAAAAGUAUAUUCCUCUUUAUAUUUUUCGUUUUCCGAUAGUCAAAUAAUUUAAAUUUGAUAAAAAAUUUAUGUGAAAUUUUUAACUUUUUUGAAAUAAAAUUUAUGUGUUUAUAAACUAUUUUAAAAAGUACUAUGAAUCAUAACAAUUGAUUAUUGUAUGAAAAAUUUCUGGUCAAAACUAUUAUUAUUUGAAUCUCGUAUCAUAUAAAAUGGAAUAGGGAGUACAAGUUAAAAAAAAUAUUACUUAUCCAUUUUAAUUUAGGAGUCAUCGUUUGACUUUGACUUGACACGAAAUUUAAAAAAAUCUUUUAAAAUUAUUUUAAAUAAAUAUUACUAAAAAUUAACAAAAAUAAUAAUAAAUUAAAAAUAUACUUAAAAAGUAAUAAUUAUUAAAUUAAAAACCAUCACUUAUAUAAUUUUUCCUUAAAAAUCCCACCCACUAAGAAGAAAAACUGUGCGACAAAAAUUGGCAGAUACGUGUGCCAUACUUCAACUUGAUUUCUUAAAGAAAUUAAAAAAAUCUACUAACGCGUUGGUCAGAAUUUGGUCAUCAGCUUUGCUUGAACCAUGCUUAUAUUAUUAGUACUUUAUCCUCCCCAGAAUUUCGUUUAACUAGUUAAGCAGUUUUUCUUAACAAGUGACCUAUUUUUCUCUCGAAUCCCUUCUUCAUCGUGUUGAAAUUGGUCAAAACAGUGAAAGAAUCGGAAGAUUUCUGUAGCCAAAAUGAUGGAUUUGUGAUAAGCGAAGCUUGUUACUGGUAAUUUUAGGAGAAAGAGAAGGAUGUUGCUGCUAUUUAUAGUGUUUGUUCUGGGAGCUGUAACGGUUAUUGCAAUUGAAGCUGUGUGCGUGGUGUAUUUGAUACGCUGGUUGAACCGUAGACUUGCUCGUGAAGUAGAUAAAGCAAAACCGGACGGGUCGCUAUCGUCUACUGAGGAUUUCGAUUUCUCGUUGUACCUGAAACAGGUAUGUCAUUUUACUUGCUUAAUGUUCAUGCUGCUCAAUUUUGACUGAUUGAUUUAUAGGACAGCUAAAUUAACUCGAUUAAGCUAUUCCUUUCGUGAAGUUAUGAUUUGGAAUCUACAUUAGAAGUAUAUUAGCAAUUUUCCCCUAUCUAAGUAAUGAAUAAGGGCAUUUGGAAGUGUGAUAUGCAAUUUAGGUUGAAAUUUCGGGAGAUGAAAAGUGCUAGACAUUUUGGAAUAAAGAGAGUAUAUGUGAUUAGUCUAUUUGGGGACAUUGGUAGAAUGUAAUUUGAACACUUGAAUGUAGAGAUUAGAUGUGUUUUGAGUCUGGUCUAUGUGGAGUCUUUUUUUUUUUAAUAUAUUAGACUAGACUUAAGGCUAUUGAUUUGCAUUCGUAACCUUCAGUGUAAACUUGUUACAUUGAAUAAAAAGUGUGUUCAGUUCAAUAAUUUCUAUGUUGUACUAGAGCAGGAAGAAGUUUUGGUUUCAAGUCUCACCACUGCCCAUUAUUAAGUUAGGUAGUUCCACGUGCUUGGCCUAACAAGAGAAUAGUGUGUUAAGACAUUGUUAAAAAAAUAGAAGUGUACCCUAUAAGAUGUGCUAGAGGGAAAUAAUAUAUGAACUCCUCCCGUUUCUAAUAGAAAAAGACAUUGAGGACCUGUUAGAAUUAGAUACCUCUUGUAGCACACCUGUUAUACUACACCCUAUUAGAAACGGGAGGAGAUUACAUCAUUAUUUCCAUUGAAAGCAACAUGAUAGGAUGUGCUAGAGGGAUUAUCAGUUUGGAUGAUUAGAUUUGCUAUUAUUUUCAAGCUGAGGGUAUAAUUUUGAAUAUAUUCUUUUUCGGACUCUUUUAUAACCGUGGUAUCUGGGAUAACUUCUUUUCAGACUUUUUAGGAUAUUAUUACCUUAGAAGAAUAUAACGUUAUAAUAAUAUCUCAUUAACACUGUUUCUUCUUCAUCGUUAAGAGAUAAGUUUUCUCAGAGAUAACUUAUAAUUGCUCACACCGAGCAGCAAAUUUGAUUUUCAAUUCAAGUUCCUUUCACAUUUUCUUAAAUGGACUUGAUCAGCUUCAACUUACUGUCUUGUUGCUUAUGUUCUGUAUCUGCUUCCAGGGGACAGUCUGGGUUCUAGAAUCUGAAAGAAUACCAAAGGCUCUUCCAGUGGAUAAAGCCGUGACGCAGCAAAAAAGCAAGAAGGAGGUCUUAGAGGUUACACCUACUCAGAAAUUUGCACAAAUCAAGGAUCAUCAUCUCGUAUUUACAGAGUCAGAUGGUUCCCAUGUAGAAAUUCCACUGAAAGGUUGCAUAAUAGCAGCUGUUUCAGCGUCAAGCUUGUCCACUAGAAAAUGGUAAGUUUGGAAGUACUAUUAUAUAUUGAAGUGAUUUUUGUUGAACCGACAAACUGUAUUAAUUUUGGUCGUGUAAGUUGGUUUGAGUCAUUGGUUUCAAAUAUAAAAUCAUUGGCAAGAUGUGGCACUCGUAGUCCUCUUCUAACAUUUUUAUGAAUAUAGUUUUGGAGGCAUCAGAUCUGGAAAGAGCUAUCUAGUUCUAGCUGCAAUUGAGUUAUAAGCUAUGUCCUUUGUCAUGUGGUGCUGGUGGUAUAAAAGCUUGGGCAGACAUAAAUAUGAGUGCAAAGCAUUCUUCUUAGUCAAGUCUGAAUUGAUCUGGUGGUUGAAUGCUAGCUGAAGCACACAUAUGUAAACCUACAUGUAUUUUUGCAGUUUCAUAGAGUGGAAAUAGGUUGAUCAUUUGCUGCUAUGUUUAGCUAAAGUAUUUUUAUUUUAUUUUUGGAUUAUUUGAAGUUCAAGUCCAAUCCCUGGUUGAGAUUUAGGGCAUCUGCAGAUUUUAUUCUAAAAUAAGCAAGCUAAAAUUCUUCAAAAGAAGUUUGCAGAAGUAGCUAAAUUGUGUGCUUUGUUCUAAAUCUGUGUGCUAGAUUGCUGGCAGCAGGAAAGCUAGAAUAGAUAUAAAGAUGAGCCAAAAUAUUCUUCUUAGUCUGACCGCGAAAUAAUCUGGUUGUUGGAAGCUGGUUUCCACAAAUUUGCCUACAUGUAUCUCUGUAGUAUCAUUGGGUGAAAGUAGGUCACUUGCUGCUCAUUUUAAAAAUAUAAAAUUUUCAUUAUAGCAAUUGUCACUACUUUGAUGUUCAAAUUCUGGUUGUGUGAUUUUGGGACAAUCGCAGAGUUUUUUAAAUAAGAAAGCUAAAAUUAAUUCUAGAAGAAGUAGACAAAAAAUAAAACCCCAAUUACCCGUUUUCUCUAUUAUCAAGAAGUUGAUGGAUAAAUUAUUGCCGCUAAGGCAAAUGUAGAACAGAUCUCUGUUGGUGCCCAUAAUAGAUUCUGCUUUUCCUACAAAAUCUUAGAUUUCACUGAAUUAGCACACAGUUAAGUAAGUGGCUUGUGUAAUUGUUUGGCAGAGAAGUAAUAAAAAUAAUUUACAACUUCUAUUGGUGUUAUCUGCUGCAAUCUUACAGGGCGAAAAGAUAUCCUAUCAAAAUAGAGUGCAGAGCAUCAACUUCAUGUGAAGGAAGUAGAAUACUGUACAUUUAUCUUGAGACAUGUUGGGAGAAAGAAGCAUGGUGCAAAUCCCUUCGUCUUGCUUCCUGCGAGGACCAAGUAAAACUUACGUGGUUUGCCAAGUUGAACAUAGAGUUUCAAAAUUACCUGACGUCAUUAAAUGCAGGUUAUCCUUCAUUUAUGAAACCGUAUUCAAGUGUUAGUCCUGAUUUAGGUGAUAAAUCAAGUAAGUUUGAUGGUUCCUCAUCAAAAGUUCGGCAAUUUCUGAAAAAGCUUGGCAAGAAAGCUUCUAAGAGUAUUCCAGAAAACAAAGGAAGCAGCAUUUCAACGUCUGAUCAUGAAGAAAGGAAGAUAAGUGAGAGAGCUCAAUCCUUACAAGACCUUUCUUUUGCUGGUGGAGGUAUCAAGUUGGCUCCAACACGAAAACCUCUUGAUUUUUCUACUAAGGACGUUGCAGUGCCUUCAUCUACAUCAACAUCUUCUGGAUUAGGAAGCCGGAGUCAAACGUCAGUUACUUCUGAUGCGGAUUCUGAUGAGAGAAUUUUUGGUGAUGAAGGAACUCUUUGUUGGAACUUGUUGAUAUCCCGUUUGUUUUUUGAUGCUAAAAGAAACGACCAGAUGAAAACCUCUUUGCAAGCCAGGAUUCAGGUUUGCAAUCUCCUUUCUCUUUCCAUUAGUAUAUGUUUCUUGAUUUAAGCUUUUUGGUUGGACGUUAUAAUUUGCUCUAACUAUUGCUUUUGAAAAUUAGCAAUAUUUAUAUAGGUACUGUUUCAUUUUGAUAUUCUAUGCAUCUUCUAUUAUUAUAUUAAACUAAAAUAGAAAUUUUCUUUGUCGAACUGACUUAUGAUUCUGUGUGUUCUUACUUGUAGAGAACGCUGUCAAAUAUACGAAUUCCUAGCUACAUAGGCGAAGUGACAUGUACUUCUGUUAAUAUUGGUAACCUUCCUCCCUACAUACGUGCAAUGAGGGUUCUUCCCUCGGACAUGAAUGAGUUUUGGGCCUUCGAAAUUGAUCUUCAGUAUUCUGGUGAUGCAAUCUUGGAGGUCGAGACGAGGGUAGCAGUUCAGGACCUUGAUUUACCUGAAGGUGAUGAACCAGAAACAGAAUCCGGUGCUAUUCAUGAUGUGAAAUAUGAUUUACUAGAAGGGGUUGAGCAGUUUGGAAAACAAAAGCAUUCUGAAGUGAACGUUGAUAAGAUGGACCAAGCCAAGGAAGGUAAUAUUUUCUAUGAUGUUCUCAAAAUUUUGGAUUUUGCAAUCAAAAUAUGUUAAUUUGCUUGGGCAUGCUUCAUGGUUAUUUGUGCAGUAACUUAAAGGGAAUAGUUAACUAUUUUUGAAAGAAAAAUUAUUUUAGAUGGUUUUCAAGGUGUAUUAAUCAUGUGAAUUUUCAGAUGGGAUGAGAAGCUCCAAUAGCACUCCAAAUGUGUUGCCUCAAGUUUCUAAGUGGAAGUCUAUCUUUAAUUCUGUUGCCAAGCAGGUCUCACAGGUUGUUUACAACUAUUUUAUUUAAUAUAAUGGGCUGUUUGGUCUGUACAGAUAGGGUGGAGGUGCUUAUUUAAUUUUUCUUUAUGUACAUGGUAGAGCAGUUUAGUAUCUCGCAAGGCUUAUAAUCUUGAUGUUAAAGGUUCAAUCCUGUCAACAUCUAGUUUAGUAUCUCGCCACAAGGGUUUUCUCUUCCCAAUUGAUUUUUCUAAAAUGAAAGAAUGCAACAAAAUGGUUAUAGUUAUGACAACCCAAGAGCCAAAAGUACACAAAAUCCCUAUAGUCCUCUAAAGAUAAUGAGCUAUAGAAGAGUUCUUGUCACAAGAUCCCUUGGAUUCAAAGAGCUUAAUUGGCCUUGGUUUUCUUUGUUCCCUCAUAGUCCUCAAGGCUUAAAAAUCAUUAUACAUGAUCCUUUGAGCUAAAUCGUGGAGAUCUUAUAAUUUCUUAGCUUGAUUCCUUGUAAAUGGUCUACUUGAGAGAUUCACUUCUCUUGGGUUAGUCAAAAUCUACAGGUUAACGGUUAACCUAUGUUUGUGCAACUUACAUCCUAGAAUACUUUUGUGUAAAAUACAGCAAAAUUUCAGUAGUUCUCCUGACGUUGACUUGAAAUGACCUCCUUAUUAGUUACAGAGAAGAACUAUAGUUGAUGUCGUUAAGUUGACCUUAGUAUCCGUUUUUAGCAAUAGAUAAUGACAGGUAAGACAAGGAUCCCCUAAGGAGAACAUGGUAUGAGUUAUGGUUGAGCAGUGGAUUCUGAAUGAUAAAGGAUUUACGCGUUAUACAAUCAUGAGAACUUCUAAUAUGGCAGCAUUCUGCUACUGCAUGUAUUUCUCAGACGAUUAGUAAUUUAAUCAUAUUGUGCCGGACGAAAACUUUUGAAUUUUUAUUGGUGCAUGUACUGAAGAAACAUAGUGUCUUAUUCUUCCUGUACUGUAACAAAUUGUGGAAGAAGCUCUUUUGCAUUCUAAUCAUUGGAUCUUUAAACUCAUCAGGUAUCACUCUCUCUGGGGAUAAGGAUCGCAUCCAUUCAAGGAACUAUGAGGCUCUACAUAAAGCCACCACCUUCAGAUCAAAUAUGGUUCGGAUUCACAUCGAUGCCCGAUAUAGAUAUCCACUUGGACUCUUCCGUUGGGGAGCAUAAGAUCUCAAGUGGGCAUCUCUCUUUGUUCCUAAUCAAUCGGUUCAAGGUCAGAUUGAUAAUUUCUGUACUACAAUUUGAUUAUGUGUCUAUACAUCUCUUCUUCUCAUUAAGCCCUUUACAUGGACUUAAUCAUGAUUUUUAAAUUUUUUACCAUUGGGCCUUUAACAGUUCUAACACUUCGCUAGCUUAAAUCCAUUUUCAGUAGGUCAAGGUUUCUAGAGAAUAAUUGUGACUGACUUACAGCAGUGGGUUAACACUUGAACAAAAAUUUCUAGAAUAUUGUCUCUUAAAUAUCAAAUAGUGGAAACAGCACUUAGAAUUGUGGAAAUCAUCGUUACAAAAAGAUAUAAUAUAGAGUGGUUUCCAUAUAAAAUCCAAUUCUUUAAAAUUACGUCUAAAUCCCCAGACAAGUUGGUGCCAAGAGUACUUUUCCUAAAAUAAUCUAACCACUUAUCUGUAUAAGUGGAUAUUUCCUACAAAAAAGGGCCAAAACUACCCCUCAAAUAUUAGAAAUGGUAUAAAAAUACCUUCUAUCCACCUAUUUGACUAAAUUUGCUUUUACCACUAUUAUUUUGGCUCUUUUCUGCCCUAAUAACUAAUACUCCAUGCCCUAUUAAAAAAAAUCUGUUGUUAUUUAAUAUGUGGUGUCACCUGAUUGGCCUAAUUUUGGGUCCCAUAGUAAAAGAAAUUUUUAAAAAGUGGUCUCUCUCUCUACACUCACCAUUGCCAUUCCUCCCCCUCUGGCCCACAUUCCUCUCUUCCACUUUAGUCUUCUUCCUAUAAGAGAACUCGUGCAUGCACCAAAGAAAAUAAAGGGAAAAGAUGGUAUUCAAGUGUACAAACUAAGUUUUUCUCAACUCAAUCAGAAAUUCUACUAUUCCUCAUACAGCCCACAUAGUGUUAAGAGGAGUAACAAGUCCCUUCAAAUGAUUGUAAAUGGCAAGAAAUGCAACGACCUGUGAGUGUCCCAUGCUCCAUGUCUUCUUUUCCUUCUUCAAAAGGCUCUGCUAAACAUUGUUUUCUAGUACCCGACAUCACCCACUCAAGUCUAAACCAUCUCAAAAUUUCUCAUAACAAAUAAGAUACUAUCCAACAAUGUAAAAGGAGGUAGUUCACAUCUUCCCCUGAGCCUUCACAUGAAACAUUAACUAAUACAAGUAAUCUUCUUCCUCAAAAUUCUCCGACAUCAAGAUCAUCCUCUUGCAGCCAGCCAAGCAAAAAAAACAUGUUUCUCAAUACCCUAGUGAUGCGUUUCAAAAUAUGGGUGCAAAAGCUGAUUAGAAGUUUUUCAUAAUUGGUUAUUGGUCACAACAGAAAUGACGCCUAUUCUGUGAAGUUAUUUGUUUGUGAAACAACUCGACCAAAUUUUGAAAUUCUUCAACCUCCCAGCCUUGCAAGUUCUUGUUUUUAGAUCAUUUCUUUUUGAUAAGCUACUAAUUUAUUUGUACUUGUUUCAUUCCCAACCACCAAUGUCUCUGCUUCCUAUGGAUUGGUUUUAUAACGAUGCUUGAAUUUAAUUCAACUUUAAAUUCGAUAGAGCAAUCUAUGCAAAGUUUCCAAUAUAUUGUUCUCUUUUUAUCAUCCGUAGGCUGAGAUUUCCUUCAGAGGCUUAAGCUGAUUCUUUAUAACUAAUGCAGGGUGCUAUUCGUGAAACACUGGUACUUCCAAACUGUGAAAGUGUAUCCAUCCCAUUUAUGUUAGCAGAGAAGGACGAUUGGGUCCCCCGACAAGUUGCCCCAUUUUUAUGGCUGAAUCGAGAAGGUGCAGGUAAUAAUGCGAACAGACAAGAAGCAUCCAGCUCCCAACCUGCGGAUGCAACACGAGUCACUGAAGUUGACAAGGGAGGUACCAAUGGUAAUUCUGAAAGCAAAACUGAAAUUCCAGGAAAAACAGGAUGGAGUACUCAACAAAGCAAGUCAUUGGAUCCACAUGCAUUAUUAUCAGUUCCUACGCAUAGUCCAGAAACAGGAAGCACCUCUAGCAAUGGCGGAAGCAAUCAAGCGAAGACGAAAAAACUUGGAUGGUCUGCCCUGCAAAGCAAAUCACUGGAUCAUGCGUCUCUAUCAGUUCCUAUAGCACAGCCUGGCACAAAUAACCAGCCUUUGGAAGAAUUGGGAGCACCAUUGUUGAAGCAUGAGGAACAGCAAGAGGGUCAUCUCGAAAGCACAGCGGAGAACAUAGAAUGCAAGUCACCUUCUCGACAACUGUUACUACUUGAAAAAAAUCAAAUUACUGGAGAAGAUGAUUCAAAGUGUACAAGAUUAGGGAGAAGGGCUAGGAUGCUUGGUUUGGGGAAGAAAAUGGGGGAGAAACUGGAAGAAAGGGCACGUCACAUAGAAGAAAAGGGGAGAAAUUUAGUUGAGAGAAUGAGGGGACAACAGUGAAAUUAAGGAACAUUGUAAAUUUUACAGUAUGGCCAGUUCAUUUAUUUUCACAACGCAAGUCCCUGUGUAUCUUGUUACUGGCAUUUCUUUUGUGCUUCACUGUCUUCAGUCUUCACUAACGAAAUUAUCCAAUGGUUCACAUGUUUCAGUAUCACAGAUGCAGUAAACUGACGACCUUGUGAAGGAAAAAAAAAUCAAAUCAACAGUGCUAUGCUUGGCUUCCGUGGUCGGAUGAUUCAUCUUUAGCUGCCAUGAAGAAGAUUGUUCUCAACUCAUACACAAGCUUUAUCGUUCUUAAUUGGUUGUCCAUAAAGAAAGAGUUGGAAGUAAAAAAUAUCUUGCGUCGAUUGUAUGAGGUGAUUAUUAUCGUCAUUUUAUCAUGUUAUGCUGUUGAAUUAAUAUAUGUUACUCAUUCGAGCUAAACACUUAAGUAGACCAAAGGUCCCGUGUAGGUACGAGAAUGGAAGAUAAAAGUUUACUUUUGCAUAACAUAAUCAACAACUAUACAAAACUUAAAACACUUUAACCUUCUUGUCCUAUUAUAGUCGUGGUCAAUUAAAGAAAAGCGUAUAUGUACUACAACACUAAGAACCCUGAUAUUAAAAAUUGCUGGAGAGCUAGGCUUGUUUCAAGCCUUGAGAAAACUUAACCCAUUUAGAGAGAUGAAAUUGCAAACUUGACAAUUCUGUGAAACCCUUUAGUGCAAUAUAUUUUCAGGUUAACAAACAUCUCUAAGAAACAUCAGUGGAAAGCUCAAUAUAAAGAAAAUCUAGGGUUCUAACAUUCAUAAGAAACUAUCAUGCGAUAAAGUCAAGUUAGCACUACUCUUAUGAUUGAUUUAAGUAAAACCAUCCAAACAAGAACAUGGUAAUACAAUUAUGGAAUGAAUGCAGAAAUAUGAAGAAAAUAGAUAGGACAACAACAAAAAUUUGCUUUUCCACUCUUUCAAAACAAAAGCACUUCCAGAUUCUCCAAAGAAACACUGCACUAGCAAUGAUUAAAUAAUUCAGUACAUCCACGAAGUCAAAAUCCUUUUUAACUGUGCCAUUAAAAAACCAUCUAUUGUAGAACUCGAAAUAUCUAAUCUUUAUCCAAAAAAGGAUGAAGAGCUUGAAGGAAAAAGGCUCAUUCCCAGCCUGUAGCACCAGAGGUAGGGGCAACAUCUGGUACUGGUAGAGGAACUGGUGCAGGGGCUGCUGCUGCAUCCCAUCCGCCAUCAGCUGCUGAAAUUCGUCCCGGAAACAAAAGGCAAGGUUAUUAGUGCCAACAAAUUUAGGAAUAAGAAUAACUUAAAAUCACCAAAUGCUUACUUACAGAAGAGGCUCACAAUCAUAGGACAGGGAAAAAAAAGAGAAGCAAAAGACUAUCAGCUAAAAUGAGCUCAAGAGCAACAAAGUGCCAGUUGGGGAUUGAAAUUUUUUAGCAGACAAUAUUAGGAACCAACUUCACAAAAUAACAAACUAACCUCCAUCUCCAGCCCAACCACCACCUACUGCAGGUGCUGCAGCAUCUGCAGUCCAUUGCGCCUCAGGGAUUUGGCUACUAGUCCAGUCACCACCAAGGGCAGCACUCGCAGAGUAGUCUGCAUAAUCUGCAAUUGCUGGCACUUCCUCUUCUUGCUCCUUUGCCUCUUCAGGCUCUCUGUAAAAGAAGAGAUCAACCUGCAAAAAUAGAAAUAAACAGAUGCAAAUGAAAAACCUAUAUUCAAGUGACUGCAAAAGCAGGCAUUAAAUCAUCUACUAAAUUUCAGAAGAGCACACAACCACCACCAGCAGAAUGUAACAAUGAAGUUAGAGCUAUACAAAAUAAAAUGAAUAAAGAUGGUCUUUACCAUAACAUCCCAUUUAGGUCCUUGAUUAAUGGCCCCACGCAUCUGGAGUACCAUCCUUGCUAAGAUCCAGAAAAGAACACCAAUGCUGUGCUUUCCUUUGUUAUUGGCAGGGAUACCAAUGUCAACAUAACGCAUUGGAGAAUCAGUGUCACAGAAAGCAAUAGUUGGGAUGUUUCCAAGUGCAGCUUCCUUGAUUGGCUGCGAAGUUUUCAAACAGGUUAGUUAUAAUUGGCAGGUUUACAAGAGAAUAUUAGUAGCAGGAUAGCGAGUAAAACCUGAUGGUCAGUUCUUGGAUCAGUCAGAAUCAAGAGUCGUGGCUCACUGUAUGAGGUCUGAAGCUGAUUGGUAAAAGUUCCAGGGGUGUGACGUCCAGCAAUAGCAUGUGCACCAGUAUAUUGAGCAAAUUUCAAGACAGCUCUCUGUCCAUAAGGCCUGGCAGAUUGAACAAUGAUGUCCUGAGGAUUCUCAAUAGCAACAAUCACCCUGGCAGCCAUUUGAAGCUUUUCCCAUGUCUUUCCAAGGUUGAUGAUGUAGAUACCUACAAAUAUAAAUACUUAGGGUCAAGUAAACAGAGAAACCAAACCACUAAUGAAGAUUUUGUUAUGACACCAGGAAUUUGAAUUUGUAUCUCUAGUUGUCCCACAUAGAGUACUAGUAAAAUGCACAUCUAAUAUCAACUUAAUGGAAGUAAACAAUAGAGAGAGCAAAUGAAAUGUUGCAGAUAAAGAAUUCCUACAUGAGAUAAAACACUUAAUGAAUCCGAAUGCAUAUCAUAUAUAUGCAGGUCAAACAAUGGAAAGAUUAUCUAAAAGAGAAACUAGCAAUUACAAACAACACAAUCUGACCGAUACAGGCGCCCAGCCUCAGCAAACUGAAAAUACAUCAAAAACACUUAUUUGCAUUAUAUGCAUAUUGUAAAGGUAUUGGCUUCACUUGCCACAAGGUUUUACAAUUCAAAUCUAUCCACAUGAGUAGUGAAUUAAUCUAUAUGCUUUCAAAUAGUUGCAGUACAUACACUAUAAAUGUCAUUACUGUUGUUCGAAUCAAGCUCCCUGUUAAGUGCCUAUAUCUAAUUAAUAUGAACCUAUUAGCUUGAUAAAAUGCACCUAGAAGACAGCAAGACAGCUACCCAUGCAUCGGCUUAAUCGUAAGAACGAGCAAAUCCUACCAGUAGGUAAGAGCUGAAUACAAUUAUCACAGAGAAGUAAUGGCGAAUAAAAAAAGUUAAAUCCUUCCAACUGUUACUAAACAUUUUUUUCCAAAAAAAGUUCGUGGAUAACCAAAUCAAUACACCUAAUGCCAACAUAACAAUAAGCAUCUACAAACUACUAUGCAUCAAUCGGUGCAAUUUACAGCUAAUAGACAUAAGAUAUGAUCUUAACAUAACGAAAAACACAUAGAAUCAAGGAAUGAGAUAGAAAAUUAAGUUAAACACUUUCAUACCAUCGUUACGGCGCUUGAAAGCGUAUCGCUCCAUUUGGAAGUCACAAUUCUUAGUACCGAGGUGAACUUCAGCAGCCAACAUCAUCUGAAUGUCAGCUUCUUUAGUCGAAAGAGUCCUUACAUCUUGCGUCGCCAUGGUUGUGCUCUGCUUCUUCCCUUUCUGCUGCUAGGGUUUUUUUCGGCUUGCGGCAGAUCGAGAUUCUCUCUUCACGAACGUAUCUAUAAAACCCUUUUGGUAUAGAGGAACUUAAAUAUAAAACCUUGCUCGUAUUGGGCUGGGCUGUUGUAUAUUUAUGGGCUGGGCUGAUUAAAUUUCUCUUCUAAAAAUCGUAAAACUUUGAUAGUUAAGCCACAUUUUCAACUGGUAUUUAAAAGUUAACCUUUGUUUUGAUAGGAAACUAACUACACCAAGCCGCGUGUUAUGGGCGAAGCACUUGUGUAUGUAAUGCAAGUGAACGUCUAUGAAAAACUGUUGUAAAGUUUCGUUCUUCGUUCUAUUGUCGAUUCUAUUUAUGUUUCGUUCUUCAUUCUAUUGUCGACUCUAUUUAUGUUUCGUUGUUUUGAUAGGAAACUAACUAUACCGUGAGAUCGACCUUUACACUAUAUUUGGGUCAUUGUUAUUCAUUGUAUUGUAUUGUAUCGUUAAUAUAUCUAUAAUAUUUAUUUUGAUUGUUACUUAAAAUGUAUUGUACUAUAUUGUUAAAUUUUAUUGUUACGUAACAAUGAAAAUCUUUUUUUAUGGAACAACUAAUUUGGUGUGUUCCUACUGUUACUUAAUUUCUUUUUUCAAUUAUAUAUUUACAUAAUAUUUUAAAAUAUUAUUUUACCCUUUAAUUUAAUUAUUUAAAUCUAGUCAAAUCUCCUACCCUAGAAUAAUUAAGAUAUUUUAGUAAAUUUAUAAAUUACAAUACAGUAUGAUGCGAUUAAACGUAACAAUUAAAAUGUUAUUAAACAACAACAAACAAUUCAGUCUAGCCGAACAUUAUAUAUACCAUACAAUACAUUAUAAAACAAUGGAUAACAAUGAUCCAAACAAAGUGUUAAUGGUCAAAAGUCAAAAUUUGUUGGUUCUAAAAGAUUUUUUUUCAUUAAACAAGUAGGGCGAAAGUUUUCAUGGUCAACAAAUUCAAGGAGAUUUUUGUAAAUCACUUCUUGUUUGGUACGUGAUUAAGUAAUUGUUAUUUUUUAAUGUUGAGUGAAAUCUAAAUAAAAAUAUUCUUAAUUAAAUUACGAAAAAACAACUACCAUAACGUUGAAGUUACAAAUGAAUCUCUGAUAUAUUUUACUAAAGUUCUUAAACUUCAUUUAUAUGAAAUAUGUGUGCUUUAGUAUAUAGGACAUAAUUCUUGGAUGAUCAGUAAAAAAAAGUUCACAAAUCUCUUUGUUUGAGUUCUUUUGUACUGUUGUAGAAUCAAAUUGUAUAAUCGAAGUUAAAAUUUUAUAGUAUAUGAUCAUCUUAAUUAAAAUUUACAUUAUUAGAAAACAACUUUUUUUUUUUAUGAUUUAGAGUAAUUAUAUUCCUAAUAUGUUUUUUAUAUAUAUAUUUAACAAAAUUUAGCUUUCGUCUGCAAAGUAAUAAGAUUCUUCUAAUUAUAGUGUGUUAAAUUCAGACACUGGGAUUUAGGUAUAUAACAUUUGAAUUAUUUGUUACUCUGGUUAGAAAAAGGAAACAACUUAAAACACAACUCUAUUAACCAAAAUGUACAAAAUAAAUAUACAUUAGUUAUUGUAAUUAAUAGUGAAAAAAGCAAGACCAAAAAUGCAACCUACGAAGUAAAAUGUACUGUAAUAUACGUUAUAAUGUAAUAUAAUAUGAAUGUUUAAAAUCGAACCCUAAUUGAUAAUUUUAAAUGAAAAAUAGUUAUUGGAUUAUCAAUUUAAUAUUUUCAGUAAUAAUUUUAAAUUUUUUAAUUAUUAGACAGAUCAGGGAUUCUUUAUGGUUUUAAUUUUUUCCUUAAUAGAUUAACCAAUACCUCCAAUUAAAGUAAAUUAAAUAGUUAUAUUUUUUUAUUACUUAGUAUCAAACUCUAUCGUCCAAAGUGAUAAGGUUCGUCUGAUUUCUAUUUCUAUUUAUAUAACAGUAUCAAACUUUAUCGUCCAAAGUGAUAAUGUUCGAUUUUAAACAUAAUGCGAUCAUUCGUCUAAUUUCUAUUUCUAUUUAUAUAACUUAGUAUCACACUCAAAGUGACAAUAUUCGAUUUUAAAUGUAAUGCGAUCAUUAUCACUUUGUUUGUAAGUGAUUUUGAGUGACUCUUUGAAGUGUCAAAUCUUAACUAUAACGAUUUAAUGAAUAAUUAGACUAUCAAUAACCGACCGCCCUGGAUAGACAACCACAUAGAGGGCCUCUAUCAGUCUAUAUAUUCUUUGAUUUUGUUCCCCUCUAUGAGGUCUGCAAGUUUCACAUCUAAGUAAUACCCGUCUUAAUGAUUCAUAACAUAUCUACUAAUAUCUAGAAACCAAUAACCAAAACCGAACAUACACAAAACAUAGCUUUUUUGUUUAUGUUAUUUAAAAGCUUACACAAGUCAAAAUUAAACAAGUCGCAAAUACAUUUGAAGGGGGCUAAGGCCUCUUAAGAAAGCAAACAAAAAGACCCAAACAUACAAACUUCACAAACAAAACAAGUCCUCCUAUUUUAGUAAUCUUCUGGAGCCAAAGGCUGAUGAUGAGUAUGAACUGGAGCUUCAUCAUGAGCCUGUAUGAGUCCAAAUUCAUAGAUAAUUCCAGCUAUGGCUGCACCAAUGAAUGGGCCUACCCAAUAGAUCCAAUGAUUCCUCCACCUCCAGCCCACUAAAGCAGGCCCAAAAGCCCUUGCUGGGUUCAUGGAUGCUCCUUCAAAAGGCCCACCAACAAGGACAUUAGCUCCAACAAUGAAAGCAAUAGCAAGAGGUGCAAUAAUCCCCAAACUACCCCUCUUUGGAUCAAUAGCUGUUGCAUAAACAGUGUACACCAAACCAAAUGUCAUCACUAUUUCCAUCACAAGUGCAUUUCCAUUGCCAACUCCUGAUGCUACCGCAAAUCCCACUGGCCUCUGUAUCCACACAGAAAAUGGUUGUUCGUUGUAGUAAAUAAUUAAUCGAGUAAAACCAUAGUGUAGGUACUCGCUUUGUACCAUAAAGAAUGACAUCCGAUCGUUUUUUUUUCUUUUUCGUCUGUUUUUUUUUUAAAAAAAAAAAAUCCUUUCUUCCUUUUCUUCAUGGUCAGUUUCAAAAAGAACUAUUUUUCCUUUUUCUGAUAAAAUUUUAAUUUCAACUAUUCACAUAACAUAUUUGAGAUCACAAAUUUAAAUAACAAUUUUGUAUAUUUUACAUAAUUUUAAAAAUCUUUUUUAAUUUCAUGUCAAAGUCAAACUAAAUCAUUUUAAGAAAGAGAGUAAUAUAUAAAAAAGAAAAAAAAAGGACAAAUAUAUCCUAAACUAUGAUAAGUUUAUGAUAAAUGAUAUAAAGAUGCCUCUAUCUUACUUUUGAAUCAUAGUAAGAUACCAUUAAAACUAAGAGACACACAAGUAUCAUGAUCUUAUCCACCAGCCCGAAGAUUGAAGGAUAUAUACUCACUAAUUGUUGUCUUUGGACGACGAGUCCCAAAAAUAUGACUGAAGAUAUUUAUUCACCACUUAAAAUAGUUCGGUAUAUAUUUAUCUUUUUUUCCAAUAAAAAAAGCUUAUGAGAAUUUAAGACUGAAGUAUUCCCCUUUUUAAUUUUUGUAAAAAAUAUUCCCUCUGUCCCAAAGUUCUGAGAAAAAAAAAAUGAAACUCGUAGUCUAAAACAAGUCUCCAGGGAUUUUCCGAACUAAAAAUCAUUUCAUCAAGAGUAAAAGUAAAACAGAAAAAUUGAAGUUAAAUUAUUUCUAUUAAGCUUCUGUUUUCCGAUGGAGUGUCUUACCAAUCCAUCCGUAGCAAGCCUCAACAAGGCAGAGGCAACAACAGCACCUAGCAACUGACCAAUCCAGUAGUACAUAGCACGAAGGACGCUAACUCGCCCGCCCACAAGAGCACCAAACGUAACAGCCGGGUUGAUAUGACCACCGGAGACGUUCAUACUGGACGCUACCGCAGCAAACAGCGAAAACGCAUGCGCGAGUGCAAUCGCCGUCAAUCUCGACGCUCCUAAAGCUCUAUCAGGGUACAACUUAUCUACACAUACAAUCCGCACGAAUAACAAUCAGUAAACAAUAAUACAGAAUGUUUUGUGCAUCGAAUUGUCACGGAUAGAAUUAAUUAGGAGUUAGGAGUUACCAAGGGCAAGAACAGAUCCUUCUCCAGCAAAGACGAAAAUGAAAGUAGAGAGAAACUCAGAUAAGGUAGCACGCACAGAAUCAGGGUGUGUAGCUUCAUCCGCCCUGCCAAACUCAUAUCUCCGUGGCUGCAUAAUUGUGAGUAUAUUUUUUUUUUCCACACAAAACACACCGCUUAAAGAUAAUAACAAUAAUAAUAAUAAUAAUAAAAAAUAUAAGACGAGGCUAAUAGAGAACGAUAUGAUCGAGGGGGGGUGUUUAUAUAUAGAACAGAUGGGUUACAGUAAGAUAAUAAAAGUGGACACCUGGGAGUAGCACUGCAUGAAUAGUGACACGUAUACUACAUGCAUUACGUUGUCUCUUUCGAUCCAAUCAACAACCUCUUUAUCUGACUUCACUUGCUAAAACUCAAACGUUACACUAAAACUAAACGACAAUAUAUAAUAAAACCAUUGCUUUUAAGCAUAAUAACCUAUCGUCUUGAUUUUAACUGAUAUUUAUGUUUUUAAAGCAUAUAUAAAUAAAUAUUAGUUAAAUUUGUUUUUGAAAUUUAGUAUACAUAUGUUCUAUGUAAUAUUUUAUAUGAUAAUUUGUGUUAGAUUCGCUCAAACUGAUUAAUACGUGCACAUCAAAUGUGUAUACAAAUAUCUAUUCAAAUUUGAUAUAAGUUAAAUGAUCACUUAUGUUCAUUCAAAGUAUAAAUUCAUAAAAAUCAAAUUGUAAGACACGUGUAUAUAGUAUGCCUACUUAAUAAUGUUUUUCAAUUGAAAUUAUUUCCAAUUACGUCUUCAUUCACACUAGCAUAAAAAUACUCGAUAAAAGUUAUUUUUUGAAGAUGGUGGUUUGAAUCUUUAAUUGUAAUAUUAGAUGCAUGUUACAGUACCUUAUGAUUUUCUAUUAGCACAAUAUUUAAAAUCGAGAAACGUGCACGACAAAUGAUAUUAAUAGCAAAAUAUAGAGCUCUAGAGAGAAUUGGCUGCACUGAAUUUGUCAUAAAUCGACGUUUUUAGAUCAAUUGAUUCAUUAUAGCUGUCAGCUGUGAUCAAUGAAAUUGAACCUAAAAAUCUGUUGCGUGAAAUUAAACAUAUGUGAAUGAGACUUGUGAGGUGGGUGAUAGUGAGAUGCAAAUUUUAUGCAAAACGAUUAUACCUCACAUCUCAACUAUGUAAAAUUACAACAUACAAUUUAUCGAUAUUCACUUGUCAGCUAAUUUACGGUAACAACAUUUAGGCCUCUGCGAUGGAUCCUCGAUCAAAAUGGCCACAUUACAAAUGCUAAGGAUAUUUGAUGAUUUAAACACUAUGAUCUAAGAAUCAUUCAUCAAUCAAAUCCAUACAGAAUCAAUCUUCAUCAUCUGAACUCUCAUAUGCUGCUAUCGAGAUUUUUAUCGGAUUAUCUACCUUUGUUUCUUUUUCAGUAUCAUUUGGUUUAGCCGGCAAGACAUCUUUCUGCUUCUCCUGAUUGGAAUCAUAAUUAAUACUAAGAAUAACUUGUGUACUUGAGAUGGAAUUACUCCCAUCAAACCUUCUAGAAACUUUCGGCUUCUUAGGCUUGACUCCUAAAACACUUUUUAGUAAAUCUUGCUGCCUGUAGACCAGUAUAUAUCUUAUUAGUUUGAAUAUUUGAAUACAAAAAAUUAUCAAUAUGUAAAGAUGGCUCGCCCUGCGAUUACUGGGGCACAAAAACUAGGAGAAAGAAAGACGAGGGAGAAGACAUGAAAGAAAAAGUGUCUAAAGUAAAAAUGUAAAAUUAAUCAAUUGUACAUGAUCCCACUUUUUGGCUUGGGCUCAACAGGAAGUGGCAGGGGAAUAGAUGCAGGUGAAGAAUCAACAAUAUCUUUGUUUAAACUAGUUAAGCAACACAUAGAAAAUGUAAACGGUUAUACAACUUGAUAACUGAAGAUAUCUUUCAUUUUUUGGGGGAUAAGUUAUAUGUGUCCCAACUUUCGUAAGCCACAACGCAUCCUCUCUGCUGGCAAAGCUAAAGUCUGACGGGGUAAAUCAUCAAAUUAACUUUUUAAUAACUUUAUGUGUAAAUGAAUUCAAUUUACAUCAAUUAGCACUCGCCGUCACCAUUCAAUAUUAUUAUCCAGAGGUAUCAAAGAAGGAACAAACAAAAAAGGAUAUCUUGAAUGCUUGAAAUGCACAUUUUUCCGUACCUUGCAGAAGGCGUUCACAUCUUCGUCAACUUCCAUCUGUUCCUUAAGGUAAAGUAAGUCAUCGUUGUCUAGGGAUGCAAAAUAUAACUUAAACAAGGUUCAAGAAACUAUUUCACAUUUUCAUUAUAUGGACAAACUAAUGUACCAAAAGGAGGAAGCAAUUAUUGUGAGCAAGAAUCUAUACCGCCUCUUCCAUGAAGGUAACCUCCAUGUUUCACAGCAACCUCUUGCAUCUAAACAUGUCAAGCACCCAGUAGGAAAAGCCAGGAUCCCUGUCAGGGCAUGUUAUCAGAACUUGAGGCAUGUUAUGAUGAAAAUUUUAUAAUAUAACCUGACCUUGAAAUAACUUUAGAUUACAAAUUUAUCUGACAUAUCUGAACUUCUGAACUUACAAUGAUUCAAGACCAACAUUUUUUUUCAGUAGUAGUAAAUAGUGUUAUAACAUAUCCCCAAAGACUUUCUGUAUCCAAAUAUACUGCAAAACGUCUUAUCUAAAUGCUAAUAGGUGGCCAUAAUAUUUUCCUUAUUUCAAUCCAUAACUCUUCUAAGUGGUUUACUUGGAAUAAUCAAGCAUUCCCCUUGCUAAAAAAAACAAAUUAAAUCUAGUUGCUUAUAUAAUUAACACAAAAUAAAUCUGUAGCUUGGCGUUCAGUAGCAGAAAGAGGAAGGAGAGUGGAGUAAAUACAAAGAGCAGUAAAUGCAAAAUGUUCUGAUUGCAGAUGCAGUCAGUUUCUCAAUUCUUCCAGAAUUUGAAAAUGAAAACUUCUUCAUUUUUUUCCUUUUGAUAGCUAGAAUAAGAGGAGAAAUACAAUUGUAUGAAAUCGAGGUUGUUGAUUUUACUGCAGAAGGUGGAGGCAAGGUGGUUGGGAGAUGGAGAAGGAGGAGGUUGGAAAAGAUGGUAACAGAGGAGAUAGAGGAGGAGUUAGUGGCGGAGGGGGAUGAUGGUAAUUGGGGUAAGGCAGAGUGUAAGUAAGAAAACUUGGAUGCUAAUUAAAUUAACAUCAUUAAUUCUUAUCUCAAAAGAGUUACUCCUAACCAAUAUAAAACCUGAGUCACCUUUUCUCAAAUAAAAGAUACAAACUUCACAUCAUCCAACAUAGAACAUGGUGAUCAUUCUAACAUACUCCUACUUUUAUCGUAAAUCGUGCCAUCUUUUCUGGAGUCCUUCAAUUCGUUGUUAACAUCUUCCUUACAUAUCAUUUAUUUCACUAUGCCGAUGAAAAAUCAUAUAUAACAAAUGAUCAAGUUUAUGAAAAACUAAGCAGCAUAUGCUAUGCAAAAAACUGAAACAUAUGCUAUGCUCGAAUUAUAAAUUGUUGCGGAGUUAAAAUAAACAAAUAACUAAACAGUCUCCUCCAUGUCAACUUAAAUUUCUAAAUUAAGGUGUGGUUCAAUAAGAUUAAUAGCUAAAGCUGCUAAACACAAUUCAACAUCAACUUUCAAGAGUUGCUAUGGAUUUAAUUUUGCUAAAAGCAGACAGAAUUCAAAUCAGAAAGCAAACCUCACUCACUUCUAAUAAAUUUAACAACCAUAAAAAGUUGAAGAAACGAGAUUCGCUAACCUUGGAAACAAUGCGUUGGAAAGUGACCUCCUCGCCAUCUAUCUUGUCCUUCCCUUUACCAAAUUUCUUAUCUGUCAAAUAUUUGUUUGCAUUUACAAUUUAAACCUAAAAUAGCAAAUCAAUUAGCAAAAAAUUAGCUGACAGUUACAUAUUUGUUAUGCAAAAAUACCUUUAGGAUCGGUUAGAUUGGUGUAUUCUCAAAAUUCUUUUCCUGCCAUGGCUUCAAUUGAGGGUUUAUUAUAAAUUGCAGAGAUUAUUAGCUCAACAUUGUGUGCUUUGAUUUAGGGCUUUUUUCGAAAUUGAGUAUUUUUCUUCUUUCUCUCUCUGUGAAUUUAUCCUCUUUCUAAAUGCGGAUCAACAGUCGGGUUAAGAAACUUUAUAAUAUGUUUCACACCACCAAUGUUAAUUGUAUGAGACCUCUUAAAUUUUGACAAAUGGAAAGUGGAUUUAAAAUUUACUUUUAAUAUAUAUAUAUACUAAGAAAAAUAUGAUUUUACAUAUUCUUUAGUGUUUAGUGUUUGAUAAAUAGUAAAUAUAACAAUAUCUUAAAAGUAUUUACAUAUAAUAUAAUAAAAUAUUAUGACAAAGGAAUAAGGUGGGGGGAUUUGAAGGUGAUAGAGACAAUGAACUAACAACAAUAAAAGAGUACAACAACUAAACAUAAUAAACAAAUGAUAAAUGUCAAAAGCAAAGAAACUACAAGAAUAAAGUUAAUAUUACAGACAUACACCGCAAAGUCUAAAUCUAUCAGAAAGCAAAACAUGUUUCAUUACCUACUAACCUUCUAUAUUAAUUUACAACCUCUAUAAUCUUAUUUAAUGUCGUAUAUUCAAUAAACAAAUAUUACAUCAUAUCAUGUUUAAUCACAUCUCCUUAUAAUUUUUUUGAUUUCCUCCUAUUCAUCGUAUAAAACCUCUCAAAACUCCUCGCCAAGACCCCUUCCUACCUCCCCUUCAUUAAUUCCAUAUCAAUAUGAUGUGUGACACCAUAAUUGAAAAUUUAUCAUGGUAAUUGAUAAUAAAAAUUAAUAAUCUAUAUAUAUAUAUAUAUAUAUAUAUAUAUAUAUAUAUAUAUAUAUGAAUCUUGAUCCGCUAAUGUGGCGCACUCCAAUGGUCAGCAUUUGUCAAUAUCUAUUUUUAUCUUUUUCUGAUUUAUUUUUUAUUUUUAUUUCAAAACAAAUAUAUAAAUGAGUAAAAUAUCACACUAAAUACUAUGACUAAUUACUUGCUCAGUUAUAGCCCAAAAAAUGCAGUCCAACCCAUUUAAAACUCAGCCCAAAUACAUCACAUUAAUUACCCAAAUUAAAUAGAUUUUAAAUCAAUUUUUUUAAAAAAUUACUCACUCCUCAAAUUUGAAAUUGUUAUAAAGAAUUAUUUGUUGAAUUGCUAUCUUUAGACUUUAUGGCAACAUUUAUUGUUAUUUCAAUUUAAAAACACAUUAUGAUUUUGUUAAAAUAUUUAUUACUUAUUCAAUCCAUAAAAGUUAUAGUUAUAUAUAAUAUAAAAUUAUUUCUUUCAUCUCCUUUAUUCGUUUUUAUAUUUAUUCUUUUCCUCUUUUAUUUAUUUUUACAAUUUCAUAUUUAUAACUUAUACCUAUUAAAUUUCUACUUUUAAUACUAUCAUUAACUCUUUUAAUAUUAAAUUUUCAUAUUCAUAACCCCCAAGUAUUUAAUUACAAUAUUUAAGACACUUUAUGAUAUAUUCUCAAAUUUUACCUUUAUAAAUUCAUAAUAUUUUGUACCGUGGAUCCCAACUCAAAAUUAUUCAUUUUAUUUCAAUGUUAAUCUUUAUAUUAUUAUGGGAAUGGGGAAUCCCAUCUUAUUAUUAUAGGAUCAUAUAUUCAUAUUCAACAUAUGUUGAUGAAGAAGACUCUUUGAUAAGAGUUUCAAAAAUAUGCACUAAUUCUGUAUUUCUAUUUUGAUGUAUUCUCUUGUGAUUAAUGUGUGUUCUCUCCAUGUAAAUUAAGAUUUUCUUAACUUUCAUUGUUAAUCUUUAUAUUAUUAUCGGAUCGAAUUUAUCUUGUGGCAUAACUUGAUAAAAAAGGUUUUUGAAUGUUAAUUAGUUUGUCAAAAGGGAUGUUGGAUAAGAGUAACAAAAAUUGUGCAUUGAUUAUGCAUUAUUACUUUCAUAUGUUUUCUUAUGAUUAAGGUCCUAAGGAAAAUGUGUGUUGUUUGUUCUCUCCAUGUAAAUCAAGAUUUUUUCUUAUUUCAUUGUUAAUCUUUAUAUUAUUGUAGGAUCGAAUUUAUUUUGUGGCAUAACUCAACGAAGAAGACUCUUGGAUGUUAGUUUGCCAAAAGGAAUGUCGGAUAAGAGUAACAAAAAUUGUGCAUUGAUUAUACAUUAUUAUUUUUAUGUAUUUUCUUAUGAUUAAGGUCAUAAAAAACUAAGAAAGAUAGAUGUGUUGUGUGUUCUCUCCAUGUAACUCAAGAUUAUUUUUUUUAUUUCAUUGUUAAUAUUUAUAAAUAUUAUUAUUAUUAUAGGAUCACAUUCAUCUUUUAGCAUAACUCGAUGAAGAAGACUUUUAAAUGUUGAUUAGUCUGUUAAAAAGGAUGUUGGACAAAAGUUCAAAAAAACUGUGCAUCGAUCUAUAUUUCUAUUUUUCAUUUAUUUUCUUGUGAUUAAGGUUAAGGAAGAUGUGUGUUCUUUUCAUUUAAUUUCUUUGGAUUGAGUUUUCAUUAUUUCUACUCAUGACCAUUCUUUUCACUUCAUAUUUGAAGUAGUGUUUUGCUAUUAUUAUUAUUAUUAUUAUUAUUAUUAUUAUUAUCAAAUUCUUAUGCUUGACUCGGUGAAGAAGACUCUUGAUUGUUGAUUAGUUUGUCGAAAAUAGUGUCGAUAAGAGUUUUAAAUUUCUACAUUAAUUUAUAUUAUUCUUUUCACUAUGUUCUUAUGAUUAAAGUCAUAAAAAUAUGUGUGUAUUAUGUUUUUUUUCAUGAAUUUUAUUAUGUUUGAAGUUUUAUGAAUUUUUUAUUGUCACAAGUAUGUACCUUUGUUAGAUACAAAUUAGUUAUUGUAAUUUUGUCUAUAAUAUGAUAAAAACUCACCUAUGUUCAAACAAUAUUUUGAUAAUUUUAAUAAUAUAUAUUAAAUGUUGAAAUAUAUCUCUUUUUAUGGUAUUUCUUAUGGCAAUAAGUAGUAUCAUUUAUGUUUUCUUCAAAUUUGUUCAAAAAAUUAUUGGUCCAUUUGAAGUACUUGCGAGUAGAGGAGGUGGCUUAUGAGUUAGCCUUGCCUCCAGGGCUGUCCGGAGUGCAUCCGGUAUUCCAUGUGUCUAUGUUGAAAAGAUACCAUGGGGAUGGAAACUACAUUAUCCGUUGGGAUUCAGUUUUACUUGAUGAGAAUUUGUCUUAUGAGGAGGAGUCUGUUGCCAUUCUAGAUAGAGAAAUUCGCAAGUUGAGAUCAAGGGAGAUUGCAUCCAUCAAAGUUCAAUGGAAGAAUCAACCCGUUGAAGAAGCCACUUGGGAGAAGGAGGCAGAUAUGCGAGAAAGAUACCCACAUCUGUUUACAGAUUCAGGUACUCCUUUUCGCCCUUGUUUUCCUUCUUGUGAUCGUUCGGGGACGAACGAUCGGUAAAUUGGUAUCUAUUGUAACGACCUGUUUAGUCGUUUUUAGCAGCAGAUUUUAUUUCUGAAAAAACAGGCUGAGGUGACGGACCCCACGACGGACCGUCAUGGGCACGACGGACCGUCGCAGGGUCUCGUUUCAAAACACUUAGAAAAUCUGAAAUUGGGUACUGAAAAUCGACUCUCUGAACUUCGUAACGGAAUAGCAGGACGGACCGUCACGAACCGACACGUAGAUUUAGGGAAUCGGGUGUCACGAACCGACACGUAGAUUUAGGGGAUCGGGUGUCACGAACCGACACGUAGAUUUAGGGGAUCGGGUGUCACGAACCGACACGUAGAUUUAGGGGAUCGGGUGUCACGAACCGACACGUAGAUUUAGGGGAUCGGAGUGUCACGUUCCGACACAUAGUAGUAGGGGAUCAGAGUGUCACGUACCGACAUAAGAGGAUUAAUGAAUAUGAGGGAGCGGAGUGUCACGUACCGACACAAGAGAAAUAAAGAUAAUGAAUCUUGAAAGAUGUUAAUAUACUCAAUCUAAUGAACAUAAUUCCCAAAUGAGUAUGAUAUUGAGGCUUGAGUUCUCAUGUGUGAACUUGACGGUAAUUGUUAAUGAUAUAGUACUUGUUGUUGCUACAUGUUGAGUAUCAUAGUUGAUUUUAUGAUAUUACUUAGUAUAUAUUGUUAUCUAUUUUGAAUUGGCCGAUGAUAUUUACUCAGUACCCGUGUUUUGUACUGACCCCUACUUUUAUUGUUUUCUUCUUGUUUAAUUGUGGAGUGCAGCAAACGUGCCGUCAUCUUCGACUCAACAGUAACUCUAGCCAGUCUUCGUCACAUUGGAUCUUCAGGGUGAGCUAAUGUUUCUAGCUUGGACUGGAUCUUCUUCCUCAUGUCUUGAUGCCUUGAAGUUCCGGCAUGGACUAGCUUUUAUGUAUUUUUAGCUUAUUAGAAUACUCUUAGUUUAGUAAUUUGAUCAUAGAUGUUCUUGUGGUGAUGACUUCCAGAUUUUGGGGAUAAUAAUAGUUAUUGAAUUGAUUUUAUUAAUGAGUUUAAGUCUUCCGCAUUACUUUCUGUUGAUAUUAUAUUGAAAUGUUAAGGUUUAGAUUGGUUGGUUCGCUCACAUAGGAGGGUAAGUGUGGGUGCCAGUCGCGGCCCGGUUUUGGGUCGUGACAUUUAAUAUACUAAGUAAUGAAUAUAUAUCUUAGGGUGUUCAUGUAUUAAUUUUAUAUAGAAAGAGGUGCAAUCAUUGAUCUGAGAAUGCAAGAAAUAUAUUUGAAAUGAAACAUAUUAUCAGAGUAUUCAAUUUAAUUAACUUUUGAAUUUUAUUAUUCUAUACACAUAAUAUGUGAAGAUGUUUAUUAUCUAUCAAAUAUUUUUAUGUAGUUUAUAUGAAUCUUUUAUCUUUAUAUUUAAUAUAAAAGAUAUAGAUUAAAAUAAGUAAACGAGUUAAUAAUUUUUUUGAAAAAACAUAUUCUCAUUCGAGGUUGAUUAUAUUGAAAUUUAAUAAUAGCGUAACAUUUUGGAUAACAUCCUUAAAAAACAAAUUUGACAAAUGAUAACAAUUAUCUUUGAUAUAGGUGCAGCUAAAGAAUCUAAAAUACCAAUAGAUGUGAUUCAUGCAAAAAUCAUACAAAUUUAAAUAGUAUAUUUGAAAAAGGAACAAAAACGAUUGAAAAAUGAAAUAUUCAAAUGAGUUUUAUCAUAUCAAUAUGAAAAAGGAUAACAAGACGUGUAGAUGUAUUUUAUUAGUAUUUUUUCAGUUAUUUAUAAUAUAAUUCUUAUGUACUCAAGAAAAAAAUUACAUCGGAGUAUAUGUUGUAAUAUAAAGAUUCAAACUCAUUGAUAUUCUAAUAAAAUGUAGAAAGUGACAUAUUAACUACAUGUCCAAACAAAAAAAUUACUAAGAAAAUAUAUAUUGACAUUUGACAUAUUGAUUAAUAAUGUACUAUCCCUCAUUUAAUAGAUUAUAGAUGUUAAAUUUGUUAAGUUUCAUUUCAAUCGUCAUCUCAAAACGAUAUUCAUAAUUAAUAUAUAAGUAAAAAAAAUAAAGUGAUAAUAUUACGUUUGAAAAUAAAGAGAGCUAUAGAAUUAAUUAAAAAAAGUAAUCCUUUAAUAUUUAUUUUAAAGACUGCGCGAAGCGCAGCCAAAUUCCCUAGUGUCUAAUAUUUGUAAAGGAUAAUUAAAUAGCUAAUAGUAAUGAUUAACUAUUAGUACUAUAUUUUAUGGUUGUUAUAGUAAUAUAAGGUUAAUAUAGAUGAUUAUAAAUGAUUGUUCGGUAAUGGUGGUUAGUGACUACUAAUUUACCAUAAUUAAUACUUAAAAAAGUAUAAUUUAUAAAGAAAAUUGAUAGUGCUAAAUUCAUUGAGAUUUAAAUUCUAGUAAUAUAAUGUAAUAAAAAGUAUAUGUUUUUAUUACCCCACUCAAGGUUGCAGUGAGAUGAUGACAAUCCCUUUUUAAUUAGAUUUUCAGUUUUAAAAUAUUAGAUUGAAAAGCAGGUUCGAAACUAACUUUGAUAAGUAUAAUAUAUGUCAAAAACGUUGAUUAACUAUAUUUUUAUUUAUCUUUUUAUAUAAUAUAUACAAAUUAUCUCGACUCCUAUCUUUAAUAACAUAUAUUUCAAAAUUAAUAAAUAAAAUUAUGAUUUGAAUCCUAUCUUUAAUAACAUACAUUUUAAAAUUAAUAGAUAAAUAAAAUUAUGAUUCAAAAUAUAUGAAUUAAAAACAAAAAAGUCUUAAUACACCAACUUUAAUAACUAUAUGAAAUACUUUACCCUAAAAUGAAACUUUUCAAAUGCAUAUCUUCUACAUUAAUAGUUACCCCAAAGAGGAAAAUAAUAGUCUCUUUAUAUUUUGGCCACAAGUAAAAAACAACUAAUCGCACUCGUGGGGGUUGCCAAAAAUGUGAGCUAGGGAUGAAAGGGUAAAAUAGUCCAAUCAAUUUCUGGCCAAAAUACCACUGUACGUAAAGUCUCACUUGGCCAGGGUUUCAAAAUUCACUCCAUCCGAAGGGAUCGGAAACUCUGUUUUCUCCGAUUGGGGUUUUGGGCAGUAUCCGAUCGAGCGACUUUCCGGCAUCAAUUCAUCGGAAACGGCAGCUGAAUCAAUCGGCUCUUCUACAUUACCCUUCAGAUAAAUCCGUACAUUUCUAUACAACUGGUAGGUUUAAUUGCAACGAAGAAGGAACACUAGAUUUAGAAGAAGGGCGAUGGAUUUGGACCAGUGGAUAACGAAGGUUAAAGAGGGACAGCAUCUGGCGGAGGACGAGCUUCAGCUCCUCUGUGAAUACGUAUGUUUAAUACUUUUAUCCUUUUUUUUUCUCACAUCUACAAGUAUUUUCCAGUUUUGUAAUGAAAUUUGUCGGAAUAGUGAAGAAAUAGAUGUAGAAGAUUCCUGUCGCUGAGCUUAAAUAGGUAAGGUUUGAAAGGUUGAUUGUGUUAUUUGUUGACACAUGUCUAUCAAGCUGUUUACUAAAACAAAAUAAUCAUAAAUUCUAGUAAUAGUAAAGGUUAUAUUGAUUUUUCUAUUUGGCUCAUUACUUUUGGGAAAGCUGUUUCUUUUGGGAGGAGAGCGGGGGGGGGGGAGUUAGCUUGUAGAUAUUGUUGAUUUUGUUUUUCGUUUAUAGGCUUGUGUGGAAGGGAGGAAUGUCAAUGGGGAAUAUUUAUGCACAUUCAGCAGAUUAGUCUCAUUUUCACUUGAGGAAGUUAAUGAUUUUCUUACGUGUACUGCAAGUGUUUUCUUUUGGAGCUUGAUUUAGAGACUGUUUUUUGUGAUCCGGAAAAUUUCUCUUAGAAAUCUAACCAUAAUAAUAUGUACCAACUGCUCUUGUUUUUCUCAUAUCUCCAUCUAGUGGACUUAUUUUAUAGGGAUCGGAUUUGCAUGUUAACAAGAUAUGUUCCCCAUUAAUUUCAAAAGAACAAAACUCAUUUAACCUCAUAGGAAUCGGUAGGUUUACCCAGUAAAAACUUCAUGUUGGUUUGUCAAUUGCCCUUUCCUUUGCAUACUUCAUGGCAUUUGAUCAAAUUUCAAGGUUGAUAAACAUGACGGUGGGUGGGUGGGGCAGUAAUAGUGGCAAAGUGGUAUUCAGAAGGAAAAAGUUUCAUAGGCACUAAUUGGAAGUACAAAAUAAGCGAUGAAUAGGCUAUAAAGCAUAAUUAGUUUGUAACAAGAACCCAUUGUGACCUACAUAGUAUUGCUGCAGGACCGCCCUUCCUUUCAAGUAGUUGCUUCUAACAAAGAUUAUUGCAACCUGAGAUCUUUGAUUAUUCAAGCUAUUAGUAAACUCAAGCCUUUAUUCAUGCUUCCAUGCCAUCCAUUAGCCUACAAAUUUAGAUAAUGUGACAAUAUUUGGUCACGCUUAACACAUACAAUUCAGCUAUAUGACUAUUGGGUUUAUUCCCUGGCCUUGCCAAGACAAAGCCUGUUAUGAAGGUUUACAGAUCAAUAGAAUGCUUUUGAGAUGGGAGGAAAUGGAAAUAUAGGGGAGGCAUUUGCUUAUAUUUGUUGGGUGGAUGUAUAUUAGAGUUCCUCAGUUAUAGUUUUUGUCUUAUUUAUUUUGAUUAGGUGGUUAUAUUUGUGAGGUAAGUUCCUUCUCGUAUAAUUCCAUGAUUGUUUCGUGUAUCAUUUCACUUCCUGUGGUACUAUUAAUCAAUCCAGCAUAACAAGAGCUUGUCUUCUUUUGACAUGCAUGAUUGAGAGUCAAGAAUAACAAGAAUGACUACCUGAAGUAUGAGUCAUUACGCAAAUAAGUGGAGGUCUAAAUUGCUUCUUCUAUAGACAUCACUCAGAGAGAAGUGUUUGAUUGCUUGUGGCACAUGAUACUGAUGGUGCAUUAGAUUGGUAUCUUCUUCCUGCACACCAAUCACAUUAACAAUAGUCAUUGGGGUUAUGGGUUGUAGUAGGCAGAUAGUUCUUUUUGCAUUUGUUCAAUUAUGUUUACAGCCUUGCACUUCAGUAUCACAUCUAAUUUUACUUGAGAGCAUGCAUUGUAUUUCAUUUGUGUCUAUAACAUGUGACACUUUUUCACAGGUUAAGGAGAUUUUAAUUGAGGAGUCAAAUGUGCAACCAGUUAAUAGUCCAGUUACUGUUUGUGGGGAUAUACACGGCCAAUUUCAUGAUCUAAUGAAACUUUUCCACACUGGUGGUCAUGUGCCAGAGACAAAUUACAUCUUUAUGGUAAAAUUCAUAUGGUUUAUUCCUCGUCCAUAGAUGGACGGUUACGGAUUAUCUUUUGAAAAAAUUUAUGCCAGGAUUCUAGUUCACCCAUCUCUCAUAUUUGGACAGGGAGAUUUUGUUGAUCGUGGAUACAAUAGUCUCGAAGUUUUCACAAUUUUAUUGCUCCUUAAAGCAAGGUAUGGUAAGAAAUAUUUAUAUAGAAUUUGCAUCACCUGUCUACUUUAGGAAAAUGGUUUUAUUGCUUAUUCCUUACUGUCUCAUGAGGAAUCAUUAGGUUGAUAAAAUUGUUAAUUGCACUGUGAACUUUGUGCUGUGGACACAUAUAUUUUGAUAAACGUUCUAUUAUCUUUUAAAUAAAAUUACCGUAGGUACUGUUUUCUUUUUCAAAUCAAUUUGAUGAUCAUGGGAAGCAUUGAGCUUUUAUAAUAUUCAUGUUUUUGCCUAUAUUUUAUGAUGGUUCCCCUUCUCUUGUUCUCUGUCUUCCACUUUACCCAGUAUUUUCAUCUUCAACGAUUGACUCAUAUUAUCUUCUUUGCCUCAGUUGAGCAAAUUUGAAUUUUGUAUGGCACUGGCCGCUGUUGAUUUUCCUGCUAGUCUAUUGAAAGGUGAUAGGGCAUUGGUUCUUAUUUAUCUACCUUUUGUUUUUAAUUUGCUACCAGAUAUCCAGCAAACAUUACACUUUUACGCGGGAACCAUGAAAGCAGGCAGCUAACUCAGGUAUUAGAUGUUAUGCUUAGAUAUAGCUAUUUAAGAAGUGUGUGUUUGACGUAAGUACCAUAGAUGCGCUUGGGAUUCUUUAUUAUAACAAUUUUUUUGAAGCCAUUCUUGACCCCUCCCCAAAUUUAAAAAAUACUUGUUCCUUUUUCUUCUUAAAGAAGCAAUUGUUCUGUUGCUGUCAUUGGGUUGUCUGACUAAAUCUGCAGACAGCAGAUCUAAAAUUGGCAGUAUGGCUCCCAAGGCCAUUGGGAGUUUGACUUGUUAUUGGGAAAAAACAAGAUUCUUCUGUUUUGAAGUACAAUUUUAUACCUAAUUUGCGUUUCUGGCUUAAGAGCGUUUUGCUAGAGUGUCCAGCUCAACUUUUGGAAUUCUUGGAUUCUCUAAUGAUGUAAUACAGAAAGUAGACUGCGACCCGACUUCCUUAAUUUAUGCUAGUACCAGCUUGGUACCAUUAUAUCAAUAAUCUACCUUACCUUACCCCAAAAAAAAGAAAGAAGUCCCCAAGGCCUUUGAUCUGUAUUAGUGAUAAGGGUAUAAGGGGAUGUGUUGGUAGGGUGAGUUUGAACCCUGCUGCUGCUGAUGGAAGUUUGGUAUUUAAGUGGAGGCAAAAUAAAGGGGUGGGACCAUACACACCUGAUAAAUAAAAGAAGAAGAGGGUGGGGCCAUACUCUGCUGAGUUUCAAACUUGUGGGUCGAUAGGAGUUGGGCCAUCUAAUACAUUGUACUUCUCAGUUAUAAAAAAAUGAUAGAGAGAAAAUUGAGCUGGCCGUUACUCUCUGUGAGGGUUUCUUUUUUUUGAACUCACGCUUGGACAAUGUUUAAUACUCUCUUGUAUUCUUAAUGAUUACUGUUGUUGCAUUCUAUGCUCAUUGUAUUUAUGGGUUCUAGCCUUGAAAUAUCAGUAAGGCGACUCAUGAUGACUGUGUUGCAAAGGCCUAACUGGAGUAGCCUUUGAGCUUGGUGCAGCUAAUGUUGAUGCAUUCUGGAGGAAGCUUACUUUGUAACUUGAGUUUUAUUCAGUAUUUGCUUAUUACUUUUAUUGUUGUUGCUGCUGCUCUUAUUUUAAGUUGAUACCUUUGAUUUUGUUCUGUCCACACUUAGAGUUCUUUGAAGAUUUGCUUCUAUGGGAUGGAUUUAUGCAUGGCAUGCAAAAGAUCACACCUCCUAGACAUGUUAUUUCUGAUAUUUACUUUCUACCUGUUUUUAAUAGGUCUAUGGAUUCUAUGAUGAAUGCCAAAGGAAGUAUGGAAAUGCAAAUGCUUGGCGGUAUUGCACUGACGUAUUUGACUAUCUGACUCUCUCGGCAAUUAUAGAUGGAACAGUAUGUUCUGGUACUCUUGAUAAGAUAAUAAUUGUUUGGCCAUAUCUUUCAUAUAUUAAUCCGCCUGUGUUCCAAUUCAGGUACUAUGUGUCCAUGGUGGCCUUUCUCCGGAUGUUAGGACUAUUGAUCAGGUAGCUGACUUGAAUGUUGACGUGUUUUGUUUUUUUACUGUAACAAGUUUCAGAUUGUUCAAGUGUAUUGAUGUGAUAUAUCUUGACUUAGGCGAUGGAAUUAAUAUGCGGGAUCAUAAAGAACUAAUAUUGAUUCUUGGUUAUCCACUGAGUUUUGAAUCUAGAAACAACAGAUUUAUCGGUUAACCAAAAAACAAACAAUCAAGGAACUGAUAUAGCUUCUUUUUGUUUAUGACAUGCAGAUCAGGGUCAUUGAUCGUAAUUGUGAAAUUCCGCAUGAAGGGCCUUUUUGUGAUCUUAUGUGGAGUGAUCCUGAAGAGAUUGAAACAUGGGCAGUAAGUCCUCGAGGAGCAGGUUGGCUGUUUGGAUCCAGGGUUACCACUGAGGUAAGUGGGUUAAAGAUGUUAGAUAUUGCUAUAUUUCCUUUUCUAACAAUGUUCUCAUGCCAUGCUUGCAGUUUAAUCACAUCAAUAAGUUGGAUCUAGUUUGUCGGGCUCAUCAACUUGUCCAGGAAGGUCUGAAGUACAUGUUCCAGGACAAAGGACUCGUUACUGUGAGUACUGAGUAAUAAAUUGUUUAUGGCAUGUUGAACAUACAUUCUUUUUAACAUGUAGUAAGUAUAAUUAAUGUGACCCGUUUCCUUUGAAUGCGAAGGUUUGGUCUGCUCCCAACUACUGUUAUCGCUGUGGAAAUGUUGCUUCAAUAUUGAGCUUCAAUGAGAAUAUGGUACUUUUGCUCUUUUCAAUGCUUAUUCAACUUCUAGUUAGCCUUUCUAAAAUUAAGGGAUUACAUAGUAAUGCCCUUUCUGUUUGAUUGUGUAUUCUGACGAUCGUUGUACUUCAAAGUGAUGAGUACCUAUUUUUUUAAAAUUGAUCUUGCAUUUCAUGAUUCAACAUGGUAUGUGUUACGUUAGGUUAAAUUGAAGUUUGCCUAUUGUAGUUGGAUCAUAGAAGGGUGUUCAUCCUAGGACUUCAUUACUAACCUUGUUUCUUAUCAGAAAAUUAUUGAUGGAAAUGUGUCAAAGGAGUGCUGAAAUACUUAUAUCAAAAUUUCUUAAUGAUCUAGGAAGUAUCACGUUCCAGUAUAAAGGGUUGGAAAUGUGAUGCGAGAUUCUGAUGCCGACCUUUCCUUUGAUAAAGUUCCUUGUGGAGCUGCUUUAGUGCUCUCUCUUGGUGACUAGUAUUAGUAUUAGAAGAUUUUGAUAAGAUUUGUUUACAACUAUACACUAGAAACAUGGAGUGUAAUUGCAUAGGUUGUACUGGCUUAGCUAUGUGGUAAGGAAGAUGGAGAGAACAUGGAACGUUUUAGGUAGUUUCUCUUUAGAGCAUUCUCCACUGGCAGUUGUUCUAUGAUCUGAACUCCAGCUUUUGGAACGUCUAGUGUUAGCGUUGCAUAUCUUUAUAUCUAUCUGUUUAUUUAUGUUUUCCUGACAACUUUUUUUAUAAUGGAAUUUUUGCUGUGUUUGAUAGAAUCUUUCUUAUUCUUAUUUUUGUUCUGUUUUAUCAGGAGAGAGAGGUGAAGUUCUUCACUGAAACUGAAGAAAACAACCAGAUGCGAGGACCCAGGACAGGAGUACCUUAUUUCUUAUGAGUGCGUACUUGCCUUUUGUUGAUUGAUAUUAUUUCUGCACUCUGUGCUGUCCCUUGUUAGAGGGAAAUUGAAGCGGAAACUAUCUACUUGGCGGGAACCAGAUUGCUGUGUGGCUUGCUUCUCUCUCAUAAGAUGGCGAUACAUACCUAGCUUGUUGGGCUGAUCCUGCUUUCGAAUAGUUUGUGCUAUGUAUUCACAAUGGCCUUUUCAUGUUUGUUCCCAUCUGUUCCAUAAUUAUUCUUACCUGUGUCAUAGUUUGAACUCUACCUCAAAUCAGAUUACGAGAUGUUAGAUUUCUUCUUGCAAUGCUAGAGUACACUUUCCUUGAAAAAUGGGUCCAUUUACUUUCAAAAGCGCAGUAUUAGAAGUUGGUGGUACACUCACGAAAUUGGCAUUUGUUUUGCCCUCCCAGAAGGGGACUUUAGUUUUUUCCACAAAUUAGUUCACACCUUUCAGCUUCACUGUACCAAAAUCCCAUUAAUUGUUGUUUGUGCAGCAACAUUUCACGAUUAUUUAUCAUCGUAAUUACUGUUGAUCUUCACUCUUCAGUUCCCGUAUGCUCCUUUCCACCAUUCAUGGAAGCAAGGAGUACGUAAGGAACUUCUCGUCUCAUUAAUUGAAUCACCAUUUGUUAACUACAACUUCCAGCAGGUUGGCUUUGAAAUUGUUUACUCUGGUGGGAUGAUUGGUAAACAUGUGAGUUAUGCACAUAUAUAAUACAUGAAUGAGUUGCUUAAAUGUACUGAUUAUAAUAUAUGAAUUACUACUUCAUAACAAAAAGACAAUGAAGAAAUUGAGCAAGUUGCAGAAAUAACGAUUGUUUCAGCUCUAAUUAUCAAUCCUAGACAACGUUAAUUUUAAAAAAAUUGCAAUACAAUGCAUCCAUAGAUAAUUUCUCUUAUCUUUUUUCCAAAAAAAAAAAAAAAAUCGUCCAAAACAGGUACACGCAGCACCUUUAGGAAAAAAAGAGCAGGAUUUUGAUUUUAAUUUUACAUUUACCUUCACAGCUUGGAUAAUUGUCAUCCUUUCCGCUUCUAAUUUGGCAAAUUGGGUAAAAGUUAGUGAUUGCCUUGUUGUGCCAUAGUCGUAGUCUCUCCAGCGGCAGUAAAGACGGCCAACUGACACCAUUCUCUCCGGCGAACUCGAGUUGAAGGUACAUUUUUUUGAAUUCAUUACCAAUUAUUAAGUGAAAUUAAUAGCAAAAUCCUGCAGUACCCUAUUUCAAGUUGCUUUGUUUGCGUACACACUCUUUCAUUUUGAUUGAUAAUUUCUAGCUAUUAACUUGUGGAAGUAAGAAAACUAGUUGGUACAUCUGGAGAAACCUCUUUUUUGAUGAUUUUUUUUCUCUCUCAAUUUUCUGGUGGAGGUGAGGGGUGGUUAAAGCCAUUUGUGGCCUUUGCACUGGCUUAUCUCUUGGCUUUUGUAGAGAUUCAAUUGAAGAUCUUCCUAAUUUUUUCUUUGAUUGAUCAGCUGGUGUGUCCUUCUGACUUGUGAUAUAUUUUUAUGCUUUCAUUCUUGUUCUUUUUUCAAUAAAUGUGGUGUUUGAGUCAAUUUGUAUGCAUCUCGACUAGUUUCACGGGUAUUUACUAUCUGCUAUUUCCUACCAACAUAGAUAACGUGUAACUCUGUUCAUCAGUGCUUGUACAGAUAGGUAAAAAUCACCUAAUGUUUUUGUUUCACUGUGAUUAAACUUGUAUCCUCGUAGUUAUCAAUAUAUGGUAUGAUUUUCGUCUUACUUGAUUUUGAUUUUUGAAGGAUGGAACUAAUUCGAACGAUAAAAGACAUUUUUCUUAUCUUUAUCAAAUUCCUUUUUGUGCUACAGAGUCAGAAGAUGCAUGAAUGAUCUGCAUGCAAGAAUUUAUUAGAUUGGGGUAGAUGAUAUAGUUCUUCAUUGUAAUAUUUUGCAACUCAUUUUUAGGUACAUUGACCUUUGCUUUCAGUUUAACUUGGAGGACUGUUGUAAAAAGCCAUUUGCAUAUAAGUUUCUAGUCAAAUAAAUUUCUUACCCCCAUUUUUUGGUUCACUUUCACUUAAUUAUUAUGUUUAGCUUUUGGAGAGUCAAAUUGUAUUGACUUUCAUCAACACUUUACGGUAAUUUUAUUUGUUAUAUUAAUAUGAGAAUCUCGAGAAAGAUUAUAACUUAUAGUAUUUUUCUUUUAGUUUUUAAACAUUUAAAUUUAAAAUUUUGAAUUAAUCUAAUUUAGUUUAACUUUAAAAAUUAGUUAAAUUGUAAUGCCUAUCAACAAUUAUUAGGAUUUACGUCCCUUAAAUCAUUUUUGUUUAUCCAAUAUACAAAAAAAUAAAUAUUUUAUUUUAUUUAUUCAAUUAAAAAAUACUUAAAAAACCUAUUUUACUCUCAUUACGAAAUACUAUUUAUUUUUAAUGCAUUUUUAUAACAUUAAAUUUAUUAUAUUUAAAAAAUUUAUAGCAAAUUUAUUAUUUUAAUAUUUUUCUUUUAAGAAAUGUGUCUAAGUCAAAACAUUGACUAAUAAAAAUGGUGGGAGGAAGUAAAUGAUAAUUGAGUCAACUACUAUUAUAACAAUUACUAUUAGUGUUGUUAAAUGAUUUUUCCAAUCAUGAUGCUAAAACAUUAGGAGAUACUUAAGAUGAGUCUGAGUAUGUAUUAUUAAUGUUAGUAACUAUUUUUUCUUUUAGUUGUCCAAUUUGAAUUAUGAACACUUCUUAAAAAAAAUUAUUUGAGAUGUAUAUUGUAUCAUAAUAUUCAUAUUAAUUAAGUAGUAUUUAGUCAUAAAUUGCAAAUAAAUUAUUAAAUAUUAAGAAUAAACUAUUAAAAAAUAAUAUAUUAUUCCAAAAGUGAUUGGGAGCAAUAUAAUAAAAGAAUAAAAGUGAUUGGAGGGAGUAUUGUAUUAAAAUAUGAAGGUUUGACUUUUUUUUACUAAUAUUUUCCUUCUUGCCCCCUCUAACUAAUUUAUUUAUACAUAUUGCCCCAUAAACUAUGACUUUUUCCGUAAGACCCCCUCAUCUUUUGUUUUGUCUCAUUACCCAUUCACUCUCUUAUUUUAGGCGUAAUUCAAAAACUACCCCAAAUUCUAGGGUUUCUUUCACUUCUCAGUCCCGUCUUCCUUCCUUCUCAAUUUCCGUCUUCUUUCUCCUAAAUUACAGGUUCUGCAGUAAAUUUGCAAUUUUUUUUGUUUUUGUUUUGCUGUCUUACAUUGUCUGAAGAUUCUGCUUGAAGGUAACCAACUUGCUGGGCGGUGAAUUCUGCGUUUGAAUUGUUUGCUUUAUGUAUUUGCAUGGAUGAAGUUUUUGUCUUUUCCUGUUUUUAUACGAACUAGGCAUGCUAGGAGUAGUAUUUUGUAUCAGCUGAAUGAUGAUUACAGUGUUCAUCAUUUUUCAAUCUUCCAACUACUUAAAAGGAAAAUGAAAAAGAAUAAAAUUACACUGCUUUUGAGUCGGACACAGUCUCUCUAUCCCCACAAAGGUAGAGACAAGGUUUGUGUACCCUCCCUAGACAUGACUUGUAGGAUUACACGAGGUAUGUUGUUGCUUUUCCUUUUAAGUUUGCAACAAGUGAUAUUUUAGGAGUUUAGAUUCUCUAUUUACAUAUACAACAAAAAAAGAAAAGAGAGUAUAUAUUCUAUGAUGUUGUUUACUCACGAUAAUUUUGUAAGCUUGCCUUUUUUUCGAAACUUAUAUAGUCCCUCUAAAGGAGCUAAAAUAUUUAAAGCAUACAUACCUUUCCACUAUUCAUUAGUCAUGCUUAUGUUGGUGAACAAGAUUUAAACUUUGUUAAUUAGGUGACCCCUACACGCUUCUAUGUAGUUAUGUGAGAAGCAUAUUUCUCUAGAUGCGGAGUAAAGGAGAUACCGGAAGAAUGUAAAAUUAUGAUUUCGUGGAACUGUUUUUAUUAGAAUGACAUUAGAAUUAUGCUUGAUACUAACAUCCAGAUAUACAUGUAAUUUUUUUAAUAUCUACUCUAUACAAGGAGUGCAUGCAUGCCAAUUUCUGGCUAUCUAUAGGGCACCAAUAAAAUCGCAUGGGCUCAUCAUCUGGUGCAUGACUGAUGCGAGAGGAAGAAUCAGGAUUGAUAGCUUUGAAGAACCAGUGGAAAUGAAAGUAGUCAAUCUACCAAUGAACCUUAUCACCACGGGGGGAGGGGGGGGGAUAGUAUUCAAAAAAAGAAAUUGAGAAUCAUCAUAGCACACUAGAUAAAAUUAAUCUGAAUAUCCUAGAAUACCUCAUAUCGCUGAUUGUGACCUCAAGGUUACCAAAAUUUAUUUGGCAGUUCAGUACUUAUUAGGACCUGUUUGACCAUAAAAAUUAGUAACUUUUUCCUGGGAUAAUUCACUUUAUUUGAACUUCAGAAUCAUAGUCGAUGAUAACAUCACUAUGCCCAUCACUAUUACAAAAUCGUAUGUGAGAUUUUCACCUCAUAUGCUCUUUAGAGGUCACAAAUAAAUCUAUGGGUUCUUUCUUAUCUGGAUAUGUUAGUCCGAAAGUGUCAAAAUCUAUCUUAAGGUCCCAAAUUAGACCAAUGGAGUUCUGUCUGCUAUAUUUUAAACUAAUAAAUAAGUGCUUAUGAGUGAUAUCAUCUUUUAAGAAUUUUGAUUUUGCUUUGUUGAUUAAUAACUUUAUCAUUAAAUAAAAUCAAUAAAAUGCACUUUAUAGCGAUAUCACAUAUACAUUUCAACCUCGACUUUUCAAUUACUAAAAAAGAUUGGAGAGUCCAUUAGCUCAUGAAUCAUGAUAAUUUAUUUUAUAUCUCUAAAUAGAAAUCAAUUUUUUACUCUGAUGUUUGCAUUAAUCAAUCCGGCAUUCUCUUUUCUGCUUCAUCCACCACCACUCGUGUGGAGGCUUCUCUCUAAGUUGGGAUGCUCUCAUACUGAUGUAUUUUACAUCCCACGGUUUUGGCAGAUCGCUUAGCCUCGUCCAUCUUCGGCACAAGAGCGCUCAAAGGCCAUUGAAAAUCCCAAAAUGAAGUUGUAUAUCAAAUUCGAAAAACAUCUUCUCACCUGUUUCCAACUCACUUUUCGCUUUUGAAGUUGUAUUUAAGUACAUUCAAGUAUGAACACUUUUUCAAAUAUUCUUUUUUUGCAAAAAGUAUAACCAAACACAACUAUAUCGUCACUCCAGUUUCAUGAAUUCCAAACAAAGUGAAAAAUAUUUGGAAGCUAUGACCAAAUGCCUACCAAGAGUUUCUUUUGGCUUUUGAGUGGUCAGUAAGUAGGUGAUUGAAGGCUGUCUAGUUCCCUUAUUAGUAUGGUUAUUAUUACUUUCCUACUAUCAUAUAUUUUUUCUUAGUUUUAGUAUUACAUGUUAUUUCCUUUGCUUGGUUUUCAUAUUAUUUGUUGCUUCCGUUUGCUCUCUUUUAAAUAUUUUCAGUAUGACUUCUUCGCUAUUGCAUUUGCUUUACAUACUUGUUUUUUGAUACUUGAGCUGAGGGUCUAUGGAAAACAACCUCUCUAUCUUCACAAGGUAGGGGUAGGUUGUGCAUACACCAUCCUCCCCUCCCUAGACCUCACUUGUGAUUACACUAGGUAUGUUGUUGUCAGUUGGAUAAAGAGAUGAUUAGCAAUAUGUCUGCACACUUAAUUAAGUUGGAUGCAUGCAAAUUCAAAUGAGUUGAGUUCCUCAUAUGAGUGCUGAUGCAUCAUAAUCUCUAGAAUCAUCCUUCUUACAUGGCAUCUCACACGAUGAACGAAAUAAGAUAACUGUAUUGGAGGAACAUUGACACUGGUCAUUUUUAAGUUUUUCUUUUCCUGACUUUUUUCCUGUUUGGCCUUUGAAGAUUUAUGCCAUGGUGAAGGGAAAGCUUAUUUUAAUUUGUCAGUCUGGUGGUGAAUUUGUGAAUGAUGUCGAUGGAAACUUGUCAUAUAAAGGAGGAGAGGCAAAUGCUGUCAAUAUAAACCAAGAUACUCCAUAUGAUGAUCUCAAGAUAAAAUUGGCAGAGCUGUGUAAUCUGGAGCUUACGACAGUGUCAAUUAAGUAUUUUCUUCCAAAAAAUAGGAAAACUCUUAUUAAUUUAAGGAGUGAAAAGGACUUCAAGAGAAUGGUUGAAUUUCAUGCUAAUUCUGUUACAGCUGAGAUUUUUGUCAGCGGAAAAGAAGGUUUUGAUCACGAUGCAUUGAACACGUACAAUGAGAGGUAUUAACACUAUCAUGUUUUAAUUAUGCAUAUACAUUAGUUUUGCUUAUUGAUAAAUGUGAUUUGGUAACACGGGCCUGUUGCCAGCAACUCUAUAUUACUGCUAAAGCAAAUUGUUAAGUUAAUGGCACAUCACUGGUAGUGUAGUAUAUAUGUAAUUGACAUCCCGUUUGGUAUCUCAAUCAACUGCACUUGCAGGACAAUUGCCUUAAAACUGGCUGAGAACGUAAAUCAUCAUGGCACACCUGCAGGUGCUGCUGAUUCUGGCGGUCUGAGUACAACACCUUCUAAGGCUAGCCUGCUAAGGACUGUUCGAACAGCUGCUGUCUCUCCUAUAGCUAUUCAAAACGAUUGUCUGGUCGAUGUACAUAUCAGCUGCCAGGAACCUGCUAUUAAUAUGGCAGCUGAAAGCCUCAGUCAAACCACUACUUCGUCAAACCCUUCUUCUGGCCAUGUUGCUGAGGAGGAUUCUGACUAUGCUCCACGUUCACGUGCUGCUGUUAGUAGUACUGCCCAGAGCCCAAUUAGCUUUGACUACGAUGCUACCCCUGCUGAUACCGUGAAGAAGCGCAGGCGCACUGCUUCCUGGAAAAUUGGUGCCAAUGGUCCAACCAUUGUUGUGACUGAUAAUGAUUCUAAGGAGAAAUCGCGAAAGAAGAAGAGUCGAAGUUCAACUGGCGUAAUGGUGGGAAAUGACAUGGAGGAUGAAGAUGGUGUUGAAUUACCUGAUAAUUUUGACAGUUCCUCUCCAAUUACUUUGCGGGAUGAAGAUCUGCCAGAGAAGCUAGUUGCCACUUGGAAAGAGGGUAUUACUGGUGUUGAUCAGGAUUUUAAGAGUGUGAAAGAGUUCCGGGCUGCACUGCAAAAGUAUGCUGUUGCUCAUCGCUUUGUCUACAAGUUGAAGAAAAAUGAUGCUACCCGUGUAAGUGGCAGAUGUGUGGUAGAGGGUUGUUCUUGGAAAAUUCAUGCAUCUAGGGUCCCUGAUGCUCAAACAUUUAGGAUCAGAAAGUAUAAUGAUUUGCAUACAUGUGAAGGCAAAUCCUGGAAGUCUUCUCAUCGUACAAGGAAUUGGUUGGUAAGUAUCAUCAAGGAAAGGUUACGAGAUUCUCCAAAUGACAAACCCAGGGAAAUCGCUAAAAGCAUUUUGCGUGACUUUGGGAUUAAAUUGAGAUACUCACAAGUAUGGCGAGGAAUGGAAGAUGCCAAGGAGCAGCUUCAAGGUUCAUACUCAAAGUCAUAUAACAGGCUGUCUUGGUUCUGCGAAAAGGUAGUAAAUACUAAUCCUGGAACUGUUGUUAAGCUUGUGCUAGACGAUGAAAAAAGACUUCAGCGCUUCUUUUUUUCACUUCAUGCCUCCAUUCAUGGUUUCAAGCACGGUUGCCGACCCCUUAUUUUCCUUGAAGCCACAUCUCUAAGAUCAAAGUACAAGGAGACUUUAAUAACAGCAACUGCGGUUGAUGCAGAUGAUUGUUUCUUUCCUGUUGCUUUUGCAGUAAUAGAUAUUGAAAAUGAUGAUAGUUGGCGUUGGUUUUUGGAGCAACUAAAAUCUGCAUUGUCAACUUCUCAUUCUAUAACUUUUAUUUCAGAUCGAGAGAAGAAUUUAAAGAACUCUGUGUUUGAGGUGUUUGAGAAUUCUUCUCAUGGCUAUUCCAUUUUUCAUCUUCUGGAAAGCUUCAAAAGAAAUAUGAAGGGUCCAUUCCAUGGUGAUGGGAGAGCUGUUCUACCUGAAAUUUUCCUUGCUGCAGCUCAUGCAGUUCGACUUAAUGGUUUUAAAAGUUUGACUGAGCAAAUUAAACAGAUUUGUUCACACGCAUAUGAUUGGUUGAACCAGAUUGAGCCCGAGUGUUGGACGAGUUUGUCAUUUAAAGGUCAGCACUAUAACUAUAUCACAGAGAAUGUUGCAGAACCAUACUCCAAGUUGAUUGAGGAUUCUCGAGGAUCAACAAUAAUGCAAAAGAUAGAAGCCCUAAUAUGUAUGCUCAGUGAUCUAAUAGAUCAUCGUAAAUUGGAGUCAAGUACUUGGUCCACCAAACUUACUCCAUCAAAAGAGAAAAAGAUGCAGAAAGAAGCUGCUAAAGCCCACGGUCUAAAAGUUCUAAUCUCUUCUGAUGUCUUAUUUGAAGUUCAUGAUGAGAUGACUCACGUUGUGAAUAUUGAAAACCGUGAGUGCACGUGCUUUGAGUGGAAACAAAGUGGUCUGCCUUGCUGCCACGCUGUGGCUGUGUUCAACUCUAUUGGUAAAUCUGUGUAUGAUUACUGCUCGAGUUACUUCACGGUUGAAAGUUACCAUUUUACAUACUCUGCAUCUGUAAACCCGAUACCUGGGAUUGGAACAGCAGAUGAAGAAGAUGGCGAGUCAGAUACUGCAGAUGUGCUACCCCUUGCCCUCCAGAAUUGCCGAUAGAGGAAAAACCAGAGCAGACCAAAACUAUGGACCCAGAUAAGAGGACAGUAACUUGCAGCAAGUGCAAGGAACCAGGACAUAAUAAAGCUUCAUGCAAGGCCACUUUAUAGAUCCUUUGCUCCCCCCAUUGUUUGCAUCUUGUACAGCUCUUAUAGUUACAUGGUAGUGACUUGUGAUGUAUUGCUCAUCGUCGCGCUCUGAAUUUCUACAGUACCAUUAUCGAUUUAUUUUCAUUUGAAAAAACAUAAUUUCUGGGUUAUUGAACUCAGAAAGCAAGGUGUAAGAUAAGACGAUGGUAGUACUAUUUUUGGUCUCAAAAGGGUAUGAAAGCUCUUCUCAUAGCUUGCAAAAAUGAAUUUUAUAUUCAGACGAUGAGUUUGCGAAUUGUUGUGUUACACGGCAUGUAAUAAAUUCUCAUUUUUUUUUACUAGAAGUGGGAAUUGUUUUGCUCCAUUCACAACGAGGCUCAAGCAUCUCAUUCUUUUAGUUAAUUUCAUCCUUUAUUUAAUCAAUUGAUAUCUGUGAUUUACCUAGUUAGGAAUUUUUUACCAAGAUUUGAACUCGAAUUAGAUGGUCAGAAAAUCUUAUAUAUGUUUUUACCUAUAUUUUUAAAAGUUUGAAUUCAGUGGGAGACAUUGUUGUACUUCUUAUCUUUUUCUUGAAAAUCUUUGUAAAGUAAUUUUUUCUGACUUGUUCAAAUAAACAAAAGAUGAAGUGAUGAAAAUGUUAACAUCGUUUGAAACCAAAACUGAAAAGAAAACUCCACUCAAUUUAUGAUAAUAUAUGUGAAUUUUCUAUGACGUAGGUUUUCCUAUUUAUUUUUAAAAUUUUUCAUAAUUAUUCAAUUUUUAUCCAAACUAUUCGAGACUCAAAUCAAAUUGUGUAUUUAGGAUUUGUUACCAACCAACCCAGAGUACCUAACAACACAGCCUUCACCUACCCGCCACCCACCCACCCAUGAACUUAUACCUCUGCUCUUCUCCUUCAAGUGUUUCAACACAAAAACUAAGUCCAAAUUUGAGUCACCAAAAUCCUUCAUUUGAUUUGAGUACAAUUUGGGAGAUUUAAAGAAAAUGUCCCUUACUGAUUCAGUGCAGAACAAGCAGCUUGGUGUCAUCACCUGUAAAGGUUGCAUCUUUGAAUACCGUUUAUUUUUUUUAUUUUUUUUUCACUUUCUUCUUCUCUCUUGAUCAAGAAUCUGAUUUUGAAUGAACCCCAUUUUGAGUUACAUGUGUGUAUCCAUUCCAUUCAGCUGCUGUGGCAUGGGGACCGGGAGAACCAAUGGUGAUAGAGGAGGUGGAAUUGAGUCCACCUCAGUCAAUGGAGAUUCGUGUUAAGGUUGUCUGUACUUCUCUCUGUCGUAGCGAUGUCACUGCUUGGUUGUCACAGGUUUGAUCUUUACUUGAUCUCAAAUUUUUUCCCAGUAGGUCAACUGUCUGUUGCCAAUUUUAGGAUUGCAUAUACUAGGUGUUACUUAAAUGUCAAUAGAAAAAUGCUGGACUGGGACUGUUGUAACCUGUCGUUUCAUGAGCAUAGAAGGAAAUUUUAUGCUAUUGAAGUUUUAAAAUUUGUUGAUCAUGAUAAAGAGGAACUAUUUCUGCAAAUAUAAUAUUGGGUGCUCAAUAUGGGGAACUUGGACUUCAUUUUUUUUGAUGACCAUGGUGUCCGGCCAGCUUGCUUGCACCUCGACUAUUCUUCGGGAUGCCUUCCACCUCGUACUAGCAACAUGUACUAGAUAACUCUGUCCACGAAGGCCAGGACAAGUGUGAAGAAUCACCUACUGGAGACGAUCUGCUUUCUUAGAGAUAUAGUGAGGGUCUUAGCUUAGAAAACUAGCAAACUUAUCAAGAUAGCAGUUUCAUCUGAAUCUCAAUUGGGUUUGUGGAGAAAAUAGUUUGAUUCAAUCUCAUUGUGGGUUUUCCAAAGUAAAAUCCUGAAGUUUUAGGGGGUGGAGGGUAGAUGAGGGCAUGUAAAACAGUAAAGGCUCAAUCUUGGCCACUAUUUUCACUUUAUCUACUCUUUUUUCUCAUUUUGGCAAGUUUUGUACUUCUUUUCUGAGGAGCCCACCAGAAUUACUUUCUUAUUAUUCACGCCCGUUAGUGAAAUUUGUUGUCGUUUUCCAGGCUCAGGCUUCUAUAUAUCCUCGGAUAUUUGGUCAUGAAGCAUCAGGGUCAGUUUUCUAUACCUGCUCCUUCUAUUUGAAUGAUAAUGCUUCUUGUGUGUAAUUUAAGUAUGUAUCCUGCUUCUGAUAGAAGUUAUUAAAUGCAUACUGAAAAUUUUUAGAGAUAAUUCAGAGUUUUGGUACAUGUCUUGAGGUGGUGAUGCUUCUCCCCAAGGGACUAACGAUUACGUUGUGAGAAAGUAUAAAUGUAACUUUGUGUUGGAGUUGUCAGUUUGUCAAACAUGUAAUGCUUUCAUCUCGCGGUUUCAUCACCCUAAGUGUCUUCAUUGACCGACUCAUCAGAUGCUCUGUCCAUAAGAAAAGCAUUCUAUCAUAGACUGUGGCAUCACUUAGUGUACUCCAUAGAGUAAAAUGAACAUACUGCAAACUUCUGUGGCCACCUUGGAGUGCAACAGACGUGGUUGAUGGAUUUAAUAUUUUGUCAUUUCUGAACAGAGAAUCAAGCUUCAUUCUUGUUACUCAUUUUGCAGGAUUGUUGAGAGUGUUGGGGAAGGAGUGACUGAAUUUGUAGAAGGGGACCACGUGCUUACCUUAUUUACUGGGGAAUGCAGGAGUUGCAGACACUGUACCUCAGGCAAAAGCAACAUUUGCCAAAUUCUUGGAUUGAAACGAGAUGGUGUUAUGCAUGGUGAUCAAAAGACGCGGUUCUCUAUAAAAGGAAAGCCAGUUUAUCAUUAUUGUGCUGUUUCAAGUUUUAGUGAAUACACAAUUGUACACUCCGGUUGUGCGGUCAAGGUUAGCCCGAUUGCGCCUUUGGAUAAAAUCUGCCUUCUUAGUUGUGGAGCGGCAGCAGGUAAUUUGUGGAAUGCUGUUCAAUUCAAUCACAGCUGAUCUUUUUAUACUACUUUAUUACUCUUAAGAUUAUUUUGCUGUUAAAAACUCUUGACCCAAUGAUGGAAUUUGGCUACCCUUUCUGAUGGAAAUUGUUUUCUUCAAUUCCUCAUCAUACAUGUAUGGUUUUACUGAACUAUACUAAACUCAUUCACAUCAAAGAGGAUCUUUUUGAGAUGAACAACUAGUAUUCAACUUACUUUUGUUUGAUCAAGAGUAUUCUUACUUGAUGGCAUCAUAGACAGUCUUAACGUUUAAAAUGUUUCUGUCAAAAGGUUAAAUCCUUCCUUAGCUCUUAGAUGUUACAUUCAUUCUUAACAUAUUUAUACUUGUAUAACUUGGCAAUCCAUAAUGUUAACUUGUUGUUCAGAACAUUCCAAAUGUAAGGACCUCAUAAUUGAAAUGCAAUUAUCAGGUCUGGGUGCUGCUUGGAAGGUUGCAAACGUCUCUGAAGGAUCAAAGGUGGUCAUUUUUGGUCUUGGGACUGUAGGACUUUCUGUAAGUACAUUGAUCCAAGCUGAAGAAUUAGCAUAAUAUGGGAAAACUGUUUACCUGGAAAAACUUGACAAUGAUAAAUAAUAAAUGCUUAGAUAUCGUGUAAAUAGGUUGCACAAGGUGCUAAGAUGCGGGGAGCAUCUCAGAUUAUUGGUGUGGAUAUGAGGCAAGAGAAAUGCGAAAAAGGUAUCACAUGACAGACCUUUUACAGCAGUUGGAAAGUUGAAAAGUUUCCCGAGAUUAUUGAUGUUCUUCCCUUCCUGUGCAGCAAAGUCUUUUGGAGUGACGGACUUUUUGAACCCAAAUGAUUCUGACGAACCCAUUCCACAGGUGUUUUACUUUUCAUGAAAUAUACAACAAAAGCUUGUAAAUUAGUUUCUUUCUCCCAGCUAAUUAGUCACAAGUCUUACCAAUCAUGUUAGCUGUCUUGAACAACAUGGGAGCAUUACAACAACAGUUUCUACAUCUCAGUAUCACGCUAGUUAGGCCGACAAUAUGAAUUUUCAUAACCCAAUUUUCUGUGUUUGGAUAUGUUUCGUUGAAAUACACAAUGAUUUCUGGAUUAUCUAAUGCUAGAAGUUUUCUGCAUUUUCUAAUUUCUAUAUGGUGCAAUCUCCAAACAGAUUAAAAAGACUUGUAGCAAAUAGUAGACCUAAUAUAAGUUUUACCAAUAUGAUUAAUCUCUAAUCCAACUAGUUGGUAUCGCCUAUAUGGGUCUUUUGCUUCCUUAAAGACUACAUUUGAGUGGCCGUUGGUCUAUAAAGACAAUUUCCUUCUAGGUGGUCUUAGGUCUGCUUGAUGAGAAGAGAGAAAUUAGUUCCAUUAUCAAGUGCAAGACGCCUCUCUCUAACCCAAAUCGACCUAGACUAAUACUCUCCCUUUUUAACUCCUGGUACCAUACUUACAGAUUGGUACACUGGAGAUCAACAUAGUACACGAUCAGAUCAUCCUCUGCGUGUGCUACUUGCACAUUCACUGGAUGUGAUAAUUGUUUUCAAUCUUAUAUGAACACAUUUCCAUAUAAACAUCUGCUUUGUACAGCACUCAUUUUAUGGAGGGUUGGCCAUUAGAGACCCAGCAUUCACUCUUCUUUAAAUUGCUGGUCUUACUGAUGUUCUGUUAAACUUUGUCUCUCAUUUUGAGAAGUAUGUUCGCAUUGCAUAACACUUCUGUAGUACUCCUCAAUUUCAACAUCAUAUUUUAAUCUAAUGUUUUAUAUCUUCGUCUAUUGCACCAUUCACUUAAACCAUUGAGCUUAUAUUUGAAUUGUCUCAAUUUAUGUACUGCAAUCCCGUCUAACCUCACCUCAAUCUCGUCCUUCUUGUAAGGGAUAAAUCUGUAGAGUACUUUUUAAAUAGCAUACAAAAUGGACUAGUUCUAUUCAUGUUCAGGUUGUGUGUUUCCUUCUAUAAACUCCGGAUACAUUUUUCACUCCAGGUUAUAAAUCGCCUAACUGGUGGAGGUGCAGACUAUGCAUUUGAAUGUAUUGGAGAUACAGGAAUGGUUACCACUGCUUUACAGUCGUGUUGUGAUGUAAGUAUGAAGACUUCAUUUCAUGUACUCUUCGGUAUUCUCAGACAUACAUUUCUCUCUUUUUACCAUCAACUUUGUGUCGUCUCCUGUUUGUGUUAGGGAUGGGGCUUGACUGUCACACUUGGAGUACCCAAGCAGAAGCCGGAGGUAACAGCUCAUUUUGGACUUCUUCUUAACGGUAGAACAUUGACAGGAUCUCUAUUUGGAGGAUGGAAACCGAAGUCUGAAAUUCCUUCAUUAGUUGAAAUGUACCUAAAGAAGGUAGAUUGUUGCACUGGUUUUCACAACUUGAUGAAAAACCUUAAAACAACGCAUUCAUUUACUCCAAACGACUCUUCAACAUUUGAAUACUAAGCCAUUGUGAGGUUUUGCUUGCAGGAAAUCGAGUUAGAUGACUUGAUCACACACAAUCUGCCCUUCGAGGACAUAAACACAGCUUUCGAUCUGAUGAAAAAUGGGACUUGUUUGCGUUGCGUUAUACACAUGCCUGAAAUAGAAGGUUUUCCAAUGGCUGGCAACUAGUUGAAGUUAUUUCAUGCUUUCUGUUACCCCAAACUAUAAAUAGCCAACCACAAUGAACUACCAGAAAAUUUUGAUGUUGUACUAUAGUGUAUCACCGAGCGUCUUUCGAAAACAAGCUCUCUACCUCCACGAGGUAAUGAUAAGGUCUUGCGUACACUCUACUCUCUCUGUACCCCACCUAGUGGGAUUUUACGGGGCAUUUGUUGUUAUAGUAUAGUAUAAGAAAUCAUUUUCCUACCUUCUGUUAUUUUUUGAGAGGACAAUUUAUAAUAUCAAAAUGCAUUGACUGGUGAGAAUUGAAAUGCAAUUAUAUGAUCUCGACCAUAUAAUAUACCAAGUACACUUUUUUUGGUUCAUAAUAAAAGUGGAUUUUUCUAUCGAUAAUUUAUUUCAUUAUAAAAAACUUUGGAUGAACAACUUUAGAGUGAUUGAUGUGUCCACAAGAAUUACCAAACACACGAAAUAAGUCUGCAAAGUGCAAUUCUCAAGGAUACAAAAAGAAGUAUGAAGUUUGUGAGAUUGUAGCAAAUCUUUAGGGUGUUUCAACUUUUGGUUAAGAAUAAAUCUAAAUCAACCGUAUCAAUUAAAUAAAUUGAUUUUGUUUUAAUUUGAUUUUAAACUUUAAAAAAUUGAUAACAUUCUCUUUUAUUUCAUAAAAAAUAAACUCAAUAAAAAAUUAAAAAUCAAACCAAACUAAUAAAUAUAUAUAUAUAUAUAAUUUAUUAGCAAAUACAUAUAAAUCCAACUAGCUUCAACUUUUCUCUCUUUGAUACUCUCUGCAGAAGCUGCGAGCAUUUUCCAUAGUGAUUUUGAGUUCGAAUUGGAGAAAUAGUUUUAAAAUAUAUCGUCAAUGUCGACGGAGGAGGAAAACGCCAUUGAGGCGGCGGCAGCGGCGCGAAGGGAGAGGCUGAGAGCCCUCAGAGAAGCUCAAGAACUUCUUCAAACCCCUGACGAUGAUGGUAACAAGACUAAAGAAGAGGAAGACGAAAAGUAAGCACUACCCGUUUGUUUAUCCCUUUAUUCUUAGUUAAUUUGAUGUUAAUUGAAAAGUUGAUGUUACCGUCGAUUCUGUGUUCUGCAAAGAUACCUUGCAUUCUAGCUUUUUAGUCUGUAAGAGACAAAUCCUCUCGUAUUGGACCCGAAUAGGGGUUUGAAGCCCUAGCUCACUUGUUGAGCUCUAGGUCUCCGCAGUUGUGGUGGAAGCCUCCCCACCCCUCCGCUGAAGUAAUUUUAGAAACAAUAGACCUGAAUAGAGCAGAAUGGAGAGGUUUCAAGUCCCUCCUUUUGCUUCUGGCUUUGUAUUUAGUGAUAACAAUUCCAGUGCAUAAGCUACUUUAUAGAUAGGGUGAACAGCAAGGAGCCCACUUACAGGAAACUAAAUCUGUCUGACUAAUAUGUGGAAAGGGCAAGCGAAAACUGACUUCUGAACCAAGGGUAUAUCGGAAACGGACUUCUGCUCCACAGAGGUAGGGGUAAGGUCUAUGUACAGUCUUACACCCAUCCUCCACAGAUCCCAUUUGUGAGAUCUCAUUGAGUAUAUUGUUGUAGUGUACUUAUGAAUAGAGCAGGCGAAUUGAGUUUACCAAAAAUUGACUCAGGACUAGUUUUGGCAUAAUAUUGAUUGGUUGAUAUAUAUUACAGUGAUGUCCAAAUGAAGUUCCGCAAUUACCUGCCACAUGACAAGCAGCUUCAAGAAGGCAAAGUCACUCCGCCAGUACUUCCAAAGUUCGAAGAUCCUAUUGCGACUCUACCUCCUCCCGAAGAGAAGAAAGAGGUGCUUCAGUGAUUGCACUAUUUAUUUCCUUCUGUUUUCUUCCUCAUUCAUAUUAGUUGUGUUUACUGUCAUGACUUUUCUUUGGUUGAAUUUUAUCAGGAUCCAUUUCUAAAUAUUGUCCCCAAGAAGCCAAAUUGGGACCUGCGACGGGAUGUGCAAAAGAAACUUGACAAGCUUGAGAAACGUACCAUGAAGGCACUCACUCAACUUAUGGGUACGUCUUUUCUGCUCAUUUUGUGUUAUUUGACUCUCAAGUAUGUAAUGGCCAUGUUCCAUAGCAUUUAAUUUUUUUUGGUUAAGUCUUGUCCCAUAGAAUUUGUUAAAAGUAAUUUAAAUUGAAAAAGGAAAAUCAUGUGAUUACAUUUUCAUCUCUUGAAGAAGUCUUAGCUGAGAUUGUUCCUUGAGUUUGUUCCUUGUACUUCUGUUGUUUGUAAGAGUAAGAACAUCUGACUGGACAUGACACAAAUAACUAUUUCAAUAUAUAUCUUCCUUCAUAAAAAACUCUCAUGAUGGCCCAUUUGUACUCCCAGUAGGUUUACUUGCAGCGGUUGGGACUUUGCUUUGGCAAGCUAUUAAAUGCACCACUUGGAUGCUCCUUUGUGAAUUGAGAGAACUCCAGUAGCACUGAUCUGUGAAGUUGUUCUGACAGUAGACUCUUAAUAAACAUUACAUACAGAAAUAAAUAUGGAAUAGGAGUGACAUGCUCUUAUAGCUAUACGUAUGUCAUGACAUAUUUACGUGCACAAGUUUUAAGGAUACCUGUGCUAUGUUAUGUAUAUUCAACUUAUGUGUCAAAAGUCUAUUUUUUCUUAAACUCCAUUCUCAAUUAAACACUUGAGGAGUAUGUCUUUUCAAUUUUUAUUUUUUUUUAGAAAUUUGGUGUCUUUUCAAUUUUUAUUUUUUUUUAGAAAUUUGGUAUAGCUAUAAAUUUAUCCGGAAAUCUAACAAUGGUUCAAGUAAGUUCGGUUCAAUAGGCUUGGCCAGUUUCUAAAGUUUUUUUAACGUUCCUAGGUAGUGCUGCAUAUGGUUACUCCGUAUUUUUUAGUCUUUUGGCUCCUUCAAUGUUGGUCAUUAUGGUUCCCUCUAUAUUGAUGACACUUUCUGUGUUGAUCCACUUUUGAUUCACCUCCGUUGUGCUCGGCUAUUUUCAAUCAGUGUCUAUAAUGCAGCCUUUUGGUGCUCUGAAUCUUGAAAAUGGGCUACGCCUUUGGUCCCACAUAUUUUUCUAGGGUUAUAGCUCAUUAGGUAACUGUGGAUCAUUUAGUAAGAUCUUCUUCUAAUCAAAUUGGGUUUCCUUGGAGCCUUUCUCUUCUAAGCCUGGUUGUGAGUUGUGACCCCCCUAAUUGUUUCCAAGUUAUAUAGCUUAUUUUUUUAUGAAUAAAAGUAAUUUAUUACUAAUAUCUUAGUACCAAGGUGGUACUAAGCGAGUACAAAAAGAAAGCUGGAUAGAAUCCUUAGUAGCCGCAAGGAUUCCCAGAAAAUCAGCUUCAGUGCAAGAAAAUGUAACUAUUAACACAAACAAUAAUCUUUUAAACAAAAGAAUAGAGAAAGCUAUAGUUAAGUUGUACUCAUCAAAUCAUGUCAAUCAAGCUAGAAAAAUAUUUUAAGGAAUGUUGAUCUAUAUUUUAAAGUAUUUUUUUGCUAGUCCUAAUCUCUGAUGUUUAGUCAUAACGAUUUCUUAACCAUUAAUGUAUCACUUUGUUUUAUAUUACUACAUAGUUAUGAGCUCUUAAUGACAUAGCCCAUCAGUGAAGGGCCAAAGAAAUGCAUUCUUUGCUCAACCUAGACUUAGUGAGAUUUAUGGCGUAAACAUGCUUUAAGCGGGCCUUUCAGCAAUAUUGUCUGCAAGUGAUCCCGAUGAUAGCAAAAAGAUAGCAAAAAGAAUAAUUGUGGCAUUAAUUUUGCACUCCACGUUCUGCCAAUACAUCUUAUUCUUUAGCACCUGUGGAGGGUUGAAUACCUAUCACUACGUUUUUAGGCAAGUCAGCUUUCUACUUAAAGUCUAGCAAACAUUUGGCCUAGAUUGAAGUGCUGUAGUUGUAUCAGACAAGAGUGCAUGUCCAGUUGGAGCCACUAUUGACUUUAGAGAUGCCAUAUGAAACCAAUACAGAAUUAACAUUGUCUAAUCCAAAUAAUUCUGGAAUACUCUCCCUUGCUUUACUUAAUUCCUUUGUAUAUUAAAAGUUAAAGGGGAAUCUUAGUAUUCUAGUUGAGUGGGUCGUAGGGGUCGAUCCCUACUUUGUAAUCCCAUCCCAGAUUUCCCCAUUCCCCUGUGCAAUUUUCUUAAAAACAAAAGUGUGAUCAAGAAAAUGCAUUUGGCAGCCCCCAAGGCCUAGCUCGAGUGGCAAAAGUGGAGGAUUUGUGGCUUAGGUAGCAGGUUCAAGCCCCACAAAAUGCAAAGUGAAGUCCGGUAUUUAAGUGGAGAAGGGUAGAGCGGUGGGUUCAUUAUCCACCGAGUUUAGAAGGCUGUGAUUGAUCCAAAGGACGGGUGAUAGACGGAUUUCUCGGUUAUAAAAAAAAUGCAUCUUUGGCAGAUUAUGGAAUAGUUCUCUUGAGAAUCCAACCUGGAAUGCUUUUAAUCUUAUCUUGAUCUUUUACCUAGGUUUGAAGGUCUAUUUAUUCUUUUUCUUUUUUAAAUGAAUAAGAUUGAAGCAUAUUAUUUUAUUGAUUUUGAGGCAAUUGUUUCAUGUGUUAGUUUUGUCCCAGCUACCCAACUUCGAAUUUUUCUUGACUUGUCUACAUUGAUAUUUUGUAGAGGAAGAAGAAAAGAAGAGGAAAAUAGCUGAAGAAGAGGAUACUGAAAAUGGUGGAGAUUAGAUAGAUCUUCACCAAUAAUACAAUACAUUGUGGUUUUGGACAAGUGCUGUAUGAGUAUUAUAUUUAUUACAUCUAGUCUUUUUGACUGUGAGACGUUGUAGCGAGUGUUGUUAAAAAUAUGAAUACAGGUUAAAUGUCCAGAAUAUAUUCGUAAACUUUUGCCAAAUACGAGAAUCAUCUGAUCUUUUUUAUAUACUGAUUAUACUAAGAGAAAAUAAACUAGCCUCUCAACAUUUGUAGAUGCUGAGAAUUGUAUGCUUCGCCCCCGUUGGGACACUUAUUAUGUCCUUUUGGUUCCCCUCGAAGAAAUAGCUUAUGUACAUACUAGGUAAAUACUUACUGACCUUGACCAACAUGGUAGUAUCAUUCACGACUUAUUUUAGUUAAGACUAAAGUUUGAACAACUCUUUUAUUAUUCAAAUUGACGAUAUCCAUAGGCUCUUGAUUAGCCAAACUAAUCAUAAACUUCCUAAAUAGGCAGAUGAAGAGAAGUGGAAACCAUUUUUGGCUUCCGUUCAAAGGAAAACAAAAAGAAUGGGGGAGUUUGUCAGACAGCCAUGAGACCAUCUUAGGCUUGAGAUCAGGUCUAAGAACGAUCAUCUACUGCAACCAACCACAACUUGAGGAGCCAUGGAUGACUGUUAAUCACGCUCUGGUCACAUGGCAGAUGAAGAGAAGUGGAAACCAUUUUUGGCUUCCGUUCAAAUGGAAAACAAAAAGACAGCCAUGAGACCAUCUUAGGCUCGAGAUCAGGUGUAAGAACGAUCAUCUACUGCAACCACAGCUCAAGGAGCCAUGAAUGACUGUUAAUCACGCUCUGAUCACAUGGCAGAUGAAGAGAAGUGGGCUUCCGUUCAAAAGGAAAACAAAAAAAAUGAGAGAGUCUGUCAGACAGCCAUGAGACCAUCUUAGGUCUGAAAUUAGGGUCUAAGAACGAUCAUCUACUGUAACCACAGCUCGAGAAACCAUGGAUAGCUGUUAAUCACGCUCUGGUCACAUGGCAGAUGAAGAGAAGUGGGCUUCCGUUCAAAAGGAAAACAACAGCUCGAGAAACCAUGGAUAGCUGUUAAUCACGCUCUGGUCACAUGGCAGAUGAAGAGAAGUGGGCUUCCGUUCAAAAGGAAAACAAAAAAAAUGAGAGAGUCUGUCAGACAGCCAUGAGACCAUCUUAGGCCUGAGAUUAAGGGUCUAAGAACGAUCAUCUACUGUAACCACAGCUCGAGAAACCAUGGAUAGCUGUUAAUCACGCUCUGGUCACAUGGCCAUGCUUCAUCAACCAGACUUGGAUUCCUGUCUCCUUAGAAUUCAAGGAUACAAUGGUACGAGCCUAUAGAACAGAUCCUGUUCAAGUAAGGUCGUGACCGUUGAUAGUGGAU
This 331584-nucleotide long non-coding RNA is filed under the name Solanum lycopersicum (tomato). The record is from RNAcentral. Lineage: Eukaryota; Viridiplantae; Streptophyta; Magnoliopsida; Solanales; Solanaceae.